GGUCGUCAAGAGGAAGGUCGUGGUAUCCAAGAGCUUGGAACCUUGGAAGAUCUUAAAGGCUCCUUGGAGAUCAGAAAUCUUGAAUUAGUAAAUGGCAAAGAUGAUGCUGAACUGGCGAACCUAUCUAAAAAGCCAAAUCUGCAUCGGUUGGUAUUUGAGUGGGGCAAUAGGAUCGAGAAAGUGAUAAUUGUGAUGAAGAUGUGUUGGAAGGCCUCCAACCUCACCCAAAUUUAAAAGAGUUACAAAUUUUGAAGUUCAUGGGUGAUCAGUUUCCACAAUGGUUCAUGAAUUUGACAUUGACAUCACUGGUGGAGUUGCGGGUGGAGGAUUGCACAAGAUGCAGAAAGCUCCCAGCACUAGGACAGCUGUCAUUCCUAAAAAAUCUCUCCCUUGAAAGCAUGAAAAAUUUGGAAGAGUGGAAGGACGCACACGAAAUGAUGUCAACCGCAGGUGAAGUAAAUGUCAUGGAUGUGUUUCCCGUGCUGGAAACGUUGUCUAUUAGUGAUUGCCCCCAGCUAACUCCAAGUUGUUUCCCAAGUCUUGAUGUAUUGGAAAUCAGAGGGAAUUGCCACGUUUUGCUGGCAGAAAAGGUUUUGAGCAAUAUAGCCAAUCUCUCGUCCCUUCAAUUAAGGGGUGGUCUUAGUCAACCCAUAGAGUCUCUAGAAUUAGUGAGACGACCAGAGAGCAGCUUGAGUAUUGAUGGCUGUAACAGUCUACUCACUGACACGCUUGAGCGACUCUGUCUUUUUCCAACUCUUCAGCGUGUAGAAUUGGUGUCUGCCAAUAAUAUAACAACAUUAAGAGGAAUGAGUUGCGCCGCUUGUCUUGAGAGAUUGGCAGUCUAUGCUUGUAAGAAUUUACGGGAGUUGCCAGAAGCUCUUUAUCAAUUUCAAGCUUUAGAGCACUUGGAGAUACGGGGUUGCUCGAGAAUUGAUUCAUUUGGAUAUCCAAAUCCUAAAAAUUCAUUUGGACAGAAAGGCCUCCUUAAGUCUCUUGAGCGAUUUACUGUCGUUGAGUGCGAUGCAUUGACAAGGUUACCAGCGGAGAUGUUCGAGUCGUGUACGUCUCUCCGAAAGCUGAAGUUGUCCGAUUGCCGCAGUCUGGUCUCCUUUCCCCUUGAUUUGCGACGAACCCCUUCUCUCGAGAGCUUCAAAUUAUUCGACUGUCCCAACUUGAUUGCUGAGAUGCCUAGUGGAUUUGGCUAUCUUACCAGCUUAAGGGAAGUGAAGAUUGGUCCCUUCUCAGAUGACUCAGUAAUCGAAUUUGAUUGGGCUGGAUUAGCAUCUUCAUCAUCACUCCAACACGUGUCUUUGAAUGGAAUGCCUGACACGAAAUCUCUGCCACAUCAGCUUCAAGACUUGACUACCAUCACAUCACUGUCUCUAAAUGACUUCAGAGCAAUCGAAGCCUUACCAGAUUGGCUUGGGAACCUUGCGUCUCUUGAAGUCCUACGCCUGUGGGGUUGCAAAAAGCUUGAAUAUUUACCCUCCGUAGAUGCCAUGGAACGCCUCAAAUUAAGACGUCUGGAAAUUAGUCUUUGUCCUCUAUUAGCCCAAAGAUGCACUCCUGAAAGCGGCUCCGAGUGGCCCAAGAUCUCUAAUAUUCCGGAGCGUGAUAUUAUUGUUCCGGUAAGAUCUCAUCUCAAAAUUUUAAUUAAUUGCUUCUCAUUCUUAUUGGAUCAUCUUAUUCUACCCGUAUUUGUCCCUCACUCUUUUUCUCUGUAAAUAUCUAUUCCUCUACUUCUUCUGGCAAAAGAUUACUCUCUCUUCAAUUUUUAAGCUAAUUCAUGUCAUUAUAACAUGCAUAUAAGAGUUUCCAAAAAAUUUGAAAAAUUACUAAAAAUAGGAAAACACCAUAACCAUACAUUAGUAUUGUGGAAUUAGUAUUGUUGAAUACCUACACCUGUAAUCAUAUGGAAAAGUCUGAAGUAACGAUAGUUAUGGUAACGAAACUGUUUUUACCUGAUAUAACAGAUAAAAAUACUUUUAGCGACCAUUUGAUUACCUGUUGUACUGGUCAUUUAAAUAAAAUAGUACCUCAAAUUUUGGUUAGUAAGUUUUACAUAAAAAAUAGUAAGUUAACUCAAUAAAUUAGUAACUUUUAUGCCUCAAAAAGUAAAUUUGAAUAAAUAUGGAACUUACUUUUUUUUAAAGUAAAUUACUACUCUAUAUCUGAAAAUUAGCUUUUGGAGAGUAAGUUUAGUUCAAGUAAUAGUAAGUUUUUAUAGAUUAAUAGUAAAUAUUAUUGAUAGAAUAGUAAAUUUGGUUAAUCAUCAAAACUUACUAGUUUGUGACAGAAAUUUACUAUUUUACUUAAAGAAACUUAUAUGAAACAAGUAUUAGGAAGUUUAUUUGAAAUAAUGCUAAGAUUUUUUUAUUAAUAAUUGAAACUUAGUAUUAUAGUUAGUAAUUACUCGUAAUGUAAAUAUAUGAUACACAAUUAUAUGUAUCAUUUAUAAAUGUUAUAUGUUUUAAGCUUUUUAAAUAUACUAUGAAACUUUUUUUUUUUUGCAUAUGACCUUAUAAAAUAUGUAAGAAUAAUUUGUCAUAUUAUAAAUUUUGAAUUAUUUUUGAAUUUGUGAAAAGUUAGAAAGAUUGGAUGACAGUAACAACAAAUCUUUCGAGUUAUAUAUAGAAUUGCACUUAUCUGUACAUCACCAUAUUUUCUAUAGAUGAAUUUUAUGUAAACUGUUAAAAUUAUGAAUUCAUGAACGACUAAAUCUGACUACUUUAUGGCAUAUAUUAGUCUAAAGGACUAAAAAAUUACUGUAAUCAUGUGCACGUUGAUUGUUGAAUUGAAAUUUCCUUUAUUACUAGUACAAGUUAUUCUAAUCAAAGCAAAAUAAAAUAAAACAUCUUUUCCUAUUGUUUGCAGUAGUUAUGUUUAAUAGAAAAUUAUAAAAACAUUUUUACAAUACAUAAUUUCUCCUAAAAUUAGUAACAUUUUCCAUGACCUCUAACCUUGUCAAUAAUACUAACCACCGAUAUGUAGAUAAUCUUAAAAGCAAAAGCCAUCAAUAUGACAAAAAAGAAUGUUUUCAUGCUGAACAAAAAAAAAUUGCGAUUCUAUAUAGAAUCGAAGAAAUUCAUCAUGAACAAGAAUGAAUUACAAAGUUAUCACAUUUCUAAUUUCAUGUGCAUCUAGAAUUUCACGCAGCAUUAGUUUAGAAGAACUUUCCUUUUUCACACUAAGGAACCAAUCCCAAUCUCUACGUCUCUUUUAUUUUUUUUCUUUAACUAUUAAAUGGGGCCAAAGUUGUUAGCAAUAAAAUACUAAAUAAAUUUAAUUCCAUUUCAAACUCUAGUUAAUUGUAUACUAAUAUUUUACACCACAAUCAAUUGAGCACCAAUUUUUCUUUUUUUUUAAGUAGCUAUUAUUUAUUUUAUUACUUAGAUUAAAUAUUUACAUAUAAAAUAAUAGCAAUAAAAUGCCAAUCCUUGGAUCAAUGGUUAAUAAAACUAAUUUUGCAUUGAUAAAAAUUAGUCUACAGAAUGAAAAGUCAAUGGCAACAAUUGCUAAAAUAUAGCAAUUUUUAAUUAUGGGAAAAUAAACAACUAAGUUCCCAAAAUAUUUCACUUUUAUUGUUUAAAAAAUCUCAACUUGUUGACUAAAUUCAAAAUAAUUCUAUUGUCAAAAAUAUUUUUUUCUCAAAUUAACUUUCAUGAUUAGAUGUGAGAUACAAAUAUGGUAAAUAUCCCUCAUACGUAUGUCAUGGAUAUUUCAGACUUUUAGGAAAAAAAAAUUUGUUCUUAAAAUAACAUUAUAUCAUAGUGUACUAAUUAUUUUAGGACCAUUUUAUACGUGAACUAAAUUUAGUUUAAAUUAUACAAUAGAUUAUAUAUGCAUGUGAUUUUCAUUUAUAAUUAUUGGAUCCUAUUCUUAUGAACAAUCUCCAAAGGAAAAAAAAAUGCAGAUCAUACUGAUUUCCUUAUAUUAAUUGUUAUACUAAUUUUGUCAUUAUUAUUAUUAUAUUAUUUCUCAUUUUGUUUAGACUCUUACUCUUAUUAUUUCUUAUGUCUUAGAUGUAAAUUUAUUAAAAUUUUAUCAUCUUAUUAUAGUCAUAGGUGUUAAAUUAUAAAAAUUUUGAUAUAUAAACAAGUAAUAUUCUAUAUAUAACUAGGAAGAUUUGUUGUUAUUGUUAUCCAAACUUUCAAACUUUUCAAAAAUUGAAAAUGAUUAAAAACUUAUAAUACGACAAAAUUUUAUUACAUAUUUUACAAGAUUAUGUGAAAAGUCAAACUAUUUUUCAUAGUAUUUUAAAAUAUAAAAUUUUUUUUAAAAUUAUACCUAUAAUCAUGUAUUAUACAGGUAUAUUAUGAGUACUUACUAACUAAGGCACUAAGAAUUAAUCAUUAAUAAAACAUCUUAUCGUUAUUUCAAAUAAAUUUUCUAAUACUAGUUUGAAAUAUGUUUUAAAGUAAAAUAGUACAUGUGUCCCAUAAAUCAGUAAGUUUUGAUUAUUAAUCAAUUUUACCAUGUUAUCAGUAAGAAUUACUAUUUAUGUAUAAAAACUUACUAUUACUUGAAUUAAACUUACUCUCUAAAAAGUAACUUUGGGAUAUAAAAUAGUAAUUUAUUUAUUUAAAAAGUAAGUUUAAUAUUUAUUCCAAUUUACCUUUUGUAGUAUAAAAGUUACCAAUUUAUUACUGUUAACUUACUAUUUCAGAUGGGAAACUUACUUUUUUAUUUUUAAGUGUUAUCCUAUUUAGGUGAUAGGUCUAUCAAAUAAUCAAAUGGUCGCUAAAAGUAAAUCAAAAUAAAUCGAAAAUGGUCAUAUAAGUGUUAUCCUAUUUACGUCUCAAAAAGUAAAUCGAAAUAAAAAUGAAAGUUACUUUGUUUAAAAAUAAAUUACUACUCUAUAUUCGAAACUUAUUUUUUAGAGAGUAAGUUUAGUUCAAGUAAUAGUAAGUUUUUAUAGAUUAAUAGUAAAUCUUGUUGAUAGAAUAGUAAAUUUGGUUAAUCAUCAAAACUUACUAGUUUGUGGCAUAAAUUUACUAUUUUACUUAAAGAAACUUAUAUGAAACAAGUAUUAGGAAGUUUAUUUAAAAUAAUGCUAAGAUUUUUUUAUUAAUAAUUGAAACUUAAUAUUAUAGUUAGUAAUUGUUGGUAACGUAAAUGUAUAAUACAUGAUUGUAUGUAUCAUUCAUAAAUGUUAUGUGUUUUAAGCAUUUUAAUAAAUGUAUGUAUCAUUUAUAAAUGUUAUGUGUUUUAAUAAAUUUAUUUUCUAGGUCACAAGUAUAAAAGUUAAAGUUGUACUAAUGUAGCAUAAUCUUUGAAAAUUAUAGUAAAUUUACCCAUAUAUUAAGUUUUGUGAGUUUCAAAUAUAUUUUGUAUCAUUUACAAUAUGGAUUUAUAUGCACAUUUUUAUCAAAAUUAUUUUUAAUUCGCAAAUAGUAUGUAAAUUAUUAUAAAAUGUCAUUUUAUAAUAAUCAUAAAUUUAUAGGUGAAUGGUCUAUAAACUGCUAAAAUUGUCAAUUUAUAAAUGAGUAAAUCAUACUACUUUAUGGCAUAUAUCAGUCUGAUCAACUAAAAAAUAUUAACUUAAUUAAGUGCACGUUGGUUGUUGAUUUGAAAGUUGUACCCUUGUCACUAUUUCGUUAUUACUACCACAAGUUUUUCUAUUCAAAGUAAAACAAAAUAAAAAAUCUAUUUCUUUUUAUAUGCAAUAUUUAUGUUUAGUAAAAAAUUAAUAUACCAUGAUUACAUUUCAUAAUUUCUAAUGAAAUUAGUAACAUUUUCUAAAUAAAUUGGAAUAGUUUGUAAAACAUGUUAUUUUUUUUACCAAUACAAUCAAAAGAAAUUUGCACUCUUAAAAAGCAAAUGGGAAGAAAUGACGAUGGCAUAAGUAUAAAUGUAAACAACAAUAUACAUAUCACACCAUGAGUUUAGGUUUGAUUUGUUCAAAACAUUAGUAAUUUAUUUGUUAGUAGAUAUAAAAUGCUACAUAUGAAAAAUACAAUUUCAUAUAUACUAACCAUUAAUAGAAUAUAGUUUGAACACGAUCAAUUGAGCUCAUAUUUCAUUUGUUUAGUUAUCAUUUAUUAAUUUCAUGAAGUCAUCUGAAGUGGAACAAAUGAGUAAAUGAUAACCUUCAGGAUUAAUAAAUGAGUAGCUCGAAAACCAGAGGGUAUUGAAGUUUGAUUCUGCAUUUCCAUUUUAAACUGGAAAGGCUGAAGACUUUUUUUUUUUUAACAGGAACAUGCAACGUUGAUAUCAAUUACAUUUUGAGCUUAAACAAUCCACAGGACUUGAAUCUUUCUAAAUUGUACAGAAGGGACAAUCCCUUCUAAAACCAUCAAAGCCUGCAUUACAAUUCAUCAAAAUAUUCCAUGGUCUGAUUUGUCAUUAAUCCUUGUUGACAACUGCUGCCGCAAAUUCUUGGUGUCAAGAUUCCCCAGUUGCAAUUGUUUGGUUCUCACGGCAUUGUUGUGGGCUCCACCUAGUGAUUGUCCUUUCUUCAACAAUGUAACAAUGUUACAUUCUCUCCACAUUUAUCAAUAUUAACAAGCAACAAUGUCUUUGCAACACUGCCACAAAGUCAAGUGUGCAAUGAUAAUCAGACCAAACCAUCAAACGCCCAUUUGUUUCACCAUUGUUAUCAGACAAAAACAAUCACAGCAUACUCUGAAUGCACCAAAGAUGGAUGAUGCUGGUAGGCGAUAAAGUCCACACCAUACUGUGAUCAUGAUCUAACCACCCAAUUCUUCAUCCACUACAACAAAAAUGGCUUUUCCUGACAUAUCUGUAAGGACACUUGUUGGUUUGUGUCAUUAUAACACUCCUAUCAUGACACUUAUUAGCAAUUCAAUAAUAUAUAGUCUAAUUUUUUUAUUUUAUUAGAUAUAAAAAUAAUAAUGUGCCUUUAGACUAUCUAACAUGACACUUGAGAAAAUGUGAGAUAUACCAAAAAAAAAAAGACACUAAACGGCAUCGUUUGAUUUUGGCGGAAGAUUCAUUCGCUCUAAAACACUCAAAAUUUUCAUUCUGCCGGCCAAAACACUUACUCAAAACACUUGCUCAAAAUUUUCAUUUUCCAGCUUCACCAUUUCCAGCCCCCUCUCUCUGUCUCUCUAUCUCUCUGUUGUCAGAUUCCGAUGUAGUUGGUGGAAAAAUGGGUAGCAGCCAAGCAGCAGUUUCCAUAAAGCUUCAACCGUGGCUCCCUCAGGCAGCUAACAGCAGCAUCAGCAACAAAAUCUCUCUCGAAGGAAACCCACUUUCAGGUCAUCAUCUUCUUUUCUCAAAUUCGGCUCAACAAAUUUCUCCCCCGACUUGAAUAGUUUAUCGAGAAUUGUCUUUCAAGUCCAAUCUCAAUUUGCCCUUUUGGCAAACUUCCUGGUUCAUUGGCUUACUUUUACUAAUGGCAAUCUCGUUUUUCGGUCUCGCCAUUUUCCUUUUUCUUACCCUUGACUCCGAUUUCACCUCUUCCCCCGUCUCUACAGCUUCCGAAGGUGUCUAGGUAAGCCAAAAGCCCACUUACUACUUCAAAUUCGUGGUUUUUGCGUUCCUGUAGUUGCACAGAUAUGCAGUGCAUCUUUGUGUGUGUGUGUGUGUUUUUCCCCUAUUUGUUGAAAUUGUACGCGGAACGUUGUUUUAUAGUUAUUUUUGGCUCAAAAUUUUGACCAAGUUUGUGCUAUUAUAGGCAUGUGAUGGUUAUAAAUUAUAGCGCUUCAGAAGUUUAUAAGCUAAAAGAGGACAGGGAAAGAGGAAAUGGAGUUGUUUGUGUAGAAUUAGUAAUAGCCUUCGACAUGUUUGAUGAAAUGCCUCGAUAAUCUUUGUUGAAAAUCUAGUUGGUGUCAGUUAAAAUUUGCUAUUUGGAUUUUUUAAAGAGCUGAUUUAUGAAUUAAAUUUGAUUUUUUUUCCUGUUUUAUAGUUUGAGGUUUCUGUUGUGUGGCGAAAAUAAAAAAUGGUGUAUGAUGCUUUGAGUUCUAAUAGUUGUAUAAUGGGGCUUUGUGCUAAGUCAUUCUUAUUUUGUUCGGCAUUGUGAUUUUGGUAAAUUACUUAUGGGUCAGUGAUCAUGUAGUUGACGAUUACUUAUGGCUGGUGCACACCUUUUUGUACAGUACAUUACCGGUUUAAGCCUAGCUACCAAAAGCAGCAUUCUGUGGACAAUAUCUUGUUCUGUGGUGCAAGAACAAGCUGUGGUAGAUGGCUUUUUCUUCCUUUAACUGAUGCUAAUCUUUUUGUAGUCUUUUAACUGAUACUGUUCUUUACAAUAUAUCCCAUUUAGCUAAUGAGUUUAAGAUGAAAAUAUAAAUAAAGUUCAAAGUAUUAUUCUCAUUAGCUGGACAAAAAUGUAACAUCUAGUCCUCUUAUUCAGCUUAUUGGGUUGCAAGUGUUACGUUCAUGAGAAUUACAGACUCAUGACACUGCGUUGCCACUAUUCACCAGUCUAUAUGAUUUUGAGAAAAUCAAGGAUUAAACAAUAAACAAACCCCAUCAACAAAUCAACCAAUUAGAAGGGUGAUUUUGAUAUCUAGCUACUGGGAACUUUUGAAAAGUACUGUGAAAAAUCAGCUUGUGCCUGUCUGACCAAGUGUUCAUCUUCCCACUGGUCUCUGUAUGUCUCAGGCUGAGACCUCUUUCUCAUGGAAGUUUCAACAUACAUCUGCUUUCUCCAUUAUUCAGUCGGCAGACAACCACACUGAGCAGCCAACCAAUCGUCAUAUUCGAACUGGCGAUAUAAAACAACGCAUCAGUUGAGUUGGGCAGAAAUUAAAAACUCUAGACUAGGUCCAUGGAAAAGCAAGUGCAAAGAGGGUCACACUGGUGAAAGAUGACAAUGAAGAGCUGCAGCGAAAUCAAAUCAGCAGGAGGUGAGCAUUUUCUACUUGAUAACCAGCCAUGUUAUGAGUAUACCGCUUUGGAGUGCCAGAUGCUUCCAUUGAUGAGUAGAAAGCUUGAAUAUCAGCCAUCAUCUCCUUGGGAGAAGGAAGUGAAAGCCGACCACACAGAGUACUAGCUAUCCACUUGCUCUGAAAUUCAAACAAGGGGAAAGGUACAACCUAGCAGUCAAAGGGAAAAAAAAUCGCUUUUAUCAAUUAAAUGCAUUAUCAACCAGAACAGUUCAUAAACUGAGAACAUGGAAUAUUUACAAAAGACCUUCCACGGCAACCCAACGAAUGAAAGCCAUGGCGUUAAAGCUGGAGGAAAAAUAUGCUUGUAAAGUGGCCCCACACGGUUAUCAUCCACAGCUACAAUGCCAUUAAUUUCAAGGAACGGAAAGUGAUAUUUGUACCUUAAAGAACAUGAAUAAUGAUUUAUUGCAAAUCGUCAACUAGAAUGGCCAGUUAAUGGACCUUUUUUGAAGUCAUUAUGAUCUCAUCGCAUGAAAUAAUUUUACCUUUCUUUGUUAUUUGAUUGUUGCCUAUGAACAUUUUGUGUGCUUCCAGUUAAUUGAUCUUUAGGAGAGUCAUUCUAGAUUUAUUGUCCCAUAACAAUCUUUAGCUAAUAUAUUAUGGUUUUCUUUUGGGUUGGCAGACCACACUUUUGGAUUACAUCAGGAAAAGCAAGGUAUGAAUCGAUUAUUUUUAUUGAUGUUCACGUUGAGGUACAUUAUUUGUAAUGCCAUUAUCAUUUGAUGACUUUAGAAGAAGUACCUUAUUCUGUCUUAUGUUAUGAUACUUGAAUAGCUGGGAACUAAAUCUUAGACAACCUACUGUAGGUGACAGCAUCUGAAGCAGGUGGAAUUACUCAAGGCAUGGGGGCAUACAAGGUACAAGUACCUUUUGAUGGCAAGCCACAGACUGGUGUUUUCCUUGACACCCCUGGACAUGAGGUAAUUAAUGAUGUAGCACUGGUUCUAACUUUUAACUGCUUAUUCAUGCAAGUUUUUUUCUUUUUUUAAAUUUUUAUGUCAAAUGCUCUCUUGGAGAUUUUGCAGACAUAUCUUAAAAGGCCUUUGUCAAGAUGAAUUAUCUAACAUAACUGUAAAAAUGGUUGGAUAGGCAUUUGGAGCAAUGAGAGCUUGUGGAGCCAGAGUAACAAACAUUGCUGUUAUUGUAGUUGCUACUGAUGAUGGAAUUCGACCUCAAACAGAAGAGGCCAUUGCUCAUGCCAAAGCAGCUGGAGUGCGAAUUGUUAUUGCUAUAAACAAAGUGCGCUUGCAUUUAUUCUGAGAUUUUCCACUGUGUGUUGGCUUGUAUAUCAUUUAGUCUCAUUUGCAUUUUGCUUUUGAUGUAUGAAACAUGAUGACAAAUCUCCUCUUGCUUAUGGGAGUUGGCAUUUUCAGUUCUCAUAAUCACGAUACUGCUCAAGUUUGAUGUUUCUAGAUUUUUGCAUCAUAGCAUAUUAUCUUAUAUGCAUUCUGUUCUUUGGGAUAAUUUUAAAAGUCCUUUGGGUUUCUGAUUGACAGAAUGUAUAGCAGGGAGCACUACCUGCAGGUUGCUUCUAUCUUAAAAAAAAAAAAAAACUCCUGACAAUUAAAAGUGUCAGCAUAGAAUUCGAUAUUUUAAUAUUGUAUUAUACCUAUCCUGACACUUUCAAUUAUCAAGAAAAGGGAUUUUGUUGGCAGAUGGAAUGUUAUAACAGCAUAGUUUUCUUGACAUGUUGAAUAGUAUGAGUCUAUCCCCACAUUGGAAGGGACAACACUCGCCCUAGGUGUGAGGAUAGAUAAAGUGUCAAGUUAAAUUAUCUAUACUGCAUUUUUAAAUGUCGUUAAAGCCAUUUUUGUUGUAGUGGAAGAUGAGAAUAAGAUUUGAAUAAAUUCGUAACAUUUUCCUUUUUGGACAUCAUGUACAUCCACAACUCUUCACUAUCAAUUUCACAAUUAUUUUCGUUGACAAUUUUGAUGCAUUUUAGGACAUAGAAGAGGUAAAAAGCUUCCUCCAGACCUAAUUGGAACACUGCUUAUCCUCUCUCAGCUGUGACUACCGGGCGGCCAAACAAGCUCGACUAAGUAGAUCAGUUUGUUUGGCAUCUGCUUGGAAGAGUACGCUCUGACUUUUGAAGACUUAGGAAGCCUUCUUUGAACGUAUAUUGAUCACCAGUAAAUACAAAGCCACAUGCUUUGACUUUUCUGAAACCAGGAUAUAUAUAUAUAUAUAUAAAUAUAUAUAUAUAUAUAUAUAUACAUAUAUGCUUAAAAGCGUCCCAUUAAGGCUUUCUUAACUACAACUUCACCAAAGAAGCAUCUAGAACAGACACUGCAUUUAUUAGCCGAACACAUUGUAUCCCCAUUUGACGAAAGUGUAUCCCGAAAGCUUAUUGCUAUGGAAUUCAGAUCGAGUGUCUUCUUGUAUGCAUAAUAGUUGAAUUUCAUCAGAAGAUAAUUUGUCAAGCCGAUCAAUAAUGGUUCUCCAACUUAUACCACCACCAUGCUUGGGCGAUUUGUUAGAUAACUGUACUAGCUCAUCUACAUGAACUGUCAUUUCUUCAUUUCAGCAUGAUGCUAGAAGCUAUCAUAUCAAAAAAGCUAUCAUGUCAACAUAUGUGUUGCUGUAUGCUUUCUGAGAUUUUAACUUAAAUUCUUUGUAGUACAUAUGAAAUAUUGCAAACUUUGGACUCCUACGCAAUCCAUACUCAGCUGAUCAUACCUAAAGAUUGCAAUCCUACGCAACCCAUACCCAAAGAUUGCUGAAAGUUAUCUCAAAUUGCAUCCCUGUUUCAUAUGUAAAAGUUUAAAAUUAAUAAACACGGAUUUAAAUGAUUUAUUUAAUAGUUUUUUCAUCUGAUUUUUCUUUUAGUCUUGAAGAAAUAGAAAUUACCGAACAAAUUUGUGCAGUCAACUUGUCCUCUUAAAUUAUGCAUAAGAUCGAACUUUUGUAUGCCUAAUGAACACUACAUAGUUAGAAGUUAAAAGCUGUUGCAUUUGACAAAAAAUUACUCUAUUUGGGUCGGUGGUUUGAAUUCAAUAAAGCAUUCAGUUGAAUGGAUUUGGUGGAUUUGGAAGUUAAAAGGCUUGUUGCUUUGUGCUUUUAACCCCGUACAGGCAUCAAUCAUAUAAACAAAUUUCUUUUUGACAUUUUAGCAAACAGCUUAUAUGCAUUCCAGAAUUAACUGCUUUCCCAUAAAUGCCGACACCUACUAUGUUUCACAUACAGGGUCUAAGUCAUUUCCCAUACAUUUUUCAAGUUGACAAUCAAAUCAAAUGAAAGAUAAACAAAUUAAAGCAAUAUAAUGAAGCGAUUUUCAAGAAACAUGAUAGUCUAACCUUUUGGCGGUUAUUUUUUAUCCGCUCUCUUGCUUGAUACCACCACCCAACCUUAAUAAAAUUCUCAACCUUUUUGCUGGGUCUGCAUAUGCCCGAUCGAUCAGGAAAUAGAGAUGGAAAGUGUGGACUGAAAAAUUUUGCAAGGAAAAAAUUUCUAUUCCAUCAUGUCCUGAGGUGAGAAAAUAAAAAGAAGGCAACCAACUUUGGAGAGGCAAAACCGUUUCAGAAAUCGGUGUUUUUUACUUAAGUAUGGAAAUUUUUUACUUUUAGUAUUAGUAAGUUUAAUUUAAACAAAAGUAAAUUUUGUCAAAUAAUAAGUAAAUUAAAUUACUCAAAGUGUAAAUUUGUAUUUCUGACUAAAACUUAUCUUUUAGGCACAUACUUACUAGUUUUAAUUAAAAACUUACUAAAGUUAAUAUUAAUUAGUUUAAUAUAAUAUUGGGUAAAUUACAUUUUACCCUCCCGUGGUUUUCGCAAAAGCCACAUAACCCCCCUAUGAUUGUAAAAGCUAUACAUAAACCCUCUAUGAUUUGGGUUAAAGUGUCAAAUAGACGGAAACUACCUAUCGUGACGAUUUGUGGGCGAAAUGUCUAAAUUACCCUAAUAUAAAUACAAAAAAGGCAACAACGAACACGGCCUGGGCUUUCCUUUCCUUUCAUUACUUCUUUCUUCGCGUCCGCAACAGUCAAAGUGGUGGAAGGCCCACCAGAGUCAAAGGCAGAGCUUUCUGCACCUCUCUUCAAGAGAUAGGAUUCCGGUUUCCGCAUCUUUCUUUCUCCCAUGCUUUUUCGUUGGUCAACUACCAAAAAAAACGAUUUCUGAAACCAGAGCUCUAGUCAUGGUUUCAUGCUGUAUGGGAGCUGCUGAUUGUCCCUGUCUAGGCCCCCACCAGUGAUUCCAUACUGCCUUUCUCCAUUGUUACCUCCGCUGCCAUGACCAGUACUACUGCUGCCAUAUCUUAAGCCAGGGCCCCUGCACCAGCCCCUACCGUAGCCAUAGCUGCUGCCCCAACUCCCUUGCCUGCUGCUUGCACCAGGACCAUAGCUACCACCAUUCCAUCCAUCACCAUUACUGCCGCCAUCUGGACCAUAUUUACCGCCUGGACCACCAUCUCCACCCUAUCCGACCCACCACCAUUACCACCUACAGAGCCAAAUCUACUGCCGUCACUGCUGCCUCCGCUUCCAGCCCCAUAACCACCACCAUUACCAUCUACAGAGCCAUAUCCAUUGCCGUCAUUGAAAGAGAUAAGGAGCACAGAUCUAGGCUUUAUUGGAUCUGUUAAAGUGAUCAAGGGUAAUAUGGGAACGUUUCUUACUGUUACCAGUAGUACAAGCGCGUGUAAGACACGAAUCGUCACGAUGGAUGUUUUCCGUCUAUUUGACACUUUAACCCAAAUCAUAGAGGGUUUAUGUAUAGCUUUUACAAUCAUAGGGGGGUUAUGUGGUUUUUGCGAAAACCACAAGGGGGUAAAAUGUAAUUUGCCCUAUAAUAUUUAAAGAGUCGCUAAAAAACUUAAUCUGUCACUAAAGGUAAUAGAAACCUAUAAUAGUAGGUUUCCCUAAUAUCGUUAUCAUAACUAUAGGCACUGUAGCAUUGUCCGUAAUCAUAUAUAGUCACUAAUUAUUUAAAUACAGUAAUGCUGCUAUAACCAUACACCUGUAGCAUUGAUAGUAAAUGAUUUUAGCAUCGAGUAUACCUUCCAUUCCUAUUUUAUUGACAUUAAAACUUAAGUAUAAGAUCAAAACCAUCAUAUAACACAGUAAGAAUCCCAAUACACGAAAGAAGUAGUAGUGUUUUGCUGUUAUACCUAAAUUUCAACAGUUAAUUUUCUUUUUUCGCUUAUUUUCAAUUAUAUUCCUAAAAUUCAUUUUAACAUACAUUAACUUAUCCAAAUAAUUGUAACAUACUUUCUAAAUUAAAACUUAGAUAAAAACAACUAACAUUAUACAUACAACAAAUAAUUAUCAAUCUGAUACAACUACUUAUAUUGUUAAGAAUAUGUAAAAUAAAUUUGCAAAUCACAUGACUAAUAUACUCUAUUCUAAAUCUAGAAAAAAAUCAUAAAUUAGAACUAAAAUCAUUAGCAAUUACAAAUAAAUAAAGAAAUUCAUACAAAUAAAUUAACAAAUCUUUUCUGAAAUAGCCAAUAUGUACUUCUGAGGUUUCGGCCGAACCAAAGUAGUGUCGGAAAGAAACACAUUCAAAAGUUGAAUUGAUUCGUUGAAAGCCCAUAGAAUUUGGAUGUCGAAUUGAUAUCUUUAAAAACCAUGUGAUUUUUACCGCUAGCAUUUAACGGGUGGAUAUGUUCUUAAUAUUCACUGUUAUCUCUCUGUAAGACUCUGAAUUAUGAUUGCCGUAAAAUUAGCUCAAUGUCCAUUCAGUUGAAAUUGUUUGCAGAGGAACUAGGCUGCUGUUAAAACUAUAAAUUCUUAUCAUCUUUUAAAUUUUUAAAAUUCAGAUACUAUAACACUGAAAAGCUAUUGACAUCCAUUACCUAUUUCUUUCUACAAACGGUUAUCCUUUUCUGAUUUUUGUUUGGUCCAAAGAUUUUAGUCAGUCAGGAGAAAUCAGUCGGCUAAAAGAAGUUAAUAAGAGAAUUUAUGAAUGCUAGUACAUGAAUAUAAAUUUUGUAUUUUUUUCUUCAGAUUAGUUUGCCAAACUCUAGUUUAGAACAUCAUUGUAUAAAGAGACGAAAGAGUAUCAUCUUACUCUUCCUUUAACAUUUGGUUAAACAUUUAGCUUUGAUAAUCACUUUAUUUUCAGAAAGAAUCACAAGGACAAUUUAUGCAAAUUCGAUUGACUUUUGCUACCAUUACUUCCUUCUGGGUUUGUUAAUGCUCUGUUUUUUAGCCUUUCAUUUUUGGUUAUCUAGUAGAUUGGUGAUUUUUCCAUCCUAUUUGCAUAAGGACUUGCUCAUGAUAAAAUAUUUAUAGAAAUAUCUAUUUUAGCAUUUUAGACAAAUGUCUCAUGGGCUAUGUUGGCACAUGUACAAAGCAGUGAUUUCCAAGCAAAAAUGUAUGGAUGGUGAUGUGGUAGACAAUUGUUCUCUUAAGGAGUGAAGAUCAAUCUUCUAGGAAGCAAUAGGUGACAGAGUAGAUGAAGAGGUAUGUAGUCUCAAUGAAUUAAAUUUGAAGGCCUACGAUGUUUCUGUUGCUGUUGCCUUAACUUCAAAUGAAUCACAUACAAAAGCUAUGCUCUGAAUUUAGUAUGCGUUUUUUAUGGCUGAACCGAUGUAAUUCUGCUUAAUAUUUGCUCUUUAGAAAUUUUUGUAAUACAUUCUUCAUAAGUUUUGAUGGUUCAACGUGGCUAACAUGGUGGUGUUUUUUUCCUGAAUCUAUUUAGGAAGCAGACAUCAUCUCGUUGGAAAAAGAACAACAUGGUUCCCUGUCGUUUUUGUGAGAAUGUCAAAAGGAAGAAAUUACUGUCACUCGGCAGGCAAGUUUCGCAGAUGAAGAUGGUCAUCAAUUAUAGUUAUUUUGCUCAUUAAUUUGCACUAGCAUUGAUGGAGGCCUCUCAAACAUCAUGCAGAAAAACUGAAAGUGUUAUGGUUCUGUAGUGCUCGGAAUGCAGAAAUGAAGGUAAUGAUUUGGCUAAACUUGUACAAUAGUUCUGACAUACUAAGCUUCCAAAAGCUUAGGUAUCACACACAUUAGUUAAUAUUCAUGGGAGCCACCCCAAGUCAAAGCCGCAAUAUGACUAUGUAACAAUCUCAUUGAAUAUUGUCCACGAAAUUGGAAAACAAACUUUUCUGUAUGCCUAUAUAGAUAGGCACUAUAUUGUUGUAGAAAUUAUGGAAACUUUUCUCUGCCAAAUAUUUCUUCCAACAAGAUAUCAAGAGUCUUUUGCUUAAACUCUCCAUAGUUCUUCGUUUCUCAUUCCCUCAAAAAAAAAAUUUCUGUUGGUGUUUCAAUUAGUCAAUUUCUAGUCGGUUUUUCAAUCUUGCAUGCACAGUCUGUCAAUCUCUAUCAUAUGCCAAGCAUGUUCAUGUUUUGCUUUUGAAGUCAAUUUAGUUCUCUAAUCAGUAUAGUGCUUGACGGCAUCGUCAUUUGACCAAAUCUAGUUCGCUUUAUCUAGUUCAUCAGUACUAUACUGUUAUUUGUCCACUCCUUUGUGUAUAUUUUUGGUUAUUUGUCAUCUCCAAUGGCUCAAGAUGAUGUUUCUCAAACCUAUUUAUAUUAUUCUUGAUGGCACUAACUAUUCUCAUUGGGUCCAAGCAUUCCAAAAUUUUAUCACUAUCCUUGUUGCUGUUGAAGGAGAAUCUUCUGAAAAAUUUAACACUCGUUUCAAAGAAUGGGACAGUGAUAAAUUUGACUUACCAAUACCUCUGUGCCUGCCAUUAAUCGCCUUUUUCAGCGAUUUGAUAUUGCAAAGGUAGUUUGGGACUUCUUAACUGAUCGUUACACUGCUAUCGAUCUCUCUCGAUAGUACCAACUUUUCCUUCGAUUGCAAGCCAUGAAACAACAGUUUGGUCAAUCUGUUUAGGAUAUCUACUUCGACAUGGUCUGUUUUAGGGAUGAGAUUGCUGAAUCAGAACCCUGCUGGAACUACCCCAAUAAAGCAAAAAAAUUCUAUACCUACCGUGAUUCUCAUUGCGUUAUUUUGUUUUCUUAUGGCCUUACUUGACGAGUUUGACUCCACUUGGACUGCUAUUCUCAAUAGAAAGCCAUUGCCUUCCUUUAUGCUGUUCUUAAGAACUUGAUAUGUGAAGAGGAGGAGAAACGGUGUUUCCUUUUAGCUAUGACUGAUUAGGUUAACUCAAGAAUCCCAUACUCGUAGUUUUCUAGCACAUUGGCAACCUCCUUCAGAGGGCUUCAUCAAAGUUAAUUUUGAUGGAGCAGUUUUCAAAGAGUUGAAUGCUGUAGGUUUGGAUAUUGUCAUUCAUGAUCACUUGGGUGUAUUUCUUGCGGGUUCUUCCAGUUAUCGCAAAGGCACUUGCAUGUGAAGAAGCCUUUUCAUUUGUUGUUGGUAUUAGGAGUUCUCGAGUACCUUUUGGAGGUGACUGUAGCUCAAUUAUUCAAGCAGUAUUAUCUGAGUAUAAUCUGAUUCCAAGGACCUUUCUUCUACUAGUGUGAUUUUGGACGAAGUUAGAUUACUGAUUAUUCAAUUUCAAGAAUUGAAAUUGCUGUUGAUACAUAGAACUUGCAAUCAAUCAAGUCAUGUUUUUAAUAAAACAAGCUAGAUUGGUAGGAAAUUCUAAUUGGAAUUUUCCUUCUCAUUUUUUGUAUCCUGCCUUAAUGGCAGACUGCUUCAAUUAAUGAAAUCUUUGCGCUUUUUAUAUGUGUAUAUAUAUAUAUAUAUAUAUAUAUAUAUAUCUAUAUCUAUAUCUAUAUAAAAGAGAGGUAACUCAAGAGUUAAAUUUAAUUAGGAUUGUUAUUGUGAUAGUUUAAAAAAGAUGCGUGUCAACACAUUAAAAUGUGUAACAUGAUAUUUCACUUGCAUGCACCAGAGUACCCUAGAAAUGGCAGCAAGACAAUUUUUCUAUGCUCUGGUUCCGUCACCCUACACCACUCCCCUCAUGGGUGAAAGUAUGUUUAAUUACUUGAAUCCAACAGUUCAAUUUACUAGUACUGCUUCUAUUACUAAUACUAAUAGUUUAACUUCAAUGCCACUCACCCUCAGUUUAGCAAUAUUACCACUACUAAAUGUUAGUGCUACUGAUAGUCUAUAACAAAUAUCAUUAUUGUAUAUAAAGUAUGAAUCUUAAUAUUAGGGAGUGUAAGUGUAAAUACUUUUUAAUUUUAGUUUUUGUUAUCUCUAAAUUACCCUUAUGCCUUUUAAUUAGAAUUAUUGCAUUUUAAUGUGGCAUUAAUUAAAAGAAAUAAAACACUUCAAUUGAUUACAUCUUAAUAGUAUUGAUAAUUAUAAUUAAAAAUUGCCCAUUAAAAACUAUUUACCUAUUCUUGGACUCCAUCUCCAAUUAUUAUACGUAUCAAAAUUUCUUAAUUGGAGCACGAAAAAUUUCUCAUUAGUAAGUAGUUGAGAUUGUUAAAAAAAACCAAUUUAAAAAAAUAGAUACUCUCUUAAAAAUAGAGAAAUAUACAAGGAGAAGAGAACCCCUAUUCAUAUGUAUAUCUUCAUACAAAUAUCACGAGUAUUUACAAUUAUGCACUUUUUAACAAUAUGAAGAAUUUUUCAUGUUGCACCCAAUGGAAUUUCAAUAUACAAAAAAUGACGAUAUCUUUACAACUGAAAUAGCAGUAUUAAACUAGAAAAAAGAAAUCUGAAAGAGCACCAUACAAACCACUAUUAUGAAAUAAAAAGAUUUAAAAUUAAGUAAAUUUCAUUUAUGGUGACAAUUGUAAUUAGACAGAUUUAGUGCAUUCCAAUAAUUGAUAAUAAUGAUAGCGGUUAUGGAUUAAAUAUUGGCAAUUAAAAAAUAAAACACUACAAUAUACCAAAAAAAACUAAUAUUAAAAUUGUUAAUUAGCCACAAUUCUCAUUCCAAUUCCAUGAUCAUCAAAAAAACUGAUACUAGAACCAAAACUAUUGUGCUCAUAUGAAAAAAGUAGACUUUUUGCUCUUGCUUCGCAUUGGAUGUUUUGCUAAAAAUAUGAAUAAAAGAAAAGAAAGUAGAAAAGCUCCAACUAUCUCUAUCUAUAAAAUUUUAAUUGUCAGAGCGUACAAACAAAAAAAACUUUACAUGGUAGAUCAUUUAUACUCCAUUUUUGACAAAAAUAGAACUAACAUAAUACAAAAAAUUCAAAUUACAUGUAUGUUUAUUUUUCUAACUUAAUUAUAUUCUUUGUAUAUAAAAAAUUGUGAUGAUUGUGGUUUAUAUGCAAUAGAACCAUGAAUAUACAAUAAUUUUGAUAAAACAUAAUAUUAUCAAUAUUUGAUAUGUUAGAAUUCAAGCUAUAAAUCAAAAAGUGUUUGCUUCAUAAUUCCAAAUUCAAUCCUAAGGGACAUGUCAACUACAUUGAAAUGUUUUCUAUCUCUUUUCAUUUAAUAAAAUUUUUAAAAGUAACUAGUUUAAAAAAAAUAACACAAAAAUAUUAUAUUAUGACGUUGAUGAUCAAAAUUUUAUAAAAAAAUGUUUAGUAUCCAAAGAAUAAUAUAUUUUAAAAUAUUACAAUCACGUGUAAAGCACGUGAACUAUUACUAGUAUGACUAAAAGAAAAGAUAAAAAUAACAUCUAGAUUGUUUUUAACUAUAAGCAGAUAGAAAACAUCAGAGCUGCGGAUAAUUCAUGUUCUUAUGCUUCAAUUUAAGCAUGAUUGGCUUCUAAUAGUGUACAAAAUAAGUUAAACUCAAUUUCCAUAUGCACCAUCUUUGUCUCAAAUCUAGUACAGUUAUUCUUGCAGGACAGAGCAUGCCAAGAAACCUUUUUGGCUUUUUGUUGUUGUGUGCAUAUAUAGCAGAACUGUAGCCGCAUCAUUUAUUGGUAAAAUAAAACCAAUGGUAAAAGGAAGCCACGUAAAUCAAGAAGGCCAAGUAAGAAAGAGAUGAAAAUGUAUAUUAGUUGAUUAGGCAUCAAAAUGAAGUCCCAGUAACAUCUUCAGCCCUACUUGCUCCUAAUAACUGUGAGACCUUCAAACAGAUAAAAAUAACCUAGACGAAAGGCAAAGGUCCCUCUCCAACUUGACAAUUUCUUCUCAACAGCAAGUAAAAAUGCAGAUUUGAGAACUCAUACAUAUACUCAGGAUGGACGGAGCAAACUUUUUUUUUUUUUGGGGAAGAAAUAACAAUCAAAAAUCAAUUCAAUCAGCAAAAAGGUGAGAACAACAUUAAUUAUGAUGGAAUCUGUUUGAAUGCAAAUUUAAGCAUGAGUAUAUUCUGAUCUUUAAUGUAGCAACUGCUUCUGGGAUGCUGAAAGAGAUUGCAAUUCCAGGUGGAUGAAUUUAUGAGCAUCUAAUCAGAACAGCAUUCUUCUACCAGAAUUUUGCAAUCCGCAUAGCUUCUUUUAUAUGACAUUAUUCUCUUUGCAAGUUGAAGGCUUUGUCAAAGCUUCAUCUUCUUUAAUGCUCCUCUAUUCUGCAGAAGAUACUCAACAAGCGUACAUUCAUAUGCCUUCUAAUCAAAUUCUACGAGUUAUGUUUCCUAGACAACACAGCUGUUGUUGAAGGACGUCAUGCCAACACAGCUGUCGUUGAAGGAAAAUUAAGCUGACAGAUAUAAUUUAAGGAAUUCUAACGAUAAAACUAUUCAUCAGCAUAAUUCACUAGAGUUAAGACAAGCUUUUUGAGGUUAGGGGCACUCUCAAAUAUGGUUCGGGGAUAUUUUGAGGUUAGAGUUGAGACAAGACUCCGAUAAUUUGGCUGAUUCCAUGCAUUGCAGAUUUGAAUCAGCCGAGUCAGAGCGAGUCGCUGCGAAUAUGAAAUUAUCCACGAUUCUGGAAUCAGUACCAUACCAGUCUCUUCCGUUCCGGUGACUCGGCCAAGAUGGCUAACCAUGCUCUCAAUGAAUCUUGGCAUCACUUUCCAGGAUUGGAUGCGGUCAAUGUUCCUAUUGCUGACGGCUUUCAGUCCAAGAUGAUCAAAUUGUUGAAAGUUGGCAAAGAACAGCUGGAAUUAUACAGAGCCUCCAGGCACAUGAGAACGUAGUAAUCAGAAUAAUGUACUACUUGUAUUUGAGUAUUUGAAUGUCCAUUUAUUCUAGCCAAAGUUGGAAAAAGAAAAAGUACCUCCAACAUCGGUUCUUUUACACAGGGCCAUUCCACUCUGCGCACCCUAUCCAAAAGCUCGAAAAAAUCCCGACUUUUUGAUGCUGGAUGGACCGAGCCACUUAAUAUUUCGGCUACAAGAGAUUCCAACUCCUGAUUAAAGUUUAAGGUUUGGGGCAUGGCAGCAACAAACCAGAUGUUUAAGGUUUGUGGCAUUUGUAGUAACUUGAUGAUUUUUGUCACCUCUCCAAACUUGAUAGUCCAACUCUCCAGCUUGUUGGACUCCAGAAGAACAUUGGUACCCAGAAUUCCGAAAAACUUCAGUACCUGUUUUUUCAUGCAAGGAUUAAAACUUCAACAAUUUCAAUCUGCAUGCUCCUACCAUCAGGGUUCAAACUGUCACAAACCUCCAAAAGCGCAAUCUAGCUCUAGUUCUUCAAGAACAGGACAACCAUUAAUAAGUCAGGCAAAGGAGCCAUUAUCUGCUAACCUGAGUCCUAUAAAAUGCAGUACCUCAAAGAUUUGCUAACAAACUGAACCGGAGACUAAUAAAUGCACGUCUGGCAAGUCUAGUUUCAGAGAUAUUAGUGUUACGCGCGUAAAACAGGUCCUAUGGACAGAAUCUAGCUCUAGUUCUUCAAGAACGGGACAACCCUUAAGUAAGUCUGGUGAGGAACCAUUCAAAUUGAAGUUGUAAGUUUAAAUACUAUUACAACAGCGAUCUUGAUCAAGAAAUUCCAGAUGAACUAAGUGCCAGUAUAAAGAAAGGUAGCUGGAUUAAAGAAGGGCUGAAAGGGACUUUUGCGGUAAAGAAUUCAAACAUUUACCCACUUGGGCAAAUGCCCUGAUGAUCCAAGUUGUGAAGUUUGAUUUCAGAGAAGCCAAAGUUUUUUGAGCGUUGUUGUAGUUGGGGAAAUCAUCAGCAUCCUCCAUUUAUCGUCAUCAUCAUCUGAUUCUUACUUAGCUCUUCCUUCUCACUGAUUGUGUGGGUAAAUUCUUGUUCUGCCUUCUGGGGAUGUUAAUUGAGGUGAAGAUAUGCAGCUGGCAAAUUCUUCCUCCUCCUGUUUUCACUCUGUUUUCUUAUUUUGUUUUCAGGGACUUUGCAGAGGUAGUCUGAAUUACAUCAUCAUUUUGCCAUAGCAAUUCAUACCUCUCUUGAAUCAAUGGGCAUAUACAAGUGUUAUGAUUCUAAUAUCCAAUUUUCUAACUUUUCGGUAAUAUUUAGUUUCAUCUUCUUGUGGUAUACCAUAAAACAUGAUAGAUUAAUCAUUAAAAUUUGCCACCCCUAUUUCUCCUUGUUCAGACUACCUAAUCAUGCCAUAAAGCAAUUAUAACUUCACCAAAUAAUUCCUUGAUUAUGUUUAUUUUCCGAGCAUUACUGCUUCGUGAAAGGGGCAACAAAAUCCAAAUGAAGCAUUACUGCUCAAUCAUGUUACUUAUAACCAUCCAACCACCAGAAGCCCUUAAGGCUUGUAGGGUGGGAGAUAAGGAUUCAAACUUUGCCUCUCCCACCAAUUGUCACAUUACGUGACUCUUUAAAAAAUUUAGACGGAUGUAGUAUACACGUCUGAUUCAAUGGUGGAUCAUCACCUGUCAGUUCCCCUCAUUGACUCAAUUGAACCUCACUUAAAAUAAAGGUAGAAGUAGGUGUAGGGUAAACUUUUGCCGACUGUCGAAAAAAAAAUUACUUAUAACCAUCUAUCCAAGGGAUCUGACCGUGAACCAUAGUCCACGCUGUUUCUAAACUUUUUCCAUACAAAUGAGAUUUGAGCUGAAAGAAUCAUAUGAUGAUCCCAAGCCAUGUCAGAAGGGGCAGGCAUCCCUUUCCUGUUCCAAAAAAAUAAAAACACCGUGCCAUGCCUCCUUGCUUUCUUGGUUAAUCCCAACUGCAAUUGCUAGUUCUGAUCCAAUAAACAGGCCUGCUUUCAUCUUUCACAUGAUAAAUAAUUGCAGUGCAAAAGAAAAGAAAACAACCCAAGCGCACUGAAGAAGAUGAACUUGCAAAAAUUUAAGCAAGAGCAAAAAGAAGCCGGUUAUGAUGUGGCAGUCUUUAGUCAUAGUACAUGGAUUAUUUGAAACAAUAUUUCCAGCAUCUCAAAUAAAGUGAACCUCAAUAUAUAUGCGCUGAGCAAGAUGUUUGAAACCCCAUCAUCAUCAAAUGCCUAAUUCUAAAGUUUGUGAUCCAGCUUGGUACAACAAUUAUGUCAGUCUGCUGCUUUUCAAAAAUAGUUUCUUGAUUCUGGUGCAAUCUCUAAAUCAGUGAAGUGAUCAAGAGAAAGAGUAACAAGCUUUGGUUGUGGAAGAAAAAGUGGCUCUCGUAUGUUGGCGAGUGGACAACCAAGAGCCAGAGGAGGAAAAAGAAAUUAGGGAGUGGGAACAAAGGAAGUAAAUGAUUAAUGAUGAUUGGAUGAAGUGAUAAAUAAAAAGAGUUGUUAGUUGGGGUGUGAAAGAAGAGGGGUCAUCGGUUGUGAAAGGAAAUGGGGGACCAGAGGAGUAAAUGGAACUUGAGGAGUGGGGACCAAAAGUAAUGACCGAUAAAAUUGGUACUUGGCCUAUUAGGGGGAAAAUGGGGACCAGAAAAAGAAAGUAAAUGAUAUAAAUUUUGUAACCCAUUCUUUCACAUUUUUUCUAAAAAAAUUUCUGGAGCACUUUUAAAAUUAUAUCAAAAUUAUAGAACUAUUAUAGGAAUUUAAGGGGGGCAGUAGGGCCCAUGCCCCCAGUGCCCCCCUUUAAAUCCGCCCCUGUUCUAUAAACACUUAUGUUUCCCAUGGUCAGCUGACAGUAAAUUAUACAGCAUCACUAGGUUUAAAGUUUAAGGAAUCUAAUGACAAAGCCGGGGCACAUCAAAAUUCAUAUGGAUCAUUUCAUACCUACAACAGUAGCAGCCUCGCCAAAACCAAGGGAAUCCCUAAAGAACUCAACACUUUGAUCGUACGAGGCAAGCAUUCCCAUGUUAAGUGCCAUAGUCCUCACAACAGUAGGGCCAGCACCUUUCCAGAGUGCCAAAACUCCUUCAUCGGCAGUAAUACGAUAAAGUGCAUGAAAUGCAUUUUUGUAAUUGCGCCUCUGGGCUGCAGGCAACGUAGCGUCAGCUUGCAUACGAAUGAGUGACAAGUCUGCAGGACUGCCAACACAUGCUCCAAUUGCUCCGGCUGUCCGCACAAAGCUUUCUGAUAAAGAGGUAAAGGCUUGCCAUCAUUUGCCUCAAGUGCUUUGUUAGUCAAAAUCCUGUUAUAUAAAAGGAAAGGGUGACAAAUAAGCAUUGCAAAUCAAGUAAGCUUUCCAAGCAUUAACGCAUCACCUAUCCAAAAGAAUCUUGUUCUGAAGCAAAAUGUAAGGGCAUAGCUUAGUUUUCAGUUUCCAAGUUCCCCAUCCAAACCAUGCAAUAGUGAAAAUAGCAAAUAAACUGAAGAAAGACAAGAAAGUGCUUCUUCAUCCCAGAAUUUCAGUUACAUAUCAGGAAUGCAAUUAACAACAGAGAAAGAAAUUGACAGGCAAAACUGCAAAAUCCAAAUUCAGCCCUGAUUACAUAGAAACUAAGACAAUGCAUGGGCUACGACCCUAGAAUGCAAUGCAGGUCCGUGACUGCAUGACUUCAGCCACACACUAAAAUAUUUGUGUUUACAUCAUCCCUGUGAAAAACGAGGCCGACUUUUUACACAAGGGCAUGGGAAAGAAAUGAAUAACAGUUUUUUCUGCUACUUUAGGUCAUUACAAGUGAACAGAAAAAGGAAAGGAUGUUUAACAAUAGGACAGAGGAAGUGGCAUUGUUGAGGUUUCAAGCCAUCACAAUUAUCAUUACUGCAAACUGUAAGUGCUGCCUGGACCCUAAUAUCCAAUUCCCCCACCCACCAACAUGCUCAUUCGUUUUGAAUGGAAACUUCUUCCGGGAAGCUAUCCCAGCACUUUUAACCGAGUUAAUAGCAAGUGAUCAAAAUAUAUUUAGUAUAAAAUAACCCAGAAAGCUAAAGGGUAUAGGUAAAAAGAGAAUGUUCUUAUUAAAAUUUCACUAAUAAUGCUAUCUUUUCCUCUUCCAUUAACAUGUACCAAAACAGCCGCUCAAACAAGAAUAGUAGCAUUCACUAACGCAUAACUGAUGCAGGAAAAUUUUAGGAUUAACAAUAAAAUGAUAACAAAAUGUGGUUAAAAAACAGUUACAAGGCCAGAAAAUUCAAUAUUCUGUGAUGUUUAUCAGACCUCUUUAAUCUCAAGGAAGCAUUGAUAGAGCCGUUAUUUGGCACGUUUUGCAUUGUCAUCUUUCUAAUUUUGGCUAUUCAUGGUGCUAAGAAAGGAAAUUUCACUCAUAUUUGAUAUUUGUGUGAAUUGUAGGUGGUAGCAUUAAAAUGAUAUCGCGGGGUAAAUUUUCAGAAGACUUUUCAUUUCAGAGCGUGGCCACGCCUUAAAAGGAGGACGAAACCAAAGCCGAACUGCGGUCCACGUGAACCCGAAGCGUGGGAUCAGAACUCUGGAGACAAAGCUUUGCUCCAGGCCUUUGUUCCAGACGUCUUUUUCUUUUCUACGUCUCUUGUGCGGCAGAUAUAAAAAGCGAAACAAGGAAGAUUCAAGGGGCAUCUAUUUUUGAGGCUUAGUUUUCUUUUCCUAGGUUUGUCAGCAGUCAGCCGCUUUUGACUGGGGGCUUUUGGCAUUCUUCAGCCGCAACUUAGACUAGUUUAGGAGUUCACCUUUUCAAUCUUUUGCUGUAGACGCCUUUGACGUUCGCUUUUGAUUUGCUACAAUUUUCCAUCUCUUUUAUCCUUUUUCUUGACUCUGCUCCAGGAGCGACGGAAUAUAAGGAAAUGAACCAAGGGAAUUUCCCAUUUGUUCCUUAGUUAAUUCACAUCGCUCCGCUCCUUGGAAUUAAUUGUUUGGAUGUUUGCGUGGAUGAAAUCAAUUAAAUCGCGUGAGCUUGGCAUGAUGAGGAGCGGCUAAUUUUUCCUCUACCCAAAGGGUGACGCGAGGGCGCGGUCCAUAAUAUCUGUGAGAUCUAAUCAAGCUUUCAUUAUUUCUUCCAAUUCGUUAUUAUUCGUGCGUUUUCUGAAUUAAUUGUUCAUGGGUAUUUGAUUAAUCGAAUAUCAACGGCCGGGUAUUUGAUUUAAUUUAAUAGCCUACUGCCACGUUAAUUAAAUAGAAUCCGUAAUUGUUCAUUUAGUUAACACCCCGUGGCAACCACCAUAAUUGGUUUUAUGAUGGGGAAACGCAGGAUCUAACUUAAAUAAACCCUCUUAGCGUGUUUAUUGGUUAGGGUUGGGUUCUUCUAGUUUUAAUGCAAUUGGGUAAUUAAAUUCCUAUGGUCGUACCUAGGGUUGUUAUCUGGUUAGGGAAACAGUCAAUGGUCGUACCUUGACUGUCGAAAAGGUAAGGAAGAACUGGUUGUCAGAGCUUAUUGAUAACUAUAACCAACCUAGUGAUGAAUGGGUGAAAUAUCUUUGCAUCGAUGAUCAGUUAAUUGGACCGUGCCUGAGCAGUUGAUCCUUUGGGUGGAAUCUUAUUAAUUGCUAUUUUUAGUGAAUUGUGCUUUGUGAGUUAGUUCUGAAUUUAGCUCGCUUUAUUUUUUUUUAUUUUACUUUUAUUUUAUUUAUUUAUCUCCCAUUGAAAAUCCCCCAAUUUUGUUCUACUAAUUUAGAAAGAAAUAAUUUCCUACCCGCUCCCUGUGGAAUCGACCCUACUUGCCAUUGUACGCGAAAUUAAUAUUUUUAUAGACAAAUCCGGUAUAUCGGAUUAAGCAAACUCUUCGGGAACAGGGUGAAUCAAGUAACCCAUUGCACACCUAGGGUCCCUGCUCCAGUAUUUGGAUUUGUUCUAUAAUUAUUUAAUUGGGAUGGUAAUUAGGACUUUUUAGUAAUUAUUAUUGCACAGGUUCGGCACCUGUCAAUUUUUGGCGCCGUUGCCGGGGAGCUGGCGUUUGGAUUAUUUGUUUCUUUUCAAAUUCAGUUUUUGUUUUAUUUUUAUUUUAUUCUAUUCUUCUUGGUAUUUUUGCUAGUUUAUGCCCCGUUCUUCUCGCACAGGUGAACUAGUAUACGACCCUGAGGUUGAGAAGGCAGCGCGUAGGCGGAGGCAAGAGACCAAGAGGCAAAAAGAAGGGCACUUACUUGCUGCAAACGAGUCAUCGGAAGACGAAGUAAGCAUGGCCAACACCCAAACAUUGAGGGAGCUGGCCGCCCCGGAGCUGACUCACCAGCCCUUAUGCAUCACAUUCCCUAUUUUGGCUGAGAAUACUGCUUUCGAACUGAAGUCAGGGUUGAUUCACCUCCUACCUUCUUUCCAUGGUCUCUCUGGCGAAGAACCCCACAAACAUGUCAAGGAGUUCGAGGUAGUUUGCUCUAGCAUGAAACCUCCUGGGGUCACUGAAGAGCAGAUAAGACUUAGAGCUUUCCCCUUCUCUCUCAAGAAUGCAGCUAAAGAUUGGCUGUACUACCUUCCAGCAGGUAGUAUUACCACAUGGGCGCAGUUGAAAAAGAAGCUUUUUGGAAAAAUUCUUCCCUGCAUCCCGGGCUGCGAGUUUGAGGAAGGAAAUCUGUAACAUUAAACAGUAUCCCGGGAAUCCUUGUAUGACUAUUGGGAAAGGUUUAACAAGUUGUGCACUAGAUGCCCGCAGCAUCAAAUUAGUGAACAACUGUUAAUCCAAUACUUCUAUGAAGGACUCAAAUCAACUGAUAGGAGUAUCAUAGAUGCUGCAAGCGGGGGAGCGUUGGCAAAUAAGACCCCGAGGGAAGCAUGGCUGCUCAUUGAGUCGAUGGCGGAGAAUUCUCAACAGUUUGGCUUCCGUGAGACUAACCCUACCCGUAGGGUCAACGAGGUGGAGACGUCAUCUAUUCAGCAACAAUUGUCGGAACUAACAUCCGUUGUUCGACAAUUAGUGGUGGGAAAUAUGCCCCAAGUAAAGGCCUGUGGAAUCUGCACAAAUAUGGGUCACCAUACUGACUCAUGCCCUAUGUUGCAAGAGGAUGGGGCCGAACAAGUGAACAUGGCUGGAGGCGUGCCCGCGCCUCGUAGGCAGUACGAUCCAUACUCCAACACGUACAAUCCGGGUUGGAGAGAUCACCCCAAUCUCAGCUAUGGUAGUAGGCCACAAAAUGCAUUCUCCAAUCGGCUUCCAGGAUUUCAGCAACCUUGGCAACAUAAUUCUCAACCCUCGUCCUCAAGCUCAGGGAGUUCUUUGGAAGAAAUUGUCAAGAGUUUGGCCACGACUACCACUCAACUCGUCACGACCACCACUCGGCUCCAGCAGGAGACUAGGUCCUUAGUUGCAAGUACUACUCAGUUUCAACAGGACACCAAAGCAGGCAUGAAAGAUAUGGAGACUCGCAUGAGUCAAAUGGCAACUGCCAUUAAUCGCCUGGAGUCCCACGUCUUUGGGAAAUUGCCAUCGCAACCUGAGCUAAACCCCAGAAAUGUAAGUGCCAUGACAUUAAGGAGUGGCAAGAAGGUGGAGGGAUCUAAGUUGACGAUUUCGAAAAGCAAAAGUGAGGAGCAGAUAGAAAAGGGAAUUGAAGAGGAAGGGCGCAUUCGCGAAGAGCCUAAGGUAACAUCUAUUCCUUCGAUCCCUAUUAAAUCUAAUAUAGCUCCUUUUCCUUGCAGGUUGGAAAAGACAAAGAGGGCAGAAAAGGAAAAAGAAAUCCUGGAUGUGUUCCGCAAAGUUCAAGUAAACAUCCCCCUAUUGGACGCGAUCAAGCAGGUACCCAAGUACGCAAAGUUCUUGAAAGACUUGUGCGUUAACAAAAGAAAGCUAAGGGUGAUGAAAGAGUGAUGGUAGGAGAGAAUGUAUCAGCUGUACUUCAAAGGAAACUCCCACCCAAAUGCGGAGAUCCAGGUAUGUUUGCUAUCCCCUGUAAGAUUGGUCAUUCUAGUAUCAAAAAUGCCAUGAUAGAUUUAGGGGCUUCUAUUAAUGUGAUGCCUAAGUCAAUCUAUGAUUCCCUAAAUUUAGGACCUUUAAAAGAAACGGGGAUAAUAAUUCAAUUGGCUGAUCGUACAUGUGCUUAUCCGGAUGGGAUAGUUGAGGAUGUUUUAGUGCAAGUAGAUGGAUUAAUUUUUCCUACUGAUUUUUAUGUGCUUUACAUGGAUGAUAGAAGUGCCCCAAAUCCAUCACCCAUUAUAUUAGGAAGACCAUUUUUGAGUACUGCCCAGACUAAAAUUGAUAUUAGUAAGGGUACUCUCACGAUGGAAUUUGAUGGAGAAAUAGUCCAUUUUAAUAUUUUUGAUACAAUGAAACAUCCUGUUAACUCUCAUUCUGUGUUUGCUAUAUAUACCACUGAUCCCUCUGUGCAAGAAUUCUCUAAGUUUGCUUGUAGGGGUAAAUUCAAGGUUGCUGCGAACAAGUCCUAUAGGAUGAAAGCAAUUCAUGAGGUAAAAAUGGAGAGAAAAUUUAGGAAAAAAAUUGCACUCAAUGGCCAUGUGGAUCCUGGAGGAGGGCCACCAAUUACAAGGAAAAUUCAAUUACAUCCAGACUAAAGAGUGGUGCUAUGUCUAGCCAAAGACAUUAAAGAAAGGCGCUGCUUGGGAGGCAACCCAAGGCUUCUUUUGUUUUAGUUUUCUUAUAUUUUUGAAGUUUUUGUUAAGUGUUAGUGUCAUUUAGUGGGUUGUUAUUUUGUGACAGGAAGUUGGCAGCUAGGCAUGCCCACGCUAGGUCAUCACACCUAAGGAAUGGAGUUUUCGAAUUGACGGUCAGACGACUAUAACUUCUAAGGCGUGCCCACGCCUUCCAAUCCAUCCGAAAAAGAAACUUCAGUCUUCUCCUCUCCGUUGGGUUGCGUCCGUCGCCACCACACCACCUUGUGCACGCAGCCGCUCUUACCUCCUCCGCCUUAGUGUCUCACUUUCUCUCCCCGGUGGUCAGGGAAGUUUCUUUUCUUUCCCCUAAUAUUUCAUUUGUCUUUUCUACAUUGAGGACAAUGUAGGUUUUAGGUGUGGGGGGAUUAGUGGCUUCCAUUAUUUCCUUUUUCUUUGUUACUCAAACAAAAAAAAAACAAAAAACAAAAACAAAAAAAACAAAAAAAAAUGAAAAAAAAAAUGAAUGAAAACAAUGUAGUUAGGCGGCUUUUUGGCUAUUUCUAUGCUUGUUAGUAUUAGGGCAUGUUGCUGUGAUGAAUGACACAAUCAAAGUGAGUGGGUAUGUGGUCGAAUAUACUAGCUGUGCAUUUUGUUUCCCUUGGCAGUGUCGUUGAAUGUUGAAUAUGCUGGAAUUGACCCAUUCUUGUAACUUUUGGGGGAGCUUUUGAGCCUUAUAUGAGCACAUUAUUCUUGUUUGCUCUAUUUUUGUUUGAUUGAGUGGGUAUCACACAUGGUAUUGGCAUUCUAGAACUUGCUAGUUUAUACAUGUCAAGGCCACAUUUUUGUUGAAUUAGAUGCAUUUGAAAUGAUAAGGGCAUUUAGGAUUUAACCCUCUUUAGCUAUCUAAAAAAAAAUCAAACCCUCAUCUUAUCUCCCAAUAGUGAACCAAUUUGAGAUUUAGUCCUUCGUUUCUGGUUGAUAUCCGUGUUUAUUAACCCAAAACCUCUUUAAACUUUCUUGUUUACCCCUGUGUUGUCAAGAGAUGCCUGAAUUCCAUCAUUUGUGCAAAUGACAGGUGCCGAACCUGUGCAAUAAUAAAUACCUACUCGAGAAAAAUAUAGAUUUUGUAUAUAGCGGUGAGCAGGGUCGAAUCCACAGGGACUGGGGAUAAUUCGUUUCUUCUAGAGUCCAAGGUAUGGGGGGUUUUGGAUUAAAUGCUAACUAAAUAAAUUAACUGCAGAAAAAUAAUUGAUUAAGAGAAAUAAUUAAGGGAAAACUCUAGCCAAGGGUACACUUCAGAAGUGGUUCAGGCACUGAUCAUUGAUUCACAGAUAAUUCCACAUUUAUUAAUAGACCAGUUAUAGUUGUCAUGCACGCGAUAAACAACCAACCUUUCCUUAAUUUCUCGAUAGUUAAGGUACGACCGUUAACUAUUUCUCUAACCCAAAAACAACCCUAGGUACGACCGUAGGAUUUAAUUUCUAGAUUGCAUUAAUAAUUAGAAAGGCCCAAUCCUAACUAACAAACACGUUACGAGGGUUUGUUUAAGUUAGAUCGUAUGCUCCCCUGACAUAAACCCAAUUACGCCAGUUGCUACUGAGAUAAAGAUAACGAACAAUUACGGAUUCAAUUAUCCCUAUUUAGCAAAAUAGCCUAUGUGAAUAAUUAAAUAUUGCGCAUCUAUUCAAUCACUCACACGAGCUAUAGCAAUUAAAAGCAGGAAACAUAUAAAUACCAAUAAAUUAAGGAAGCAAUUAAAAUAAAUUAGAUCUCACAGUAAUUGUUGAACCAAAUCUUCAGUUGUCCCCUUGACUUGAAUUAAGAGGUUAGUUCUCCAUUAAUGGAGAACAACCAUGCGAAAGAGCUAAGAAAAGAAAACUAAAACUAUGCUAAAAACCUAAACUAAAAAACUAUUCAAUCCCCCAACCUUCUGCACGUUUCUCCCUUUUUAAAGCCAAAAGAAAGUCUAAUGCUUUCCUCCUUUUCCGUGGUCCCCGCACGAAUUGAGAGUUAAAGUCCAAGAAGGAAACUCUUCCACAAGGUGGGGCCCAUCCGAAUUGCUCUUGAUUUUAAGCCUCUGUACGUUCCUAAUGACUAAGGCUUCUUAUCUCGCUGGUCCACCAAAAUUGAGAGUCCAAAUGCUCCAAAGAAGGUCCUGCGCCAUUCCUUGUAUCAUGUUUACUCUUGGUAGGACUCCUAGUCAGCAAAAAGGUAAAUGGAAAUCCGGUCCUUCUUAGCAAUGUGGGCCAAGUCUGUGGAGUAUUUAGAAGUCUCCAUAUUCUCCAAAAAGUACCUUCUUUUUUGUAGUUUUCUACUCUAUUCCCUGAAAUUGAGUCCAAUACCAAAUAUAAGUAAAUAUUAAUAAUUAAAACAAUAUUUGGCAAGGAUAAAGGGGAAAAUUAGCAAUAAAAUAACCAACAAUUAACACCCUAUCAAUUCCCCCCACACCUAAAUCAUGCUUGUCCUCAAGCAUAAGAAUAGCAAUUGAACACCAAAAUUUGACUAUGGCUAUUGCUCUAACUAUCAUAUUGCCAAGAUACCCAGAAAAACAUAUAUCAAGCAUCACAGUUAAGAUCCAAGAAAAACCACUCCGGUUAGCUUCUCAACCACCAACUCCUCCAAUUUAAAGCAAACUAAUCUAAGAAAAAGGAAUGGUUGCUCACAUUUAUCAGUAAAUGGUCCAACUAUUAACCAAAAUCUCAACAUUAAGUCCAUAAUUCGGCAAGCUGACUUUUAUUACACACUAACACAACCUUCCCUUUUUUUCAUUUUUUUUUUGUAGCAAAAGACUUAGUCGCUAGCCAUUUGAGCUUUUUGACGCGAACUCCAACAUUGGCCAGAUGAAGGAGCCCGGUUACUCAGCUUCUAUCGCCACGUGACCACGUACUCAUAGCAAUUACUACUUUUUGACGCGAGAAUCAACACUUUUAGGUGAAGAUCCCCGGUUACUCAGUAGUAACUACUAGCGGAGUACAGUCAACUCUUAUUUAUAACCAAAUAACACAAUAUCUAAAAACAACACAUGAAUAACAGCAGCCAGCCUCAAAUUUCCAAACAUGAAGAACUAGAAUUAAUAAUUGGACCAAUUCACAAGAAAAAUGCCAAUAAUCAUUCCCUAUACCUAGAAAAGUUAACUAAAAAUUAGAAAAGUCAAGUAAUUAUUGAUAUUCACCAAAAAGAUGUUCCUGAACUCAACCACCUUAACUCAAUACCUUUUUAUCAAUAAACUUGGCAAUAGCAGAAUUAGAAACAACGAUCCAACAUCAAACUUGGUAUUCAAAUAAGAACUGACCACUAGAAAGAAAAAGAAAAGAAAAUAAAUGAAAGAUAGGCAAAAACUAACUAAAAAUAAAGGACAAGCCCCUAGAAACUACAAACAAAAAAAUACUAGCAUCCCAACUGAUCUCCCCCCCACACCUAAAUGACACAUUGCCCUCAAUGUGAUAAUGUAAAAGCAGAAGGAAGGAGAGGGGCAACGGUACUUCCCUGAAGUCAUCAAAAUAGGGGCGGUUUAGGUGGAAAUACGCGGCCAGGUUCUUAGGGAUUGGAGCCACCUGGUUGGCGAUAUGCAUUACUCGCUCAUCCACUGGGCAUCAGCAGCCAUCGGUGGGAGAGGCCACUUAGCAAAUUCAAAACAAUAACAAUUUAAUAGCCAGUGGUGCCUCCCUCGUAGACAACCCAAUCAACAAAAUGCACAACCCAGGCACCUAGAGACUUACAAUAUCCCAACAAUACAGCAAUUUCAAUCAAUACUCACUGGUGGCCCCAGUUGGGUCAAAUGCAGGAACAAUGUAGUCCAAACUCGCAACAAAUGCUCUAAAGAUUUAGCAAUUGAAAUCAAUAGGUAAAAUACUCCCAGCAAGUCAAUUAGACGCCACCAACAGCAAUAAGCAAUGGAAGUGGCACAGUAGCCUUCCAAUUCAACAAACAAAUGAAGAAAAUACCCAACCAAAGGCACUUCAAGGGACGCAAGACAGAAAUCAGCAAAGUAGAACUCAAGUGAUACCAAAAAUAACCUCGACAAAGCAGUGAAUUCAACCAAUUUGAAUACGUAGAAUACGGUCAGAAAUGCCUCCCAAAGAUCAACAGAGAGCGACAAAACUUGCCACCCAAAAUCUGUCCAAAUGGCUCCAAUUGGAUAAGAAAUUACACAAUCAACCAACCGAAAUUAGCAAAUGAGCCAAGAAACCGUCAAAACCAGCAAUAGUAGUUCAAAUUUUGGACUACAACUAAAUCAAAAUGUUUGGCAGUUUUCGAUCAAGUAGCCCACCAACUAGAACCAAGUGGCAACAAAUGUAGUUAUAAUACCCCAACCAGUACCACUGGUGCAUCCCUCAGAUAAUGAAGCAACAUAAACGGCCACCCCAAUCAAGAAAAUGGAAACUUCAGGCACCUAAGGACUAGGCGAAAAUCUCAACAAAGCAGCUAUUACAAACAAUAAGCAAUGGUGGUCCGAAUAUUAGUCAAUGCAGAAAUCAUGCAACUCAAAAUCUCGGCAAGUGCUCCAAUGAGCUUAGCAAUUGAAAUCACAAAACUGAAUACUCCCCAAACAAGGUACUUAGAGUCAACCAAUGGCAAUACUAAUUCAACAAACCAACCAGAAAAUUACUCAACUAAGGGUGCAAUAGAGGUCUCAAGCAGCCAAAACCCCCAAAUAAUGCCCAACAAUUCGAUCAAUACCAGAAAAUCACCCCAAACAAUGUAACAGUUAAACUCCACGGGCUAGGGACGUCCAACCAGUUUUACUCGAACCAACUAGGAGCAGUGCGAGUGACUAAACAACGCAACAAAUUUCAGCAAUUGGACACAAACCCACCCAAAAUCUCAACAACUGUCUCCAAUUGGACAGUUAAAACCCAGUUAAACCCAAAAUUAGCAAAUGACCCAAGAAACCAGCAAUUCCAGCAACUAAUGGUAAGAAUCGAGAGACAGUUCAGGCACCAAAACUCAAGAAUCGAAUAGGCAGUCCAGCACAGAGGAUUAAGAAAUGGAAAGCAACACUGCAACCAGUACCACUGGUGCACAGACAGGAAAGAAUUAAAUUCAAUGGCAGUAACACAACCGCAAGAACUUAAACUUUAAAAUUAAUCAACCAGUACCACUGGUGAGUCACAGGGAAAAAUUAAUCAACCGGCCAAAAAUUCAAAUAAUAGCAGAAAAUAUCCCCACUAUGUCAGCAAUUAAACCCAACUCUGUUCAAAAUUUACCCUAGAAAAUGCCCAAAUUAUCACCUUCGUUUAUCCAUCAAGAAAUUCAACCACAACUUUCAGAGAGUGAAACUAAUUUGGGGAAGAAUUCAAUACCUCCACCUGUCAAAGAAAUUUGACAGGUGGCUUGCGCUGUGUGGACUGGCGGUGGAGCUUGGAGGUGCAGAGGUGGAGCUGGCUGGAGGGCGGCGCGGGUUGAAGCUGGGGCGCGACGGAGGAGGUGCACGUGAGGCGGAUGAGCUGGGGUUGAGGUGACGUGCGGCAGAGAGAGGGAGAAAUAGGCGGGGCUCGUGGGCUGUCGCGAUGGCAGCGGCGAGUGGCGAGCUGAGGCGGCGGCUUCUCGCGCAGGUGAAGGGCUGAAGAGCUGGUGGUGAGGCGCAGCUGGUCAGUGAAGAGAGGCGCAGCGAGCUCCUGGUGGCGGUGGAGGCGCGCGAGCUCAGGAGGAGCUGCGCGUGAUGGGGAAGGGAGCCGCGGCGUGCGGCGGACGAAGCUGGAGGAGGCGCACGGUGAUGGAGCAGGCCGUGGGUGGGGUGCGGCGAGCUAAGCUGAGGGGCGGCGCUCCUGGAAGGUGAGAGUGGAGGAGAGACGCGGCUUGGCCGCGAGCUGAUGGCGUGCGAUCUGAUGGCAUGGAGCAUGGAGGCUGCGGCUGAAGUAGAAAAGGACAGGGGGAAAGGGAAAGCAGCGGGAAGAAGGAAGAAAGAAAAAGAAGAAGAAAGAAAGAAAGAAAAGAAAAGAAAGAAGAAAAGAAGAAAAAGAAAAUAAAAUGUUUUUUUUUUAACUAGUCUUACCGAAAUUCUCCAAAAAUUGAAAUUGCUUUUGUAAAAAAAAUUUUUUCUCUUUUUUUUUUUUUUUUAGAAUAAGGAGCCUCUGGCCUAGGCGUGGGCACGUCUAACUGCUAUAGAGUCCAUAGAUCCUGAAUGAAAAUUCCUUUCCUCAAGCGUGACCACCUGGUGUGGGCGCGUCUAACUGCUAUAGAGUCCGCAGAUCCUGAACAAAAAUUCCUUUCCCUCAGGCGUGACUACCUGGCGUGGGCAGGUCUAACUGCUAUAGAGUCCGCAGAACCUGCACGAAAAUUUCUUCCCCUCAGGCGUGACCACCUGGCGAGGGCACGUCUAACUGUUAGCUUCCUGCCACAAAAGCAACAAAUCACUAAAUGCAACUAACACUUAACAAAAAUUCCAAAAAGCAUAAGAAAACUAAAAUAAAGAGUCUUGGGUUGCCUCCCAAGCAGCGCCUUUCUUUAAUGUCUUUGGCUAGACAUUGCCAUAUUUAUUCACGGAGAAUAAAAUCUUGUGACUCGUUUCAGUGCUUCAUCCUCUAUAUAAUCCUGAUAGCCCUCGUAAAUAGAGUAAUUCUUGAGCACACGAGAUACGGGCUUCUAUGGACUAGUAAAUGGCGCCAAACAAGUCAACGAUAAUUUGCAUUCUCCACUCUCUCCUCCAUCACACGCCUUUAUCGGUUCAAGAUAUUUGACCAUCGUAGCUCUUAACUUAUUCCUGUCAUGAAACUCAAAAUCGUCUGGUAUGAUAAAAUCAAUCUCACUAACAGGAAUUAAAGAAUAUGAGUCAGGAAAAUAUUGAUCAAGAAAUGGAGGAGAUGUCACCGCAUUUGGAGAUUGUUCACUGGAUUCAUUCACUUGAACCAUUUGAUGUUGGGUCUCAUGUCUUGCACUUCAACUUCCUUUUCAACUGUAAUUUUAGAUCCUUCUUUUUGAGAUUCUCGCAGCACCAUGUCAUUCGUCAGGAUAAUUGCACUCUCAUCUUCCUCAUGGUCGAUAAUAGUUUGUGAGGGCAAUUCUUCACUUUGAGAAACCAAUCGAUUUAUUCUGGAUGUCAAUAGACAUAGUUGAUCUGCCAGAUAAUUCAUUGCAUCCUUCAUCAUCCCAUUCCUCAUUUGUGUCUCCUGUUGGAAUUGGUAUGUAUUAGUAGUUAUUGGUUCAACUAUCUCUUCAAGAGACAUACCUGACAUAGAUGACGAUUCUUGAGACUCAUACUGCUGAAAAUUCAUUGGCCCCGUUGUAUAAUUAUAAUUGGAGUUAUCCCACCCUCCUUGAUCAUACCCGUAUGGAUUAGGGUUAUACCACGUUUGAGACCAGGGUGAAAAAUCUCCAUAAUUAUUGAGUGGGACACUCAGAUUAUCUUGAUAUUCGGGGCACAUACUGGUUGAAUGAUCCCUGGCAUAACAAAUUUUACAGGUUGCAGCAGCCAUUCUUUUUCUAAUAGAGUUUACUGCCUCUGCAUGUGCAAACUUAGAAAAAAAACUAGUUUCAUCGCCUUCCCCGGAAACAAAAUCCAGUCUAUCACCAAAAUACGGAGUGUUAGAAGCCAUAAACUAUAUAUAAAAAAAAUAAGAGAAAAAUAAAUUAAAAAAAUUAAAAAAAAUGAACUUAAAAAGAAACAAAUUAAUCUGGCACCAGUCCCCGGCAACGGCGCCAAAAAUUGACAGGUGCCGAACCUGUGCAAUAAUAAAUACCUACUCGAGAAAAAUAUAGAUUUUGUAUAUAGCGGUGAGCAGGGUCGAAUCCACAGGGAAUGGGGAUAAUUCGUUUCUUCUAGAGUCCAAGGUAUGGGGGGUUUUGGAUUAAAUGCUAACUAAAUAAAUUAACUGCAGAAAAUAAUUGAUUAAGAGAAAUAAUUAAGGGAAAACUCUAGCCAAGGGUACACUUCAGAAGUGGUUCAGGCACUGAUCAUUGAUUCACAGAUAAUUCCACAUUUAUUAAUAGACCAGUUAUAGUUGUCAUGCACGCGAUAAACAACCAACCUUUCCUUAAUUUCUCGAUAGUUAAGGUACGACCGUUAACUAUUUCUCUAACCAAAAAACAACCCUAGGUACGACCGUAGGAUUUAAUUUCUAGAUUGCAUUAAUAAUUAGAAAGGCCCAAUUCUAACUAACAAACACGCUACGAGGGUUUGUUUAAGUUAGAUCAUAUGCUCUCCUGACAUAAACCCAAUUACGCCAGUUGCUACUGAGAUAAAGAUAACGAACAAUUACGGAUUCAAUUAUCCCUAUUUAGCAAAAUAGCCUAUGUGAAUAAUUAAAUAUUGCGCAUCUAUUCAAUCACUCACACGAGCUAUAGCAAUUAAAAGCAGGAAACAUAUAAAUACCAAUAAAUUAAGGAAGCAAUUAAAAUAAAUUAGAUCUCACAGUAAUUGUUGAACCAAAUCUUCAGUUGUCCCCUUGACUUGAAUUAAGAGGUUAGUUCUCCAUUAAUGGAGAACAACCAUGCGAAAGAGCUAAGAAAAGAAAACUAAAACUAUACUAAAAACCUAAACUAAAAAACUAUUCAAUCCCCCAACCUUCUGCACGUUUCUCCCUUUUUAAAGCCAAAAGAAAGUCUAAUGCUUUCCCCCUUUUCCGUGGUCCCCGCACGAAUUGAGAGUUAAAGUCCAAAAAGGAAACUCUUCCACAAGGUGGGGCCCAUCCGAAUUGCUUCUUGAUUUUAAGCCUCUGUACGUUCCUAAUGACUAAGGCUUCUUAUCUCGCUGGUCCCACCAAAAUUGAGAGUCCAAAUGCUCCAAAGAAGGUCCUGCGCCAUUCCUUGUAUCAUGUUUACUCUUGGUAGGACUCCUAGUCAGCAAAAAGGUAAAUGGAAACCCGGUCCUUCUUAGCAAUGUGGGCCAAGUCUGUGGAGUAUUUAGAAGUCUCCAUAUUCUCCAAAAAGUACCUCCUUUUUUGUAGUUUUCUGCUCUAUUCCCUGAAAUUGAGUCCAAUACCAAAUAUAAGUAAAUAUUAAUAAUUAAAACAAUAUUUGGCAAGGAUAAAGGGGAAAAUUAGCAAUAAAAUAACCAACAAUUAACACCCUAUCAGCAAAGCAAACAAAAUUGGGGUUGCAAGUACUGUUAGAUUCGGAGCUAUAUGAUGCUAUCCUUGUAUAAAGGAGGGGAAAUUGGAAAAAGGCCACUGACCAGAGGACUUUGGAUCACGAGGCGUGCCCACGCUUUACAGGACUUUUGCCCCUUAAAAAAAAAAGGAAAAAAAAAAAACCUGAAGAGACCUCAUGACCAGAGGACUAUGGGCUACAAGGCGUGCCCACGCCUUGCGAGCAGCCGCAAAAAAAAAAAACAAAAAAACAAAAAAAUUUGGGGCACUUGUACAGGGUGUACAGCAAAUGGAAACUGCCCUGCUUGUGAAAUUUCCCCGGUAAAGCACUGUGGUUAUGGGUGGGUUUCGGACAUUCUCUUGACACUUUACCCCUAUCUAUACCUUCUUAACUCGCCUUUCACUUGAGCCCCAUUACAACCCUAUUAAAGUCCCUUUGAUUUAUGUGUUUAGUUCACUUUUAAGUGGUGGAGAUGUGAUAAAUGUGCAAGCCUAUGGUAAUGGCAUUCCGUGAUGUUGAAUUGAGCGUUCCUAGUAUUCAUAUAUAUUCUUUGAAUUACAACAUGUCCGGUGUGUUCUACCUUGGUGAUAUUGUCAGGGACCCUAGAUGCUUGUGUUAGUAUAGACUAGACUACUACAUGACCUCUGCUCUCUUGGUUGUACUUCUGAGCUCCGAAAUGCUUGAGGCAAGCAUUGUCUAGGUGUGGGGGGAUUUGAUAGAGCCGUUAUUUGGCACGUUUUGCAUUGUCAUCUUGUUCUAAUUUUGGCUAUUCAUGGUGCUAAGAAAGGGAAUUUCACUCAUAUUUGAUAUUUGUGUGAAUUGUAGGUGGUUAGCAUUAAAAUGAUAUCGCGGGGUAAAUUUUCAGAAGACUUUUCAUUUCAGAGCGUGGCCAGCGCCUUAAAAGGAGGAUGAAACCGAAAGCCGGACUGCGGUCCACGUGAACCCGAAGCGUGGGAUCAGAACUCUGGAGACAAAGCUUUGCUCCAGGCCUUUGUUCCAGACGUCUUUUUCUUUUCUACGUCUCUUGUGCGGCGGAUAUAAAAAGCGAAAACAAGGAAGAUUCAAGGGGCAUCUAUUUUUGAGGCUUAGUUUUCUUUUCCUAGGUUUGUCAGCAGUCAGCCGCUUUUGACUGGGGGCUUUUGGCAUUCUUCAGCCGCAACUUAGACUAGUUUAGGAGUUCACCUUUUCAAUCUUUUGCUGUAGACGCCUUUGACGUUCGCUUUUGAUUUGCUACAAUUUUCCAUCGCUUUUAUCCUUUUUCUUGACUCUGCUCCAGGAGCGACGGAAUAUAAGGAAAUGAACCAAGGGAAUUUCCCAUUUGUUCCUUAGUUAAUUCACAUCGCUCCGCUCCUUGGAAUUAAUUGUUUGGAUGUUUGCGUGGAUGAAAUCAAUUAAAUCGCGUGAGCUUGGCAUGAUGAGGAGCAGCUAAUUUUCUCCUCUACCCAAAGGGUGACGUGAGGCGCGGUCCAUAAUAUCUGUGAGAUCUAAUCAAGCUUUCAUUAUUUCUUCCAAUUCGUUAUUAUUCGUGCGUUUUCUGAAUUAAUUGUUCAUGGGUAUUUGAUUAAUCGAAUAUCAACGGCCGGGUAUUUGAUUUAAUUUAAUAGCCUACUGCCACGUUAAUUAAAUAGAAUCCGUAAUUGUUCAUUUAGUUAACACCCCGUGGCAACCACCAUAAUUGGUUUUAUGAUGGGGAAACGCAGGAUCUAGCUUAAAUAAACCCUCUUAGCGUGUGUUAUUGGUUAGGGUUGGGUUCUUCUAGCUUUAAUGCAAUUGGGUAAUUAAAUUCCUAUGGUCGUACCUAGGGUUGUUAUCUGGUUAGGGAAGCAAUCAAUGGUCGUACCUUGACUGUCGAAAAGGUAAGGAAGAACUGGUUGUCAGAGCUUAUUGAUAACUAUAACCAACCUAGUGAUGAAUGGGUGAAAUAUCUUUGCAUCGAUGAUCAUUUAAUUGGACCGUGCCUGAGCAGUUGAUCCUUUGGGUGGAAUCUUAUUAAUUGCUAUUUUUAGUGAAUUGUGCUUUGUGAGUUAGUUCUGAAUUUAGUUCGCUUUAUUUUUUUUAUUUUACUUUUAUUUUAUUUAUUUAUCUCCCAUUGAAAAUCCCCCAAUUUUGUUCUACUAAUUUGGAAAGAAAUAAUUUCCUACCCGCUCCCUGUAGAAUCGACCCUACUUGCCAUUGUACGCGAAAUUAAUAUUUUUAUAGACAAAUCCGGUAUAUCGGAUUAAGCAAACUCUUCGGGAACAGGAUGAAUCAAGUAACCCAUUGCACACCUAGGGUCCCUGCUCCAGUAAUUGGAUUUGUUCUAUAAUUAUUUAAUUGAGGUGGUAAUUAGAACUUUUUAGUAAUUAUUAUUGCACAGGUUCGGCACCUGUCAAGAAUCCUGAUUUACGUACUUGACAUUGCAACCACAAUAAAUGAUAAAUGACAUGGACAAAGAAAGAGGCCAGUACAAACGCACUCAAAGCAAGCAAGUACUAAAGCCAUCAAAAGCCGGAACAAAAAAUUGAAUACACGCAACAUAAUAAGAAUAAAAUCGACAUUGACCAAGUUUGGUCUUUAAAAAAUCAUUCAUCAAAGAUAAAAUGAUCCCUCUUCACAACAAUACUCACCUGAAAGAUCCAAGUCUGGCAUUUGUGUAUGUGGCUUGUCUAAGCAACCCAGCACUCAAACCCUGCUCAGAAUUUCAGGAUGACAUGAAUAAGUGAUGCAUAAGUUCCCAAAAAAGUUCCUUGAUGGAAGCACAAAAGACAUGCGUAACAGUCCAGAAAAAAAAAAAGAGCAGCCACAUUUUGAACUGACAAAACAGAGAGUUUGGGGAAGAAUCAUUAGCAAGGAUCAAGCCAAAUAUUUACCCAAAAAAAAAAAUGAAAGCUCAAAAUGAAUCUUGUAUAACAUAUGAGAGCCUGUAAGCCUACUCAAUAGUGCCUAUGGACAAUGGAACAACAGCUCCAUACAGAAUGAAAGCGACUGCAUGUAUUUAAAAUCUCUUAACUAAUCCUAAUAAAACAAUUAUUCAUACUACUUUUGGAUUUGAGGAUUAAAGAGAGUGCAAUUCCAAACGAAGAAAAACUGUGUCUUCUUCAAUUUGUCUUUUUAAGAGACUGACACUGUCUAAAUUGAAAUUUAUUUUGAUUAUAACAUUUGCCCGUGUGGAUAUACUUUCCUAAUAUUAUUAGAAAGUUUGCUCCAGUAUUUUAUACGAUUUGACUUUUGGUAAUCUGAUAAUCCAAUGAAGCUUGUUCCUGUUUACAUGUCCAAUAAAUAAACAUGCUUGCCAUUCUCCUUAGUUUUACUGCUCUUUUUCUUUGUAAGAAUAGUCAAAUUAAUUGUUUCAAAUCUUAAAGAUAUGGAACAGCAGAGUGAGACGAUGCAGCAUGAACAAAGCAGAGGUUCUAUGUAUUCAUUUGUUACAACUGCUGUCUUCUUUUUCACCACAUGUGUGUUUUUUAUGGCUAGAGCCUAUUGUUGUAUAAGAAAUGUUCAGAAAAUGUACUACAUUUAUCUGCCAUAUGCGAAAUUAUGUACAAGAUCUUCAAAUUCCCAGGCUAUGGGCCUGAUGUGGAAAUUGCUAAAGUUAAUUGCUUUUUAAUAUUCAUUUGUAUGAGAAGUUUUAAAUUAAUAGCUUGUGUUUGCAGAAGUUUAUGUCGAAGAAAAAUCUUUCAGUUACCUUUAUAAUGAGGAUGACAUUGUUGUUCUUAAGGAGUAAGUCCUAACUUAUGGUCUUGAUUCUGAGCUGUUGAUCAUCUUCUGAAUUUAUUCGAAGGCUUGAUGAUUAUUUGUAAUUAUGCAGGCCUGAGACAUAUGCACAAAUUAAUGUUCCAAAGCACUUGUUUGGUGAAUCUCUUCCAUACCUCCAGGGUAAAAAUGUCACAUGUUUUAUUUAUUUAGUUCCUUUUUCCUGUUCUACAUUGCAGAUAUUGUAGAAAUUUGUGUGUGCCAAAGGAAUGUUUAAAUUUUGGAUGAAAUGGCAGCUAACUUAUUUGAUUGACAUGCUUAAUGAUUAGAAAAUACACUUCAUGGACCUCAUGGAAUGCAGAUGAUAUGAAAGUUAAGCUGCAACUUUACGAUGAGAAGCCGAUGUCUGUGUCAAUUCCUCCGAAAGUGACAUGUACUGUUGCUGAGGCACAAGUUCCAAUAAACGGGUCUACAGCAACUCCUCAAUAUGUUUAUCACUUUUUAGAUUGUAGGCCGAAAAGAACCUCAACAUGUAGUAUUCAUAUUUGUCCAGAACCUAACCAGGCAUAGUUUGUAUAGGUGCUCCUGCUCUAAUGCUCUUUACAUCUCAUCUAUCUUGUUCAGAUUAAGUUGCUAUGCAAUAUCUCUGGUCCUCCUUUGGUUGUCAUUUUUCUGUCAUUGCAUUGCAACUUAAAUAGCUUGCAGCUGUGUCUUCAAGUGGUUGUGCUUGCUUGAUACUUGUAAGGAUUUUGUCUCAUCUGUAAGACUUCUGAAUGCUUUGACACAAAAUCUAGUAUCCCUCAAGAAUUUUAGUUUACCUCAAGUUUUUCGUGUUUGAAGUUGGUGUACAUAUUUAAACAAAUGUAUAGCUCUUGCAUAGUUUAAAAUUUCUCACACAAUUUUUCAGCAAAAGCAAAAUUUUGCUGGUGUUUCUUUGCAUUUCUGUACUUCAGCAAAAUUUUCUGUUGCAUGAAUAUGCUCCCGUCCAUAGUGUGUUCAUGUUUGUCGGACUACAAUUGAUCUUCCAGUGGUUUAAUGCCAGCAUGUUUUGUAUCAGUAAAGACGACUUCUAAGAGUGUGAGGUAUCAAUAUCUUUGGAUUUCUCUUAAAUGCUAAAAUUAGGAAAUGAAAAGGGCGUAAGUUGAGAACUGGAAAAGAAAUUUCUACUGUAUAGUCUGGUAAAGGCUUUGCAUAAUUGGAAAGGGUUCCUUCUUGUUAAGACCAUGUAUUACUUAUAGGAGAUGGCCGGUUGGUUUACAUGCAAUUGGUAUGUUUAUUAUUUAUGAAACUAAAUUUGUGAUUUUGUUGCUGAGAGGGUACGGCGCUGGUAUGUUGAAUCAGCAAAAUCAGUAACACAUGAGAGCAAGAGAUACAGUCAGGGAGAGUCUCUUUUGUUGAAUUGGUUGCAGUGACUAAUAUGUCCUCUGAAUAUGAAAUGACUUUGGUGGAUAUAAAUCUUCUUUUAAGUACUACCAAAGGAAUGAAAGUUUUAGACCAACAACUAAGUCUUUGGCACUAUGAGAUUUGUUCAGAAAGUCAAGCUUGCUAAUCUCCUAGUUCUGCUUCUUCCUUCUCUAAUUCUGAGUUCCUAGUUUCUCAUAAUUUUUCACUUUUACAGGUAUAAGAAGGUUAAGCUGGACAAUGGUCUCACAGUUCAGGUGAGUUGAUCGUGUUCUCACCUAUGAUUCAUGAUUCUUUUCUAGACAUUAUUACUCUGUAGCCGCUACCAGAUGUGAUAAAUUGCCAUUAUGUUAACCUAGCAAACGUGAUGCAGAACCAACAAUAAACAAAUUUGUCUUGUGAUGUUUAAAUGGAUGGAUGCACUGUUGUAAAUUGCAAUUUGAGACCGAUUUUCCUGUUAAACAAUUUCUGAAUGAGAUUACUGGACCAGAAACCGGGGAAACCAUGUGAAAGAAUGAGGUGAAGAAAUGUGUUGACAAGUAAUAAUCUGUGGAUCUUGGCUUUUUACUUGUGAGUGACUACAUUCGUGUGAAUGUGAUGGACACCACAUUCGUCAUGACUUCGGCCCAAUAAUGGAACCAAGCAAGCAUUUUGGACAAUGUUGAAAAAUUGAUGGAAAGUAAUUGAAGUUGGUAUUUAGAGCUUUUCUUAUAGAUUGCAUCCUUAAAAAGGUAUAGUGAAGGUUUGCAUAUAAUCAUGUCCACUAUAGAUGGUCCCUUUUUUGGUUUUGGGGAGGAGGUAACAAGUGAGAGAAAAUAUGUAGAAUACUUGCUUAGAAUGAAAUAUUUGGAACGUAAUUGUGCUAUUGUUUUACUGGAGUGUUCUGCCUAAAAGACGAAAUAUCCUAGAGAGACUUGUGUUUGGCAAGGAAGAGUUUAGUCUCCUCAAAUUUAUUUAUGUUUAAACCUGAUUGACAAUACCUGUGAAAAGAAGAGAGAAAGGAUGUACUCGUGAAAGAAACUUCUGGGGUCGUCCUUAGGAUCCUAGGAUUACAUUUGGUAAGGAACUACUGAGAUAGUCAUAGCUAAAACAGUUAUAGUAGAAAAGGGGUGGGCAAGAACUCUGGGGCCAAGAUCUUGGAAACUCUAUGCUCUUUUGGAGGAGAUGUGAAGGCAAAAAGCCGCCCUAGCAAAAGGAAAAGUACAGAGUUGCUUCAAGCAGUUCCUGUUUUUUUUCCUCUGCAUUUUUACUCAGUUAUCGCAUGCUUAUUGCAUUGUUUGUUUUGGUAAUACUGACACUUGGUGUUGGUUUACUUGGAGUUUUGCCUAAUACAUGUAAUUGGGCUGAUUUAUAAGAAGAAUCUUGUCCGUGACUUGGCAUAUUCUAGGGAUUGGUGAAGGGGAAGCAUUGUAUUAUUUUCUUAGUGUUCUACACAAAUAAAUUUGACAAGGAUUUCCGUAAUUGUUCAUAUUUUUUAUGUUGCCACUUGCAACCCAGAAUUGUUUUGAUAAAACUUAGCAUGUGGUGGCACUGUCAAAGUAAAUGAAUAGAUUGUUUUCUUACUCUUUUUAUGUACCCCCGUUUCUGUAGGUACCAUCUUACGUGUUAGCUGGGAGAAGAUAAUUAUCAAUACUGCCGAUAAUUCUUUCAUAAGCAGGUGAGUGUAAUGUGUGAUUCUUUUCCAUGAGAAAUUGAAACAUACGUCAUUCGCUACAUUUCCUGGUCGUCUUGGCAUCCCAAUACAUGGUUUUAGGAAUUUCUUAUUUCCUGUUAAGCUUAGUGCACGUUGACAUCUCUAUUCUUGUCACCUUUUGGUAAAUACCUAAUAGAUUGGGUUCAAUUCAGAUGCUUUCCAACUCAAGCUGCCUCAUUGGUUUCAUUUUUCCUGCUUUUUGUGGCUAUAUGUUAAUCCAUUCUAUUUCAGGAUCUUAAUAUCGUGUGGUGUCUUUUAUUUUGUGCAUUACAGAAUUUUGACUUUGCAAAUAUCCAAAAUGUACGUCUGACAGCACAUUUUCGUGUUGUUUCGCAGGGCUUAAUCUGGGCCCUUUUGAAUGCUCUGGAGUUUAUCGUUCAGGAUGUACCUUUUCUGCAGACACUCAUUAUAUAGGAUUAGUCCAAAUUUUGUCACUAUAGGUUAUGAAUGGGUUGAUGAGAAACAAGUGUUCAUUUCGGGGUUACUGCAUAUGCAAUAUUUCUUUUCAGUGAGAAUGUUUUACAUUUUGCAUAUUUAUGAGAAUCCCACAUUUUGCAUAUAUUUGCCCAGUGGUUUUGGGAAAAGAAUUCAGCAGUGACAAGAAUAGAAAAGGAAGCAUCUACUUGUAAUGUAACCCAUCUACCAAGGCCUAAGGGUAGCUGCAAAAUUGGACAGGCCAUUCAGGACAGGGACAACCAUGCCCCAUGGACUACCAUCUUCAAUGUGCUGCUCUACUGCAAAUAACAAUUGCAGAUGAUAAACGAGGUCUUAAAUGUGGCAGAUGAUAUAAAUCCACAACCAACCUCUUCAGACAGUUAAUUUCCUUCCAUCAUUCACAGACUAUUUCAGGGGGAAAAAAGAAUAAAGUACAUGAUAGGCCACAUCAUCUGAGACCAGAGAAGCUCUUAACUCCAUUAGCAAAACAGUACUUUAAAGUUAAAAAAAGAGAUGAAGACCAAGCUUGUAGAAGACUAGGAAACAUUCAGCAUUAUCCCAUUUCUCCUCUUCAAGAGCUCAAAGGUUUUAAGAUCGGAUUGGGAGAUUCCAGGACACCCCCGUGUCGAAAAAAAAAAUGCAUGUAUAGUAUAGUGCAGCAUUUCGACAUACAUAUACUUUAUUUUGCCAUCUUUUAGAUGAUGUUGUUGACGGUAUGAUGGUGUUGACGGUACAUGCAUGUGCCGCAGAUUUGACAAACCUCGCUAAUGUUGCAUUUUUUUUUAGUAAAACAUAUUACUUGACCUCUGAAAGAGAAGGUCGCGGAAAGCCUGUUAUCUUUUGGCUUUAGAUGGAAAUAUGGUCCUAUACUAUACAAUGGGAAUAAGCCAGCAAUAAUAUCGAGUAAUCCCCAUUUUAUUUUAUGAAGAAGAAUGGGAUCCCACUAGACAAAAUCUUAUCCAAAUAAAGAAGUUUGUAUCCGUGGAAAUAGACAUUCUGCAUGAACACAAUAAUAUAUAGCUCAAGAUGGCAUUAGUACAGCAAGUUUUAGUUUACACUAAAUUUUCCGGUGAAAUUGUUCAGUUUUUUAUUUAACUUCCUUACAAAGCAGGAUAAAAUAAUUACCAGUUGGACUAAUCUAAAGCUACCAUACUACUAGCAAACAUGCCAAGUGUUUCUGUCGUCUCCUAAUCUACAAAGCAGGACAAAAUAAUUGCCGUUGUCUCCUAAUCUCCAUCCCAUCAAGCGUAGCACCUUUGAGUUUUGGCAAGGAAUAAUCCAAAGUUGGAAGAUUCAAGUCCAGAUCGAAGCGGCCGGUUAACUUUGAGAUCAACUAUGGUGUUGGAAGAGAAUAUUCUUAUUCUUUGGGGAGAAAAACGGUUACCAACUGCGCCCAUGAGAGAAAUGUCAAGCUUCUGGACUCCACAUUCAAGUCCUGCAAUUAUCAACGACUCAAUUUCCAACCCAAACACUCCAAGAAAGAGAGAAGCGUCGAGUCGAGAAUUCCCCAUUUCUGACUCUGAGGAGAAUAACUCUCAGGCCAAAGUUUAUAAACUUGGUGAAGCGCACAUGUUCAAGAGAAGCGUCGGAGUACUCUUGGUCACAUUCAUCGUGAAACGCGGGUAAAGAUCCCCGGUACUGAAGGUCGAUAUUAGGAACUGAAGCAAAAAUGUACCGCCAUCUGGUGGAUAGAACUGAGGUGGCCGCUAAUUUUGUGGGGCGAUAUGACAAAAUGUGGCAGAGAACAGCAUCAGGAAGACCACUAAUCCUAUCAACCAUUCUUGAUUGUCUUCGGACUCUCAACCAACUCUCUUAUACAGACAAUAAUGUGGGAACUGAGUGAAAUGCCUUUGAUGAAUUAGCCGGUUGCGUUGAGUUUAGUUGAGAACUGAGAUGCCAAUCAUAAAUGCUACUACUACUAUUUUUCUUCCAAAAUCUUUACUAGAUCUCUUGGAAUCCCUUUAUCUUCCAUCUGAGGAAAUGGAGAUUUGCUUCGUUAAUAGUAAUUUACCUGAUGCAUGGCACACUUAAUUAGCCUUUCGGUUUUUCCCAGGAUUACAGAUGCAUGCGUCUCUAGAAUUGUACUUUAACAACAACAGUUACGUUGUAGACUUGUAGUACUAAUUAUAGACGUGGAGAAGCCUUAGAAAAGGAGAAAUCUACUGAGACACGAAAAAGAUAAAGAACAGAAUAUCUUCGUCAAAGAAAAAGAAAAAGAAAAAAGAACACAGAAUGUCACCCCGAGCUACCAAUUCCCUCAAUAAGCAAUUUCUUGGUGAUUAACAAAAAUGGAUUGAAAAGCUCUGCGUUAAUAUUUAGACUAAUUGUUUAAAACUUAAGGGUUUAAUCAGAACAACAGCAGUGGCAAAAGUCACAAUCACAACGUCCUCAGCAACACCCAGUGUCACAACAGUAACCAGUACCAAAACAGUCAUAACCAAAACAGCAACUGCAAUCACAAAUACAAUCACAUCCCUGUCCACAGCAGCCACCACCACCGGCUUUGUCAGUUUCCUGCUGCUUCUUGUUCUUGGUCUUUCGCCCCAUGAAUGGACAACAUGGAAAGUGAUACAGCAGUUAUUUGGCACAUUUUGCAUUGUCAUCUUGUUCUAAUUUUGGCUAUUCAUGGUGCUAAGAAAGGAAAUUUCACUCAUAUUUGAUAUUUGUGUGAAUUGUAGGUGGUUAGCAUUAAAAAUGAUAUCUUGAGGUGAAUUUCCAGAAGACUUCUCAUUUUAGGGCGUGGCCACGCCUUAGAAGGUGGACGAAACCGAAAGACGGACCAUGAUCCAUGUGAACCCGAAGCACGGGAUUGGAACCUUGAAACAAAAGUUGUGGGCCUCCUAACCCUUUGAAGACUACUGGCGGCUACAAAAGGCGAAAGAGACCAAAAGAAAAGGGAUUCACAUUUUUAAAUUAGGAAUUAGAUAGCUUUAGUUUUCUUUUUCCCUAGCCGUCAGACGUUGUAGACUCUGCUUUUGCUUUUUGGCUUUCACGUUUUUUAUUCUUUUGCUUUGGCUUUGGCUCUGUACAAUUUUCGUUGGCCUUUGCGUUGUACUUCGCUUCAGUACGAACAUUAACGCAGAGACAAGGAAGACGUUUUCUUUUCUUUCUUUCGUCAUUACUCCAUCGUUCCAAUUUCGCUGAUGACUGUGCGGAUGAAAUUAACCAACCCACGCAAAAUUGACACGAUGAGGAGCGGCUAAUUUAGUCCUCUACCCAAAGGUCGACGCGAGGGCGCGGUCCAUAAAAUCUGUGAGAUCUAAUCGAAUCUUCAUUAUUUCUUCCAAGUUAUUGCUAUUCGUGCGUUUCCUGAAUUAAUUGUUCAUGGUAUUUGAUUAAUUGAAUAUCAACGGUCGGGUAUUUGAUUUAAUUUAAUAGCCUACUGCCACGUUAAUUAAAUAGAAUCCGUAAUUGUUCAUUUAGUUGACACCCCGUGGCGACCACCAUAAUUGGCUUUAUGAUGGGAAAAUGCAAGAUCAAAUUUAAAUAAACACUCUUAGCGUGUUUAUUGGUUAGGGUUGGGUUCUUCUAGCUUUAAUGCAAUUGGAUAAUUAAAUUCCUACGGUCGUACCUAGGGUUGUUAUCUGGUUAGGGAAGCAGUCAAUGGUCGUACCUUGACUGUCGAAAAGGUAAGGAAGAACUGGUUGUCAGAGCUUAUUGAUAACUAUAACCAACCUAGUGACGAAUGGAUGAAAUAUCUGUGCAUCGAUGAUCAUUUAAUUGGACCGUGUCUGAACAGUUGAUCAUUUGGGUAGAACUUUUAUUAAUUGCUAUUUUUAGUAAAUUGUGCUUUGUGAGUUAGUUUUGAAUUUUGUUUGUUUUAUUUUUAUUUUUAUUUUCCUCCCAUCAAAAACCCCACAUACUCUGAACUCUAGAAGAAACGAAUUAUCCCCAGUCCCUGUGGAUUCGACCCUACUCACCGCUAUAUACAAAAAUCUGUAUUUUUCUCGAGUAGGUAUUUAUUAUUGUACAGGUUCGGCACCUGUCAAUUUUGGCGCCGCUGCCGGGGACUGGUGCCUGAUUAAUUUGUUUCUUUUUGAGUUCAUUUUUUUUAUUUUUCUCUUUUUUUUUUUUGUAUAUAUUUUAUGGCUGCUAACAUUCCGUAUUUUGGUGAUAGACUGGAUUUUAAUUUUACAAGGGGUUAUGAGACUCAUACUUUUUCUAAUGAUCAAUGGGCUGUUGCAAAUUGUGGAGCUUAUUUUGCUUCGAAUUAUUCACCCAACAUAUGCCCUGCAUUUCAAGAUGGUCGAAGUACUCCAAUCGAUACUUUUGGAGAUUUUCCACCUCAAUAUCAAACGUGGUAUGACCCUUAUUCAAACGGGUAUGAGCAAGGAUGGUGGGAUGAUUCCACUUUUAAUUAUGAACAAAGGCCAAUAGAUUUUCAACAGCUAGAGUCUCAAGGACCGUCAUCCAUGUCAGGUAUGUCUCUUGAAGAAAUAGUUGAAUUAAUAGCUACUAACACAUAUCAAAUUCAACAGGAGACAUAUCAAAUUCAACAGGAGACACAUCAAAUUCAACGGGAGACACGUCAAUUUCAACAGGAGACAACAGGUUGAUUAAAGAGAUGGAAGAUGGAAGGCGUGAAUCGGCAUCUACAAUGAGCAAAUUGAUUUCUCCAUUUUGUGAAGAAUUGCCCUCAGCGAUUAUUAUCGACCAUGAAGAAGAUGAGAGUAUAAUUAUCCUGACAAAUGACAUGGAACUGCAAGAGUCUCAUGAAGAAAAAUCUAAAGAUGCAGUUGAAAAGGGAAUUCAAAUACAAGAAAAGGAACCCCAAUAUCAAAUUGUUCAAGUGGAUGAAUCCAGUGAACAAUCUCCAAAUGCGGUGACACCUCCCCCAUUCCUUAAUCAAUAUUCUCCUGACUCUUAUUCUUUAAUUCCUGUUAGUGAGAUUGAUUUUAUUAUAUCAGAAAAUUUUGAGUUUCAUGACAGGAAUGAGUUAAGAGUCACGAUGGCAAAAUAUCUCGAACCAAUAAGUGCUCGUGAUGGAGGAAUGAGUGAAGAUUUAAGGUCAUCACUUAUUUGUUUGGCGCCAACUACUAAUCCAUGGAAGACCGUAGCUCGUGGAGUCAAGAAUUACUCUAUCUACGAGGGCUAUCAGGAUUACAUAGGAGAUGAAGCACUGAAACGAGCUACACGAUUUUAUCCUCCGUGAAUAAACAUGACGAUGUCUAGCCAAAGACAUUAAAGAAAGGCGCUGCUUGGGAGGCAACCCAAGGAUUCUUUUGUUUUAGUUUUCUUAUAUUUUUGGAAUUUUUAUUAAGUGUUAGUGUCAUUUAGUGGAUUGUUGUUUUGUGGCAGGAAGCUGGCAGUUGGACAUACCACUCUAGUUGAUCAUGCCUAAGGAAUGAAGCUUUGGAAUUGAUGGUCAGAAGACUCUAGCUUCCAAGGCAUGCCCACGCCUUCCAACCCUUCCGAAAACGAAACUUCAGUCUUCUCCUUCCUGUUGGUGUUGCGUCCAUCGCCGCCACUCCACAUUGUGCACGCAGCCGUCUCCCCUCCUCCGCCUUAGUGUCUCACUUUCCCUCCCCAGUGGUCAGGGAAGUUUCUUUUCUUUUCUCCUAAUACUUCAUUUGUCUUUUCUACAUUGAGGACAAUGUAGGUUUUAGGCGUGGGGAGUGGCUUCCAUUAUUUCUUUUUGCUUUGUUACUCAAAAAAAAAUGAAAAAAAAAUGAAACAAAUGGAAAAAAUGAAAAGAAAACAUUGUAGUUAGUCGGCUUUUUGUUUAUUUCUAUGCUUGUUAAUAUUGGAGCAUGUUGCUGUGAUAAAUGACACAAUCAAGAUGCGUGGUAUGUGGGUAAAUAUACUAGCUAUGCAUUUCGUUUUCCCUUGGCAGUGUUGUUGAGUGUUGAAUACGCUGGACUUGACCCAUUUUUGAAACUUUUGGGAGCUUUUGAGCCUUAUAUGAGCACAUUAUUCUUGUUUGCUCUAUUUUUGUUUGAUUGAGUGGGUAUCACACAUGGUAUUGGCAUUCUAGAACUUGCUAAUUUAUACAUGUCGAGACCACAUUUUUUUGAAUUGGAUGCAUUUGAAAUGAUAAGGGCAUUUAGGAUUUAAUCCUCUUUAGCUAUCUAAAAACCAAGCCCUCAUCUUAUCUCCAAUAGUGAACCAAUUUGAGCUUUUAUCUCUCUCUUUGUUUGUUAGCCGUAUUGGAUAAUCCAUGACCCUUUUUAGACUCUUUUGUCCAACCUUGUGUCAUUAAGCGAUGUCUGAAAUUCAUUACUUGUGCAAGGUAAAUAAAUCUGUGGUGGCAAGUGUUGUAAAAAAGAUGCUGGAUGGUGCUGUUUCUGUAUAUCUGAGAUCGAAAGAAAAGCCAAGAAAAAAAAGAAAGAAAGAAAAGAAGGAAAAAAAAAGGAGAGAAAUCGGCAAAAAGCUGGUGAGCAGAAGACUCUGUCUUCCAGGGCGUGCCCACGCCUUGCUAGACGUCCUCUCCAAAAAAAAAAAAAAAAAAAAGGAGAAGGAAAAAGAGGAACGAGUUUCGACACUUGCACAAUGAAAACAGCAAAUGGAAACGCCCUACUUGAGAACCUACCCCGAUAAAGCAUUGUGGUUAUGUAGUGGAUAUCGGACAUUCUCUUGACACAUACACCCUAUUUUUACCUUCUUAUCCCGCCUUUUACCUAAAUCUCAUUACAACCCUAUUAAAGUCCCUUUGAUUUGUGUAUUUAGUUCACUUUCGAGUGGUGGAGAUGUGAUAAAUGUGCAAACUUAUAGUAAUGUCAUUCCAUGAUGUUGAUUUGAGCGUUUCUAGUAUUCAUACACUUUCUUGGAGGUAACGAGUAUUACUGGUCAUAUUCUUUUUGGACUCCUACCUAUCCAGUAUGUUCUAAUCUUGGUGACAUUGUCAGGGACCUUAGAUGCUUGUGUUAGUAUAGACAACUCCAUAACCUCUGCUCUCUUGGUUGUACUUCUGAGCUCCGAAAUGCUUGAGGGCAAGCAUUGUCUAGGUGUGGGCGGAUUUGAUAGAGCAGUUAUUUGGCACAUUUUGCAUUGGCGUCUUGUUCUAAUUUUGGCUAUUCAUGGUGCUAAGAAAGGAAAUUUCACUCAUAUUUGAUAUUUGUGUGAAUUGUAGGUGGUUAGCAUUAAAAAUGAUAUCUUGAGGUGAAUUUCCAGAAGACUUCUCAUUUCAGGGCGUGGCCACGCCUUAGAAGGUGGACGAAACCGAAAGACGGACCAUGGUCCAUGUGAACCCGAAGCACGGGAUUGGAACCUUGAAACAAAAGUUGUGGGCCUCCUAACCCUUUGAAGACUACCGGCAGCUACAAAAGGCGAAAGAGACCAAAAGAAAAGGGGAUUCACGUUUUUAAAUUAGGAAUUAGAUAGCUUUAGUUUUCUUUUUCCCUAGCCGUCAGACGUUGUAGACUCUGCUUUUGCUUUUUGGCUUUCACGUUUUUUAUUCUUUUGCUUUGGCUUUGGCUCUGUACAAUUUUCGUUGGCCUUUGCAUUGUACUUCGGCUUCAGUACGAACAUUAACGCAGAGACAAGGAAGACGUUUUCUUUUCUUUCUUUCGUCAUUACUCCAUCGUUCCAAUUUCGCUGAUGACUGUGCGGAUGAAAUCAACCAACCCACGCAAAAUUGACACGAUGAGGAGCGGCUAAUUUAGUCCUCUACCCAAAGGUCGACGCGAGGGCGCGGUCCAUAAAAUCUGUGAGAUCUAAUCGAAUCUUCAUUAUUUCUUCCAAGUUAUUGCUAUUCGUGCGUUUCCUGAAUUAAUUGUUCAUGGGUAUUUGAUUAAUUGAAUAUCAACGGCCGGGUAUUUGAUUUAAUUUAAUAGCCUACUGCCACGUUAAUUAAAUAGAAUCCGUAAUUGUUCAUUUAGUUGACACCCGUGGCGACCACCAUAAUUGGCUUUAUGAUGGGGAAAUGCAAGAUCUAAUUUAAAUAAACACUUUUAGCGUGUUUAUUGGUUAGGGUUGGGUUCUUCUAGCUUUAAUGUAAUUGGAUAAUUAAAUUCCUACGGUCGUACCUAGGGUUGUUAUCUGGUUAGGGAAGCAGUCAAUGGUCGUACCUUGACUGUCGAAAAGGUAAGGAAGAACUGGUUGUCAGAGCUUAUUGAUAACUAUAACCAACCUAGUGACGAAUGGAUGAAAUAUCUGUGCAUCGAUGAUCAUUUAAUUGGACCGUGUCUGAACAGUUGAUCAUUUGGGUAGAACUUUUAUUAAUUGCUAUUUUUAGUAAAUUGUGCUUUGUGAGUUAGUUUUGAAUUUUGUUUGUUUUAUUUUUAUUUUUAUUUUCCUCCCAUCAAAAACCCCACAUACUCUGAACUCUAGAAGAAACGAAUUAUCCCCAGUCCCUGUGGAUUCGACCCUACUCACCGUUAUAUACAAAAAUCUGUAUUUUUCUCGAGUAGGUAUUUAUUAUUGCACAGGUUCGGCACCUGUCAGAAAGCAUAAGCAUGACACCGUCUUCUUCUUCUUGUUGACUCUCUAUGACAAUGUUAGAACAAAGCCCAGAUUUUUUUUUUCUUCUUAAGGAAUCAUCAAUUUUGUACUUACAUAACCUUGUAGUACCGUUUAUAUAACACUUUCUCCUGUAAAAUAAUUUCCUAUGUUAGUGUAAUAUUAGCAUCAAUUAGGAUCACAAAUUAAGAUAUUAUCUGGUAUUAUUGGAUAUCGUUGUAAGAAUUCUUAAGAUAUUAUCUGGUAUUAUUGGAUUAUCUGUAAGAAUUCACCUCAAAAUUUUAAUUAACUGCUUCUCAUUGGAUAUCGUUGUUCUUCACCAUCUUAUUUUAUCCACAUUUGUCCCUCACUCUUUUUCUCUAUAUAUAUAUAUAUAUAUAUAUAUAUAUAUCUGUUUCUCUAUUUCUUAUGGUGAAUAUUACUUUCUCUUUCAAUUUGUAAACUAAUUCUUGUCAUUAACAAAUUAGAGUUACAAGCAAAUUGAAAGACAAUAAAAUUAUGGAUUUCAUCUGCUUUUCUGAAUCAUCAAAAGGAUUAAUGAGCAAGGUAAAAUUCACUACUACAUGUGAACUUGCUGACUGUUUGCCCACAAAAUUCACUAACAUUGCAAGCGUAAACAUUCAGCUUCAAUGGGUAUGUUCUUAUAUUUUUGUCAUAGAUAUUUCCAAACAACAUUAAAACCAAUGAAAUAGCAAUUUGGGGAAAACGUUACAAUUUUUGUUUUUACCGCUGGUAUUUAAUAGAUGGAUAUGUUCUUAAUAUUCACUGUUAUCUCUCUGUAAGACUCCGCAUUAUGAUUGCCAUUAAAUUAGAUCAAUGUCGAUCAAGUUGAAAUUGUUUGCAGAGGAACUAGGCUGCUACUUUUCUGUUUUGUGAAUUGGAUUGAUAAUAUUAUCUCGUUGUAGGCCACAAGUGUCAGUGAAGCAGCAAGCAGUGAUAGUGCCGAAACAUUGUGAAAGGCUCAAAAGUGUGCUUAAGGCAGAGUCAGCCUGGAACCUCUAGAGCAUCUUAUUGCACUUUUCGCAUUCUCCAACUGCAACAUCAGGCUGUGGUUUCCCAUCAUUUUUGAAGAAAGAUGAGGAGGUAUGUGGGUUGGAAAUGACUCCACCCAACUUACUCGAAGUACAGGGGAAUUGGUCCAAGUUUGUUUAAGUCAUGUAAUUGGGCCUAAAUGUAGGGUGGUAUCUGCACUAGUAAGUGUUCUUUAUGGCUUAAUCGAUGGAAUUUAGCUUAAUUUUUGCUCUUUAGGAUUUUGAGUGAUAAAUUGUUGCAUUAGUCACCAGACCAAACCUUUCUAUGGCUCAUGUUUCUACACAAUGUCAUAACUGAAGCAGAACUGUGAUGUAAUAUUGUUAUUUUUUUUUCCAGAAUUUGUUUAGGAAGUAGAGUACAUGCUUUUUGGACAAAGAACACCAAGGUUCCCAUAUUGUUCUUAUGAGAAUGUCAAGAGGGAGGAGUUAUUUUCGCUUAUCAGUCAGGUUUUGAAGAUGGAAGGUAGUUAUCUGUGAGUUUGCCCACCAAAAUGCCAUAAAUUGCUCAGAAUGUGGAAAUGAAGGUAAAAAAUGCUGACUGCAUGUCUGUUGGCCUAUUUCAAUGGCUUUUUUUUUAUAUAUCUAUUUUCUGGAAGUAUUUAACAAAAUAAAUCAAAUAUUGAACCUUUUCUCCUUGUAGCAUGCUGAAAACAGAGUGGCUUGUGACAGGCUUGUAGAAAGUACUGGAGAGCUAUCAACGUGCAAGACUUGCUUGAAGAAAACUGGACUUACUGAUACUUAGUUCCAGAGGUGAGAAGAUUUGAUGGAAAGAAGUUAGACAUUGUAGACAACAUUGACGAUCAUUUGGACGACAUAAAUGAAGCAUGUGAUUGCAGUGUCAAUCAUUCAUUUGGGUGGAAACAGUUAAAGGAUUUGGUGCAAGAACCUCAUUUAAAGGGACUCAUGGUACAACUGUGCCAACAGUUAGUCAUUCCAGGCAUCAAGCCCAGCAUUGAAUUUGUUUUAGUAAAAUGAAUACCUUCGUGGUUCUUAACUAACUUAAUUAUUUUGACAUGUCUACUUCAAGAUAAAUAGUCACAAUCCAAAAAAUUGCAGUUUGAAUGACCAAUAAACAGGUUUUGUUAUUGUAGCAUUCUAUUUGUUAUGUUUUAGCUAAGAAAGACUAGCAAACCUAAAAAUAAAUUAUAAUUAUUAAGAAACUCCCUUGGAAUAUGUAACAUUUCAGAAGACUAAUGACGGUGGGGGAUCAAUGAUAAAUGUUUCACAUGAAGUUCUCCAAUAUGGUUUCACCUAAUUGGAGGUACUCUGCCUCAAGCAUCUGCUUGUUAGGCUAGAUGAGCAUGUUUCAGCACGCUCAUUCAAUGGAAGGUGAUAAGUAACUCUUAAGAAUUGAAGAAGAAGGAAAUUACUGACCAAUACUGAAAGGAUAUUGACAUCCAUUUCCUGCUUCUUUCUGAUAAUAGUUAUCCAUUUUUUAUUUUUGUUUGGCCCAAAGAGUUUAGUCUGUUGGGUGAAAUCAGUCGGCCAAAAGAAGUUAAUCAGAGAAUUUAUGAAUGCUAGUACAUAAAUAUAAAUUCUGUAUUCUUUCUUCUGAUUAUUUUGCCAAACUAGCUAGUUUGGGUUAUCAUUUUAGAAAGAGAGGAAAGAUUAUCAUCUUACUCCUCCUUUAACUUUUAGUUAAACAUUUUGCUUUGAUCAUGACUUUCUUUUCAGAAAGAAUCACAAGGACAAUUUAUGCAAAUUUGAUUGACUUUUGCUACCAUUACUUUUUUUUUUCGCUUUUUAGCCCUUCAUUUUUGGUUGUCUAGUAGACGGGUGAUUUUUCCAUUCCAACUUGCAUAAGGACUUUUUUGGCUCGUGGUAAAAUAUUUAUAGAAAUAUCCAUUUGAGCAUUUUCAAGAAAUGUCUUAUGGGCUAUGUUGUAACAUGUAGGAAGCAGUGGCUUCCAAGCAAAAAUGUAAUGGAUGGUGAUGUGGUAGGCAAUUGCUCACUUAAGGAGUGAUGAUCAGUCUUCUAGAAAGCAAUGUGCGACGGAGUAAAUGAAGAGGUAUGUAGUCUCAGUGGAUUAAAGGUCUACUACUUUGUGUUUUUGAUGUCUUAAUCGAUGCAUUUUUGCUGUUUAGGAAUUUUUGUAAUACAUUCUUCAUAAGUAUUGAAGGUUUGACAUGCCUAAUUUUACCCUUAAUAUUACUGCAAUGUAACAUGUGAUGAUUUUUUUUUUCCUGAAUCUGUUUGGGAAGCAGACUUCAUCUUUCCGCUACUAGUUGCUUAUAGAGAGAUCUUUGCUUAUUGUGAACUGUUAAUCGGAUAUCUAUGUCAAUAUUUAAGGCAAUCAGUGUCUAACAGGCUAUGUUGGAACACGUACAAUGCAACAGUUUCCGAGCUGUAGUGUAUGAAUGUAGUUUCGAUUGAUUAAAAGCUUGCUUCUCUUGAAGUUGGCAUGUCUUUCACAUACACAUGGAAGUGCCUGAGAAGUUUUCAUGUAUUUUGCAGGUUUCUUCUAAUUUGAUUUGCUUCAGACAGAGGAAAGCAUAUCAAGGAACCAAUUUGCCGCUGAGACUAGUAGCCAAUUUGGUUGAUCUCGGUUCCAUUCCAUUAUAAGCUCUCUGGAUUCCUCUACUUGUCAAUCGCAUGAACAUAGAUCUCAUAUCAUUGGAAGCAUUGAAAGUGAGAGGAUGAGAAGGCAAGAACAUUGGAAGCUAGUUGCUGGAUUGUAGGCGUGAAAAAGUCCUUCAAUUCACAUUUCUAUUAUUUGUUGCUAUACUAAAGUUUUGCUCUAUAGUACCGUAUCCCAAAACUUCAGUUUAACUAUAUUAAAAGUGUCGUACACAUGGCUGGCUAGAGUGCAUGUAUUACUUUAGCUUGGGUUACCGAGAGAAAGAACAUUGCAACAGAUACUUGAGAAAAUGAAAAGAGCUUGUCCCUUUAUUUGUAAGGGGUAGGCAGGAUGUGGGGAGUGGUUGGGAGGGUGAAAAAUAAUUUUAAAAAAGUGAAAAUGAAUAAGAAAAUAAAAAGCUUUUGUGGAUAAACUAUACUACCUAUAUUAUACUACUCUAACUAAUAAACUAAGGAAAUUCUAUUGAAGAUUACAUUUUUUGUAGAGUUUCUCUAACCUUUCAAAGUUGUAAAAACAUUUCCAAAGGAUACUAUUUAUAGACGAAUUCAAGGUCAAAAAGUGUUGUUAAAGUCGAUGUGAAAUGUUCCUUGAAAUUCCCAAAUAAUGUUCCCACAAGUUCCUUGCAUCUCUUUUAUAGCUGUGGCCGAAAUUCUUAUCUACCAUAGAGUUGGAAAGUAGUGUGAAACUAGAAGAAGUUGCAGAGCAAGUUGUAGAAAACAGAAGAGAAUACAUAACCUCGGGAAUACACGACUUACGGUCACGUAUUCACAGCUCGCAUUUUCACUUCUGUGUAUUUAGUACCAAUUCAACUGAUUUUUUAUAAUGAUAGAGGCCGAACUAGCUCUUGUAGAAAAUAUAACAGUUGUAGCCCUUCGAGUUAGUUUUCCAAUACCUCAAGAAUCAUCCAAUAUGGAGUUCUGUGGACCAAUAAAUGACCAAAAUAUCUUGGACUGGUCAGACCUCUAUUUCAGAUUUCAACCAUGAAAAUGCACUUCUAUAUUUAGACUUUUUGACUAGUAAAACAACUGAACUGGACUUCGAUUCUCAUAUCAAUUAUAUAUAUAUAUAUAUAUAUAUAUAUAUAUAUAUAUAUCUUAGCUUCAAAAUGAUAUACAGAUCACCUUAAUCCGUUGCUUGUAACUCAAGAUAUUGCCAAAAUACCAUAAGGUGUCAAAGCUAUUUUCACUUGCAUUUUUCUCUUUAAGUAUUUUGCACUUCAUGUCUAUUUUAAAUCACUUCAAAUCAUCAUUAAACAUCCAAAUAUCUUCUUAAUUCAUGCCAUUUGAUAAUUGAAUUUUUAAACCUAUAAAAAUAUCAAGUUUUUACCAUUAAAAUCUAUAGAAAUGCAAUUUUUACCACUUAAACCUUAAAAAGGCAUAUUUUCACUAGAAACUUAAUUCAUCAGCUAUAAAAGUAAAUAAAACACAUUUAAAACAGGUAAAAUAUAUACUUAUUAAACAUCAUAUAACUCAAAACUUGCUCAUUUGCAACAUUAUUAUCUGCAAACGGAGGAUUAUGGAACGUUGCUUAAACGUCAAGGAUUACUAGGACAAUAUAAUUCAAUUUUAAUCAGGAUUUCCCUAAUCUCAAAAGCGUUGCUUUCUUCUUAAUUUGAAACGAAACCCACUGAGUUUUGAUAAUUCUUAUAGUAUAGUAUAAUAUUUCCUUGACCCGUGCACAUGACGAGUUUAUAUUAUGAAGGAAACAGUUAAAGAAUUUACAUGAAAAGCAAAAGGUAAAAAGUUCAGGAGCGUGUCAUUUGUUAAGAACAUGUUAAAAAUAAAAAUGAAACCUUAUUAAUUUACCUUUGCCAGCAUAAGAUGAAUCUAAUUAAUUUUACUAUUAUGAAAUGUUUCAAUUCUAAACAUGCCUACAUACAAUCAGCAUCUCAUCUGGUACCAAUAAAAAAUAAAAAAAAUUCUUAAAUUACAUUUUACCCUUCUAUGGUUUAAUACUUUUCUAUAUAACCCUCUAAUGAUUACAAAAGUUAUAUAUAACUUUGCAUUCCAUAAAUAGAGUUGACUAAAAUGUCAAAAGUACCCUUAUGUAAAGUUGAAAACUAAUUAUUAAUUAUAGGGGAGUAUAUAUAUAUAUAUAUUAUUUAUUUAUUUAUUGAAAACCAUAAGGAAGUUAUGUAAUAAAUCACUAAAACAAUAAGAGGUUAAAGUGUCAUGCAUAUUAUAUUUACAUUUUAGUCACUUUAGUCAUGUUAAUUUCUAGACAAGGAUAAUCUCAAUACUUUCAUGGAUUCCAUUACAGAGGACUAUUUCUACCACUUGGACACUUUAAUCCAAAUUAUAAGGGGAUUAUGUAAAAUUUUUUAAACCAUAGGAAAAUUAUGUGGAAAAGAGGUAAACCACAAGGGGUAAAUGUAAUUUAUUCUAAAAGAAUUUUAGUAAACAAUUACAUUAUAGCCAUAUUCAUCCUGAAUCUCAUAUAAACAAAAAUAUUUAUUAUCAAAAUAUUAUUAAAGCAGAUUUCAUAUGUAAAUAGAAAUUUGAAACUAAAUCCCUACAUUAAAAUACAAUUUAAAAAUUGGGUAAAGCACUGAGUUUAUUGUUUUGACAUUGAGUUCAAAUUCAAAGCAUUUAGAGGAAAAGUUCAUAGUUUAAUCCAUAUUGGCCCUCAUAAUUGAAGAGGUAAAAUUUGAAUGUAAGAAAAAUUCCAUGGCCAGGAAUUCAUUUUUACAUUUUAACAAGUGAUUAGCAUUUCCUAUCACACAAAACCAGAAAGAAGAAUAAAUUGAUCAUCAUAGUUAUAAGUUGACAGGUUGUCAAGGUUGUGCAAUAAUAAAACCUAUUCAAACUAAAAGUAAUUUCUGUAGAUAGUGGUGAGCAGGGUCAAAUCCACAUGGACUGGGUGUAACUGUUUCUUUUCAAAUUCACAGUAAUACGGGGGGUGUUUUUGUAUCAAGGGGUGACAAUUAAAGCAAUUCAACUAAAAGUAAAAUAGUAAAAAUUAAAUAGCCAACUAAAAAUUAAAUAACAAUUUACUAAAAUCAAAUGAGUGAUAAUUAAGGAUCUAGUCAAGAAAUAACUUCAGCAAUGGUUCACCUAAUUGAUCAUCGAUACAAAGCCAAUUCCAAUUAUUUACUAAUAAAUAGGUCAUAACUGCCAAACAAGCGAUGACAGUCAACCCUCCUUACUGUGUCGGUGAUUAAGGUACGUCUGUUAACCACUACUCUAAUUGAGAAAUAAUCUUCGGUAAAUCCGUAAGAUUUAAUUCCCCAAUUGCCUUACAUAUUAGAGGAGCCCUAUUCUAACCAAAUAACACACUACCAGGUUAUUUUAGAUUAGCCUGCGUAUCCCCCUGACACGAACAUAAUCGUGCCAGUUGUCACUAUUUCAAGGCAAUUAAACAAUUACGGAUUUAAAUACCCUAAUUGACAAUCGAUUACCAAAUUAACUAAUUAUCCGGAUCCAAGAUAAUCAAUUAAUUGAACAAUUAUAAACUCUGUAGCCAGGAAAUAUGCGAAUACCAAUAAAUAACAAAAAAAAUAAAAUUAAAUCGAUCUCACAAUUUUUAGAUAAACUAAAGCCUCCGUUGUCCCUUGACUAGAGUGAGAAAAUUAGCUCAUGUUUGAUGAACAAAAUCCACGAGAAAUUAAAGCAACAUUAGCGGCCAUUGGCCUCGUUCGUGAGAACUCAAUUUGUUCGAUUGAAUAAGGAGAAACCAGCAACUACAAACAAUGAUUCAAUUCCUCGUAAGGCUCCUGACAUCGGCAGGAGAACUCCACUAUCAAAAGCUAAGAAGGAAAAGUCCCCACUAGAUGACGAAGAUGGAAAAGUCAAAGAAAACUAAGCUAAGUAGUCCUAAUCCUCCGCAAUUCCAAUUCCUAUCUAAUACUACAUUACUACUUUGCAGCGGCAUCCAGCCUGAAGAGACCCACGAAGACUAGCCCUUCGUUCUUUUUCUUUUGUUGUCCUCCGCAAAUUACCAAAAAGGACUUGCAUCUCCCUUAUUUCAAAAAUGCCCUGGGAUAAGUUCUAUUAUGUGGACUCCUCUUCUGUUAAAUUGACACUUGUUAAUUUCCCUUUUAUUCUUGUCAAAUAUUAUUUUAAUUAUUAAUAUUUACUCAUAUUUGGUAUUGGACCCAAUUUCAGGAAGUGAAGCAGAAAACUAUAAAAAAUGAGAGACUUUUUGUAGAAAAUUGAGACUCCUAAAAGCUCAAUAGACCUGGCCCACAAGGAGAGGAAGAAACGGAAUGGCUGAUGAAGAAUUAAUUGGUACUAAGGGCUCUACUAGCAAUAGCAAAUGGGAAGAGAGGAAACAUUGAGUAGGGCCUUGCCCUUUGGUACCCUUUGUUGACUUAUGCGGCGGGGACCACGGAGAAUAGGGAAGGAAUUAGUCAUUUGGCUUUAAAAGAGCAACAAACGUACACAGAAGCUCUUAUCACUAGUUUUAGGGAGUUAGCUUUUUAGCAUAGUUUAGUUUGUCUUUUUUUCUUCUUUGCCGUCUCUUCUAGGAGGAGGACGAAGACAUAGCUUGUUUUCAAUAAUUACUUCUGCACUUUUGCAUGGGAUUUCCUCCAUGAAGAUGAAUUAAAUCCCUUCGUCUAGUCGAGGAACAACGGAGGACUUGGUUCUACUAAAUUUGUGAGAUCGAAUUAGUUUUUAUUUAUUUCCAUUAUUCACUGGUAUUCGUCUAUCUUCUGCUUUAUGUUCAUAUGGUUGUUUUAUUAUUCGAUUAUCCAGGGCCCGGAUUCUAGAUUAAUUCAAUAACCUGAAGCCAAUUAGGGUAGUUAAAUCCGUAAUUGUUUAAUUAUUCUAAACUGGUGGCAACUGGCAUGAUUGGGUUUGUGUCAGGGAGAUAGGCAGGCUAACUUAAAGAGACCCUCGUAGCGUGUUGAUUGGUUAGAAUUAGGCUCUUCUAAUUAUUCAUGCAAUUAGGGAAUUGAACUUCUAUGGUCGUACCUAGGGUUAUUUCUUGGUUAGGGAAAUAGUUAACGGUCGUACCUUAACUAUCGAGAAAUUAAGGAAAGACUGGUUGUUCAUCGCGUGCAUGACAACUAUAACCAAUCUAUUAAUGAAUAAUUGAAUUAUUCUUGCAUCGAUGAUCAGUUGCAUGGAUCGUGUCUGAAAAGUUGUACCUUUGGCUAGAGUCAUAUUGGUUAUUAAUUAAUUUCUAUUAGUUGUUUUAUUAGUUAGUUAAUUAGUUAUUUAUAUUCUCCAAAAACCCUCCAUACUUCGGACUCUAAAAGAAAUAAAUUAUCCCUAGUCCCUGUGGAUUCGACCCUGCUUAUCACUAUCUACAGAAAUUAUAUUUUUGUUUGAGCAGGUAUUUAUUAUUGCACAGGUUCGGCACCAUAGAAUUUUUGUGCAUUAUUUAAGAUAGGUCUUCCAGAAUUUACAAUAAAAGUAAUGUAACCGUAACAUAAUUAGUCAUAAAGGAAGCCAAAAAAAAUUUUAAGAAUUAAUUGGCAAUGAGAAAUAAUACUAACUAGUAAUAUGAAAAGUAUAAAUUAAGUACUGAAACUAUGAGUUAUGUUACUAAGUAAAUUAAGACUAGAUAAAUUUGAGGCAUUUGUCUCAUUAGGUCUCUCAAUGAGUUCCGUUACCAUGUAAAUUAUAUAACGAGAAUGCUAGUUCACUUUACAUCAACUUAAGGGCUUAAGUCAAAGCUAUGGCACCAGAAUUAUAGCUAUUACCCUCAUCUCAUAGCAAGAUUAUCGUUUUCUUUUCAGGUCAGUCAAUUUAAAAUUUCCAUUUAUCUUUAUUAGAUACAAAAAUUUUGUCAUUUUCAUAUUCGAGUCCUUAUGGAGGAUUCAAGGCUCAAAUUUUAACUAAUGCCUGCUGCUCUAGCUCUCUCGAAGAGUACUCCUAUUUUGUAACUGAUACGCUAAGUCGUUAAGAAGGUUCUUACAUUAAGUUAUAAGAAUGAAAUAAACAAAAGAAUUUUUUAGCAAGAAGUGAAUACCAUUCUAAUAAGUACUAAUUAACUACACUUAUAUUGGUUAUUAGGGAAAUGAAAGUAAAUAAAAUAUAUGGGAAAUUGAUAGCACAUAAAAAGUAGAAAAUAGCACAUAAAAAGGUAAUAAUCUCUUUUGUGCCUAAUAAUCAUUAAGCUUGGAAGUUACGUUAUUAAGAAAGUUCAAUAAAAGACGUCUGCGAAAUGCUGAGAUGAACUCACAAAGGAAACUUAAUUAGCUUGAGUGAAGUUAAAGUCUAUUAAUAGAGAAGCAAAAUUAGUAGGAUUUAACUAAUGCUAAGAGACAAUCCAGAAUUGAUGACCACGGAUUAAUUACUAACUAAUCAAUGGUAAAAAGAAUUUACAUGUGAUGAAAUUCAAAGUUAUAUAAUUCACUUCUGUAAUUAGUGUCACAAUUUAUGGUCAUAAAUUCUUGGAAGUUAUUGAACGUGGAUUACAAGCUUUUCAACUAAUGAUGGUCAUAAGUAAGAAGAUUUAACUAAUAAAAGAGCUUAUUAUUCGAAAUAGAAUUACGAUGAGUUGUCUAAUAGAACUAGUUUUUCUAUUUCUUCCAUUCUUGGUGACUUAUUUUCUGGGCAUUCGCCAUGCUCCCGUGUGCCCCGGAAUUAUUAGCCACGAGUCCAAAUGUGUCUUCUUCAAAUUGAAAUUCAUAUUCAUGAUAGAUCCCAGUGAAAUCAUUGAAUUUUAACAAUUGAACAACAAAUUUUGUACAAAAUACUAAACACUUUCGUAUAUCAAUUUUUUGUAUGGUAAUUACAAUAUUGAUACCCCCAUUUUCUUUUUUGUUUUUCCAUUUUUGCUACAACAAACAAAUUGUAAUCGUACAAUGAGAAUGGGUGGACUAUUUCCUAACAAAGUAUGUCAACAGCGUUCUGUUUCUUUGGACUUAGAUGUCUUCAACUUUCAUCCCAAAUACAAACCUAAUGCUUUGAAUAGAUGUUCUUUGCAUGGUAGAUCACUAUGAUUUUUCAUGUUAUUUGAAUUGAAUUUGUUAGUGUUUAUGCAGUUGUUCCAUGUGAAGUGAGCUGUAUGUAUUUCUAGCUUGAAUAAAUAUAUAUACAAUGUAUAUAGAGCUGUAAAACGAAUGGGCGGCUUGUGAGCCUAGUUCAGCUCGGAUCAUACUGAUACAAGCUCGAGUUCAGUUCAUUUGUUCAAUUAAAUGAGUUGACCUCAAACAUCAAAUUAGACACGUUUUUUAAAUAAGCCAAUCCAAACUCAUUUUUUAAAUAGGUCGUUUAAGUUCGUCUAGGCUCGUUUGCAAAUUUAUUCAAGCUAGUAUUACUAAUUUUUCUUAGUAAUUAUGUAGAUUUGCCUUGCCAUGAUUUUUUAAGAUUUGGUUUUAUUUAAAUAUUGGGAAUCUUCUUAUAUUUGGUGAAAAUUUUUUAUUCAAUAGGCAAAUGAAAUUGGUUAUAUUUUUUGAAUUGCAAAGUUGUAUAUGAUAUUUAAACACAUUUAAAAUUUUUUUAGUUUGAACUUACUCAUUUAUGUCAUAUAAGUCAAGUUCAAGUUUAGACUCAAGUUCGAAUUUGGAAUAAUUCUAAUGAGCUGAGUUUGAACACAAAAUUUGGCCCAUUACAUACACGAGCUAAGUCGAACCUAGCUUAGCUCGAUUAUUUAAUGAGCCAAGUUUGAACACCAAAAUUUCGACUCAAUUUAGUUCGUUUACAGCUCUAAAUUUAUAUGAACUUGUUGCAUUCUUUUGAGUGUUAUUUUCUUCUAAAGAUCCAACACAUUUUUUAUUUCUGGCUAGCUAUUUAUUUUCAACAAUUCAAAAUUCGUUGGUGAAAAUGAUAUGGUUCUUUCUUUGCAGUAUUUAUUAUUGUUAUUAAUGUUUUGAUUGAAUAUAAUGCAACACAAAGCCUAACCAAUGAGGGUUUUCUUCCCUAUUAAUCUUAUGAAUGGCAUAUUCGUUAUAGAUAUAUUGAAUUUAAAUGCGGCAGGCUUAAAUAUGGGAGUUUUUCAUUUUUAUUACCGAGAUUAUUGAAUUGAUGGGAAAUGAAUCAUUUACUUAAUUAAUAUCACAAUUGGGAUACAAUAACUCCAAUUAUUACACAAAAGAACUUUUUUUUCUUUUUUAAAUAGAAAAUGUAAAUGAAGUUACUAAAGUAAAUAUAAAUCUUUCUGAGAGUAGGCAGAAUAAAACUUGGGGAUAAUUUUCGAAUCUUUCCUUGAGGUUUCUGACAAUUUCACUCGACUCUUCUCAGGUUUAAAAAUUAUACUUACCCCUCUUGGCAUAGUCAAAUAUCAUUGAUGCCCUCCACUUGGUAGACAAUUUUAAAUUUAAGGCAAUAAAUUUUAAAAAAUCCAUUUUUCUAUCUCUUAUCUAUUUUCGCUCCUCUUUUUUCUAAUUAAUAUAACCGCUUUUUAUUAUCUUCAAUUUUAUGGAUAUUAGCAAAUUGAAAUCACAAAAUCACAGAGAGAGAGAGAGAGAGAGAGAGCAGAGUAUGUGUCAAAUUAGAAGGAGAUAAAGAGACUCGUAGUGAUACAAAAAUAAAUAAUGAAAUUGAUGAAAUUAGAAGAACUAAAGAUGUAAAUUUGUCAUAUUUUGUUUGUUGUCAAGAAAAUCUUUUAUAAAAUGCCAAUAAUUACAUAAGGUUUCUUUCAUUGGAUUAGAAAUUUUUUAUUAUAUUUUUAGUAUAAAGAUAGAGUUUAUUCUCUAUUUUUGAAAUAUUAAUUUUUUUAAGAGGGAGAACUACAUAAAUAGUCCCUCACAUAUUGCAAAUGUGAAAAUUUAGUCCCUCAGAUCGAAAAUGAUCGAUUUUAGUCCUUAAUAAAUAAAAAAAGAUCAAUUUAAAUCCCUUUUCACUGUUCCGAGCAAAUUUUGCCCGGAAUGUCUCACGCGCACAUUACGUGCCCAACUUUUAAAGGGUAAAAAGGCCAAAUCACUUAUCUGUUAACCAAAAUGUAAGAGACAAGGGUUCCCAAAAUUCUUCUUCUCCUUCAUUUCAACCAAACCCAAAAUCUAAGCUUCAUCUCCAUGGCGGAACCACCAACCUGUAAUUGCGGUGCACCGGAGAGAAUGAAGACAUCGUGGACAACUGAAAAUCUAGGAAAGAGGUUCUAUGGUGGACAUGCCAAAGUUCUGAGCUUCAGCUGCUUCACACCAUCAAAGCAUGGUUCAAGGAUCCACUAAGGUCUUUCUCCAAUUGGAAUUCUUCUCUAUCCUUUUGUCAACGGCAUGGAGUUUCUUGCGAUAGCUUGUCUCGCAUCAACAAAAUAGAGCUCUCAGGGAAGAAUUUAUCUGGAAGUGUUCCAAAGGCUGUUUUCCAGUUGCAACAUGUUGAAACCAUCAAUCUUUCAAAUAAUCAGUUCUCUGGUUCAAUUCCAGGCAAUUUGUCUUCUUGUUUGUCGCUUAAACAUCUCAAUUUAAGCAACAAUAACUUUACAGGGCCACUUCCCAAAGGCUCAAUUCCGUUUCUUGAGACCUACGAUCUAUCAAACAAUAUGCGUUCACGGGCAAUCCCAGAAAACAUCGGACUUCUAUCAAGAUAAGAGAACUUGAUUUUGGUGGGAAUGUUUCGGAAGAAAGAAUUCCAAAGUCCAUCACAAAUUUGACAAGCUGUCAAGUCUUGACCUUGGCCUCUAACCAAUUGGUUGGGGAAAUUCCACCAGAAUUAGGCCUCAUGGAGAAUUUGACAUGGAUGUAUUUGGGGUACAACAAUUUCUCUGGUGGAAUUCCAACAAAAUUUGGUGAAUUAACCUUUUUACAUCAUCUGGAUCUUGUCAACAGCAAUCUCACAGGUGAAAUUCCAUCAUCUUUGGGUAACCUCAUCAAUCUUCAAUACCUCUUUCUCUACCUCAAUAAACUCACUGGACCAAUUCCCAAAUCCAUUUUCGGGCUAAAAAGUUUAAUACCGCUUGAUCUAAGUGAUAACUUUUUGUCAGGAGAAAUCCCUGAAGAUAUAUUUAAAUUGCAGAUCUUGGGUUGAGAGGAAUCGCAGAAGGAAGAUAACGCUUGCAAAUGGAGGUUUGCACUCAACAUUGCAACUUUAGUCCCUUCCAUUUUGGUCAACAGAUAAGUGGUUUGGCAUUUUUACCCUUUAAAAGUAAGGCACGUGAUGUGCGCGUGAGACAUUCUGAGCAAAAUUUGCUCGGAAUAGUGAAAAGGGAGUUAAAUUGAUCCUUUUUUAUUUAUUAAGGACUAAAAUCAAUCAUUUUCGAUCUGAGGGACUAAAUUUUCACAUUUGCAAUAUGUGAGGGACUAUUUGUGCAGUUCUCCCUUUUUAAGACCAUAGGAGAGUUACAAUGGCUGUUCUAGGUCAGACUAACUUGUAUUAAAAAGAUAUUUGAGCAUUGAUAUUUAACUUUGGUAUGCAAUUGGUUGUCAAUGGUGUUUGUGUGUGUGUUUUCUUCUUCUUCUUCUUUUUUUGUGGCAAGCAUUGAUACUAUAUAUGCAAUUUAAAAUUUUUUGGAUGGCUAUUUGGUUUUAGAAAUUAUGUUUGAAUGAUUGUUAGGGAUUAGACUUAUUAAUUUACGCAAAGUGUGGAAGAAAAUAAUUGAGUAUACUAUAUUUUUCUUUCUUAGUUUUGUACAAAAGGGUCAUUUAGGAUUUUUGUGAGAAAAUCUAUCUUGUUGGACCUGCAUUGUUACAAAACAUUAAAAGGAGAGGACAUAUAUAUAAUUUUUAAAAUGUAAGGGGAGCUCUCUAUAAUUGUCAAAAACCUCAAGGAAGGUUUGUGAAAUUAUCCCGUUGUCCCUAAAACUUGGGGGUACACUAAACCAUGUACUUGAAUCAUAUUCAAGUGACAUAGUACUUUUAGCAAGGAGAUGAGCAGCCAAAGUAAGACGUCUAGGAAUCCAGCAAACAUUCCAAUUUGUAAAACCUCGUUUAAGAGUCAAAAUAUUACUCCCUCCCUUUUUUUCUCUGUUUUGAAACUCGGACCGGACCGGCCGGUCGAACCGGUUGAACCGGGAACCGGCCAGGUAGCCGGUCCGAGUCAAAUUUAAAAACCGGAAAAUUAAAAACCCGGUCAAAGCCGGUCAAAAACCGGGUUUGACCGGGUAAAAACCGGUUUUUCCGGUUCAACAGUAAUUUUUUUAAAAAAAAAAAUUCAAACUUUUUAAUAUUAUGUUUUGACCCCCUAAAUUGUUAAAACUUAUUGAUAUACCUCAAAUAUUUGAUACUUUAUAAAUAUUGUCCUAAAAUUUGAUGUUAUUUUUCAAUUAAAUUCAUAAUUUUAAUUCUAAACUUGUUAAUAUUUAUUAAAUAAUAUAAAUUGCUACUUGAUUGUUCUAAUUUCUUUGUAUUUUUUUGUUAAAUAUAUUUGAAAUAUUAAAUAUAUAUGAAUAUACCUUUAUUAAUAUCAAUAUAUUAUUAGAUAUUAUAUAUAUAAUAUUUUAAUUUUUAAAUAAUUUUUAUUUAUGACGUCAUCCGGUUCGACCCCUAUCGACCCCCGGUCGAACCCAUUGACCCCUGACCCCUGACCUCGGCCGAGUCGCUAUCCGGUCCGGUUCUGAAAACAUAGCUUUUUUUACAACUGACGUUUAAGAAACUUACUCUUAAGUACUUUUAUCUGUCGUUGUAUUAUUCCCAUGCAGCAUUAAUUAUUUUUUCACAAUUUUACCCUUUUAUCUCUCUUUUCCAAUACAGGGUUCUUAAUUUGGUGGGAGUUAGUUUGCAUGCUUUUGGCCUAGUAAAACAGCACCAUUUAAUACUCUAGUGAGAGAAAAUAUGGGUGAAUUGGACAAUUAAUGAGGGUAUAAAAGGAAAGUAAUGUAUAGAUUUAAACAAUGAAAAACUUUUCUUAAUUGGUGUGCAAAACCUUAAACGUCAGUUAUAAAAAAAAGGAGGGAGUAUCAAUUAAGACUCCAAAGCUGUUGGUUAUCUUCAGCACAUCACCUUCAAUUACAACUCGGUGCAAAAACAUCAGUUGUCAAAACCCCAAUAUUCUUAUGUGAAAAACCAGCAAUAAAUUGACCAUGAUCAUUCCAUGGUGCCACACCUAUCCCAGAACAAUGAUUUUGCAAGGAAAUUGCCCCAUCAAAAUUUGCCUCACAGAAAUUCUAUGGACGUUUUUGCCACUAGGUGAUUUUGACAACCUUGUUGAUGAAGGUGCUAAGUUUGUAGAGAUUGAGAAAGCUUCCUGAAAUUGCUGAAGUACUUUAGAGGGCUGGGUAGCAAGACUAAUAGGGUCCUUAAAAGAACUCUCAAAGACCACACAAUUUCGAUUGUUCCAAAGAGUCAUAUUCAUCACAAUUAACCGGGAUUUUGGACAGUCAUUUUUUGCUGAAAAAUUGCAUCGUUUUUCGUGAGCCUAUUUUUCUAUUACCUUUUUUCCUCACAUACAUCAAAUCGCUACAGUAAUUUUUUUACAAAAAAUCCAAGAAAAUGCAAUCCAAACAAGACAGUGUCCAAACCUAGAUCGCAAUAAUACAGUUCAAGAAAAUAUGAUUCAUAUUAUCUUCAGGUGCUACACAAAAUGAACACAUGGGAUAAACAGAGAAACCACAACUUUUAAGAUUGGAAUUUGUUGGUAGAAUGUCUUUGUAUGCCCUCCAAACAGAAGCUUUGAUGUUGUUGGGAAUGUUUAGCGAUUCCAAUGGUUAUUAUAAGUGUCACUGCUCCCAGAAUGUAGGUUUCUCCAACACGAAGUUGGUUGCUUGAUGAGAUGGUAAGCACUGUUCUAGGGAAAACAACCAAAAAGCUUUCGUCUUGCCAGUUGUUGGUUAAUUUAUAAAUGCGAAAUUGGAGCCUCAAACAACGAACCGACAAGUAAAGCGUAAUUAAAGUUUAAGGUCUCAACUCUCAACUCUCAAUGAUAUUACAAAUUAAACAAAGUAAACACAAGUUUCAAGAUUUCAAAUAAGAUUUUUAAAUGCGUGGUAAAACAACAUGAACUCCAUGUAAAAGAUAACUCCAAUUUUCUUUUUUUUUUUUUCUAUCCUAUGUAUUUUUUAUUUCAAUAAAACUAGCAAAUACAUCAUAAUUUUCAUCCUGCUAGUUGUUGCAUUCAUUUAUAGAUGCAAAAUCAGAGCCUCAAAGAAUAAAUGGCUUGAUUAAGCUCUAUUAGGAAACUAUGAAUAGUUUCGACAUAUUGUGUUGCCUUUUCAAAGUAUUCAUGUGUUGCAAUCUUCUAAAAAUUAUUGAGGGCUAGAACCCACUGAAUGUCUCAUAAAUAGUGUCUCCAUAAGCAAAUGUAUUUUCUUAUGGCCAAUAUUUGCGAUCAAUUAAUCACCAUUGUCUCCAUAGCGCUUUUUUGCUUUUCAUUCUCAUAAAACGUUAACAGUUACCGGUGCAUUUGUUAGUGGAACAGGUAAGGAAUCUAAAUAAAGUGGGUUGGCCCUUAAAAAAUGAAUGGUAAACGGGGAUUUAACUCGUGAUACGAAUUACAGAUCAUGUAUUCACAUCCAAACACUAUUCAAGAUAACUUCUUUAAAGCCAAAUGUAACAGAUAAAAUCAUUUAUCCAAACAAACUCAUUGAUAUCAAUGAUCUUUUUUUUUUUCCUAAAAUCUAACAAAAAAUUUUCAGUUACCCAUCAUUUUGAAAAUUUCAAAAUAAAUAUUAAAUAAUAAGUAUAAUAUUUAAAAAUAAAAAUUGAAUAAUAAGUAAAAUAUUUACAAAAAAAAAUUAAAUAAUUUGUAAGAUUUGAUUAGGCUUGACGAGUACUCAAGCAUAGUAUUUUCACUUGCACCUGUACUUUUUUCACCCUUAUAAUCUAACACCCGUCUCUUGCACAACUAAUGUGGGAGUCCAAAUAGAAAUGGGAAAAAAUAAAUCAAAAUAACGAGUCUUAGCAAAUUUCUACAUCAAAUAUGAAUAAAAAAAAGCCUAAGUUUUAACUCUAAUAAUAAAUCUUAUGUAACAUAAACAAAAACUAAGUUGCAAUUUUCAAUAAAACAUUGGCAACAAGUCUAUAAAUCUAAAAUUGUAAAGGUCAAACAACUAUUUUUAAUUGUGAUGGAGAUUUGUAUUAAUAUUUAGGAAAUUUCUUUUGUUUUAUAUCUUAUGAUUAACUUUGAAAUGAAACAGAAAAAUAUGACUUUGUUAUACAAAAAUUAAUUACUGGAUUACGAGGUGGGCAAAAAAUUCGGUAAUAUACCUCAAACAUUUUAAAAUUUUGAGUAGACAUAGAUGAUCUAAUUACUAAGAUGAACAUUUUAAUAUUUUUUGUAUUGCAAAUGAUUAUUACUUAUUAGUUUUAGGGUCUAUCUAACCAAAGAUGUAAUAUCGGUAUUAAAUUUUUAGAAAGAUAAGAUUAAUUAGGAAUAGUAUAUAAAUACAAGCGAGGGUAAUAAUUAUUAGUGUACUUAUGUACAAGGUAGAUAGGUGAAAUUUAGGUGUAUUAAAUGAGUGCCCAUUGGACACCGUCCGUUAAAAAAAAUCUUAGUUUUAUUGGCCAAUUUUUGCAAGUACUAAUUUGGAAAUCACUUAUGCAAUUAACAAAUCUAAUCCCUACGGCACCUUGCACAUUGCUAGACUUAUUUCAUCUAAAAGAAGGUACAUAGACAAUUCAAUGUUAUAGGAUACAGUAUUAUAGGAAACAUUUUGGUAGAAGCUUGUCUUUGUGGAGUGGAAGUUUAUCUUAUUAGCUCUUUACUUUAUUUUGGUUUAGUGUAAUUAACCAUUUAUGUUUUAGGUAAAGUUUUUGGUUUUUUGCCAAGCAAGAGAAGUAUAAGAUUUAAGAAGUGAAAAAAGAACAGAGAGAUUUAAGAUUUUCAUGCACUGACGAUAUAUGUACUAACUGAUUUAGAUACAUAUCAUAUAGACAAAAAUUUAGUUCUAAAAUUCAAAUUGAGAUAAUACAGCAUGCAUUUAAAUUUAUCGAUAUAUAAAAAACCCAGGACCAAGAAUAUUAAAGUGAAAUGCGCGGAUUGUGAGUCAUGCAUGGGGUAAUUCAUGUACACUUUCGAUACAAUCAUUGUACAAUUUCAGCAUGAGCUCGUGUUGUAAUGGAUGUCAAGGUUAAUUUUUACCAUAAAUAGUCUCAAGCAAUUCGGCCAAAUAAUAAUUGAGACCUUUUAAAUCCGUUCAAGUUACUCCAUUUCAGCUUCAUUGGUCAAACGAUGCGACAGAAACAAGGAAUUUGUAUUAAUUCCCUUUUGUGAUCAGAUUAAAAAAAAUGCAUUGUUCAAGCUAUUCUUAGCCAACGUUUAUUCAUCACAAUUUUUUUUAACAUACUAGAAUUUUUUUUAAGGUCUCGAUUCUCAAUGAUAUUACAAAUUAAAUAAAGUUAAUUAAUAGAAGUUUCAAGAUUUCAUUGAUUAUUAUCUCCUUCAAAAAAUAAAAUUUCAAUCAACUUGACUUCACUGUGUGUCUCUAUUUGAACAAAGAAGCAAAAUAGAUAGUCUGCAAAAAAGAUGUGUGUUUUUGUCUAGUGAUGAUAAAAUAAGCUCAGUGGGCAAAAUGCAACUUAUCCUAAUUAUAUUCGAGUUUAGUGUAAUUGACUCUUUAGUUUGUUUCAAUUUGAUUGCGAGAAGCUGAAAAUAGUUUCUCGUCACUCCUGGGUGGAAAUUUACAUUCCUCUACUUACAACUUUUUCCACAAACAGGCCCCAGCAUUCAAAGAGAGAGGAUGAAGGCGCCAACAACAAGACAAUUCAAUUGAAAAUGCUAACCUACUUUGAGGGAUUGAGGAAUCACCCUGAAUGCCUUUCUAGCACAACUUUGAGAGAUGAUCAUAGUAUAUGAUUCCAAUUUUAGUUGUCGGUACGUAGUUGUGUCAAGAGUGUUCAGACAAAUCUCUUUGCACAUAUGUACGCAUAUAUAUGAAACUCCGUGCACUUAUGAAAAUAUAUAUAUAUAUAUAUACACACACAAGUAUGUAUGCAUAUAUGUAUAUAUACACAUAAGGAUAUACAUGUCAGUGGAAUAGGUAAGGAAUCCGAACAGUAGGUGGAAAUUUAACUCAUGAUAGUAAUUACUGAUUUUGUAUCCGCAUUCAAAUACCUUCCAAGAUUACUUAUUUUGAAGCCAAAUAUAUCAAAUAAAAUAAUUUAUCCAAACAAGCCUAUUGAGAUUAGCGAUCUUUUUAUCUUCUAAAAUCUUACAAAAAAAUUUUCAAUAGCCCAUCAUUUUGAGCAUUUCAAAAUAAAUAUUAAAUAAUAAGUAUAAUAUUUAAAAAAUAAAAAUUGCAUAAUUAGUCAAAUUCUAUUAGCCUUGGUGAGUACUUAAGCAUAGUAUUUUCAAGCUCGAGCUUGAUUUGCUACUCAAGUAUCUCGGUGCUUGACUCAACUCACUUGUAUCUAUACUUUUCCUCACCCAUAUAAUCUAAUACACAACUAAUAUGCGAUAAACACAAUAACUAAUAUGUACUUAGUCCAAACGGAAAUGGAAAAAAAUCAUAAAAUUCAGCCUUAGCAAUUUCUACAUCAAAUGUAAAUAAAAACACCUAAUUUUUAACUCUGAUGAUAAAUCCUAUUAACAUAAACAAAAAUUAAGUUGCAGUUUUCAACAAAACAUUGGUAGCAAGUUUAUAAAUCCAAACAUGUAAAGAUCAUAUAACUAAAUUUAAUUUUGAUGGAGGUUUUGUAUUAAUAUUUAGGAAAUUUCUUUUGUUCUAUCUCUUGUGAUUAAUUUUGAAAUAAAACAGAAGAAUCUAACUUUGUUACACAAAAAUCAAUCAAUGAACUAUGAGGUGGGCAACAACCUCAAACAUUUAAAACUUUGAGUAGACAGAAAAUCUAAUUACUAAGAUGACCAGUUUAAUAUUUUUUUUGUUGCAAACGAUGAUUAGUUUUAUUGCCCAAUUUUUGUAAUUACUUAUUUGGAAAUCACUUACACAAUUAACAAAUCUAAUCCCUACUGUACCCUCCCCGUUGUUGCACUUCUUUGAUCUAAAAGAUGGUACAUAAACAAUUCAAUAUUGUAAGAAAAAUAUUUGGGCAGAAGUUUGUCUUUGUAGAGUCGAAGUUUAUCUUGUUAGCUCUUUACUUUAUUGUGGUUUAAUGUAUAUAACCCUUUACAUUUUGGGUAAAGUUUUUUUUUUCACUGGCAGAGGAAGGGUGAGAUUUGAAAAGUAAGAAAAGAGUGUGUAGAUUUAAAGUUUUUAUAUAUUGAUAGUAUAUAUAUUAGCAGGUUUAGAUACAUAUUAUAUAAAUAAAAAUUUAAUUUUUAAAUUCAAAUUAAGAUAAUAUAAAAUGCGUCCAAGCCGGUCAAUAUAUACAUUUGCGACGUAAAAAAGAUUAAUCUUUACUUUAUUGUAACUUGAUUGCUAGAACAAUUUCCUGUCGCUCUUGUCUGGAUACUGUACUAGUAUUCGUACAAUCAUUUAGAAUAUUUUCCACACAACAGGACCCAGCAUUCAACGAAAGAAGAUGAAGACCCAGCACCAAUAAAUUCAAAUGAAAAUGCCAGGGAACUCCCAUGCAAUUGAAUAACAUUCAAUUUGCCAGCAAACCAUUUCAUCCUACCGCACCGAUUGUGCGGUCAUGCCGUCAUGCAUGGGGCAGUUCAUUUGCGCCUUCGACGCAAUGAAUGUACAAUUUCAGCAUGAGCUUAAGUUGUAAUGAUUAUGUAAACAAGUGUCAAGCUUAAUCUUCGUCAUAAAUUGUCUCAAAUAGUUAGACCUUAUAACAAUUGAGACCUUUUAAAUCCAUUCGACUUACUCAUUUUCAGCUUCCUUAGUCAAAAAAUUUAACAAAAACCUCUCUUGAGGUUUUUGACAAUUUAACCAAGCUCCUUUCAAAUUUAAGAAAUUACACUGACCUCCCUUGGUAUGAUAAUAUGACUAUAAUGUCCUUCUCUUAAUAGAUAAUUCACAAUAUGAUGCAAGGGUUAAAUAAAACCAAGAAAAAGAAACUCUAGCUCUUUUAUUAUCCACCAACAACCAUUCUUUCUUUCUUCAUUUCUCUCACUCUUGUAAUUAAUGAUUCUUUCUUCCUUUCUCCUUUUGCCUCUAUACCUUUCCUCUCCUCUUACCUCUUCUCUAUAUCCACAGCUCUAUUUAUCUUAAUGAUGACCUACCGUACCAUAACCAUCUUUGUUUACUUGCUAAAUAUGUCACUAUUUUACUUGCGGGAGCAGAUUUCAUUGUCAACUAAAGAGAAAUGAAUAUGCUUGCAGUGAUGAUAAUAAAAUAAAUAAUGCAAUUGAUAACUAAGAAGCAUGGAAGAGGAGGGAUUAGUGGGAAAAUUGUUGGAUUGAUUAUUAUCCUAAAAACUCGUGUAGGAUGUUAAUAAAUGCAUUUGAUUUUCUUUACUUGAUUAAUAUUGUUGGUUCUAGUUUUGUUAUGAAUGGCUUUACUCUAUUUUGCGAUGUUAAUAUAUAUUCCUAUGGAGGUCGGAGUAUUAUUCUACUGGUGGUUGUAGGGUGGAUUAUCUUUUGUUUUGUGACAGUGCUGGGUAUUAAAUUGAAGUUUAGAGGUUAUGAGUUUGCUUAUUGGUUGUCAAAAGAGAAUUGAUUUUUCAAAAAUAUUUAGGCGAAGAUGAUAUUACAAGACAAAGAUUAGGAUUUUUGAAGUUGCUGAAAUUCUUGAACUGUUCAAAGGGUUUGCUUGGUGGGUUUGUCGCAUGCUUGGAAAUCAUUAGAUUUGGCGUUAGAGUUUGAAGUGUUUGCUUAGUGAUGGUGUUGUUGCAAAUUUGGAAGAAAGUGUUGAGAAAACUAAUUUUCUUUUUUUUUUUAUAGAAUAAGAGUAGUUUAAGGUAUUUGAGGAAAAAUCUAGCCUGAUGGGUCUGUCUUGUUUAGGGAUGGCAACGGGGCGGGGUUGGGGCGGGGACCCCUCCCCCGCCCCCCGUCCCCCGCCCCGUCCCCGCCUCCUGCUCCUCCCGCCCCGCCCCGCCCCCGCCCGGCCUUGCCCCGCUUCCCCCGCGGGUGUCCCCGCGGGGUUAAUACAAUUUUAUUAUAUAAUUUUAUUAUAAUUAAAUUUUAAUAAAUAAUCAAGUACUAAAAUAUCAACACAUCACCAAAUUAUUAUUCAUCGUAAUUUUACAAUUGAAACUCAUAAAAACAAUCAAACAGAAGUUAUUUGAAUACAAUCCAAUAUGAUAAAAUAAAUAUAAUUAAAAUAAUCAAGUUUUCACUUUUAGUACAAAUGCAAUCACUAAUUCAUUAUUGUGUUUGUGCUUUUUUUUGAGAAAAAAGUGUUAUUCUAUUAAGUGUAAUUAGAAAUUUAGUAUAAAUGUAUUAGUAAAUUUAGUAUAACUAAUUAAUAAAUUUUAUUAGUAGACAUGUAUAAUUAUUCAUAUAAUUGAUAAUAUCAAUUAUAUUACAUAAACUAAUAUAUAUUAUAUAAUACAUCUAACUAAUAAUAUCAUUAUCAUAAGUUUAUAACUAAUUAACUUACAUAUUAUAUAUAAUUAUACAUAUAUUUAUAUAUAUAUAUAUAUAUAUUUUUUUUUUUUUUUGUUUUGCGGGUGGCGGGGCGGGGGUAUACUCCCCCACCCCCGCCGCCCCGCCCCCGCCCCAACCCCGGCCCCAGAGCCCCCGCGCGGGUACCCGCCCCCAUUGCCAUCCCUAGUCUUGUUACCUAAAUAGUAAAAGUAAGGGAACUAGAGGUAAUUUCUAAAAUUUGAGGGAAACUCUUUGCAACUGUUAGAUACUCAAGGUCAAGGGAGGUUUGUGAAAUUAUCCCUUCCUUUUAAACAUACUAGGAUGCAGAAUGGGAAUAGCCCACCAAUCCCUCGUGACAUUGGACUCAACAUUCUUGGUUGCGUAAAAUUUAAGGUCUUAAUUCUCAAUGAUAUUACAAAUUAACUAAAGUUAAUUAAUAGAAGUUUCAAGAAUUCAUUGAUUAUUAUCUCCUUCAAAAAAAAUAAAAUAAAAGUUCAAUUAAUUUGAGAUCACUUUGUGUCUCUAUUUUGAACCAAGAAGCAAAAUGGCUAGUGUGAAAAAAAGAUGCGUGUCUUUGUCUCAAGUGGGCAAAAUGCUGCUUAUCCCUAAUUACAUUCGAGUUUAGUGUAAUUGGCCCUUUAUUUUGUUUCAAUUUGAUUGCGAGGAGCUGAAAACACUUUGUUGCGAGGAUUUUUUUUCUCCACACAACGGGCCCCAGCAACAAGACGAUUCAAGUGAGAAUGCCAACCAACUUCCUCGAAAAUAAAUUUGAAAAUUUUUUUGCCAACAAACAACUGCCACUACACGGAUUGAGGGCUCAUGAUCUGUCACAUAAUUAUUGUUAUUUCUUGGCGUAUUGCUGGGUUGAUGCAUGAAUUACCAAACGGUUUAACAAAAACAAGGAAUGUGCAUUAAUGCCCCAUUUUUUUAAAAUUAGAUUACAAAAAUGGAUCGUUCCAGUUACUCUUUUUUGAAUAUAUUAGGAUGUAUGGUGGAAAUGGCAUACCAAGCACCGAUGAUUGAGGCUAUUUAUGUAAUGUUAACACUAAAGUUGUUAAUUUAAAAUAACGUUGAUAUUUAAAUAUAUCUGACAGGUGCCGAACCUGUGCAAUAAUAAAUACCUACUCGAGAAAAAUACAGAUUUUGCAUAUAGCGGUGAGUAGGGUCGAAUCCACAGGGACUGGGGAUAAUUCGUUUCUUCUAGAGUCCAGAGUAUGGGGGGUUUUGGAUUAUAUGCUAACUAAAUAAAUUAACUGCAGAAAAUAAUUAAUUCAAAGAAAUAAUUAAGGGAAAACUCUAGCCAAGGGUACAUUUCAGAAAUGGUUCAGGCACUGAUCAUUGAUUCACACAUAAUUCCACAUUUAUUAAUAGACCAGUUAUAGUUGUCAUGCACGCGAUAAACAACCAACCUUUCCUUAAUUUCUCGAUAGUUAAGGUACGACCGUUAACUAUUUCUCUAACCCAAAAACAACCCUAGGUACGACCGUAGGAUUUAAUUUCUAGAUUGCAUUAAUAAUUAGAAAGGCCCAAUCCUAACUAACAAACACGCUACGAGGGUUUUUUUAAGUUAGAUCGUAUGCUCCCUGACAUAAACCCAAUUACGCCAGUUGCUACUGAGAUAAAGAUAACGAACAAUUACGGAUUCAAUUAUCCCUAUUUAGCAAAAUAGCCUAUGUGAAUAAUUAAAUAUUGCGCAUCUAUUCAAUCACUCACACGAGCUAUAGCAAUUAAAAGCAGGAAACAUAUAAAUACCAAUAAAUUAAGGAAGCAAUUAAAAUAAAUUAGAUCUCACAGUAAUUGUUGAACCAAAUCUUCAGUUGUCCCCUUGACUAGAAUUAAGAUGUUAGUCCUCCAUUAAUGGAGAACAACCAUGCGAAAGAGCUAAGAGAAGAAAACUAAAAACUAAACUAAAAAAACCUAAAACUAGUGAUUGAUAAGAGUUCUCUGUACGUUUGUCUCCUUUUUAAAGCCAAAAAGAAGUCUAAUGCUAUCUCUAGUGGUCCCCACACCAAAUUCAAAGUCUUGUACGUUUCUUUUCCUAGAGUCCAAAUGACUCAUGCUUCUUAUCCGUGGUCCCCGCACAUGUGGACAAAACCUCCAAAGUACUUGUUGUUCCAAAUCUCUCUACGUUGCUUUCUUUGAAAAGCCCCAAAUGACUAAAUGCCUUGCACUAACUUGUGGUCCCCACCAAUUCAAGGACCCAAAGGUUGAAUCCCUUAGAAGUCUGCAUUUUUCCAUACAAGUCCCUCCUUUUUGGUAAUUUUCUGUUUCACUCCUGAAAUUGAUUCCAAAUACCAAAUAUGAGUAAAUAUCAGCAAUUAACACAAUAUUUGUCAGGGAUAGAAGGGGAAAUCAAUAAUAAAAUUACUAACAAAUUAUACCCUAUCAAUUCCCCCCACACCUGAAUCAUGCUUGCCCUCAAGCAUGGAACAACAAUUGAACACCAAAAUUCGACCAUGGCUGUUACUCCAACUACCGUAUUGCCAAGACACCAAGAAAAUCAUAUAUCAAGCGACACACGUCAAGAUCCAAGAAAAAUCACUCCGGUUAGCAUCUAAACUACCAACUCCUCCAAUUUCAAGCAAACUAAUCUAAGAAAAAGGAAUAGUUGCUCACAUUUAUCAGCAAAUGGUCCAACUAUUAAUCCAAAUCUCAACAAACCCAUAGAUCGGUAAGCUGACUUUAGACACACACUUACACAACCUUCACCUUUUUUAUCACGUUUUUCUAUUUUUCUCUUUUUUUCUUUUUUUUUUUUUUUUACUAUUUUUUUUCUUUUUCAAUAAUAACAAAAGACUUAGUUUCUAGCCAUUAGAGCCUUUUGACGCGAACUCCAACAUUUGAUAGAUGGAGGAGCCCGGUUACUCAGCUCCAAUCGCUACGAGACCAUGCACUCAUAGCAACUACUACCUUUUGACGCGAAAAUCAACACUUAAUCACUUUAGGUGAAGAUCCCCGGUUACUCAGUCAGUAGUAACACUACUAGUGAGUACUAGUCAACUCUAUUAUUUACAAUCAUAUAACACAACAACUAAAAAUAACAGCAGCCAGCCUCAAAUUCCAAACAUGGAGAACUAAAAUUAAUAAUUGGACCAAUUCACAUGAAGAAUGCCAACAAUCAUUCCCUAUCCUAGAAGAGUUAACCAAAAUUGGAAAAGUCAAGCAAGUAUUGAUAUUCACCAAAGAGAUGUUCCUGAACUCAACUACAUCAACUUGAUAUCCUUUUAUUACUAAAACUUGGCAAUAGCAGAAUUAGAAACAGCGAAUCCAGUAUCAAAACUUGGUAUUCAUAUAAAAACUGAUCACUAGUAAAAGUAAAAAGAAAAUAAACGAAAAAAUAGAACAAAUAACAACGAAAAUAAAGGAAAAAAAAACUAAAAACUGAACACCAGAAAUACAGCGUACCACAGCUCUCCCCCCACACCUAAAUCCGACACUGUCCUCAAUGGAGGUAAUAUAGCAAUUAAAGCGAAGAGAAAAACGAAACUUCCCUCUCAAGCGGCUACGGCAUAGGCGGGAACGGGGGAGUGAAGCAGACAUGGUGGAAGUACGCGGCCAGGUUCUUAGAGAUUGGAGCCACCUGGUUGGCGAUAUGCAUUACUUGCUCAUCCGCGUGGUGAACCUGAUCUCGGAAGUGGCGCCACUUAGCAUCAGAGGCCAUCGGUGGGAGAGGCCACUUAGCAAAUUCAAAACAAUAACAAUUUAAUAGCCACUGGUGCCUCCCUCGUAGACAACCCAAUCAACAAAAUGCACAACCUAGGCACCUAGAGACUAUACAAAUAUCCCAACAAUACAGCAAUUUGAAUGAAUAUGCACUGGGUCUCCCAUUCAGUCAAAAUAAGAUCAAGGGGCACGAUACAGAAACUAACAAAGCAGAACUAGGGGAAAGGGGAAAGCAGCGGGGAAGAAGGAAGAAAGAAAAAGAAGAAAGAAAGAAAGAAAGAAAAGAAAAAGAAGGAAAGAAAAAAGAAAAGAAAAAAAAAUAGUUUUUUGGGAUUUUUUUUUUUAGUUUAGAAUUUGAAUUUUCCAAAAUAAAAUCGCAGGUUACAAUGGAAAGUAUUUUUUUUUAUUUUUUUCUAAAAAAAAAAUUUUUUUUUUCAAUAAAGAGAAAUAUAAAAAUAUAAAAAUUUUUCUUUUGUCUUUGGGUCGUCAAACACCGCGUGGGCACGCCAAGAUUGACAAACGUCCACUGAUCUCAAGAGUCACAAACACCGCGUGGGCACGCCAAGAUUGCACUUCCUGCCACAGUGGAGAAAAAUAUGAAGAUCGAUUACUACUCAACUGAGAAACGAAAAACGAAAGAAAUGAACAACGAAAAAUAAUAAAAUCAAUAUUUGGGUUGCCUCCCAAAAAGCGCCUUUCUUUAAUGUCUUUGGCUAGACAUUAUUAUGUUUUUUUUUCAUGGAGGAUAAAAUCGUGUGGCUCGUCUCAAUGCUUCAUCUUCAAUGUGAUCCUGGUAAUCCUCAUAGAUGGAGUAAUCUUUGAACACACGAGCUACGGUCUUCCAUGGAGUAGUAGAUGGCGCCAAAUAAUCAAGCAGUGAUCUCAAUUCUUCAUCCACUCCUCCAUCAAGAGCACUCAACGGUUCAAGAUAUUUGACCAUAGAUACUCUUAACUCAUUCCUGCCAUGAGACUCAAGAACUUCCGGUAUAACAAAAUCAAUCUCAUUAACAGAAAUUGUAGAGUCAGAGUUAAGAAAAUGCGGGUUAGGGAAUGGAGAUAGUGUCACCACAUUUGAUGAUUCUUCACUGGAUUCUUUCACUUGAAUGGGUUGCGGUUGGGGUUCCAUUUCUUCCUUUUCGGCUUCUUUUUCAACUGCAUCUGUACAUCUCUCUUCUUGAAAAUCUUGCAGCUCCUCAUCACUAGUCAGGCGAAUUGCACUCUCAUUUUCAACAAUGGUUUUCGAGGGCAAUUCUUCAAAUUGAGAAGCCAGUCGAUUUAUUCUGAAUGUCAAUAGACACAUUUGAUCUUCCAGAUUACUCAUUGCCUCCUUCAUCAUCUCAUUUCUCCUUUGUGUCUCCUGUUGAAAUUGAUAUGUAUUAAUAGCUAUUGAUUCAACUAUUUCUUCAAGAGACAUACCUGACAUAGAUGACGAUUCUUGAGACUCAUACUGCUGAAAAUUCAUUGGCCCCGUUGUAUAAUUAUAAUCGGAGUUAUCCCACCAUUCUUGAUCAUACCCGUUUGGAUUAGGGUUAUACCACGUUUGAGACCAGGGUGAAAAAUCUCCAUAAUUAUUGAGGGGGACACUCAGAUUAUCUUGAUAUUCGGGGCACAUACCGGUUGAAUGAUCCCUGGCAUAACAAAUUUUACAGGUUGCAGCAGCCAUUCUUUCUCUAAUAGAGUUUAGUGCCUCUGAAUAUGCAAACUUAGCAAAAAAACUAGUCUCAUCGCCUUCCCCGGAAACAAGAUCCAGACUAUCACCAAAAUAUGGAGUGUUAGAAGCCAUAAACUAUAUAAAAAAAAUAUGAGAAAAAUAAAAAAAAAUAAAAAAUAAAAAAUAAAAACAAAAUGAACUAAAAAAGAAACAAAUUAAUCUGACACCAGUCCCCGGCAACGGCGCCAAAAAUUGACAGGUGCCGAACCUGUGCAAUAAUAAUUACCUACUCAAGAAAAAUACAGAUUUUGUAUAUAGCGGUGAGUAGGGUCGAAUCCACAGGGACUGGGGAUAAUUCGUUUCUUCUGGAGUCCAAAGUGUGGGGGGUUUUGGAUUAAAUGCUAACUAAAUAAAUUAACUGUAGAAAAUAAUUAAUUAAAAGAAAUAAUUGUGGAAACUCUAGCCAAGGGUACACAUCAGAAAUGGUUCAUGCAACUGAUCAUCGAUUCAAAUAUAAUUCCAACAUUUAUUAAUAGAUUAGUUAUAGUUGUCAUGCACGCGAUAAACAACCAACCUUUCCUUACUUUUUCGAUAGUUAAGGUACGACCGUUAACUAUUUCUCUAACCCAAAAACAACCCUAGGUACGACCGUAGGAUUUAAUUUCUAGAUUGCAUUAAUAAUUAGAAAGGCCCAAUCCUAACUAACAAACACGCUACGAGGGUUUGUUUAAGUUAGAUCGUAUGCUCCUCUGACAUAAACCCAAUUACGCCAGUUGCUACUGAGACAAAGAUAACGAACAAUUACGGAUUCAAUUAUCCCUAUUUAGCAAAAUAGCCUAUGUGAAUAAUUAAAUAUUGCGCAUCUAUUCAAUCACUCACACGAGUUAUAGCAAUUAAAAGCAGGAAACAUAUAAAUACCAAUAAAUUAAGGAAGCAAUUAAAAUCAAUUAGAUCUCACAGUAAUUGUUGAACCAAAUCUUCAGUUGUCCCCUUAACUAGAAUUAAGAGGUUAGUCCUCCAUUAAUGGAGAACAACCAUGCGAAAGAGCUAAGAGAAGAAAACUAAAAACUAAACUAAAAACCUAAAACUAGUGAUUGAUAAGAGUUCUCUGUACGUUUGUCUCCUUUUUAAAGCCAAAAGGAAGUCUAAUGCUAUCUCUAGUGGUCCCCACACCAAAUUCAAAGUCUUGUACGUUUCUUUUCCUAGAGUCCAAAUGACUCAUGCUUCUUAUCCGUGGUCUCCGCACAUGUGGACAAAUCCUCCAAAGUACUUGUUGUUCCAAAUCUCUCUACGUUGCUUUCUUUGAAAAGCCCCAAAUGACUAAAUGCCUUGCACUAACUUGUGGUCCCCACCAAUUCAAGGACCCAAAGGUUGAAUCCCUUAGAAGUCUGCAUUUUUCCAUACAAGUCCCUCCUUUUUGGUAAUUUUCUGUUUCACUCCUGAAAUUGAUUCCAAAUACCAAAUAUGAGUAAAUAUCAGCAAUUAACACAAUAUUUGUCAGGGAUAGAAGGGGAAAUCAAUAAUAAAAUUACUAACAAAUUAUACCCUAUCAUAAAUGGAAUUUCCAAGUAGAUUAAAUAUUAAUUUAAGAAUACAAAAAAAAAAUUCAUAAAGUUCUUCGGAUGGCUUUUGGAAAUUAAGUGUAGCUACGGUAAGAGGAAAUUCUUGGAGUCUCGUACUGUCAAGGCACGAAUCUAAACUUGAACUUCUUAAGUUUUGCUUUUGGAGAUGAUUCAUAGAGAUGAUUUCUAAACAAAGGUAUUAAGGAAUAUUUUCAACAAAAUCGAUGUUUGGCGUUUACUUCUGUACUUGUUGAAACAAUCUCAAUCUAAAUCGUUGUCGCUAAUGUAUAGAAUAUAAUGACUUCGUUUGCCUUGUAGUUUUAUGAAUUGGACUAUUUAGCUUUCAUGGCAAAAAUACAGAAUUUUAGUAAUAACAAUUCCGUUCCGACAAAUGGGAUUUUUGUCUAUAAUUUGGAGGUCACUUGUUUGAACGCAUUAACAAUACUAACACAAUCUGAUAAUCAAUAUUGCAAAUCGUGACUUAUGGGGUGAUAAAAAUUUUAACCCAAUUAUGGGCAAGUGAUGAGAAGUGUUGAAAAGGAUUCCUUAUUGACGUGAAUACUUUCUAACCCAAUUGCCCUUUUUUGUAGAGACUUGGACCGGAGUAAUCGUUUGAAAUACAUGUAUUUUCGCAGUGUCUCUGAGGAUCUUGGUCAUUGUAGUUUGUAAGUAUGUGUUAAAUCCAUUUUUGCUUUGUAUCAUGUUAUUUGUUGUGUAUCUGUUUCCUUGUUUUUUCUCAUGAAGGAACAGAUAAUAUAUCAAGGACAAAACCAUAUAACGGUUAGAACAUAGCUCUGAUGUUUGCAGUUAGGUUACUUUGUUCUCAUUUUCUCUCUAGGAUCUAUUACGAGGCAAAAACCCUGUUUGAUAAUUGAAUUUGGUAUUUAAACUUUAUCGAUUCAAAUUUUAAUAUGUUCGGAUAUGUUUAAUAACUAAAAAAUAUAAUAUUUGAAUUAAUUGAAUGACACUGAAUUUUUUAGACAAAACUUGCUCGCAAAAAUAAGUAAUAGACUAUUCAUUAUUAUUUAAUAUGACAUAAAUUCAAAUAUAUCAGAUUUAGUCAUUAUUUGAUAAUCCAAUUCAUCACUUAAAAUUAAUGGAUUCGGAUCUUAAUAUAUUUAAACACGUUUGAUAAUGAAAACUUGAACAUCUUAAUUCAUUGAGUGGCACUAAAUUUUGUAAGUAAAACUUGCUCCUAAAUAUAAGUAAUAAACUAUUCACUUAUCAUUUAAUGUGAUAUACACUCAAAAUAUAUGAUAUUUAGUAUUUAAUAAUUUAAUGGAUUCAGACUUUGGAUUUUAGGUUUCAAAUUUCAAUUUUUAGAUUUCAAUUUUAUCAAACGCACCCUUAGUACUUAACAGUUCAAUAACUUAAUGGAUUCAAACUUUAAAUUUCAGAUUUCAAUUUUAUCAAAUGCACCCAAAGUUGAAGAUGAAUAAGGUUGACUAGAUAAUAGAAUCCUCAAUUUUGAUCCCUUAGACAAAGUUAGUUUCUAAAAUGUUUGUUAGGCUGUAUUCUUCAUUCUAAAGGCUGUGUUCCAAGUUUAAACAUCCCAUGAAACCUGAUAGAUUCUUCAUUCUUUAUUUUUAUUUAUCUUUUUUUGGGAGAUUAUCAAAGAAAAAGAAGUAAUAAUGAAACUGAAAUUACUGUUCAGGAAAAAAACGUUACUAACUAUUUGUAGACAAUGAAAUUGUUGUUUAAAAUUUCAGUCAAGAUAAAAUAAAUUGGCCUUUGAUAGAUUAAAUUAAAUCAUAUUAAAUUUUGUCAAAUCCAGUAACUUUUGCCGUGACAAGUUAGGCCCAUGCCAUGUUGGUCUCAAUAUAAAGUUGUAAGGUCCAUUUAAAUUGAAGUGGAUUAAUUAAUUUAUUAAUUUAAAGUAGACUAUUGGGCAAAUGUGUUAUUAAAACCCAAAAUAAAUAGGUUUUGGGUUACGCAGGAAGAUUCUGGAGGAUUUCUUGAAGACCAAGUCUACAUAUUUUGGCUGUAAAUAGAACAUAUAUUGAAAUUCCUAAAUUGUGAAAUAAAAUUGUCUUAAAAACUCUCAAGAACUAAGAGAACUGAGAAAUCACAUAACAAUAAAUGUUUCAGGAGCUUCCAUUAAUGUAUUUCUCAUACAAUAUUUUGAAGCUCCAAAAUUAUUCAAAAUCUAGAUCUUCUUUCUCAAACGCUUCAAGGAUGAGCUAAUGAUAUAAUAUUUAUUUUCUGACCUCUAUGGUUUACUUUAAGGUAAGACGUAUUUUGUAUUUAAUUUCAAGUAGAAAAACCUAAAAAAUAAAAUAUUUGGAGUAUAAUGUAGAUGAAUUUUCCAAAUUAAAAUCUUACGUGUGAAGUCAAGUAUGAAAGCAAGCAGCAGAUCAGGCAAUUCUUUUGGAGCACUUGUAGGCAUAGUUAUUAAACCCGGCCCGGAAGGGAACCUAGCGAAAGAGGUGGGUGAACGGGUUACUGGUUCAACCAGUGGGUGAGUGGUUCAACCGGUGGGUCACGAAAUAUAUUUAAAUAUUAUGUUUCAUAAUUUUUGAUAUGAUUAAAACUAUAAUAAAUAAUGUCAUAGUAAAUGCUCAAUUAGUCUAAUUCAUUAUAGAAUCAUUAAUUCUUAUAAGAAUUAACAAAACCUAAAUUCAAUUAGUAAUCUAUCAAAUUUCAAGUAUAAAAUUUUAUCGAAGUAUAAUUAUCUAGUUUAUUUGUGAAUUAAAUGCAAAAGAUUAUUAGGAACGAUAUUUGCCUUUACAAUGGAUUGUGUGAUAUGUUAUUUUUUAAAUUUAUUUCAUAAUUUAUAGAGUUUGGGGAGUAAUAAAAUUAUUAAAAGAUUCCAAAUAAAUUAUGUUUUGAAAAAUUAAAAUAAGAAUGAAAGUCUAAUAUAUAAUAUAAAAAAGACAAAAUAAUCAACAAGUGAGCUGUUGGUGUAGUUGUUGUUGCGUUUCCUCAAAUACAAGAGGUCGCUGGUUCAAGGUAUUACCAUAGUUGUCAAAAUCGUGAUCCGGAUCGUAGGAUCGUACGUCGCAAAUCAUAUUAAUCUAUGCAGGAUCGCGUAGGAUCGUAGUAGGAUCGGUAGGAUCGUAGGAUCGAUCCUACAAUUUUUUGUAAAUUUGUGAACUACGAGGCUCCAUUUUGCAAGUAAAUGAAAAUAUUUGUGGUAUAUUUGUAAUUUAUCAAAGAAUUGCAGCCUUUAAUUGCAAUUAAGAGCUUUUGGUAGGAUCUACGAUCCGAUUCUGUGAAACUAAAAUCGAUCCUACGUAGGAUCCCGAUUUUACAAACCUCGUAUUACUCCAGCAUCUUCCAAACAUUUUUAACAUGCAAAUUGAGUUUUCCUACAAAACCGGGCGGUUUACCGAAUUGACCUUUUUAUAUUAUAUUUUUUUCUCCAGCAUCUUUUUUUCUAUUCUAUACACUUUUUAUUUCAAUAAAAUUAGCAAAUACAUGACAACUAAAUAAUUUUCAUCCCACCGGUUGUUACAUUCAUUUAUAGAGUCUCAAACAACAAAUUGACAAGUAAAGCCUGAUUGGGUGGUUGCUACAUUAUUGUACGUACAAUCAUUCAGAUUUUUUUUUCCCACAGAACGGCCCCAGCAUUCAAUGAGAGAUGGUGAAGGCUCCAGCAACAAGACAGUUCAAGUGAAAAAGCCAAGCAACUUCCAGGCAAAAACAAUUAAAAAACAAUUGCCAACAAAACACUGCCACUACACUGAUUGUGGGCUCAUAAUCUGUCAUAUAAUUAUUGCUAUAAGCAUGUGCUGGAAGCUAAGGUGAUGCAUGGGUUAACAAAAAACAAGGAAUGGGUACAAGAAUGCAUAAUUCGCGUGAUUGUUAGCCUAUGUUUAGGAUUCAUGAUACUGGACUCAAUAGUCUUGGCUGUGUAAACUUUAGAGCCAAUUUCUCAAUGAUAUUACAUAUUAAGUAAAGUAAAUAGAAGUCUCAAAAUUUCAUUGUCUUAAAACGUUUGAUAUAAUUCGAGAAUUGCGAUCACAAAAAAAAAAAAAAAAAAAAUCUCUGUAAUAAAAAUUUGUCGACUACUCGGAUUGCAAAAACCAUAUGUGAGUGUCUUUUUUGCCAUUCGUUUUGGGUGGACGACAACUGCGGUUUAAUUUUUUCCACAACAAAGGCCCCACAGCACUCUGAAGACCCAAGUCUUCUCUUAAUAGCCGUCUACUAUUCGUUUUGGCGAUUCCUUCCUUAUCUCAUCGCAGAAAGCAUCCCCAUCACCAUCAUCCAUAUCAGAACUCUUUCAUCCUAAUUCCAAUCCCAAGCAAGAAAAAAUGGUUGAUGCUGCUGUUAGAGCUACCAUUAAGGUUGGAUUGAACACGGUUGUUUCCCUUGCCGCUGAUCAUGUUAAUCUGGCUCUUGAAUUCCCAGAGGAGCUGGAGAGACUCAAAGAUUCUGCUGCAAUGAUCCGAGGCUUCUUGGCCGGUGCCGACAAGGACAUGCGUAGACCAGAGGUGCAAAUUUGGCUCGAGCAGCUGGAAGAUGAGGUUUUCAAAGCUGACAAUGUGCUGGACGAGCUCAACUAUGAAAAUCUUCGUCGGAAGGUGAAGUAUCAAAAUCAAAAUCAACUCACGAAGGUAUUCUUCUGCUUUUCAUUCUUUAAUGAAAUUGCUUUUCGUUGGAGGUUGGGUUCAACGAUCAGGGGGGUCAACGCGAACCUUGAAGGGAUCCAUGGGCGUGCCAGAGGUUUGAGUCUGGAGUGCAAGGGCCAAUCUGAAGAAGCAUCGGGAGCCACAGCAAACCGACAGACCGACUCUAUGAUUGUUCCAAGUGAUGUCAUUGGAAGACACGAGGAUGAAUCAAAAAUAGUUGACAAGUUGUUGACCCAAUCUAAAAGUGAUCGUAUUUCAGUUAUUUCCAUAACCGGCCCGCCAGGAUUAGGAAAAACAACUCUAGCUAAAGCCGUUUUCAACAAUCCACAGUUUGAUAAUCAUUUUGACAAAAAAAUUUGGGUUUGUGUGGCUAAACCGGUUAACAUCUUGCAGCUCUUCAAAAUGAUUCUAGAAACGUCAACAGGAAAAAAGGCUGAAGUGGAUAAUAGGCAAGUAAUAGUUAAAGGAAUUGAAACUGAACUUAAGGAAAAAAGAUAUUUGCUUGUUCUUGACGAUUUGUGGAAUCAUCAACAACUAUUGUUGGAUAACUUUUUCACCACAUUUAAGGCACUCGAAGCGAAGAAAGGGAGCUGGUGUCUUGUUACCACUCGUCUAGAACAUGUGGCAACUACUCUGUCUGGACUUCCGCAGAUCAAUUUUACUCGCCAUAAGCUAGCAAAGCUAUGCAGUGAUGGUUGCUGGUCCAUCAUUAAUAAAUGGGUAAAUGUAGGGGAAGAAGUACCAAAAGACAUAAAGGAGCAAGUUUUAGGAAGAUGUAAGGGUCUACCUCUGGCAGCAACGUUAAUUGGAGGUUUGUUAUCUAACAAGGGAAUAGAGGAUUGGCUAUCUAUUUUGAAGGAGAGCCUCUUGAAUGGAGAUCAGGGUGGGAUUGAGCAAAUAAUUAAGGUGAGUUUUGAUCAUCUGUCACCUGCACCGGUUAAGAAAUGCUUUGCAUAUUGCUCAAUUUUUGAUCAAGAUACUGACUUGGAACAAGAUCUACUAGUUGAGCUUUGGAUGGCUGAAGGCUUUCUUCAACCGGAUUCCCAAAAUCAAACGAUGGAGGGAAUGGGAUGUGAGUAUUUGAGAAUUUUGCUGCAAACUUCCUUAUUGGAAGAAGUAAGACGUUGGAGGGGAACUUGGUAUAAAAUGCAUGAUCUUGUGCAUGAUUUUGCAAAAUCAAUUUUGAAUCGUAACAGCCGCAAUCAGGACCGUUACCUUGCGGCAUCUGAAAGAAUGUUAGAAAACAUGAACGAAAAAGCAUCAGCAUCACUUCGCACAUUAUUUCUGGACGGUGGCAUAGCUGAUGAUAUGUUAUCAAAGUUCAAAUACUUACAUGUCCUAAAAUUGUUUGGAGAAGAUGUCAAAGAGUUGCCGACCUCCAUUGGCAAACUAAUACAUUUACACUUACUUGACAUAUCAGGUUCUAGCAUUAGAACUUUGCCAGAAUCUCUUUGCAAACUUUACUGUUUGCAAACACUGAGAAUUGACGCGCUUGAAAAAGGUUUUCCAAAGGAGAUGAGCAAUUUGAUUAGCAUGAGACAUCUUCACUAUUUUCAUGAUGAUACAAGAUGCAAAAUCAAUUUGAUUAGCAUGAGACACCUUCACUAUUUUCAUGAUGAUACAAGACGCAAAAUCCAAAUGCCAUCCGGGAUUGGACGAUGGACUUGUCUUCAAACAUUGGAGUUCUUUAACAUAGGUCGUCAAGAGGAAGGUCGUGGUAUCCAAGAGCUUGGAACCUUGGAAGAUCUUAAAGGCUCCUUGGAGAUCAGAAAUCUUGAAUUAGUAAAUGGCAAAGAUGAUGCUGAACUGGCGAACCUAUCUAAAAAGCCAAAUCUGUAUCGGUUGGUAUUUGAGUGGGGCAAUAGGGAUCGGGAAAGUAAUAAAUGCGAUGAAAAUGUGUUGGAAGGCCUCCAACCUCACCCAAAUUUAAAAGAGUUGCAUAUCCGGAAUUUUAGGGGUGAACAGAUUCCACAAUGGCUUGUGAACUCAUCAACAUUAGUGGAAUUGUACUUUGUCAAUUGCCAUGUUUUGCUGGCAGAAAAGGUUUUGAGCAAUAUAACCACACUCUCGUCCCUUAAAUUAAAUGGUGACUUAAAUCUCUUUGGUAAUCAACGCGUCGAGUCUCUAAAAUUAGUGAUACGACCAGAGAGCAGCUUGAGCGACUCUGUCUUUUUCCAACUCUUCAGCGUGUAGUAUUGGGGGAUGCCCAUAAUGUAACAACAUUAAGAGGAAUGAGUUGCGCCGCUUGUCUUAAGAGAUUGGAGAUAGACCGUUGCAAGAAUUUACGAGAGUUGCCAGAAGAUCUGUAUCAAUUUCAAGCUUUAGAGCACUUGGCGAUACGGGGUUGCCGGAGAAUUGAUUCAUUUGGAUAUCCAAAUCCUAAAAAUUCAUUUGGACAGAAAGGCCUCCUUAAGUCUCUUGAGCGAUUUACUGUCGAAAGGUGCGGUGCAUUAACAAGUUUGCCAGUGGAGAUGUUCGAGUCGUGUACGUCUCUCCGAAAGCUGAAUUUGUCCAAUUGCCGCAGUCUGGUCUCCUUUCCCCUUGAUUUGCGACGAACCCCUUCUCUUGAGAGCUUCUCAUUAUACUGGUGUGCCAACUUGAUUGCUGGGAUGCCUAGUGGAUUUGGCUAUCUUACCAGCUUAAGGGAAGUGCACAUUGGUCCCUUCUCAGAUUACUCAGUAAUCGAAUUUGAUUGGGCUGGAUUAGCAUCUUCAUCAUCACUCCGACACGUGUCUUUUCGUGGAACGCCUGAAUUGAAAUCUCUGCCACAUCAGCUUCAAGACUUGACUACCAUCACAUCACUGUCUCUACAUCUCUUCGGAGCAAUCGAGGCCUUACCAGAUUGGCUUGGGAACCUUGCGUCUCUUGAUGAGCUAAUCCUCCGUGGAUGCCCAAAGCUUGAAUAUUUACCCUCCGUAGAUGCCAUGGAACGCCUCAAAUUAAGACGUCUGGAAAUUGACGGUUGUCCUCUAUUAACCGGAGGAUGCACACCUGAAAGCGGCUCCGAGUGGCCCAAGAUCUCUAAUAUUUCAGAGCGUGAAAUUUAUUGAUCCGGUAAGAUCUCAUCUCAAAAUUUUAAUUAAUUCCUUCUCAUUAUUGGAUCAUCUUAUUCUACCCGUAUUUCUCCGGGUAUACCUUCCAUUCCUAUUUUAUUGACAUUAAAACUUAAGUAUAAGAUUAAAGCCAUCAUAUCUUAUAUAACACAGUAAGAAUCCCAAUACACGAAAGAAGUAGUAGUGUUUUGCUGUUAAUUUUCUUGUUUGCUUAUUUUCAAUUAUAUUCCUAAAAUGCAUUUUAACUUGAGUAACAGAAAUAUGUGAAACAAAUGAAUGACAAUUUUGGAACAUUAACUUAUCCAAAUAAUUGUAAUAUACUUUCUAAAUUAAAACUUAGAUAAAAACUACUAACAUUAUACAUACAACAAAUAAUUAUCAAUCUGAUACAACUACUUAUAUUGUUAAGAAUAUGUAAAAUAAAUUUGCAAAUCACAUGACUAAUAUACUCUAUUCUAAAUCUAGAAAAAAUCAUAAAUUAGAACUAAAAUCAUUAGCAAUUACAAAUAAAUAAAGAAAUUCAUACAAAUAAAUUAACAAAUCUUUUCUGAAAUAGCCAAUAUGUACUUCUGAGGUUUCGGCCGAACCAAAGUGGUGUCGGAAAGAAACACAUUCAAAAGUUGAAUUGAUAUCUUUAAAAGCCCACUACACUCAACAGCACUUGAAGGUGACAAUUUUUGGUUUUUACCGCUAGCAUUUAACGGGUGGAUAUGUUCUUAAUAUUCUCUCUGUAAGACUCUGAAUUAUGAUUGCCGUAAAAUUAGCUCAAUGUCGAUUAAGUUGAAAUUGUUUGCAGAGGAACUAGGCUGCUGCUAAAACUAUAAAUUCUUAUCAUCUUUUAAAAUUUUUGAAAUUCAGAUACUAUAACUAGCUACUUUUCUAUUUUGUGAAUUGGAUUGAUAAUAUUAUGGCCUUGUAGGCCACAAGUGUCAGUGAAGCAGCAAGCAGUGAUAGCGCCGAAACAUUGUGAAAGGCUCAAAAGUGUGCUUAAGGCAGAGUCGGCCUGGAACCUCUAGAGCAUCUUAUUGCACUUUUCGCAUUCUCUAACUGCAACAUCAGGUUGUGGUUUCGAAUCAUUUUUGAAGAAAGAUGAGGAGGUAUGUGGUUUGGAAAUGACUCCACCCAACUUACUCGAAGUACAGGGGAAUUGGUCCAGUUUGUAUCUGACAUAGAUGAUGAUUCUUGAGACUCAUACUGCUGAAAAUUCAUUGGCCCUGUUGUAUAAUUAUAACUGAAGUUAUCCCACCAUCCUUGAUCAUACCCGUUUGGAUUAGGGUUAUACCACGUUUGAGACCAGAGUGAAAAAUCUCCAUAAUUAUUGAGUGGGACACUCAGAUUAUCUUGAUAUUCGGGGCACAUACCGGUUGAAUGAUCCCUGGCAUAACAAAUUUUACAGGUUGCAGCAGCCAUUCUAUCUCUAAUAGAGUUUAGUGCCUCUGAAUAUGCAAACUUAGCAAAAAAACUAGCCUCAUUGCCUUCCCUGGAAACAAAAUCCAGUCUAUCACCAAAAUACGGAGUGUUAGAAGCCAUAAACUAUAAAAAAAAAAUAAGAGAAAAAUAAAUAAAAUAAAAUAAAAACACGAUGAACUCAAAAAGAAACAAAUAAUCUGGCACCAGUCCCCAGCAACGGCGCCAAAAAUUGACAGGGUGUCGAGCCUGUGCAAUAAUAAAUACCUGCUCAAAUAAAAUAUAAUUUCUAUAGAUAGUGAUAAGUAGGGUCGAAUCCACAGGGAUUGGGGAUAAUUUAUUUCUUUUAGAGUCCGAAGUAUGGGGGGUUUUUUUGGAAAAUAUAAAAUAACUAAUUAGCUAACUAAUAAAACAACUAAUAGAAAUAAAUAGAAAUUAAUCAAUAACCAAUAUGACUCUAGCCAAAGGUACAACUUUUCAGACACGGUCCAUGCAACUGAUCAUCGACGCAAAGAUAAUUCAAUUACUCAUUAAUAGAUUGGUUAUAGUUGCCAUACACGCGAUGAACAACCAACCUUUCCUUAAUUUCUCGAUAGUUAAGGUACGACCGUUAAUGAUAGAACCGUUAUUUGGCACGUUUUGCAGUGUUAUUUUGUCCUGAUUUUGGCUAUUUACUGUGCUAAGUACUGAGGUUUAACUUAUAUUUCAUAUUUGUACGAAUUAUAGGUGGUCGGCACUAAAAUGAUCUCUUGAGGCAAAUUUACAGAAGACCCUUUGUCUCAAAGCGUGGCCACGCUUUACAAGGUAGACGUUACCGAAAAGACGGACCGUGGUCCACGUGAACCCGAAGCGCUGGAUUAGAACCUUUAACAAAAAUUGUGGGCCUCCUAACCCUGGAAAGACGUCUCCUACGGCUGCUUCAAAUGAAAAAAGAAUAGGAAGGACCCACGAUGGCUGAUGAAGACUUCAGCUUUUAGUUUUUCUUGGGUUUUUUUUUGUCAGACGCUUUCCGUCGUUUUUGCUUCUUCUUCGGCAGCAAAUUAGAUAGCCAGAUUGACAUUGAAUCAAAAUAGUAGCUUUAGUUUUUCUUUUCCCAGGCGCUAGACGUCGCUUUCCUCUUUUGACUUUUAACUUUUCCGCUGGACAAUUCAUUCGUAGCUUUGGCUUUGUAAUUGGGACUCCAAAGCAGAGACGAAGGCAGGGCCUUUACUGUUGCUAUUGCAGUUAAUUCCCCUUUCCCAAUUCUUUGGCAAAUAAUUGAAUGAAUUCAAUUAAACCACGCGGGAUUGAAAUGAUGAGGAGCGGCUAAUUUUCCCCUCUACCCAAAGGUUGACGCAAGGGCGUGGUCUAUAAUAUCUGUGAGAUCCAAUCAAGCUUUCAUUAUUUCCUCCAAUUUGUUGCUAUUCGUGCGUUUUCUGAAUUAAUUGUUCAUGGGUAUUUUAUUAAUUGAAUAUCAACGGUCGGGUAUUUGAUUUAAUUUAAUAGCCUACUGCCACGUUAAUUAAAUAGAAUCCGUAAUUGUUCAUUUAGUUAAUACCCCGUGGCAACCACCAUAAUUGGCUUUAUGAUGGGGAAACGCAAGAUCUAAUUUAAAUAAACCCUCUCAGCGUGUUUAUUGGUUAGGGUUGGGUUCUUCUAGAUUUAAUGCAAUUGGGUAAUUAAAUUCCUACGGUCGUACCUAGGGUUGUUAUCUGAUUAGGGAAGCAGUCAAUGGUCGUAUCUUGACUGUCGAAAAGGUAAGGAAGAACUGGUUGUCAGAGCUUAUUGAUAACUAUAACCAACCUAGUGAUGAAUAGAUGAAAUAUCUUUGCAUCGAUGAUCAUUUAAUUGGACCGUGUCUGAGCAGUUGAUCCUUUGGGUAGAACUUUUAUUAAUUGCUAUUUUUAGUGAAUUGUGCUUUGUGAGUUAGUUUUGAAUUUAGUUCGCUUUAUUUUUAUUUUACUUUUAUUUUAUUUAUUUCUCUCCCAGUGAAAAUCCCCCAAUUUUGUUCUAUUGAUUUGGAAAGAAAUAAUUUCCUACCCGCUCCCUGUGGAAUCGACCCUACUUGCCAUUAUAUGCAAAAAUUAAUAUUUUUAUAGACAAAUCCGAUAUAUCGGAUCAAGCAAACUCUUCGGGAACAGGGUGAAUCAAGUAACCCAUUGCACACCUAGGGUCCCUGCUCCAGUACUUGGAUUUGUUUUAUAAUUAUUUAAUUGAGGUGGUAAUUAGAACUUUUUUUUUAGUAAUUAUUAUUGCACAGGUUCGGCACCUGUCAAUUUUUGGGGCCGUUGUCGGGGAGUUGGCGUUUGGAUUAUUUGUUUCUUUUUAAAUUCAAUUUUUAUUUUAUUUUAUUUUUCUUGGUAUUUUUGCUAGUUUAUGCCCCGUUCUUCUAGCAUAGGUGAAUUGAUAUACGAUCCUAAGGUUGAGAAGGCAGCGCGUAGGCGGAGGCAAGAGACCAAGAGACGAAAAGAAGGGCACUUAUUUGUUGCAAACGAGUCAGUAGAAGACGAAAUAAGCAUGGCCAACACCCAAACAUUAAGGGAGCUGGCUGCCCCGGAGUUGACUCACCAGCCCUUAUGCAUCACAUUCCCCACUUUGGCAGAGAAUACUGUUUUCGAACUGAAGUCAGGGCUGAUUCACCUCUUACCUUCUUUCCAUGGUCUCUCUGGCAAAGAACCCCACAAACAUGUCAAGGAGUUCGAGGUAGUUUGCUCUAGCAUGAAACCUCCUGGGGUCAUUGAAGAACAAAUAAGACUUAGAGCUUUCCCCUUCUCUCUCAAGGAUGCAGCAAAAGAUUGGCUAUACUACCUACCAGCGGGUAGUAUUACCACAUGGGCACAGUUAAAAAAGAAGUUUUUGGAAAAAUUCUUCCCUGCAUCCCGGGCUGCGAGUUUGAGGAAAGAGAUCUGCGGCAUUAAACAAUAUCCUGGUGAGUCCUUGUAUGAAUAUUGGGAAAGGUUUAACAAGUUGUGCACUAGAUACCCGCAGCAUCAAAUUAGUGAACAACUGUUAAUCUAAUACUUCUAUGAAGGGCUCCAAUCAACCGAUAGGAGUAUCAUUGACGCUGCGAGUGGGGGAGCACUUGCAAACAAGACACCGAGGGAAGCGUGGGAGUUCAUCGAAGCCAUGGCAGAGAACUCCCAGCAAUUUGGCUUCCGUGAGAGCAACCCUCCCCGUAGAGUCAACGAGGUAGAGACUUCAUCUAUACAGCAGCAACUGUCAGAAUUGACGUCUGUUGUUAGGCAAUUAGCCAUGAGAGACACACCGCGAGUGAAGGUGUGUGGAAUCUGUACUAACAUGGACCACUGCACGGACACGUGCCCCAUUUUGCAAGAGGACGGGACGGAACAGGUAAACAUGGCCGGAGGCGUGCCCACGCCCCGCAGACAGUACGACCCAUACUCCAAUACGUACGAUCCGGGCUGGAGGGACCAUUCCAAUCUCAGUUAUGGGAACAGGCAACAAAAUUCAUUUCCGAAUCGUCCACCAAGAUUCCACCAGCCAUGGCAACCAAAAUCUCAACCCUCGUCCUCCAAUUCAAGAAGCUCCCUGGAGGACCUAGUCAAAAGCCCAAAAAUUGACAGGUGCCGAACCUAUACAAUAAUAAUUACUAAAAAAAAAGUCCUAAUUACGACCUCAAUUAAAUAAUUAUAAAACAAAUCCAAGUACUGGAGCAGGGACCCUAGGUGUGCAAUGGGUUACUUGAUUCACCCUGUUCCCGAAGAGUUUGCUUGAUCCGAUAUAAUGGAUUUGUCUAUAAAAAUAUUAAUUUUUGCAUACAAUGGCAAGUAGGGUCGAUUCCAUAGGGAGCGGGUAGGAAAUUAUUUCUUUCCAAAUCAGUAGAACAAAAUUGGGGGAUUUUCACUGAGAGAGAAAUAAAUAAAAUAAAAGUAAAAUAAAAAUAAAGCGAACUAAAUUCAAAACUAACUCACAAAGCACAAUUCACUAAAAAUAGUAAUUAAUAAAAGUUCUACCCAAAGGAUCAACUGCUCAGGCACGGUCCAAUUAAAUGAUCAUCGAUGCAAAGAUAUUUCAUCUAUUCAUCACUUGGUUGGUUAUAGUUAUCAAUAAGCUCUGACAACCAGUUCUUCCUUACCUUUUCGACAGUCAAGGUACGACCGUUGACUGCUUUCCUAAUCAGAUAACAACCCUAGGUACGACCGUAGGAAUUUAAUUACCCAAUUGUAUUAAAACUAGAAGAACCCAACCCUAACCAAUAAACACGCUGAGAGGGUUUAUUUAAAUUAGAUCUUGCGUUUCCCCAUCAUAAAGUCAAUUAUGGUGGUUGCCACGGGGUGUUAACUAAAUGAACAAUUACGGAUUCUAUUUAAUUAACGUGGCAGUAGGCUAUUAAAUUAAAUCAAAUACCCGGCCGUUGAUAUUCAAUUAAUAAAAUACCCAUGAACAAUUAAUUCAGGAAACGCACGAAUAGCAACAAAUUGGAGGAAAUAAUGAAAGCUUGAUUGGAUCUCACAGAUAUUAUGGACCACGCCCUUGCGUCAACCUUUGGGUAGAAGGGGAAAUUAGCCGCUCCUCAUCGUUUCAAUCCCGCGUGAUUUAAUUGAAUUCAUUCAAUUAUUUGCCAAAGAAUUGGGAAAGGGGAAUUAACUGCAAUAGCAACAGUAAAGGCCCUGCCUUCGUCUCUGCUUCGGAGUCCCAAUUACAAAGCCAAAGCUACGGAUGAAUUGUCCAGCGGAAAAGUUGAAAGUCAAAAGAGGAAAGCGACGUCUAGCGCCUGGGAAAAGAAAAACUAAAGCUACUAUUUUGAUUCAAUGUCAAUCUGGCUAUCUAAUUUGCUGCCGAAAAAGAAGCAAAAACGACGGAAAGCGUCUGACAAAAAAAAACCCAAGAAAAACUAAAAGCUGAAGUCUUCAUCAGCCGUCGUGGGUCCUUCCUAUUCUUUUUUCAUUUGAAGCAGCCGCAGGAGACGUCUUUCCAGGGUUAGGAGGCCCACAAUUUUUGUUAAAGGUUCUAAUCCAGCGCUUCGGGUUCACGUGGACCACGGUCCGUCUUUUCGGUAACGUCUACCUUGUAAAGCGUGGCCACGCUCUGAGACGAAGGGUCUUCUGUAAAUUUGUCUCAAGAGAUCAUUUUAGUGCCGACCACCUAUAAUUCGUACAAAUAUGAAAUAAAAGUUAAACCUCAGUACUUAGCACAGUAAAUAGCCAAAAUCAGGACAAAAUAACAUUGCAAAACGUGCCAAAUAACGGCUUUAUCAAAUCCCCCCACACCUAGAUAAUGCUUGCCCUCAAGCAGUUCGGAGCUCAGAAGUACAACCAGGAGAGCAGAGGUCAUGCAGCAGUCUAUACUAACAUAAGCAUUUCAGAUCCCUAACAAUAUCGUCAAAAUUAGAACACACCGGACAGAUUGUAAUUUAAAGAAGAUAUAUGAAUACUAGGAACGCUCAAAUCAACAUCACAGAAUGUCAUUACCAUAGGCUUGCACAUUUAUCACAUCUCCACCACUCAAAAGUGAACUAAAUACAUAAUCAAAGGGACUUUAAUAGGGUUGUAAUGGGGCUUCGGGUGAAAGGCGAGUUAAGAAGGUGUAGAUAGGGGGUAAAGUGUCAAGAAAAUGUCCGAAAUUCACCAAUAACCACAGUGCCUUACCGGAGGGGUUCCACAAACAAGGCAGUUUUCAUUUGCUGUACACACUGUACAAGUGUCCCCAAUUUUUUUUCUCUUUCUCUCUUUUUUUUUUUUUUUUUGGAGAGAACUGCUCGCAAGGCGUGGGCACGCCUUGUAGCCCUCAGUCCUCUGGUCAAUGGCCUUUUUCCAAUUUCUCCCCCUUUUUACAAGGAUAACAUCAUACAGCUCCCAAUCUAACAGCACUUGCAACCCCAAAUUUUGUUUGCUUUGCACGAAUGAUGGAUUUCAGACAUCCCUUGACAACACAGGGAUAAACAAGAAAGUUUAAAGGGGUUUCGGGUUAACAAACACGGAUAACAACCAAAAGCGAAGGAUAAAGCUCAAAUUGGUUCACUAUUGGGAAACAAUAUGAAUGCAUGAUUUCCUUUCGAAAGCUCAAGGAGGGUCAAAUCCUAAAUGCCCUUAUCAUUUUGAAUGCAUAUAGUUCAACAUAAAUGUGGUCUUGACGUGUACAAAAUAGCAAGUUCUAGAAUGUUCAUACCAUGUGCGAUACCCACUCAAUCAAACAAGAAUAGAGCAAACAAGAAUAAUAUGCUCAAACAAGGCUCAAAAGCUCCCCAAAAGUUUCAAGAAUGGGUCAAUUCCAGCAUAUUCAACAUUCAACGACAUUGCUUAGGGAAACAAAAUGCAUAGCUAGCAUACUUGACCACAUAACCACUCACUUUGAUUGUGUCAUUCAUCAUAGCAACAUGCCCCAACACUUAACAAGCAUAGAAAUAACCAAAAAACCGACUAACUACCAUUUUUUUUUCAUCAUUUUGUUUUUUCAUGUUUUUUUCCCUUUUUUUUAUGAGUAACAAAGCAAAAAGAACUAAUGAAAAAGAGAAAGAACUAAUGAAAAAGAACUAAUGGAAGCCACUCCCCCCACACCUAAUACCUACAUUGUCCUCAAUGUAGAAUAGACAAAUAAAGUAUUUAGGAGGAAAGAAGAGAAACUUUCCUGACCACUGGGGAGGGAAAACGAGAUACUAAAGUGGAGGGGGGUGACGCGGGGUGAAUCCAAUGUGCGCGAAGAAGGCCGCCUGAUUCUCUGCCUGAAUGCGGGCGAAGACCUGGAGCGCCAUAAGACGGCCAUCUAUUCUCGACAGUUGGGUGUUGAGCUUAUCAACAGAAUCUUGGAGGUCCGGGUAGCAGGGGUCCCCAGCAAGAGGAGGAUGAGAGGAGGACGGACCCGCCUGAUCCGGAUGGGGUGGUGAGUCAGUGGAGGGUGCAGUGGGAGGCUCCCGAGGCUGCGGCCCGUCCUCACCAGGGAGCGUAAACUGGUAGACGUCUCCCGCCUUGAAAAUAACUCCCAUUCGCUCCAAACUUCACAAAUCAAGUGGCUCAAUUUCUCGAGCUAGGGUGAAGUUGUGCUCCUUGUCGAGGUCUAGCAAUCCCAAUCGGAUGGCCAAGUGGGUAAUGAGCGAGCCUAGGAUAAUCGGUUUACUGCGCUUGUGAAUGACUGACUCCAUUUGAGUGGCUACCCAACAUCCAAAAUUAACCUUAACAUUGUUGCGCAUGCACCAAAGGAAGUAGAAUUCUGCUUUGGUAAGGGUGCCGGAGGAAUCAUUCCGCCCCGAGAAAUUGUGAGCCAAGAACCUGUGGAUGACCUUCAAGACCGGAUUCUUCAGUUGAGAGGCCUUGGACUGACUCGGAUUAUAAACCUGCCGAUCCGUGGACCACUCCCUCCAGAUGUCGAUAUACUCAGUUUUGAACGGUCUGGUGUAGUUACAAGCACUAUUGAUAUAAGCUCCGGAUGCAACGGUAUCCUCACUGACAAACCCCAAAGUCAGAUUGAACUCAUUGAUGGAGAAAUUAUACUGUGUGCCUUUUAAUCUAAACUGAAUAAUCUCCGGCUCAUCCAAAGUGAUGUAUUCAUUCCUGAUAAACUCAAAAGAGCAGUAGAAUUCACAACAAAGCUCCUCAAACGUGGGGUAGUUAAUGCUCAGAUACUUUUUCCAGCCUAUCGCCGAGAACAACUGCUCAACCUCCCGUGCAAUUCGCAGAUGGUCCAGGGUUGGGGCAUGGAAGCACUUACAAGGGGCAAAAGGUCGAUGCACCAAGGUGUUAAACCGGUCCUGUUGGACCCUUGUAAGAUUAGUGAUCGGUUCCCCCCACUCCCCAGGAGACAUGGUGCUCUUAUUCAGGCCCAAACGGGACCAAAUGGGGGGUUGAACCGUGGCUCGUCUCUUACGCGGUUGGGAGCCAGACGGCCCAGCAGUGGUUGCCUUCUUAGGCGGCAUUUAGGCACCACAGGAAUAAUAAAUCAGCUCAGAGACAGCCAACCAACCACCAAAAGCAGAUAGGGGACCACAGUCAACAAAAAUUACUGAAUAUUCAGCAGCUCAACAACAAAAGGGGACACAAUUACCCCACCAAACAACGACCAGACAACAAACACCACCCAAUGCCCCACUGCCGUCAAUUAGCCGACAACAAUAAAGAAGACCGAUCCAACUCCCCUCAAAGCAAGAUAUCAGUCAAUAAAAAUCUACAAUCAGCGAGCUACUGCCCACUUGAACCAAAAUAUAAUUUCACCAGAGCCCACAGAUAUCCUAACAUAGAUAAUGAAUGAAAAGGCAGAUAUGACGGCUCUCACUUUCAGAUAACAAUCAAAUGGUCCCCCAACCAAAACCAACAAGUAAGUCAACCAGACAGGAGGCAAAAAUUCCCAAUCGAAGUCACCAAUCCAAAAUCCAGCGGCAAAAAUUGUAGUAGAAUAGAGUUACCCAAAUGCACAAGACCGUGGAGAUGACACACGGCAGUCGAGUGAGGCGCGCGAGAGGGGGGAGGUCACUCCGCUGCUGGACUGGGCAAACCGCGCGCGCUGUUCUGCUGGUCGAGUGGGGGCGCGCCUAGGGGAGAAGCUCGCGCGCGCAAGCUGGCACUGGGCUGUGCUUCACAGCUGUUGCGCCUGGCUGACUGCCUGGGUCGCGCGAGACAACUGCUGGCCUGCGCAGGGGAAUGCGGAGCGUGCGCGGGCUGGUGCUAGGCUCUCUGGGCGCGCGGGUGGCGCGCAGGCAGGAGGGUCGCGCGCGCGCUGGGCAUGGGAUAGAGCUGCUGGGUUGCGCACAGAUCUGGUGGUAGUGCGCUAAGGUCGGGCACUGAGUGGGGCUAGCGUCGCGCGCGGCUGGAGUUCUGGCACGAGCAGGCUCUGCACGCGCGCUGGGCGCGGGCUAUCGCGGGCGGCACCGCACGCGGGCUUCUGCGGUUGAGAGGGAGAGGGAGGCGCGCAGGUAGCGUGCCUCUGCUCGCUUGGGCGCAGGUGCGCUGGUGCUUGCGCAGGGGAAGGCGAAGCGCGCGCAACGAGGCACUGUGGAUCUGCUACGGCGGACGAGUCCUUGCGGACGGCAGCGGCGGCGGCGUGACCAAAACAGGGAGAAGAAGUGCAGCGUAGCCAAAAGAAAUUCGGAGGAAAGAGACCCAGACCAGUCAAAGAAGAAGGGAAAGUGGAAGAAGUAGGGUCUUGGUCAAAAAAUUUUUUUUUUUUUGACUUUCGCUAUCGGAGGGGUUGGAAGGCGUGGGCACGCCUUGGAGGAUAUGUUCUUCUGACCACGGCAUCUAAAUGCAGUCCAAACCAAUCUCUGUCAAGGCGUGGGCAUGCCUUGGGGCUGCUAGUCUCUAAUUUUCUCAGGGCACCUGGCGCACUAAACCCCUAUUCUUCUGUCCAUCACCACAAAAACAAUCAAAACCUUAAAAUAAAAUAGAAAAAUUGUAGAGUAAUGAAAAAUGACCACAACUAAUACUGGAAUCCUUGGGUUGCCUCCCAAGCAGCGCCUUUCUUUAACGUCUUUGGCUAGACAUGGCCUUUAACUGUUUAGACUUCACCAUCUGGAUUAUCAGAGAAUAGAACCUCCACUUGCUCACUAUUAUACCCUUCAUAAUAAGGCUUUAGACGGUGACCAUUGACUACGAACCUUUUUUCCGUCUUAAGACUUUGGAUUUCCGCUGCACCAUAAUAAGAAAUAUUAGUAACAACAAAUGAACCAAUCCAACGGGAACGCAACUUACCAGGAAAAAGCUUAAGUCUCGAGUGAUAAAGUAGGACUUUUUGCCCUAUGACAAACGACUUUCUCGACACUUGUUGGUCAUGAAAAAUUUUACUCUUCUCCUUAGAUAUUGCAGCGUUUUCAUAGGCUUCAUUCCUUAGCUCCUCCAACUCUUGUAAUUGGAGCUUCCUAUUUCCUCCGGCCUCCAUAAGGUCCAUAUUACACCGCUUAAGCGCCCAGAAUGCUCUGUGUUCAAAUUCCACCGGAAGGUGGCAAGGCUUCCCAAAAACUAAUCUAUAUGGGGACAUCCCAAUUGGUGUCUUAUAUGCAGUGCGGUAAGCCCAGAGAGCAUUUUCCAACUUCAGACUCCAGUCUUUCCUAUCAGGCCUCACCAUUUUCUCCAAGAUGGACUUAACUUCCCUAUUUGACACUUCGGCCUGACCAUUCGUCUGUGGAUGAUAUGGAGUGGACAUUUUGUGGAGCACACCAUACUUACGAAACAAUGCAGUGACUGUCUUAUUACAGAAAUGGGUGCCCCUGUCACUCACUAUAGCUCUCGGCAUUCCAAAACGGACAUUAGCCCGGGUGGCUUUUGUCUCCACCCAUUUAGAAACAUAGUCAACAGCAAGUAUAAUGUACAAGAAACCAAAAGACGAGGGGAAGGGACCCAUGAAAUCUAUACCCCAAACAUAAAAAAUCUCAACAAAUAAUAUGGGGGUUUGACUCAUUUUGUCUCUACGAGAGAUAUUCCCCACCCUUUGACACUUAUCACAAGAUUUGCAAAACAAAUAUGUAUCCUUAAACAGAGUAGGCCAAUAAAAACCACUUUCUAACACUUUACGAACUGUUCGCUUUGGCCCAAAGUGCCCUCCACAUGCAAAUGAAUGACAGAAAGUCAAAAUAGACUGAAACUCACCUGCACUUACACGCCUUCUUAUCACUUGGUCCGAGCAUUGCCUCCACAGGUACGGUUCAUCCCAAAUAUAGUGUUUGGCAUCACUCUUUAGCUUAUCUCUUUUAGCUUUUGACCACCCUAUCGGUAAUUGAUUUGUUACCAAAAAAUUGACAAUGUCAGCGUACCAAGGUAUUGACGAAUCAAUGGCCAAUAAUUGUUCCUCAGGAAAUGAGUCUCUUAACGGUAGAUCCGCUUGAUUUGUGAGCAACCGGCUCAAAUGAUCAGCCACCAAAUUCUCAACUCCGCUCUUAUCCCUGAUUUCUAGGUCGAACUCCUGCAGGAGCAAAAUCCACCUGAUCAGCCUUGGUUUAGCAUCUUUCUUCGCUAGCAAGUACCUCAAGGCUGCAUGAUCAGAGAAAACUAUUACUUUUGCACCCAAUAAAUAUGACCUAAAUUUUUCUAGUGCAAAAACAACAGCUAGUAAUUCUUUCUCCGUCGUGGAUUAAUUAAACAACAGCUAGCCAAAGGUACAACUUUUUAGACACGGGGCAUGCAACUGAUCAUCGACGCAAAGAUAAUUCAAUUACUCAUUAAUAGAUUGGUUAUAGUUGCCAUACACGCGAUGAACAACCAGCCUUUCCUUAAUUUCUCGAUAGUUAAGGUACGACCGUUAACUAUUUCUCUAACCAAGAAAUAACCCUAGGUACGACCAUAGGAUUUAAUUACUUGACUGCAUUAAUAAUUAGAAAAACCCAACCCUAACCAACAAACACGCUACGAGGGUUUGUUUAAGUUAGAUCAUACGUUUCCCUAACAUGAAACCAAUCACGCUAGUCGCCACUGGUAUUAAUCGAUAGAACAAUUACGGAUUCAAUCAAUUAAUAUGACAGUAGAUUAUUAGGUUAAUUCGAAUAUCGGGCCCUUAACAUUCAAAUAACAAAACAAUCUUAAACAAUUAAAUCAAGAAACGUACAAAUACCAAUAAAUAAAAGAAAUAAAUAAAAUAAUUAGAUCUCACAGAUGUUCGGAACCGAGUCCUCAAAUUGACCUUCGACUAGAUGAGAAACUUAGCCACGCCUCAUGAGAAAAUCUCCACGUAAUUUAAUUGAGGUCCAGGCCAUCAAAGGAACCAAGAAAGAAUAAAACUAAACUAUGCUAAAAACUAAGCUAAAACUAUUGAUCUCCAAAACCUCCUGUACGUUUGUCUUCUUAAAGCCAAAAGAAAUGACUCAAGUUAUCUAGUGGUCCCCACGGAUUAGAAGUCAAGGAGCAAAAGAAUUGGAGCCCUGCCGAAUUGCUUGUUUCCUAUUGCCAGUAGAGCUCUAAUCUCCUAAUCAGCAAGCAAAUGCAGUCCAUCUCUUCCUCUCCUUGUGGGCCAGGUCGAUGGAGCCUUCUUGAAGUCUCCCACUUAUGGAGCAAGUCCCUACUUUUUUGUAGUUUCUUGCUCCAAUCCCUGGAAUUAAGUCCAAAUACCAUAUAUAACCAAAUAUAAGUAGAUAUUAACAAUUAAAACAAUAUUUGGCAGGGACAAAGGGAAAAUUAAUAAUAAAAUAACUGACAAUUAAGACCCUAUCAAGCAUGGUAGCUGGUACUGGAGAGCUAUCAAGGUACAAGACUUGCUUGAAGAAAACUGGACGUGCUAAUUCUCAUGCUGUAAAUUCUAAAAUUCUGCGAGUUGGUAUUUAAUUAAACUCUUUCAAAAUUAGAUUUUUACAAUUCUUUUCUCAUCUUUUCUCUCUAGAAUUUUUCCACUCAAAAUCUCUUUCACCUCUCCCAUAGAAGAGAUCAAAUAUGGUCUUGCCCCAUCAUAAGGAACUUUCUUUCUAGUUUUUUAGUUUCUCUUAUUUAAAUAAAUUCUCUCCAAAAGUUUUUCAAUGAGAGAUUCUUCUCUUUUAAGAUCUUUUAGUGAGAUGCUUUUCUCUCCUAGAUUGUUUUCUUCUAAUGAGAGGCUUUUCUUUCUUAGAUUGUUUUAGUAAGAGUUUUAUCCUUUCCUGAAAUUUUUCUUGUGAGAGUUUUUUUAGUUUUAGUCUUUUUUUUUUUUUGUGAAAUUUGAGAUUUUGUAUAUCUAGGAUAUAGUUUCUUAGAUUUGCAAUUUUCUAUUAUUGUCAAAUUUAAAUUUCUCUUUGAACUUGAACUACUUUUAAUCAAAUCUAACUGUCAAAAGACAUCCACAAAUCAUGCACAUGGCAUGCACAGAUGUAUUGGUUAAAAAACUUUCACAAGGAAAAAUCAAUGAAAGAAUAAAACUCUCACUAUAAUAAUUUAUGAGAGAAUAAACUCUCACUAACUGAUCCUAGGAGAGAAAGAAUAUCUCAUUAGUGAAUCCUAGGAGAGAAUUUAUUCAAACAAGAGAAAAUUACAGAGAGGGUUCCCUCCCUUGGGGAAAGACCACAUUUGGUCCCUCUCUCAUGAGAGAGAUGGAGAUUUUGAGUGAAAGAAUCUAGAGAGAAGGAGGAGAAAAGAGUUUUAGAGGAGGGAUUAAAUUUUUUUUUCUCUAUUUCAUAUCCUAGAAAGGGAAACAGCGUGAUUGUUGCUGGAGUCCUUGAUAUUCCCAUGAUAUUGUGAGAUUUUGGGGUCGAACAUUCUGAAGAAAUCAUCGAUAAUACCAUCUCCAAAGUGAGGUCGAAUGAUGGGUUCAUAAGCAGCUCCUGGUUAUACACUUGCCACUGGUGUUUUUAUCGAAAGCGUAAUUCUUCCCAUAAUCGGCAGCCUCCACAUCAACCCAUUGCACUUCAAUGAUAUCCAAAUAUCCUAUCUUAAAUGCAUGAUUUUUCUCAAUUAUGGUCCUUAGUUCUUCCACAGAGGGCUGAUAAUGUGGAAGGUUGAAAUUGUCAACUGCUUUUUCCUCAAUAAGUCCCUGAUCAAUUACACUUCCUCCAUCAGUUGUCCAGCUAAUUAGUUCCAAAUACGUUUUCAUUAAUGAAAUUAAUCGUUAACGUUUCGAAACAAAGGAAAAAAAAAUAAAUUUUGCUGUGAUAUUUUCAUAAUUGUGUACCUCUGUAACCAUGUCAUUCAUUGUCAUCCCUAACAAAUCAUGAUAGUUAUAAGUAUAGGUGGCAAACUAUGUUUUCAGAACCGGACCGGAUAGCGACUCGGCCAAGGUCAGGGGUCAGGGGUCAAUGGGUUCGACCGGGGGUCGAUAGGGGUCGAACCGGAUGACGUCAUAAAUAAAAAUUAUUUAAAAAUUAAAAUAUUAUAUAUAUCAUAUCUAAUAAUAUAUUGAUAUUAAUAAAGGUAUAUUCAUAUAUAUUUGUUGUUUCAAAUAUAUUUAACAAGAAAAUACAAAGAAAUUAGAACAAUCAAGUAACAAUUUAUAUUAUUUAAUAAAUAUUAACAAGUUUAGAAUUAAAAUUAUGAAUUUAAUUGAAAAAUAACAUCAAAUUGUAGAACAAUAUUUAUAAAGUAUCAAAUAUUUGAGGUAUAUCAAUAAGUUUUAACAAUUUAGGGGGUCAAAACAUAAUAUUAUAAAGUUUGAAUUUUUUUUAAAAAAAUUACUGUUGAACCGGAAAAAUCGGUUUUUUCCCGGUCAAACCCGGUUUUUGACCGGCUUUGACCGGGUUUUAAAAUUUCCGGUUUUCUAAUAUGACUCGGACCGGCUACCUGGCCGAUUCCCGGUUCGACCGGCCGGUCCGGUCCGAGUUUUAAAACAGAGGUGGCAAACCAACCCACUUAACUAAAUUUACCCAUACCCGUCCAUGAAUAGAUGGGUAUGAGUAUCUUAAAAUUUUGUAGAUGGAUAUGAAUUAUAAAUGGAUAUUAUUGGGUAACCCAUCAAACCCAAUUAACCCAUUUAGAAUUCUCUUCCCCUAAGUCUCUUCUCUUCCCCCACCCAUUUUUUUUUUUCAAAUUUUUCAUUUUGUCAUGAUAUUAACUACUUUUGUUUCAUUAUUAUUAUUAUUUGUUGAUUUUAUCUUAUUAUUUUAUUUUCUCUUAGUUUGUUAACUUGCUCAUUUUUUAGCAUUACUAAUUUAUGAUAAGUUUUAGCCUCUUUUCUUAUCUUUCUAAAAUGAAAUUUUAAAUUUAUAUAUGAAAAAAAUGUUAGGGGUUAAAAAUUUUUGGAUUAAAUUUUUAUAUUAACUUUUAUAGUACUUAGUUCAAAUUUUUUUAUUCUUAUUAUUCAAUUAUUAAAUAAUAUCUAAUUUUGUGACAUAGAGUAUAAAUGGGAAAAAAUUGGUAAUUAGGCUUAUUGAGCAUUAUAAGUAAAUAUUUAAAAUUAAUAAUGGGUACAAAGAGAGGUAUAAAUUGAUAACUUAGUUUGCAAAAAUAAAUUUAAAUGAGUUUACAAAAAAUUAAAAUAAAUGGGUUAUAAAUGGGUAAUUGGGUUAUUCAAUUCAUUUUUUGACUUAUCCAUUUAUACCCAUCUAAUUAAAUGGGUAUAAAUGCGUUGACUCACUUAUAUCCAUUACUUAUUUUACCCAACCCAAACCCACCCAAGUCACCCAUUUUGACACCUCUAGUUAUAAGCAACAAGGUCCUCGUUGUUAGAUGACAAGGUGAGAAGUAAGCGUCGCCCAGACACCGUUUCAGCAGCACGGGCACUCUAAAAAGUUUGUAAAAUCUUUGUCAAACUGAUCCAAAUACGGGAGCAGGCACACUUCUAGGACUUGUUUUUCCUAUGUAAAUGUUGCCUUUGCUCAGUGGCAUGCCUUUCUGAGUCACCAGCCCUCUAGGAACCUGGAGCCAGGUAAGUAAAUUAGUCAAUAAUUUUUCAAAUUGACAGCAAGGAAUCAAUCACAUUAGUUUGUUUAACAUAAUUGGACGACUUAGUAAAACUUUUUAUAGAUUGAAACUAAAUUGAACAUCUUAAAAAAGUUAAAAGGGUAAUUUACCACUAAAUUACAGGAGGGGGGAAUCACUAUUUUAGUCCUUACAACUUCUUUAACUUGAACCAGUGUCAUCCUUCAUCUUCUAUUUGGCUGAAUUUAGAGCCAAUUGAAUCCUUGUACUUGGCACCACCAAUUAAAUUGUGUUUUGCUCAAAAUCUUCCGGCCAACAAAGGGUGAUUGAGGAACUUCAAGCCAAGGCCGUAUAAAACAAGCAAAGAAAAUUGAAAUUUGCAUUAUUAGAUUGGGAGGUAUACACAAAUUUGCAUUAGAUUGUGCAAUUGGAAAGUCACGAUGUCAGUGCUUCAAAGUCGCUCACGUGAUUUGGGAAUUUGGAAAUCUGGGAGUCAAGUGGCUGUCGUGACUGAAAAUGAAAUAUCAAUUAAGUUGUUUUUACAUAAUAUGAUAGAAAAUAGAAAAUAUUCUAAUUAAUUCUACCUGGAAAACUAUUUUGGGUAAAUAGUUUUGGCAGGACCUUUGAGAAUAUGAAGGCUGGUGAUGGAGGUUAGGUUGAGAGAUAAGGGCGAGAUCAUACAUUUUUAUUUUCUAUUUUGACGUCCAACUUUAUAGCUAAUGCAUGUUCUGUUCCCUGAAACAACGGAAAAUUUUUGUUUUUCCUCUUUUUAGUAAAAUACUUGGCUUGUGGUUCCUAAACUGCCCUUGUUUGGCUAGAGAUAUUGAGCAAAACAUAAUUCAAUUGGUGGGGUGCCGCUCUAAAAGUAUUCUAUUGGCAACAAAAUUCACAUUUUCAUCAUUAUCAUUAUCAUUAAUGUACGAUGAGUCUUGACAAUAGGGAGUGCAAGAAUGCAAGCAUAUUUUGAUUUUAGUUUUUGUUAUGGCUAAAUUGUCCUAAUGCCUUUUAAUUGGAGUUAUUACAUCCCUUUUAAUUACAGUUAUUGCAUUUCAAUGAUGACACUAAUUAGAGUUAUUGUUAUGCCUAAAUUACCCUCAUGCCUUCUGACAAAAAAAAAGGAAAAAUUAAUAGUUUCAAGAAAUUACAUCUCAAAAAUGUUGGUAAUUAAAAUUUAAAAUUGUCCAAUUACAACUACAUUCACCAAUCAUUUCCCUCAUCUCCAAUUAUUGUAUGUGUUAAAAUUAUAUCCAAUUAUUAUAUUGUUAUGCAUGAUAAUUAAAGUUAACUAUAUUUUAUAUACAUAUUGGUUUAGAAGAAAAUCAUGAUUAAUAAGAAGACAAAAAGUUAUAAACAAUUUAUAAGAAAAUAAAAGGUUAAACUGAUGAUUAAAUUCAUUAUGUCAUAUUGAUUAAGAAAACUCCCAAAAAAAGUUGUCUACAGCUACUGAAAUUAAUAAAGAUUUGUUGUAUCCAAAUCAGACUGUUUUAGAAUAUAUUUUGCUCACGUUUUAUUGCAUACAUGGCUUAACACAACAUAGAAAAUUUUCCCUUCUUACUAUUAUAAUCCAAAUAAAAAAUGCAACAACUUAGUUUAGAUACAAUAUUAUUCCAUUUUUAGAGUUUUGUAAUUGUAAUAUGCACAAUAAACUUUUAAUUAGUUUGUUAAUAUUAAACAUUUUGUACAACUAACAAUUGCUUAAUUUUGUUUAUUCUAUGGUUUCUUAGGCAAUAUUAUACCAACAACUUAACUUAAAUAUGAUAAUAUUCCAUUUUCAAAGUUUUUAUAACUGUAAAAUACACAAUAAACUUUUAAUUGCUCUGUAUACAAUAAACAUUUUGUACCACUAUCAAUUGUUUAAUUUUGUUCAUUAUACAGUUUCUUAGUUUAUAUUGUGCCAAUAAUCAAAGUUUUACAUAGAAAUUUAGUAUAUUAAAGGUUUUAUUUCUGGGAAAAAUAUAUUCACGUACAAAGCGUGUGAAUUAUUACUAGUUAAAUAAAAUAUGGGGGAUGAAAUUGGUUUAACGUAACAAAGAUGGUGGACUAAAUUAACAAAUUUCCCUUACACGAAUUCUUAAGUUCACUAAGACUUCCUUAAGCAAUAUAAGUUAGGUGAUAGUAUCUGCAGGUAAGGUCUAUAUGUGACCACUUCAGUUCGGUCAAAUUUUCAAAGUAAAAAAAAAAAAAAUUGGAAAUGAUGUAGCCCAAUUUGAACCAUAAAAAGCACUCUGUUGCAAUCUACUCAAGGGGAGGGGCAUCGGAUCCUUUUUUUACGUUAGCAAUUAUGAGACAUUCAUUGACCGGAAAGAAGAGAAUAAGGUCACAAGAUUGCCACACCUGAGACAGCCAGUGAAGACUAUAGCAAGAGUGUAUAAAAUGCAUGGAGUUGUCCGGAAAAAGUUUUCCAUGGAAUGACCCGGGCAUAGCUGCAAUGAAGCAUGACCCUGGACUGCGUUCGUAAUACUUCUCAAGUCUUUGAUAAAAAAAUUAGGCAAUUAUUGGAAAAUGGAAUUGAAAUCGUUGGACACUCGAUCAGUCAAGAAAACUUGUAUCCUAGGUAGCUCAAGAUAAAUUUUCGAGUCAUGGCAUUCUCUGUCGAUGUUCUCUAUGAUGUCUUGAAUCGCCAAAAGCGUAUUUGGCCCCUAUGCACAUCCCAGAUCUGUUAUGCUUAUGCACCCUGCUGCUGUUGGUAGGUUGGCUCUGCAAAACUCUUGGAUGCUUUGUUUGAGUUCACUGCUGACCUUCAUUGAUAUUAAUUUCUGAAUGCUAGAAAGUGAUUAGAGAGGUCUCCCUCAUACACAGGGCCGGGAGAAAGAGAUCAUUAAUUGACAUGUAUUAAGGGUCUUAUCGUAUCUCACUUACUUGAAAUGAUGAAUUUUUUCCAUAGCUCGCAUGGUCGUCCCCUCUUCUCAUGUGAAGAACUUGUUGCAGUUCCAUCUUUGCUACUCUUCUGCAAUUUGGAACCAUGGAUUGAACUUCUUCUCUAUGUGUGUACUUGUGUGUGUAGAUCAUGCCUUACUUAGAACCAUAAAACAAAGAACUAGGUCAAACACGAGGUUGUUGUAAAGGGACCCUUUCCUGAUUUAUAUCAUUUUUUACAAGUCUUAUUCUAGUAUAUUAGGUACCGAUCAAUAUUUUGUAAUUAACCUACUAAUCUCAAGGAGUAUCAAUUAAUCUGCUACAAUAAUUGGCGCCUAAACAGUUCUUUAUUCAUCAUGGCAACUUUCACAAGUAUGUUAGUUGACUCGUAACUUUCGCGAGGAUUAUUCGAUUAGAGAAUAGCUAGCUUAAUCCAGUUAAUUAAGAGCUUCUCUGGACCUUCUAUCCCGUGACAUCCUUCUGUUGGCCUUUCCCCUUCACUCCCUCCAGCCCGAAAGAGAAAUCAGAAUCUUCAAAGAGAAACUAAUUAAGCUGGUUUUGCUCCUUAAUUGUAUCCAACAUUAAUUGAUAGCCAAACUCUAAAAUGGAUAUAUCAAGAAAACUUCACCAAAUGAAAUGUUGUAAGAUGAGAAGAUUUGGAACAAACCUAUCCAGAUAGUCGCUAUUUUACCAUAAAGAAAUGGGUAAAUUACAUUUUACCCCCUAUGAUUUAACCUUUUUUACAUAACUCCCCUAUGGUUUCAAAAGCUAUACAUAACCCCCUCAUGGUUUGGAUUAAAGUGUGAAAGUAACGGAAAUAUUCACUCGUAACGGAAUUGAUCUGAGCAAGAUGCACAACAUGAUUUAUGGUUUCGAUCUUACUUUCCGUCAGUAUAUAUUGUAUAUCAGUCAAUAUAUCAGGAAUUGGAAUAGUUUUUUGCAGUAUCUGUGAUUGAACUCAGCUGCAGGAUUUUUGGAAGUUGGAUUUCUGGUAUAGUUUUCCAAAAUAAAACCAAUCAAAGUGAAGAGAUAGAAAUAGCUCUUGGUCCCAAGUUUAGGGAACCAACCUCAGAUUGGCAUACACAACUUCACCGCAUAUUAUGUGUUUUGCAUGGAGUCUUGGAAGUUGCUCCAACUUGAAAUUGAUCAAGGAAUAAGAUCGAAGUACAUAAAAGGCAGCAUCAUUUUCAUUUCCAGUGUCUCUUGACCUAAACCAGAUACCACAUUUUACGAGAUUUCUAUCAUUUUCAAUUGAAAGCCCCUGCAGAAUAAAUCAACUCAAACUGGAAAUGAAAUGCUUCUUGGCAUGGACUUUGUUCAAGCGGAGUUAGAAAAGUAUCACUUACUCCUUCAUUGCCUGCGUAAACUUAUGUACAAAAAUCAGUUUGGCAAUCUUUUUUGGAUCACAGUCAACUUGCCUAGAAAAGUGAGUUUAACAAGUUGAGUGAGCUCAUGCUCGCAAUUCCAUUUUUUUUCUCCUCUUUUCUUUUUUGAUUAAAGUAUUAGAUUAUUUUGUAAUUUUAUUUGCAUUGAUUAAUUUUGUUUUUUCAAAAAUACAAGGUUAAAUAAAAAUUGAUAAAGCCCCACCACCAUAAUAAUACUACUAUAUAUGAUCCACCAUGGCCUAGAUUUGUCCCAACCACAUUUUGGGUACAAAAUUUUUCCCGAUUAAUUAUUUGGUGUGGUAUGCAAAUAUGUGCUUGAUUUUCUCAUAUUGGGAUUCUUAAAACCCCAGCAAGUAGAACAUAUUGUUCUUUUUGGAUUUUGGUUGUAUUCAUUGGUCUGUACCUUUUUCUUGAGACUGAGCUGCUAUUUUUUUUUGUUAUCCUCUCGUGUUGGAUAGCAGAAACUAGAGCAAAUGCAUUAAAUUUUGCCAAUGAUUUGGUACACGUAAGGUCAAUCCGUGGUGCUACACUACGAAUACGCAUUCAAUUGUUCAUUCUGUUAAAUAUUCAGCUUAUAUGACAUAACCAUGAAAUUAGUACCUUCAUUAAAGGUCAUGAAUUGAUGCUUGGUUUUAUACUUUGUUGGCUAAACAAAGCCAAAAGAAGAUGAUGUUCCGUUCCAACUUCCUAGCAAGCAAGCAUGCAAGAAAGCAGAAAAGAGUCAGUCCAGAUGCCACUGCCAGUACUGUACUCACCAGUCAGUAGCCAUUUUCUCUGAGAUGGCGCCCCCCCCUUCCCUUUCCAAAUUCAGGUUCUCUGAAAUGUCUGACCAGCUUGUCUCUAGAGUUUCAAACAGUUCACAAAAAAGGAAAAAUCGAAGAUGGGGAAAAGCAUUUAGGAAUGGUGAUGGCUGGUGAUCAUCAUGCAGGCACAGAUGUUAAUGCAGAAUUUGUAUAUCCUAGGAUGGGAAUUGUUGCAAAUAUUCCUGAUGACAAUAGAAAUGGACAAGAUGUUCGAAGCUGCGGCUUUAAGGUUAAGAAUGAUCUGACUAUGAAAGAGUUUAAUCCAAUGACUGUGCAACCAUUCUGGAACUGUGCUACAUUAUCAGGGUAUGCAAUAGUUGAGUUCAACAAGAACUAGGCUGGAUUGUCUUGAGGCUAUGGCUUUUGAUUUUGGGUAAAAAGCAAAGAAUUGGCAAAUAUUGUGACAAGAAUUGGCUUCAAAUCGUGAUAGAAAUCACUUUCCUUUAGGCUUUAUUUGUCCGAUAUAAAGUGCAAUACCUUGGACAAAUAUCCUUCAGGAUAAGAUGAAAUUUUGUUUGUCUUAUACUCUUGCACAAAGCAAGACAAACCCUUUGUGAACUAAGGAGUGCUUUUGAGAGAGUAAGGAUAGUAGGAAAGUGAUUUUCUGCAGCAAACCACUCUCUACUUGAUCUCUUUAUAUAGGAAGAUUGUUUGGGAAACAAAAGAUCUCAUUAAACACUUGUAUGAACAGAUUCAAAGUAUUGUGUACACAUUCAUGCACUUUAAUUCAUGCAUCUCAUGAUCAUUAGAUCAAAACAUGAAUCUAUCCUUUCAUUCAAUAAUUCCCAUAUACAUGAAUACAUUCAUAAAUGAAUGUACAUUUUAGGAACAUUCACAAUACUAUACAUAUACCAAAAAUCAAUGAAUAUACAUUAAUUUCAUGUAUGUACAUCAUACAAAUUUUGAAAAGUUUCCAACAAUCCCCCGCCAUUUUCAAAAUUUAGAAAAUGGAUUUCUAAAAGGUCACCAAGUAAUCUGACACUCAUAUGCAUAAAUAAUGGUGUCUUUCGAUUGAACCACUAUCUUAGUGAAGGUUCUUUGAAAUCAAUCCUUCAAGAUGGUAGACAAGCUUUGAACCACUUGGACAUUGGACCAACCUCAUAAACACAUCACACACUGAGCAAUGCACAACCAUAAGUUCUUCAACGAUACAUUUUACGGCCUUGUAUCACUAUCCUUUCAUGAAUGUUUACAAAGUAAAGUCCUUAACUUUGUGGUUUGCCGAAAACCAACAUUCAUAUAGGCGACAUCUUAGUGCCCCCGCCAUAGAUAGCACUUUUAAGAUUCGUUAAGAGUCCAAUGACUCAUCCUUACAUUUGCACUGGCGAGAAUAACAUGCACUAUUCAACAUUGGGAUGACUAAACUUCACAUAGUGCACCAACCACUAGAAUGGUGUACUUUCACUCAUUGAAUUCAAGACUAGACGUUGUAUCUAGCGUUGAAUUGAGGUUCCACCAUUAGUGAUCAAGAAUUUUGGACUUUAAACCCAUCCCCCUUGAUGUCUUUGACACCAAAUUUCUUGAUAAUCCUUUUGUCAAAGGAUCACUUAAAUUUUCAUUUGAUCUCACAAAGUCAAUUGAUAUGACUCCAUUUGUAAUCAAAUCUUUGACAUAACUAUGUCUCAAACCGAUAUGUCUUGAUUUACCAUUAUACACUUGACUAUAUGCUUUAGCAAGUGUAGCUGCACUAUCACAAUGGAUUGAGAUAGGCGACAAAGGUGUUGGCCACAAUGGUAUAUCACAAAGUAAAUUACGUAGCCAUUCAGCUUCUUUACAGGCCGAAGCAAGUGCUACAAACUCUGCUGCCAUUGUUGAAUCGGUGAUACAAGUCUGUUUCUUAGAACCCCAAGAAAUUGCACCUCCACCAAGCAUAAAGAUCCAACCACUUGUCGACGAGUGAUCAUCUUUAUUGGUGAUCCAACUAGCAUCUAAAAAUCCUUCUAAAACUGAAGGAUAACCGGUAUAACAUAUACCAUAGUCCUUAGUGGCCUUUAAAUACUUUAAAAUUCUGGUUACACCUUGCCAAUGUAACCUACUAGGGUUGCUUGUAUAUCUGCUCAAUAUACCAACUGCAUAUGCAAUAUCAGGUCUAGUACAAGUCAUUGCAUACAUUAAACACCCUAUAACCUUGGCAUAUUCCAUUUGAGAUUUUGGAUCCCCCUCAUUUUUCACAAAAUUUAUUUUGGGAUCCAAUGGUGUUGAGACUGGAAUACAAUCACUUUGAUUGAAUUUGUUAAGAAUCUUUUCAAUAUAAUGUGUUUGAGACAACAUUAUAUUGUUAUCAUGUUUGAAGAUUCUCAUACCAAGAAUGACAUCUGCCUCACCCAUGUCUUUCAUGUCAAAUUUGCUUGAAAGCAAAGUUUUUGUGACUUCAACUUGUUCCAAGUCAGUCCCAAAAAUCAACAUGUCAUCAACAUAUAAACAAAUUAUGACACCUUUGCCAUCAUCAAACUUGCUAUAAAUACAUUUAUCAGAUUCAUUUAUUUUGAACCCACUAGCAAGAAUAACUUGGUCAAAUUUCUGAUGCCAUUGCUUCGGUGCUUGUUUUAGUCCAUAUAAAGACUUUACAAGUUUACACACCUUAUGCUCUUGACCAGGUAUCACAAACCCUUCGGGUUGCUCCAUAUAUAUUUUUUCAUCCAAAUCACCAUUCAAGAAUGCUGUUUUAACAUCCAUUUGGUGAACUAGAUUUUGGAUAGAAGCUAUAGCAAGUAGCACUCUAAUUGUAGCAAUUCUAGCUACUGGUGAAUAUGUGUCAAAAUAGUCCACACCAUACUUUUGUGUGAACCCUUUGGCAACCAACCUGGCCUUGAACUUAUCAAUAGUUCCGUCGAUCUUCAUUUUCUUCUUGAAGAUCCACUUACAACCAAUUGGUUUUGAACCAGGUGGUAAGUCUACUAAUUUCCAGGUUUUAUUACCCAUGAUUGAGUCCAUCUCAUCAUUAAUAGCUUCCUUCCAAAAGGGAGCAUCUUGUGAGUUCAUUGCUUCUUCAUAGGUCUUGGGAUCAGCCUCAAUAUUGAAGCAAUAUGAGAUUUGGUUGCUCACUGUAUCUCUAGUUCCUUCAACUAGAUACAUAUAAAAGUCCGAACCGAAGUCUUUUGACUUUCUAGCUCUUUUGCUCCUUCUCAAUUCAAUGGUUUCAUUUUCACCAUCUUUUGUCAAUUCACUUGAUUUUGGAAUAACAUCUUUUAUAGAGGUGAACCUAUUCUCUUCAAAAAUAGCAUCUCUAGACUCAAUUAUGGUAUUAACCGAAAUUGAAUCAUUAGGUUCAAUUACCAUGAACCUAUAUGCUUUGCUAUUUUGUGCAUAUCCUAAGAAUAUACACUCCACACCUCUUUCUCCCAAUUUCCUUUUUUGAGAUUCUGGGAGUUUUACAACAGCUCUACAACCCCAAACUUUCAAAUAGUUUAGGUUGGGCUUUCUUUUAUUCCAAAAUUCAUAAGGGGUUAUAGAACUCCUUUUAUUAGGAACUCUAUUUAGGAUAUGACAAGCCGUUAACAAGGCUUCACCCCAAAAUCCUUGACUUAAACCAGAUUUUGACAAAAGUGCAUUAACCAUUUCUGUCAAUACACGAUUUUUCCUUUCGGCUACACCAUUUUGUUGUGGUGUGUAAGGAGCAGUCACCUCAUAUUUUAUCCCAACAGACUCAAAAUAGGUAAUAUCAUAAUAUUCCCCACCUCUAUCUGUCCUUAGACAUUUGAUAAAGGAUUCACAAUGAAGUUCAACUUCUGAUUUGUAUGCCUUAAAUUUUUGCAAAGCUUCACCUUUUGAGUGUAACAAGAAAACAUGACAGUAUCUACUAUAAUCAUCAAUAAAAGUCACAAAGUACUUUUUACCACCCAAAGUAGGAGUACCAUGCAAAUCACAUACAUCACUAUGAAUAAGAUCCAAGAUUUUAGAUGAUCUUUCAACUUUAGGAAACGAAUUUCUUGUGAUUUUCGUUAGCAUGCAUGUAUUGCAUUUUCCUUCAAUCUUAUCACAAUAUGGCAGCAAAUCAAGUCUCAUCAUUUCAUGCAUUCUUUUGUAAUUAACAUGACCAAUCCUAUUAUGCCACAAUUCAAAAGAAGACUCAACCAAAUACGCAGAAAUAAUAUCACUCUUAUUAUUUCUAAUAGCAAGUACAUUCAACUUAAACAUCCCAUUGCAAAGAUAACCCUUGCCUACAAACAUACCACCUUUAGACAAAAUAAAUUUGUCAGACUCAAACACAAGUCUAAAGCCAAAUUUAUUUAACAGCCCAGCCGACACCAAGUUCUUCCUAACUUCCGGUACAUAAAACACAUUUGUCAAGGUUACAACAUUUCCGGAAGUAAAUUUUAAUUCUACUUCUCCAAUGCCUUGAACCGGAAUUGUAGCAGAAUUUCCCAUGUAAACAACGGUGCUUUCAUCCACCGGUUUCAUGGACUUGAAGAACGUUCUAUUGUUGCACACGUGUCGCGUAGCUCCAGAAUCAACCCACCAAGCAAAAUCAUCUUCAAUCAUAUUGAUUUCAGAUAUCAUUGCUACAAGAUUUUUGCUUGUGUUUUGGGAAGACUCUUGCUUCUUCUUCUUGUUUUGAAGAAUCUUGCACUCGGACUUGUAGUGUCCCUCUUUCUUGCAAUAGAAGCAUUGUCCCUUCUUUCUUUUCUUGGAUUGAUUUUUGGGUUGUUGGCCCUUCUUGCUUCCUUGAGACUUUUCAGUUUGCCUCUCUUCAAUCACAUGCACUUUUGAAGUAGAAUCUUUGUUCUCUUCAAGGAUUUGACUAUCUUUCUUUUCUUGCAUGCGAAUUUCCUCUUCUACUCGAAGAGAUUUAGCAAGAAUCUCAAGAGAGAUAUCCUCUUUCUUAUGUUUGAGGUCUCUUUUGAAAUCUUUCCAAGAAGGUGGUAACUUAUCUAUUAUAGAGCAAACAAUAAUGGCUUCAUCCAUGUGUAGAUUGUGUUGUGUGAAGUGAUUAAGAAGCCUUUCAAUCUCACUAAAUUGCUCCAUAACAGACUUAUUAUCUACCAUUUUAUAAUUAUUAAAAGACGAGACAAGAAACUUCUUACUUGUAGCAUCUUCUUGCAUGUACUUGGACUCCAAUCGAUCCCAAAGUUCCUUGGCGGUAGCAAUUGAAUGGUAGACAUCGAACAGGUUGUCACUCAUGGUAUUGAGGAUGUGACCACGGCAUAUUUCAUCGUCGUUCUCCCAUUUCUGACGGUUUCGGAUGUCUUCAAGAGUUUCUUCAUCGGGAUUGAUCAAUGGUUUUGGUGUGGUCAAAACAUAGACCACUUUGAGUGCAGUGAGAAGGAAACGAACACGUUUUUGCCAACGAAUGAAAUUCCCUCCAUCAAACCUCUCGAGCUUGACAAUAUUGGAUGCCAAAUCUUUCAAGGUACCGGCCAUUGUAGAGUAUAAAUAAAGCCUAAAGAUUUUUGGGUAAAAAGCAAAGAAUUGGCAAAUAUUGUGACAAGAAUUGGCUUCAAAUCGUGAUAGAAAUCACUUUUCUUUAGGCUUUAUUUGUCCGAUAUAAAGUGCAAUACCUUGGACAAAUAUCCUUCAGGAUAAGAUGAAAUUUUGUUUGUCUUAUACUCUUGCACAAAGCAAGACAAACCCUUUGUGAACUAAGGAGUGCUUUUGAGAGAGUAAGGAUAGUAGGAAAGUGAUUUUCUGCAGCAAACCACUCUCUACUUGACCUCUUUAUAUAGGAAGAUUGUUUGGGAAACAAAAGAUCUCAUUAAACACUUGUAUGAACAGAUUCAAAGUAUUGUGUACACAUUCAUGCACUUUAAUUCAUGCAUCUCAUGAUCAUUAGAUCAAAACAUGAAUCUAUCAUUUCAUUCAAUAAUUCCCAUAUACAUGAAUACAUUCAUAAAUGAAUGUACAUUUUAGGAACAUUCACAAUACUAUACAUAUACCAAAAAUCAAUGAAUAUACAUUAAUUUCAUGUAUGUACAUCAUACAAAUUUUGAAAAGUUUCCAACAGAGCUAGAAAGUCAAAAGACUUCGGUUCGAACUUUUAUAUGUAUCUAGUUGAAGGAACUAGAGAUACAGUGAGCAACCAAAUCUCAUAUUGCUUCAAUAUUGAGGCUGAUCCCAAGACCUAUGAAGAAGCAAUGAACUCACAAGAUGCUCCCUUUUGGAAGGAAGCUAUUAAUGAUGAGAUGGACUCAAUCAUGGGUAAUAAAACCUGGAAAUUAGUAGACUUACCACCUGGUUCAAAACCAAUUGGUUGUAAGUGGAUCUUCAAGAAGAAAAUGAAGAUCGACGGAACUAUUGAUAAGUUCAAGGCCAGGUUGGUUGCCAAAGGGUUCACACAAAAGUAUGGUGUGGACUAUUUUGACACAUAUUCACCAGUAGCUAGAAUUGCUACAAUUAGAGUGCUACUUGCUAUAGCUUCUAUCCAAAAUCUAGUCAUUCACCAAAUGGAUGUUAAAAUAGCAUUCUUGAAUGGUGAUUUGGAUGAAGAAGUAUAUAUGGAGCAACCCGAAGGGUUUGUGAUACCUGGUCAAGAGUAUAAGGUGUGUAAACUUGUAAAGUCUUUAUAUGGACUAAAACAAGCACCGAAGCAAUGGCAUCAGAAAUUUGACCAAGUUAUUCUUGCUAGUGGGUUCAAAAUAAAUGAAUCUGAUAAAUGUAUUUAUAGCAAGUUUGAUGAUGGCAAAGGUGUCAUAAUUUGUUUAUAUGUUGAUGACAUGUUGAUUUUUGGGACUGACUUGGAACAAGUUGAAGUCACAAAAACUUUGCUUUCAAGCAAAUUUGACAUGAAAGACAUGGGUGAGGCAGAUGUCAUUCUUGGUAUGAGAAUCUUCAAACAUGAUAACAAUAUAAUGUUGUCUCAAACACAUUAUAUUGAAAAGAUUCUUAACAAAUUCAAUCAAAGUGAUUGUAUUCCAGUCUCAACACCAUUGGAUCCCAAAAUAAAUUUUGUGAAAAAUGAGGGGGAUCCAAAAUCUCAAAUGGAAUAUGCCAAGGUUAUAGGGUGUUUAAUGUAUGCAAUGACUUGUACUAGACCUGAUAUUGCAUAUGCAGUUGGUAUAUUGAGCAGAUAUACAAGCAAUCCUGGUAGGUUACAUUGGCAAGGUGUAACCAGAAUUUUAAAGUAUUUAAAGGCCACUAAGGACUAUGGUAUAUGUUAUACCGGUUAUCCUUCAGUUUUAGAAGGAUUUUCAGAUGCUAGUUGGAUCACCAAUAAAGAUGAUCACUCGUCAACAAGUGGUUGGAUCUUUAUGCUUGGUGGUGGUGCAAUUUCUUGGGGUUCUAAGAAACAGACUUGUAUCACCGAUUCAACAAUGGCAGCAGAGUUUGUAGCACUUGCUUCGGCCUGUAAAGAAGCUGAAUGGCUACGUAAUUUGCUUUGUGAUAUACCAUUAUAGCCAACACCUUUGUCGCCUAUCUCAAUCCAUUGUGAUAGUGCAGCUACACUUGCUAAAGCAUAUAGUCAAGUGUAUAAUGGUAAAUCAAGACAUAUCGGUUUGAGACAUAAUUAUGUCAAAGAUUUGAUUACAAAUGGAGUCAUAUCAAUUGACUUUGUGAGAUCAAAUGAAAAUUUAAGUGAUCCUUUGACAAAAGGAUUAUCAAGAAAUUUGGUGUCAAAGACAUCAAGGGGGAUGGGUUUAAAGUCCAAAAUUCUUGAUCACUAAUAGUGGAACCUCAAUUCAAUGCUAGAUACAACGUCUGGUCCUGAAUUCAAUGAGUGAAAGUACAUCAUUCUAGUGGUUGGUGCACUAUAUUAAGUUUAGUCAUCCCAAUGUUGAAUAGUGCAUGUUAUUCUCGCCAGUGCAAAUGUAAGGAUGAGUCAUUGGACUCUUAACGAAUCUUAAAAGUGCUAUCUAUGGCGGGGGCACUAAGAUGUCGCCUAUAUGAAUGUUGGUUUUCGGCAAACCACAAAGUUAAGGACUUUACUUUGUAAACAUUCAUGAAAGGAUAGUGAUACAAGGCCGUAAAAUGUAUCGUUGAAGAACUUAUGGUUGUGCAUUGCUCAGUGUGUGAUGUGUUUAUGAGGUUGGUCCAAUGUCCAAGUGGUUCAAAGCUUGUCUACCAUCUUGAAGGAUUGAUUUCAAAGAACCUUCACUAAGAUAGUGGUUCAAUCGAAAGACACCAUUAUUUAUGCAUAUGAGUGUCAGAUUACUUGGUGACCUUUUAGAAAUCCAUUUUCUAAUUUUGAAAAUGGCGGGGGAUUGUUGGAAACUUUUCAAAAUUUGUAUGAUGUACAUACAUGUAAUUAAUGUAUAUUCAUUAAUUUUUGGUACAUGUAUAGUAUUGUGAAUGUUUCUAAAAUGUACAUUCAUUUAUGAAUGUAUUCAUGUAUAUGGGAAUUAUUGAAUGAAAGGAUAGAUUCAUGUUUUGAUCUAAUGAUCAUGAGAUGCAUGAAUUAAAGUGCAUGAAUGUGUACACAAUACUUUGAAUCUAUUCAUACACAAUACUUUGAAUCUAUUCAUAAUGGAUCUUUUGUUUCCCAAACAAUCUUCCUAUAUAAAGAGGUCAAGUAGAGAGUGGUUUGCUGCAGAAAAUCACUUUCCUACUAUCCUUACUCUCUCAAAAGCACUCCUUAGUUCACAAAGGGUUUGUCUUGCUUUGUGCAAGAGUUUAAGACAAACAAAACUUCAUCUUAUCCUAAAGGAUAUUUGUCCAAGGUUAUUGCACUUUAUAUCGGACAAAUAAAGCCUAAAGGAAAGUGAUUUCUAUCACGAUUUGAAGCCAAUUCUUGUCACAAUAUUUGCCAAUUCUUUGCUUUUUACCCAACAAUCUUUAGGCUUUAUUUAUACUCUACAAUGGCUGGUACCUUGAAAGAUUUGGCAUCCAAUAUUGUCAAGCUCGAGAGGUUUGAUGGAGGGAAUUUCAUUCGUUGGCAAAAACGUGUUCGUUUCCUUCUCACUGCACUCAAAGUGGUCUAUGUUUUGACCACACCAAAACCAUUGAUCAAUCCCGAUGAAGAAACUCUUGAAGACAUCCGAAACCGUCAGAAAUGGGAGAACGACGAUGAAAUAUGCCGUGGUCACAUCCUCAAUACCAUGAGUGACAACCUGUUCGAUGUCUACCAUUCAAUUGCUACCGCCAAGGAACUUUGGGAUCGAUUGGAGUCCAAGUACAUGCAAGAAGAUGCUACAAGUAAGAAGUUUCUUGUCUCGUCUUUUAAUAAUUAUAAAAUGGUAGAUAAUAAGUCUGUUAUGGAGCAAUUUAGUGAGAUUGAAAGGCUUCUUAAUCACUUCACACAACACAAUCUACACAUGGAUGAAGCCAUUAUUGUUUGCUCUAUAAUAGAUAAGUUACCACCUUCUUGGAAAGAUUUCAAAAGAGACCUCAAACAUAAGAAAGAGGAUAUCUCUCUUGAGAUUCUUGCUAAAUCUCUUCGAGUAGAAGAGGAAAUUCGCAUGCAAGAAAAGAAGGAUAGUCAAAUCCUUGAAGAGAACAAAGAUUCUACUUCAAAAGUGCAUGUGAUUGAAGAGAGGCAAACUGAAAAGUCUCAAGGAAGCAAGAAGGGCCAACAACCCAAGAAUCAAUCCAAGAAAAGAAAGAAGGGACAAUGCUUCUAUUGCAAGAAAGAGGGACACUACAAGUCCGAGUGCAAGAUUCUUCAAAACAAGAAGAAGAAGCAAGAGUCUUCCCAAAACACAAGCAAAAAUCUUGUAGCAAUGAUAUCUGAAAUCAAUAUGAUUGAAGAUGAUUUUGCUUGGUGGGUUGAUUCUGGAGCUACGCGACACGUGUGCAACAAUAGAACGUUCUUCAAGUCCAUGAAACCGGUGGAUGAAAGCACCGUUGUUUACAUGGGAAAUUCUGCUACAAUUCCGGUUCAAGGCAUUGGAGAAGUAGAAUUAAAAUUUACUUCCGGAAAUGUUGUAACCUUGACAAAUGUGUUUUAUGUACCGGAAGUUAGGAAGAACUUGGUGUCGGCUGGGCUGUUAAAUAAAUUUGGCUUUAGACUUGUGUUUGAGUCUGACAAAUUUAUUUUGUCUAAAGGUGGUAUGUUUGUAGGCAAGGGUUAUCUUUGCAAUGGGAUGUUUAAGUUGAAUGUACUUGCUAUUAGAAAUAAUAAGAGUGAUAUUAUUUCUGCGUAUUUGGUUGAGUCUUCUUUUGAAUUGUGGCAUAAUAGGAUUGGUCAUGUUAAUUACAAAAGAAUGCAUGAAAUGAUGAGACUUGAUUUGCUGCCAUAUUGUGAUAAGAUUGAAGGAAAAUGCAAUACAUGCAUGCUAACGAAAAUCACAAGAAAUUCGUUUCCUAAAGUUGAAAGAUCAUCUAAAAUCUUGGAUCUUAUUCAUAGUGAUGUAUGUGAUUUGCAUGGUACUCCUACUUUGGGUGGUAAAAAGUACUUUGUGACUUUUAUUGAUGAUUAUAGUAGAUACUGUCAUGUUUUCUUAUUACACUCAAAAGGUGAAGCUUUGCAAAAAUUUAAGGCAUACAAAUCAGAAGUUGAACUUCAUUGUGAAUCCUUUAUCAAAUGUCUAAGGACAGAUAGAGGUGGGGAAUAUUAUGAUAUUACCUAUUUUGAGUCUGUUGGGAUAAAACAUGAGGUGACUGCUCCUUACACACCACAACAAAAUGGUGUAGCCGAAAGGAAAAAUCGUGUAUUGACAGAAAUGGUUAAUGCACUUUUGUCAAAAUCUGGUUUAAGUCAAGGAUUUUGGGGUGAAGCCUUGUUAACGGCUUGUCAUAUCCUAAAUAGAGUUCCUAAUAAAAGGAGUUCUAUAACCCCUUAUGAAUUUUGGAAUAAAAGGAAGCCCAACCUAAACUAUUUGAAAGUUUGGGGUUGUAGAGCUGUUGUAAAACUCCCAGAAUCUCAAAAAAGGAAAUUGGGAGAAAGAGGUGUGGAGUGUAUAUUCUUAGGAUAUGCACAAAAUAGCAAAGCAUAUAGGUUCAUGGUAAUUGAACCUAAUGAUUCAAUUUCGGUUAAUACCAUAAUUGAGUCUAGAGAUGCUAUUUUUGAAGAGAAUAGGUUCACCUCUAUAAAAGAUGUUAUUCCAAAAUCAAGUGAAUUGACAAAAGAUGGUGAAAAUGAAACCAUUGAAUUGAGAAGGAGCAAAAGAGCUAGAAAGUCAAAAGACUUCGGUUCGGACUUUUAUAUGUAUCUAGUUGAAGGAACUAGAGAUACAGUGAGCAACCAAAUCUCAUAUUGCUUCAAUAUUGAGGCUGAUCCCAAGACCUAUGAAGAAGCAAUGAACUCACAAGAUGCUCCCUUUUGGAAGGAAGCUAUUAAUGAUGAGAUGGACUCAAUCAUGGGUAAUAAAACCUGGAAAUUAGUAGACUUACCACCUGGUUCAAAACCAAUUGGUUGUAAGUGGAUCUUCAAGAAGAAAAUGAAGAUCGACGGAACUAUUGAUAAGUUCAAGGCCAGGUUGGUUGCCAAAGGGUUCACACAAAAGUAUGGUGUGGACUAUUUUGACACAUAUUCACCAGUAGCUAGAAUUGCUACAAUUAGAGUGCUACUUGCUAUAGCUUCUAUCCAAAAUCUAGUCAUUCACCAAAUGGAUGUUAAAACAGCAUUCUUGAAUGGUGAUUUGGAUGAAGAAGUAUAUAUGGAGCAACCCGAAGGGUUUGUGAUACCUGGUCAAGAGCAUAAGGUGUGUAAACUUGUAAAGUCUUUAUAUGGACUAAAACAAGCACCGAAGCAAUGGCAUCAGAAAUUUGACCAAGUUAUUCUUGCUAGUGGGUUCAAAAUAAAUGAAUCUGAUAAAUGUAUUUAUAGCAAGUUUGAUGAUGGCAAAGGUGUCAUAAUUUGUUUAUAUGUUGAUGACAUGUUGAUUUUUGGGACUGACUUGGAACAAGUUGAAGUCACAAAAACUUUGCUUUCAAGCAAAUUUGACAUGAAAGACAUGGGUGAGGCAGAUGUCAUUCUUGGUAUGAGAAUCUUCAAACAUGAUAACAAUAUAAUGUUGUCUCAAACACAUUAUAUUGAAAAGAUUCUUAACAAAUUCAAUCAAAGUGAUUGUAUUCCAGCCUCAACACCAUUGGAUCCCAAAAUAAAUUUUGUGAAAAAUGAGGGGGAUCCAAAAUCUCAAAUGGAAUAUGCCAAGGUUAUAGGGUGUUUAAUGUAUGCAAUGACUUGUACUAGACCUGAUAUUGCAUAUGCAGUUGGUAUAUUGAGCAGAUAUACAAGCAACCCUAGUAGGUUACAUUGGCAAGGUGUAACCAGAAUUUUAAAGUAUUUAAAGGCCACUAAGGACUAUGGUAUAUGUUAUACCGGUUAUCCUUCAGUUUUAGAAGGAUUUUCAGAUGCUAGUUGGAUCACCAAUAAAGAUGAUCACUCGUCGACAAGUGGUUGGAUCUUUAUGCUUGGUGGAGGUGCAAUUUCUUGGGGUUCUAAGAAACAGACUUGUAUCACCGAUUCAACAAUGGCAGCAGAGUUUGUAGCACUUGCUUCGGCCUGUAAAGAAGCUGAAUGGCUACGUAAUUUACUUUGUGAUAUACCAUUGUGGCCAACACCUUUGUCGCCUAUCUCAAUCCAUUGUGAUAGUGCAGCUACACUUGCUAAAGCUUAUAGUCAAGUGUAUAAUGGUAAAUCAAGACAUAUCGGUUUGAGACAUAGUUAUGUCAAAGAUUUGAUUACAAAUGGAGUCAUAUCAAUUGACUUUGUGAGAUCAAAUGAAAAUUUGAGUGAUCCUUUGACAAAAGGGUUAUCAAGAAAUUUGGUGUCAAAUACAUCAAGGGGGAUGGGUUUAAAGUCCAAAAUUCUUGAUCACUAAUGGUGGAACCUCAAUUCAACGCUAGAUACAACGUCUAGUCUUGAAUUCAAUGAGUGAAAGUACACCAUUCUAGUGGUUGGUGCACUAUGUGAAGUUUAGACAUCCCAAUGUUGAAUAGUGCAUGUUAUUCUCGCCAGUGCAAAUGUAAGGAUGAGUCAUUGGACUCUUAACGAAUCUUAAAAGUGCUAUCUAUGGCGGGGGCACUAAGAUGUCGCCUAUAUGAAUGUUGGUUUUCGGCAAACCACAAAGUUAAGGACUUUACUUUGUAAACAUUCAUGAAAGGAUAGUGAUACAAGGCCGUAAAAUGUAUCGUUGAAGAACUUAUGGUUGUGCAUUGCUCAGUGUGUGAUGUGUUUAUGAGGUUGGUCCAAUGUCCAAGUGGUUCAAAGCUUGUCUACCAUCUUGAAGGAUUGAUUUCAAAGAACCUUCACUAAGAUAGUGGUUCAAUCGAAAGACACCAUUAUUUAUGCAUAUGAGUGUCAGAUUACUUGGUGACCUUUUAGAAAUCCAUUUUCUAAUUUUGAAAAUGGCGGGGGAUUGUUGGAAACUUUUCAAAAUUUGUAUGAUGUACAUACAUGUAAUUAAUGUAUAUUCAUUAAUUUUUGGUACAUGUAUAGUAUUGUGAAUGAUUCUAAAAUGUACAUUCAUUUAUGAAUGUAUUCAUGUAUAUGUGAAUUAUUGAAUGAAAGGAUAGAUUCAUGUUUUGAUCUAAUGAUCAUGAGAUGCAUGAAUUAAAGUGCAUGAAUGUGUACACAAUACUUUGAAUCUAUUCAUACACAAUACUUUGAAUCUAUUCAUACAAGUGUUUAAUGAGGUCUUUUGUUUCCCAAACAAAUCUUCCUAUAUAAAGAGGUCAAGUAGAGAGUGGUUUGCUGCAGAAAAUCACUUUCCUACUAUCCUUACUCUCUCAAAAGCACUCCUUAGUUCACAAAGGGUUUGUCUUGCUUUGUGCAAGAGUUUAAGACAAACAAAACUUCAUCUUAUCCUAAAGGAUAUUUGUCCAAGGUUAUUGCACUUUAUAUCGGACAAAUAAAGCCUAAAGGAAAGUGAUUUCUAUCACGAUUUGAAGCCAAUUCUGGUCACAAUAUUUGCCAAUUCUUUGCUUUUUACCCAACAAUCUUUAGGCUUUAUUUAUACUCUACAAUGGCUGGUACCUUGAAAGAUUUGGCAUCCAAUAUUGUCAAGCUCGAGAGGUUUGAUGGAGGGAAUUUCAUUCGUUGGCAAAAACGUGUUCGUUUCCUUCUCACUGCACUCAAAGUGGUCUAUGUUUUGACCACACCAAAACCAUUGAUCAAUCCCGAUGAAGAAACUCUUGAAGACAUCCGAAACCGUCAGAAAUGGGAGAACGACGAUGAAAUAUGCCGUGGUCACAUCCUCAAUACCAUGAGUGACAACCUGUUCGAUGUCUACCAUUCAAUUGCUACCGCCAAGGAACUUUGGGAUCGAUUGGAGUCCAAGUACAUGCAAGAAGAUGCUACAAGUAAGAAGUUUCUUGUCUCGUCUUUUAAUAAUUAUAAAAUGGUAGAUAAUAAGUCUGUUAUGGAGCAAUUUAGUGAGAUUGAAAGGCUUCUUAAUCACUUCACACAACACAAUCUACACAUGGAUGAAGCCAUUAUUGUUUGCUCUAUAAUAGAUAAGUUACCACCUUCUUGGAAAGAUUUCAAAAGAGACCUCAAACAUAAGAAAGAGGAUAUCUCUCUUGAGAUUCUUGCUAAAUCUCUUCGAGUAGAAGAGGAAAUUCGCAUGCAAGAAAAGAAGGAUAGUCAAAUCCUUGAAGAGAACAAAGAUUCUACUUCAAAAGUGCAUGUGAUUGAAGAGAGGCAAACUGAAAAGUCUCAAGGAAGCAAGAAGGGCCAACAACCCAAGAAUCAAUCCAAGAAAAGAAAGAAGGGACAAUGCUUCUAUUGCAAGAAAGAGGGACACUACAAGUCCGAGUGCAAGAUUCUUCAAAACAAGAAGAAGAAGCAAGAGUCUUCCCAAAACACAAGCAAAAAUCUUGUAGCAAUGAUAUCUGAAAUCAAUAUGAUUGAAGAUGAUUUUGCUUGGUGGGUUGAUUCUGGAGCUACGCGACACGUGUGCAACAAUAGAACGUUCUUCAAGUCCAUGAAACCGGUGGAUGAAAGCACCGUUGUUUACAUGGGAAAUUCUGCUACAAUUCCGGUUCAAGGCAUUGGAGAAGUAGAAUUAAAAUUUACUUCCGGAAAUGUUGUAACCUUGACAAAUGUGUUUUAUGUACCGGAAGUUAGGAAGAACUUGGUGUCGGCUGGGCUGUUAAAUAAAUUUGGCUUUAGACUUGUGUUUGAGUCUGACAAAUUUAUUUUGUCUAAAGGUGGUAUGUUUGUAGGCAAGGGUUAUCUUUGCAAUGGGAUGUUUAAGUUGAAUGUACUUGCUAUUAGAAAUAAUAAGAGUGAUAUUAUUUCUGCGUAUUUGGUUGAGUCUUCUUUUGAAUUGUGGCAUAAUAGGAUUGGUCAUGUUAAUUACAAAAGAAUGCAUGAAAUGAUGAGACUUGAUUUGCUGCCAUAUUGUGAUAAGAUUGAAGGAAAAUGCAAUACAUGCAUGCUAACGAAAAUCACAAGAAAUUCGUUUCCUAAAGUUGAAAGAUCAUCUAAAAUCUUGGAUCUUAUUCAUAGUGAUGUAUGUGAUUUGCAUGGUACUCCUACUUUGGGUGGUAAAAAGUACUUUGUGACUUUUAUUGAUGAUUAUAGUAGAUACUGUCAUGUUUUCUUAUUACACUCAAAAGGUGAAGCUUUGCAAAAAUUUAAGGCAUACAAAUCAGAAGUUGAACUUCAUUGUGAAUCCUUUAUCAAAUGUCUAAGGACAGAUAGAGGUGGGGAAUAUUAUGAUAUUACCUAUUUUGAGUCUGUUGGGAUAAAACAUGAGGUGACUGCUCCUUACACACCACAACAAAAUGGUGUAGCCGAAAGGAAAAAUCGUGUAUUGACAGAAAUGGUUAAUGCACUUUUGUCAAAAUCUGGUUUAAGUCAAGGAUUUUGGGGUGAAGCCUUGUUAACGGCUUGUCAUAUCCUAAAUAGAGUUCCUAAUAAAAGGAGUUCUAUAACCCCUUAUGAAUUUUGGAAUAAAAGGAAGCCCAACCUAAACUAUUUGAAAGUUUGGGGUUGUAGAGCUGUUGUAAAACUCCCAGAAUCUCAAAAAAGGAAAUUGGGAGAAAGAGGUGUGGAGUGUAUAUUCUUAGGAUAUGCACAAAAUAGCAAAGCAUAUAGGUUCAUGGUAAUUGAACCUAAUGAUUCAAUUUCGGUUAAUACCAUAAUUGAGUCUAGAGAUGCUAUUUUUGAAGAGAAUAGGUUCACCUCUAUAAAAGAUGUUAUUCCAAAAUCAAGUGAAUUGAUAAAAGAUGGUGAAAAUGAAACCAUUGAAUUGAGAAGGAGCAAAAGAGCUAGAAAGUCAAAAGACUUCGGUUCGGACUUUUAUAUGUAUCUAGUUGAAGGAACUAGAGAUACAGUGAGCAACCAAAUCUCAUAUUGCUUCAAUAUUGAGGCUGAUCCCAAGACCUAUGAAGAAGCAAUGAACUCACAAGAUGCUCCCUUUUGGAAGGAAGCUAUUAAUGAUGAGAUGGACUCAAUCAUGGGUAAUAAAACCUGGAAAUUAGUAGACUUACCACCUGGUUCAAAACCAAUUGGUUGUAAGUGGAUCUUCAAGAAGAAAAUGAAGAUCGACGGAACUAUUGAUAAGUUCAAGGCCAGGUUGGUUGCCAAAGGGUUCACACAAAAGUAUGGUGUGGACUAUUUUGACACAUAUUCACCAGUAGCUAGAAUUGCUACAAUUAGAGUGCUACUUGCUAUAGCUUCUAUCCAAAAUCUAGUCAUUCACCAAAUGGAUGUUAAAACAGCAUUCUUGAAUGGUGAUUUGGAUGAAGAAGUAUAUAUGGAGCAACCCGAAGGGUUUGUGAUACCUGGUCAAGAGCAUAAGGUGUGUAAACUUGUAAAGUCUUUAUAUGGACUAAAACAAGCACCGAAGCAAUGGCAUCAGAAAUUUGACCAAGUUAUUCUUGCUAGUGGGUUCAAAAUAAAUGAAUCUGAUAAAUGUAUUUAUAGCAAGUUUGAUGAUGGCAAAGGUGUCAUAAUUUGUUUAUAUGUUGAUGACAUGUUGAUUUUUGGGACUGACUUGGAACAAGUUGAAGUCACAAAAACUUUGCUUUCAAGCAAAUUUGACAUGAAAGACAUGGGUGAGGCAGAUGUCAUUCUUGGUAUGAGAAUCUUCAAACAUGAUAACAAUAUAAUGUUGUCUCAAACACAUUAUAUUGAAAAGAUUCUUAACAAAUUCAAUCAAAGUGAUUGUAUUCCAGUCUCAACACCAUUGGAUCCCAAAAUAAAUUUUGUGAAAAAUGAGGGGGAUCCAAAAUCUCAAAUGGAAUAUGCCAAGGUUAUAGGGUGUUUAAUGUAUGCAAUGACUUGUACUAGACCUGAUAUUGCAUAUGCAGUUGGUAUAUUGAGCAGAUAUACAAGCAAUCCUAGUAGGUUACAUUGGCAAGGUGUAACCAGAAUUUUAAAGUAUUUAAAGGCCACUAAGGACUAUGGUAUAUGUUAUACCGGUUAUCCUUCAGUUUUAGAAGGAUUUUCAGAUGCUAGUUGGAUCACCAAUAAAGAUGAUCACUCGUCGACAAGUGGUUGGAUCUUUAUGCUUGGUGGAGGUGCAAUUUCUUGGGGUUCUAAGAAACAGACUUGUAUCACCGAUUCAACAAUGGCAGCAGAGUUUGUAGCACUUGCUUCGGCCUGUAAAGAAGCUGAAUGGCUACGUAAUUUGCUUUGUGAUAUACAUUAUUGUGGCCAACACCUUUGUCGCCUAUCUCAAUCCAUUGUGAUAGUGCAGCUACACUUGCUAAAGCAUAUAGUCAAGUGUAUAAUGGUAAAUCAAGACAUAUCGGUUUGAGACAUAGUUAUGUCAAAGAUUUGAUUACAAAUGGAGUCAUAUCAAUUGACUUUGUGAGAUCAAAUGAAAAUUUAAGUGAUCCUUUGACAAAAGGAUUAUCAAGAAAUUUGGUGUCAAAGACAUCAAGGGGGAUGGGUUUAAAGUCCAAAAUUCUUGAUCACUAAUGGUGGAACCUCAAUUCAAUGCUAGAUACAACGUCUGGUCCUGAAUUCAAUGAGUGAAAGUACAUCAUUCUAGUGGUUGGUGCACUAUAUUAAGUUUAGUCAUCCCAAUGUUGAAUAGUGCAUGUUAUUCUCGCCAGUGCAAAUGUAAGGAUGAGUCAUUGGACUCUUAACGAAUCUUAAAAGUGCUAUCUAUGGCGGGGGCACUAAGAUGUCGCCUAUAUGAAUGUUGGUUUUCGGCAAACCACAAAGUUAAGGACUUUACUUUGUAAACAUUCAUGAAAGGAUAGUGAUACAAGGCCGUAAAAUGUAUCGUUGAAAAACUUAUGGUUGUGCAUUGCUCAGUGGGUGAUGUGUUUAUGAGGUUGGUCCAAUGUCCAAGUGGUUCAAAGCUUUUCUACCAUCUUGAAGGAUUGAUUUCAAAGAACCUUCACUAAGAUAGUGGUUCAAUCGAAAGACACCAUUAUUUAUGCAUAUGAGUGUCAGAUUAAUUGGUGACCUUUUUGAAAUCCAUUUUCUAAAUUUUGAAAAUGGCGGGGGAUUGUUGGAAACUUUUCAAAAUUUGUAUGAUGUACAUACAUGAAAUUAAUGUAUAUUCAUUGAUUUUUGGUACAUGUAGAGUAUUGUGAAUGGUUCUAAAAUGUACAUUCAUUUAUGAAUGUAUUCAUGUAUAUGGGAAUUAUUGAAUGAAAGGAUAGAUUCAUGUUUUGAUCUAAUGAUCAUGAGAUGCAUGAAUUAAAGUGCAUGAAUGUGUACACAAUACUUUGAAUCUAUUCAUACACAAUACUUUGAAUCUGGAGGUUUGAUGGAGGGAAUUUCAUUCGUUGGCAAAAACGUGUUCGUUUCCUUCUCACUGCACUCAAAGUGGUCUAUGUUUUGACAACACCAAAACCAUUGAUCAAUCCCGAUGAAGAAACUCUUGAAGACAUCCGAAACCGUCAGAAAUGGGAGAACGACGAUGAAAUAUGCCGUGGUCACAUCCUCAAUACCAUGAGUGACAACUUGUUCGAUGUCUACCAUUCAAUUGCUACCGCCAAGGAACUUUGGGAUCGAUUGGAGUCCAAGUACAUGCAAGAAGAUGCUACAAGUAAGAAGUUUCUUGUCUCGUCUUUUAAUAAUUAUAAAAUGGUAGAUAAUAAGUCUGUUAUGGAGCAAUUUAGUGAGAUUGAAAGGCUUCUUAAUCACUUCACACAACACAAUCUACACAUGGAUGAAGCCAUUAUUGUUUGCUCUAUAAUAGAUAAGUUACCACCUUCUUGGAAAGAUUUCAAAAGAGACCUCAAACAUAAGAAAGAGGAUAUCUUUCUUGAGAUUCUUGCUAAAUCUCUUCGAGUAGAAGAGGAAAUUCGCAUGCAAGAAAAGAAGGAUAGUCAAAUCCUUGAAAAGAACAAAGAUUCUACUUCAAAAGUGCAUGUGAUUGAAGAGAGGCAAACUGAAAAGUCUCAAGGAAGCAAGAAGGGCCAACAACCCAAGAAUCAAUCCAAGAAAAGAAAGAAGGGACAAUGCUUCUAUUGCAAGAAAGAGGGACACUACAAGUCCGAGUGCAAGAUUCUUCAAAACAAGAAGAAGAAGCAAGAGACUUCCCAAAACACAAGCAAAAAUCUUGUAGCAAUGAUAUCUGAAAUCAAUAUGAUUGAAGAUGAUUUUGCUUGGUGGGUUGAUUCUGGAGCUACGCGACAUGUGUGCAACAAUAGAACGUUCUUCAAGUCCACGAAACCGGUGGAUGAAAGCACCGUUGUUUACAUGGGAAAUUCUGCUACAAUUCCGGUUCAAGGCAUUGGAGAAGUAGAAUUAAAAUUUACUUCCGAAAAUGUUGUAACCUUGACAAAUGUGUUUUAUGUACCGGAAGUUAGGAAGAACUUGGUGUCGGCUGGGCUGUUAAAUAAAUUUGGCUUUAGACUUGUGUUUGAGUCUGACAAAUUUAUUUUGUCUAAAGGUGGUAUGUUUGUAGGCAAGGGUUAUCUUUGCAAUGGGAUGUUUAAGUUGAAUGUACUUGCUAUUAGAAAUAAUAAGAGUGAUAUUAUUUCUGCGUAUUUGGUUGAGUCUUCUUUUGAAUUGUGGCAUAAUAGGAUUGGUCAUGUUAAUUACAAAAGAAUGCAUGAAAUGAUGAGACUUGAUUUGCUGCCAUAUUGUGAUAAGAUUGAAGGAAAAUGCAAUACAUGCAUGCUAACGAAAAUCACAAGAAAUUCGUUUUCUAAAGUUGAAAGAUCAUCUAAAAUCUUGGAUCUUAUUCAUAGUGAUGUAUGUGAUUUGCAUGGUACUCCUACUUUGGGUGGUAAAAAGUACUUUGUGACUUUUAUUGAUGAUUAUAGUAGAUACUGUCAUGUUUUCUUGUUAUACUCAAAAGGUGAAGCUUUACAAAAAUUUAAGGCAUACAAAUCAGAAGUUGAACUUCAUUGUGAAUCCUUUAUCAAAUGUCUAAGGACAGAUAGAGGUGGGGAAUAUUAUGAUAUUACCUAUUUUGAGUCUGUUGGGAUAAAACAUGAGGUGACUGCUCCUUACACACCACAACAAAAUGGUGUAGUCGAAAGGAAAAAUCGUGUAUUGACAGAAAUGGUUAAUGCACUUUUGUCAAAAUCUGAUUUAAGUCAAGGAUUUUGGGGUGAAGCCUUGUUAACGGCUUGUCAUAUCCUAAAUAGAGUUCCUAAUAAAAGGAGUUCUAUAACCCCUUAUGAAUUUUGGAAUAAAAGGAAGCCCAACCUAAACUAUUUGAAAGUUUGGGGUUGUAGAGCUAUUGUAAAACUCCCAGAAUCUCAAAAAAGGAAAUUGGGAGAAAGAGGUGUGGAGUGUAUAUUCUUAGGAUAUGCACAAAAUAGCAAAGCAUAUAGGUUCAUGGUAAUUGAACCUAAUGAUUCAAUUUCGGUUAAUACCAUAAUUGAGUCUAGAGAUGCUAUUUUUGAAGAGAAUAGGUUCACCUCUAUAAAAGUUGUUAUUUCAAAAUCAAGUGAAUUGACAAAAGAUGGUGAAAAUGAAACCAUUGAAUUGAGAAGGAGCAAAAGAGCUAGAAAGUCAAAAGACUUCGGUUCGGACUUUUAUAUGUAUCUAGUUGAAGGAACUAGAGAUACAGUGAGCAACCAAAUCUCAUAUUGCUUCAAUAUUGAGGCUGAUCCCAAGACCUAUGAAGAAGCAAUGAACUCACAAGAUGCUCCCUUUUGGAAGGAAGCUAUUAAUGAUGAGAUGGACUCAAUCAUGGGUAAUAAAACCUGGAAAUUAGUAGACUUACCACCUGGUUCAAAACCAAUUGGUUGUAAGUGGAUCUUCAAGAAGAAAAUGAAGAUCGACGGAACUAUUGAUAAGUUCAAGGCCAGGUUGGUUGCCAAAGGGUUCACACAAAAGUAUGGUGUGGACUAUUUUGACACAUAUUCACCAGUAGCUAGAAUUGCUACAAUUAGAGUGCUACUUGCUAUAGCUUCUAUUCAAAAUCUAGUCAUUCACCAAAUGGAUGUUAAAACAGCAUUCUUGAAUGGUGAUUUGGAUGAAGAAGUAUAUAUGGAGCAACCCGAAGGGUUUGUGAUACCUGGUCAAGAGCAUAAGGUGUGUAAACUUAUAAAGUCUUUAUAUGGACUAAAACAAGCACCGAAGCAAUGGCAUCAGAAAUUUGACCAAGUUAUUCUUGCUAGUGGGUUCAAAAUAAAUGAAUCUGAUAAAUGUAUUUAUAGCAAGUUUGAUGAUGGCAAAGGUGUCAUAAUUUGUUUAUAUGUUGAUGACAUGUUGAUUUUUGGGACUGACUUGGAACAAGUUGAAGUCACAAAAACUUUGCUUUCAAGCAAAUUUGACAUGAAAGACAUGGGUGAGGCAGAUGUCAUUCUUGGUAUGAGAAUCUUCAAACAUGAUAACAAUAUAAUGUUGUCUCAAACACAUUAUAUUGAAAAGAUUCUUAACAAAUUCAAUCAAAGUGAUUGUAUUCCAGUCUCAACACCAUUGGAUCCCAAAAUAAAUUUUGUGAAAAAUGAGGGGGAUCCAAAAUCUCAAAUGGAAUAUGCCAAGGUUAUAGGGUGUUUAAUGUAUGCAAUGACUUGUACUAGACCUGAUAUUGCAUAUGCAGUUGGUAUAUUGAGCAGAUAUACAAGCAAUCCUGGUAGGUUACAUUGGCAAGGUGUAACCAGAAUUUUAAAGUAUUUAAAGGCCACUAAGGACUAUGGUAUAUGUUAUACCGGUUAUCCUUCAGUUUUAGAAGGAUUUUCAGAUGCUAGUUGGAUCACCAACUUAUGAAUUUUGGAAUAAAAGGAAGCCCAACCUAAACUAUUUGAAAGUUUGGGGUUGUAGAGCUGUUGUAAAACUCCCAGAACUCAAAAAAGGAAAUUGGGAGAAAGAGGUGUGGAGUGUAUAUUCUUAGGAUAUGCACAAAAUAGCAAAGCAUAUAGGUUCAUGGUAAUUGAACCUAAUGAUUCAAUUUCGGUUAAUACCAUAAUUGAGUCUAGAGAUGCUAUUUUUGAAGAGAAUAGGUUCACCUCUAUAAAAGAUGUUAUUCCAAAAUCAAGUGAAUUGACAAAAGAUGGUGAAAAUGAAACCAUUGAAUUGAGAAGGAGCAAAAGAGCUAGAAAGUCAAAAGACUUCGGUUCGGACUUUUAUAUGUAUCUAGUUGAAGGAACUAGAGAUACAGUGAGCAACCAAAUCUCAUAUUGCUUCAAUAUUGAGGCUGAUCCCAAGACCUAUGAAGAAGCAAUGAACUCACAAGAUGCUCCCUUUUGGAAGGAAGCUAUUAAUGAUGAGAUGGACUCAAUCAUGGGUAAUAAAACCUGGAAAUUAGUAGACUUACCACCUGGUUCAAAACCAAUUGGUUGUAAGUGGAUCUUCAAGAAGAAAAUGAAGAUCGACGGAACUAUUGAUAAGUUCAAGGCCAGGUUGGUUGCCAAAGGGUUCACACAAAAGUAUGGUGUGGACUAUUUUGACACAUAUUCACCAGUAGCUAGAAUUGCUACAAUUAGAGUGCUACUUGCUAUAGCUUCUAUCCAAAAUCUAGUCAUUCACCAAAUGGAUGUUAAAACAGCAUUCUUGAAUGGUGAUUUGGAUGAAGAAGUAUAUAUGGAGCAACCCGAAGGGUUUGUGAUACCUGGUCAAGAGCAUAAGGUGUGUAAACUUGUAAAGUCUUUAUAUGGACUAAAACAAGCACCGAAGCAAUGGCAUCAGAAAUUUGACCAAGUUAUUCUUGCUAGUGGGUUCAAAAUAAAUGAAUCUGAUAAAUGUAUUUAUAGCAAGUUUGAUGAUGGCAAAGGUGUCAUAAUUUGUUUAUAUGUUGAUGACAUGUUGAUUUUUGGGACUGACUUGGAACAAGUUGAAGUCACAAAAACUUUGCUUUCAAGCAAAUUUGACAUGAAAGACAUGGGUGAGGCAGAUGUCAUUCUUGGUAUGAGAAUCUUCAAACAUGAUAACAAUAUAAUGUUGUCUCAAACACAUUAUAUUGAAAAGAUUCUUAACAAAUUCAAUCAAAGUGAUUGUAUUCCAGCCUCAACACCAUUGGAUCCCAAAAUAAAUUUUGUGAAAAAUGAGGGGGAUCCAAAAUCUCAAAUGGAAUAUGCCAAGGUUAUAGGGUGUUUAAUGUAUGCAAUGACUUGUACUAGACCUGAUAUUGCAUAUGCAGUUGGUAUAUUGAGCAGAUAUACAAGCAACCUAGUAGGUUACAUUGGCAAGGUGUAACCAGAAUUUUAAAGUAUUUAAAGGCCACUAAGGACAAUUUAGUGAGAUUGAAAGGCUUCUUAAUCACUUCACACAACACAAUCUACACAUGGAUGAAGCCAUUAUUGUUUGCUCUAUAAUAGAUAAGUUACCACCUUCUUGGAAAGAUUUCAAAAGAGACCUCAAACAUAAGAAAGAGGAUAUCUCUCUUGAGAUUCUUGCUAAAUCUCUUCGAGUAGAAGAGGAAAUUCGCAUGCAAGAAAAGAAGGAUAGUCAAAUCCUUGAAGAGAACAAAGAUUCUACUUCAAAAGUGCAUGUGAUUGAAGAGAGACAAACUGAAAAGUCUCAAGGAAGCAAGAAGGGCCAACAACCCAAGAAUCAGUCCAAGAAAAGAAAGAAUGGACAAUGCUUCUAUUGUAAGAAAGAGGGACACUACAAGUCCGAGUGCAAGAUUCUUCAAAACAAGAAGAAGAAACAAGAGUCUUCCCAAACCACAAGCAAAAAUCUUGUAGCAAUGAUAUCUGAAAUCAAUAUGAUUGAAGAUGAUUUUGCUUGGUGGGUUGAUUCUGGAGCUACGCGACACGUGUGCAACAAUAGAACGUUCUUCAAAUCCAUGAAACCGGUGGAUGAAAACACCGUUGUUUACAUGGAAAAUUCUGCUACAAUUCCGGUUCAAAGCAUUGGAGAAGUAGAAUUAAAAUUUACUUCCGGGAAUGUUGUAACCUUGACAAAUGUGUUUUAUGUACCGGAAGUUAGGAAGAACUUGGUGUCGGUUGGGCUGUUAAAUAAAUUUGGCUUUAGACUUGUGUUUGAGUCUGACAAAUUUAUUUUGUCUAAAGGUGGUAUGUUUGUAGGCAAGGGUUAUCUUUGCAAUGGGAUGUUUAAGUUGAAUGUACUUGCUAUUAGAAAUAAUAAGAGUGAUAUUAUUUCUGCGUACUUGGUUGAGUCUUCUUUUGAAUUGUGGCAUAAUAGGAUUGGUCAUGUUAAUUACAAAAGAAUGCAUGAAAUGAUGAGACUUGAUUUGCUACCAUAUUGUGAUAAGAUUGAAGGAAAAUGCAAAACAUGCAUGCUAACGAAAAUCACAAGAAAUUCGUUUCCUAAAGUUGAAAGAUCAUCUAAAAUCUUGGAUCUCAUUCAUAGUGAUGUAUGUGAUUUGCAUGGUACUCCUACUUUGGGUGGUAAAAAGUACUUUGUGACUUUUAUUGAUGAUUAUAGUAGAUACUGUCAUGUUUUCUUGUUACACUCAAAAGGUGAAACUUUGCAAAAAUUUAAGGCAUACAAAUCAGAAGUUGAACUUCAUUGUGAAUCCUUUAUCAAAUGUCUAAGGACAGAUAGAGGUGGGGAAUAUUAUGAUAUUACCUAUUUUGAGUCUGUUGGGAUAAAACAUGAGGUGACUGCUCCUUACACACCACAACAAAAUGGUGUAGCCGAAAGGAAAAAUCGUGUAUUGACAGAAAUGGUUAAUGCACUUUUGUCAAAAUCUGGUUUAAGUCAAGGAUUUUGGGGUGAAGCCUUGUUAACGGCUUGUCAUAUCCUAAAUAGAGUUCCUAAUAAAAGGAGUUCUAUAACCCCUUAUGAAUUUUGGAAUAAAAGGAAGCCCAACCUAAACUAUUUGAAAGUUUGGGGUUGUAGAGCUGUUGUAAAACUCCCAGAAUCUCAAAAAAGGAAAUUGGGAGAAAGAGGUGUGGAGUGUAUAUUCUUAGGAUAUGCACAAAAUAGCAAAGCAUAUAGAUUCAUGGUAAUUGAACCUAAUGAUUCAAUUUCGGUUAAUACCAUAAUUGAGUCUAGAGAUGCUAUUUUUGAAGAGAAUAGGUUCACCUCUAUAAAAGAUGUUAUUCCAAAAUCAAGUGAAUUGACAAAAGAUGGUGUAUAUGAAACCAUUGAAUUGAGAAGGAGCAAAAGAGCUAGAAAGUCAAAAAACUUCGGUUCGGACUUUUAUAUGUAUCUAGUUGAAGGAACUAGAGAUACAGUGAGCAACCAAAUCUCAUAUUGCUUCAAUAUUGGGGCUGAUCCCAAGACCUAUGAAGAAGUAAUGAACUCACAAGAUGCUCCCUUUUGGAAGGAAGCUAUUAAUGAUGAGAUGGACUCAAUCAUGGGUAAUAAAACCUGGAAAUUAGUAGACUUACCACCUGGUUCAAAACCAAUUGGUUGUAAGUGGAUCUUCAAGAAGAAAAUGAAGAUCGACGGAACUAUUGAUAAGUUCAAGGCCAGGUUGGUUGCCAAAGGGUUCACACAAAAGUAUGGUGUGGACUAUUUUGACACAUAUUCACCAGUAGCUAGAAUUGCUACAAUUAGAGUGCUACUUGCUAUAGAUUCGAUCCAAAAUCUAGUCAUUCACCAAAUGGAUGUUAAAACAGCAUUCUUGAAUGGUGAUUUGGAUGAAGAAGUAUAUAUGGAGCAACCCGAAGGGUUUGUGAUGCCUGGUCAAGAGCAUAAGGUGUGUAAACUUGUAAAGUCUUUAUAUGGACUAAAACAAGCACCGAAGCAAUGGCAUCAGAAAUUUGACCAAGUUAUUCUUGCUAGUGGGUUCAAAAUAAAUGAAUCUGAUAAAUGUAUUUAUAGCAAGUUUGAUGAUGGCAAAGGUGUCAUAAUUUGUUUAUAUGUUGAUGACAUGUUGAUUUUUGGGACUGACUUGGAACAAGUUGAAGUCACAAAAACUUUGCUUUCAAGCAAAUUUGACAUGAAAGACAUGGGUGAGGCAGAUGUCAUUCUUGGUAUGAGAAUCUUCAAACAUGAUAACAAUAUAAUGUUGUCUCAAACACAUUAUAUUGAAAAGAUUCUUAACAAAUUCAAUCAAAGUGAUUGUAUUCCAGCCUCAACACCAUUGGAUCCCAAAAUAAAUUUUGUGAAAAAUGAGGGGGAUCCAAAAUCUCAAAUGGAAUAUGCCAAGGUUAUAGGGUGUUUAAUGUAUGCAAUGACUUGUACUAGACCUGAUAUUGCAUAUGCAGUUGGUAUAUUGAGCAGAUAUACAAGCAACCCUAGUAGGUUACAUUGGCAAGGUGUAACCAGAAUUUUAAAGUAUUUAAAGGCCACUAAGGACUAUGGUAUAUGUUAUACCGGUUAUCCUUCAGUUCUAGAAGGAUUUUCAGAUGCUAGUUGGAUCACCAAUAAAGAUGAUCACUCGUCGACAAGUGGUUGGAUCUUUAUGCUUGGUGGAGGUGCAAUUUCUUGGGGUUCUAAGAAACAGACUUGUAUCACCGAUUCAACAAUGGCAGCAGAGUUUGUAGCACUUGCUUCGGCCUGUAAAGAAGCUGAAUGGCUACGUAAUUUACUUUGUGAUAUACCAUUGUGGCCAACACCUUUGUCGCCUAUCUCAAUCCAUUGUGAUAGUGCAGCUACACUUGCUAAAGCUUAUAGUCAAGUGUAUAAUGGUAAAUCAAGACAUAUCGGUUUGAGACAUAGUUAUGUCAAAGAUUUGAUUACAAAUGGAGUCAUAUCAAUUGACUUUGUGAGAUCAAAUGAAAAUUUAAGUGAUCCUUUGACAAAAGGAUUAUCAAGAAAUUUGGUGUUAAAGACAUCAAGGGGGAUGGGUUUAAAGUCCAAAAUUCUUGAUCACUAAUGGUGGAACCUCAAUUCAACGCUAGAUACAACGUCUAGUCUUGAAUUCAAUGAGUGAAAGUACACCAUUCUAGUGGUUGGUGCACUAUGUGAAGUUUAGACAUCCCAAUGUUGAAUAGUGCAUGUUAUUCUCGCCAGUGCAAAUGUAAGGAUGAGUCAUUGGACUCUUAACGAAUCUUAAAAGUGCUAUCUAUGGCGGGGGCACUAAAAUGUCGCCUAUAUGAAUGUUGGUUUUCGGCAAACCACAAAGUUAAGGACUUUACUUUGUAAACAUUCAUGAAAGGAUAGUGAUACAAGGCCGUAAAAUGUAUCGUUGAAGAACUUAUGGUUGUGCAUUGCUCAGUGUGUGAUGUGUUUAUGAGGUUGGUCCAAUGUCCAAGUGGUUCAAAGCUUGUCUACCAUCUUGAAGGAUUGAUUUCAAAGAACCUUCACUAAGAUAGUGGUUCAAUCGAAAGACACCAUUAUUUAUGCAUAUGAGUGUCAGAUUACUUGGUGACCUUUUAGAAAUCCAUUUUCUAAUUUUGAAAAUGGCGGGGGAUUGUUGGAAACUUUUCAAAAUUUGUAUGAUGUACAUACAUGUAAUUAAUGUAUAUUCAUUAAUUUUUGGUACAUGUAUAGUAUUGUGAAUGAUUCUAAAAUGUACAUUCAUUUAUGAAUGUAUUCAUGUAUAUGGGAAUUAUUGAAUUAAAGGAUAGAUUCAUGUUUUGAUCUAAUGAUCAUGAGAUGCAUGAAUUAAAGUGCAUGAAUGUGUACACAAUACUUUGAAUCUAUUCAUACACAAUACUUUGAAUCUAUUCAUACAAGUGUUUAAUGAGGUCUUUUGUUUCCCAAACAAUCUUCCUAUAUAAAGAGGUCAAGUAGAGAGUGGUUUGCUGCAGAAAAUCACUUUCCUACUAUCCUUACUCUCUCAAAAGCACUCCUUAGUUCACAAAGGGUUUGUCUUGCUUUGUGCAAGAGUUUAAGACAAACAAAACUUCAUCUUAUCCUAAAGGAUAUUUGUCCAAGGUUAUUGCACUUUAUAUCGGACAAAUAAAGCCUAAAGGAAAGUGAUUUCUAUCACGAUUUGAAGCCAAUUCUUGUCACAAUAUUUGCCAAUUCUUUGCUUUUUUUUCCCAACAAUAUUGUUGGAAACUUUUCAAAAUUUGUAUGAUGUACAUACAUGAAAUUAAUGUAUAUUCAUUGAUUUUUGGUAUAUGUAUAGUAUUGUGAAUGUUCCUAAAAUGUACAUUCAUUUAUGAAUGUAUUCAUGUAUAUGGGAAUUAUUGAAUGAAAGGAUAGAUUCAUGUUUUGAUCUAAUGAUCAUGAGAUGCAUGAAUUAAAGUGCAUGAAUGUGUACACAAUACUUUGAAUCUGUUCAUACAAGUGUUUAAUGAGAUCUUUUGUUUCCCAAACAAUCAUCCUAUAUAAAGAGGUCAAGUAGAGAGUGGUUUGCUGCAGAAAAUCACUUUCCUACUAUCAUUACUCUCUCAAAAGCACUCCUUAGUUCACAAAGGGUUUGUCUUGCUUUGUGCAAGAGUUUAAGACAAACAAAACUUCAUCUUAUCCUAAAGGAUAUUUGUCCAAGGUUAUUGCACUUUAUAUCGGACAAAUAAAGCUUAAAAGAAAGUGAUUUCUAUCACGAUUUGAAGCCAAUUCUUGUCACAAUAUUUGCCAAAUUCUUUGCUUUUUACCCAACAAUCUUUAGGCUUUAUUUAUACUAUACAAUGGCCAUACCGAUGAAAGAUUUGGCAUCCAAUAUUGUCAAGCUCGAGAGGUUGAUGGAGGGAAUUUUCAUUCGUUGGCAAAACGUGUUCGUUUCCUUCUCACUGCACUCAAAGUGGUCUAUGUUUUGACCACACCAAAAUCAUUGAUCAAUCCCGAUGAAGAAACUCUUGAAGACAUCCGAAACCGUCAGAAAUGGGAGAACGACGAUGAAAUAUGCCGUGGUCACAUCCUCAAUACCAUGAGUGACAACCUGUUUCGAUGUCUACCAUUCAAUUGCUACCGCCAAGGAACUUUGGGAUCGAUUGGAGUCCAAGUACAUGCAAGAAGAUGCUACAAGUAAGAAGUUUCUUGUCUCGUCUUUUAUAAUUUAUAAAAUGGUUAGAUAAUAAGUCUGUUAUGGAGCAAUUUAGUGAGAUUGAAGGCUUCUGAAUCACUUCAACACACAAUCUACACAUGGAUGAAGCCAUUAUUGUUUGCUCUAUAAUAGAUAAGUUACCACCUUCUUGGAAAGAUUUCAAAAGAGACCUCAAACAUAAGAAAGAGGAUAUCUCUCUUGAGAUUCUUGCUAAAUCUCUUCGAGUAGAAGAGGAAAUUCGCAUGCAAGAAAAGGAUAGUCAAAUCCUUGAAGAGAACAAAGAUUCUACUUCAAAAGUGCAUGUGAUUGAAGAGAGGCAAACUGAAAAGUCUCAAGGAAGCAAGAAGGGCCAACAACCCAAGAAUCAAUCCAAGAAAAGAAAGAAGGGACAAUGCUUCUAUUGCAAGAAAGAGGGACACUACAAGUCCGAGUGCAAGAUUCUUCAAAACAAGAAAAAGAAGCAAGAGACUUCCCAAAACACAAGCAAAAAUCUUGUAGCAAUAAUAUCUGAAAUCAAUAUGAUUGAAGAUGAUUUUGCUUGGUGGGUUGAUUCUGGAGCUACGCGACAUGUGUGCAACAAUAGAACGUUCUUCAAGUCCAUGAAACCGGUGGAUGAAAGCACCGUUGUUUACAUGGGAAAUUCUGCUACAAUUCCGGUUCAAGGCAUUGGAGAAGUAGAAUUAAAAUUUACUUCCGAAAAUGUUGUAACCUUGACAAAUGUGUUUUAUGUACCGGAAGUUAGGAAGAACUUGGUGUCGGCUGGGCUGUUAAAUAAAUUUGGCUUUAGACUUGUGUUUGAGUCUGACAAAUUUAUUUUGUCUAAAGGUGGUAUGUUUGUAGGCAAGGGUUAUCUUUGCAAUGGGAUGUUUAAGUUGAAUGUACUUGCUAUUAGAAAUAAUAAGAGUGAUAUUAUUUCUGCGUAUUUGGUUGAGUCUUCUUUUGAAUUGUGGCAUAAUAGGAUUGGUCAUGUUAAUUACAAAAGAAUGCAUGAAAUGAUGAGACUUGAUUUGCUGCCAUAUUGUGAUAAGAUUGAAGGAAAAUGCAAUACAUGCAUGCUAACGAAAAUCACAAGAAAUUCGUUUUCUAAAGUUGAAAGAUCAUCUAAAAUCUUGGAUCUUAUUCAUAGUGAUGUAUGUGAUUUGCAUGGUACUCCUACUUUGGGUGGUAAAAAGUACUUUGUGACUUUUAUUGAUGAUUAUAGUAGAUACUGUCAUGUUUUCUUGUUAUACUCAAAAGGUGAAGCUUUACAAAAAUUUAAGGCAUACAAAUCAGAAGUUGAACUUCAUUGUGAAUCCUUUAUCAAAUGUCUAAGGACAGAUAGAGGUGGGGAAUAUUAUGAUAUUACCUAUUUUGAGUCUGUUGGGAUAAAACAUGAGGUGACUGCUCCUUACACACCACAACAAAAUGGUGUAGUCGAAAGGAAAAAUCGUGUAUUGACAGAAAUGGUUAAUGCACUUUUGUCAAAAUCUGAUUUAAGUCAAGGAUUUUGGGGUGAAGCCUUGUUAACGGCUUGUCAUAUCCUAAAUAGAGUUCCUAAUAAAAGGAGUUCUAUAACCCCUUAUGAAUUUUGGAAUAAAAGGAAGCCCAACCUAAACUAUUUGAAAGUUUGGGGUUGUAGAGCUAUUGUAAAACUCCCAGAAUCUCAAAAAAGGAAAUUGGGAGAAAGAGGUGUGGAGUGUAUAUUCUUAGGAUAUACACAAAAUAGCAAAGCAUAUAGGUUCAUGGUAAUUGAACCUAAUGAUUCAAUUUCGGUUAAUACCAUAAUUGAGUCUAGAGAUGCUAUUUUUGAAGAGAAUAGGUUCACCUCUAUAAAAGUUGUUAUUUCAAAAUCAAGUGAACUGGCAAAAGAUGGUGAAAAUGAAACCAUUGAAUUGAGAAGGUGCAAAAGAGCUAGAAAGUCAAAAGACUUCGGUUCGGACUUUUAUAUGUAUCUAGUUGAAGGAACUAGAGAUACAGUGAGCAACCAAAUCUCAUAUUGCUUCAAUAUUGAGGCUGAUCCCAAGACCUAUGAAGAAGCAAUGAACUCACAAGAUGCUCCCUUUUGGAAGGAAGCUAUUAAUGAUGAGAUGGACUCAAUCAUGGGUAAUAAAACCUGGAAAUUAGUAGACUUACCACCUGGUUCAAAACCAAUUGGUUGUAAGUGGAUCUUCAAGAAGAAAAUGAAGAUCGACGGAACUAUUGAUAAGUUCAACGCCAGGUUGGUUGCCAAAGGGUUCACACAAAAGUAUGGUGUGGACUAUUUUGACACAUAUUUACCAGUAGCUAGAAUUGCUACAAUUAGAGUGCUACUUGCUAUAGCUUCUAUUCAAAAUCUAGUCAUUCACCAAAUGGAUGUUAAAACAGCAUUCUUGAAUGGUGAUUUGGAUGAAGAAAUAUAUAUGGAGCAACCCGAAGGGUUUGUGAUACCUGGUCAAGAGCAUAAGGUGUGUAAACUUAUAAAGUCUUUAUAUGGACUAAAACAAGUACCGAAGCAAUGGCAUCAGAAAUUUGACCAAGUUAUUCUUGCUAGUGGGUUCAAAAUAAAUGAAUCUGAUAAUGUAUUUAUAGCAAGUUUGAUGAUGGCAAAGGUGUCAUAAUUUGUUUAUAUGUUGAUGACAUGUUGAUUUUUGGGACUGACUUGGAACAAGUUGAAGUCACAAAAACUUUGCUUUCAAGCAAAUUUGACAUGAAAGACAUGGGUGAGGCAGAUGUCAUUCUUGGUAUGAGAAUCUUCAAACAUGAUAACAAUAUAAUGUUGUCUCAAACACAUUAUAUUGAAAAGAUUCUUAACAAAUUCAAUCAAAGUGAUUGUAUUCCAGUCUCAACACCAUUGGAUCCCAAAAUAAAUUUUGUGAAAAAUGAGGGGGAUCCAAAAUCUCAAAUGGAAUAUGCCAAGGUUAUAGGGUGUUUAAUGUAUGCAAUGACUUGUACUAGACCUGAUAUUGCAUAUGCAGUUGGUAUAUUGAGCAGAUAUACAAGCAAUCCUGGUAGGUUACAUUGGCAAGGUGUAACCAGAAUUUUAAAGUAUUUAAAGGCCACUAAGGACUAUGGUAUAUGUUAUACCGGUUAUCCUUCAGUUUUAGAAGGAUUUUCAGAUGCUAGUUGGAUCACCAAUAAAGAUGAUCACUCGUCAACAAGUGGUUGGAUCUUUAUGCUUGGUGGUGGUGCAAUUUCUUGGGGUUCUAAGAAACAGACUUGUAUCACCGAUUCAACAAUGGCAGCAGAGUUUGUAGCACUUGCUUCGGCCUGUAAAGAAGCUGAAUGGCUACGUAAUUUGCUUUGUGAUAUACCAUUAUAGCCAACACCUUUGUCGCCUAUCUCAAUCCAUUGUGAUAGUGCAGCUACACUUGCUAAAGCAUAUAGUCAAGUGUAUAAUGGUAAAUCAAGACAUAUCGGUUUGAGACAUAAUUAUGUCAAAGAUUUGAUUACAAAUGGAGUCAUAUCAAUUGACUUUGUGAGAUCAAAUGAAAAUUUAAGUGAUCCUUUGACAAAAGGAUUAUCAAGAAAUUUGGUGUCAAAGACAUCAAGGGGGAUGGGUUUAAAGUCCAAAAUUCUUGAUCACUAAUAGUGGAACCUCAAUUCAAUGCUAGAUACAACGUCUGGUCCUGAAUUCAAUGAGUGAAAGUACAUCAUUCUAGUGGUUGGUGCACUAUAUUAAGUUUAGUCAUCCCAAUGUUGAAUAGUGCAUGUUAUUCUCGCCAGUGCAAAUGUAAGGAUGAGUCAUUGGACUCUUAACGAAUCUUAAAAGUGCUAUCUAUGGCGGGGGCACUAAGAUGUCGCCUAUAUGAAUGUUGGUUUUCGGCAAACCACAAAGUUAAGGACUUUACUUUGUAAACAUUCAUGAAAGGAUAGUGAUACAAGGCCGUAAAAUGUAUCGUUGAAGAACUUAUGGUUGUGCAUUGCUCAGUGUGUGAUGUGUUUAUGAGGUUGGUCCAAUGUCCAAGUGGUUCAAAGCUUGUCUACCAUCUUGAAGGAUUGAUUUCAAAGAACCUUCACUAAGAUAGUGGUUCAAUCGAAAGACACCAUUAUUUAUGCAUAUGAGUGUCAGAUUACUUGGUGACCUUUUAGAAAUCCAUUUUCUAAAUUUUGAAAAUGGCGGGGGAUUGUUGGAAACUUUUCAAAAUUUGUAUGAUGUACAUACAUGAAAUUAAUGUAUAUUCAUUGAUUUUUGGUAUAUGUAUAGUAUUGUGAAUGUUCCUAAAAUGUACAUUCAUUUAUGAAUGUAUUCAUGUAUAUGGGAAUUAUUGAAUGAAAGGAUAGAUUCAUGUUUUGAUCUAAUGAUCAUAAGAUGCAUGAAUUAAAGUGCAUGAAUGUGUACACAAUACUUUGAAUCUGUUCAUACAAGUGUUUAAUGAGAUCUUUUGUUUCCCAAACAAUCUUCCUAUAUAAAGAGGUCAAGUAGAGAGUGGUUUGCUGCAGAAAAUCACUUUCCUACUAUCCUUACUCUCUCAAAAGCACUCCUUAGUUCACAAAGGGUUUGUCUUGCUUUGUGCAAGAGUAUAAGACAAACAAAACUUCAUCUUAUCCUGAAGGAUAUUUGUCCAAGGUUAUUGCACUUUAUAUCGGACAAAUAAAGCCUAAAGGAAAGUGAUUUCUAUCACGAUUUGAAGCCAAUUCUUGUCACAAUAUUUGCCAAUUCUUUGCUUUUUACCCAACAAUCUUUAGGCUUUAUUUAUACUCUACAAUUCUGGUACCUUGAAAGAUUUGGCAUCCAAUAUUGUCAAGCUCGAGAGGUUUGAUGGAGGGAAUUUCAUUCGUUGGCAAAAACGUGUUCGUUUCCUUCUCACUGCAUUCGAAGUGGUCUAUGUUUUGACCACACCAAAACCAUUGAUCAAUCCCGAUGAAGAAACUCUUGAAGACAUCCGAAACCGUCAGAAAUGGGAGAACGACGAUGAAAUAUGUCGUGGUCACAUCCUCAAUACCAUGAGUGACAACCUGUUCGAUGUCUACCAUUCAAUUGCUACUGCCAAGGAACUUUGGGAUAGAUUGGAGUCCAAGUACAUGCAAGAAGAUGCUACAAGUAAGAAGUUUCUUGUCUCGUCUUUUAAUAAUUAUAAAAUGGUAGAUAAUAAAUCUGUUAUGGAGCAUUUUAGUGAGAUUGAAAGGCUUCUUAAUCACUUCACACAACACAAUCUACACAUGGAUAAAGCCAUUAUUGUUUGCUCUAUAAUAGAUAAGUUACCACCUUCUUGGAAAGAUUUCAAAAGAGACCUCAAACAUAAGAAAGAGGAUAUCUCUCUUGAGAUUCUUGCUAAAUCUCUUCGAGUAGAAGAGGAAACUCGCAUGCAAGAAAAGAAGGAUAGUCAAAUCCUUGAAGAGAACAAAAAUUCUACUUCAAAGGUGCAUGUGAUUGAAGAGAGACAAACUGAAAAGUCUCAAGGAAGCAAGAAGGGCCAACAACCCAAGAAUCAAUCCAAGAAAAGAAAGAAGGGACAAUGCUUCUAUUGCAAGAAAGAGGGACACUACAAGUUCGAGUGGAAGAUUCUUCAAAACAAGAAGAAGAAGCAAGACAAUACUAUACAUGUACCAAAAAUCAAUGAAUAUACAUUAAUUUCAUGUAUGUACAUCAUACAAAUUUUGAAAAGUUUCCAACAAUUCCCCGACACUUUCAAAAUUUAGAAAAUAGAUUUCAAAAAGGUCACCAAUUAAUCUGACACUCAUAUGCAUAAAUAAUGGUGUCUUUCGAUUGAACCACUAUCUUAGUGAAGGUUCUUUGAAAUCAAUCCUUCAAGAUGGUAGACAAGCUUUGAACCAUUUGGACAUUGGACCAACCUCAUAAACCCAUCACACACUGAGCAAUGCACAACCAUAAAUUCUUCAACGAUACAUUUUACGGCCUUGUAUCACUAUCCUUUCAUGAAUGUUUACAAAGUAAAGUCCUUAACUUUGUGGUUUGCCGAAAACCAAUAAUUCCCAUAUACAUGAAUACAUUCAUAAAUGAAUGUACAUUUUAGAAACAUUCACAAUACUAUACAUGUACCAAAAAUUAAUGAAUUUACAUUAAUUACAUGUAUGUACAUCAUACAAAUUUUGAAAAGUUUCCAACAAUCCCCCGCCAUUUUCAAAAUUAGAAAAUGAAUUUCUAAAAGGUCACCAAGUAAUCUGACACUCAUAUGCAUAAAUAAUGGUGUCUUUCGAUUGAACCACUAUUUUAGUGAAGGUUCUUUGAAAUCAAUCCUUCAAGAUGGUAGACAAGUUUUGAACCACUUGGACAUUGGACCAAUCUCAUAAACACAUCACACACUGAGCAUUUGUCCGAUAUAAAGUGCAAUACCUUGGACAAAUAUCCUUCAGGAUAAGAUGAAGUUUUGUUUGUCUUAUACUCUUGCACAAAGCAAGACAAACCCUUUGUGAACUAAGGAGUGCUUUUGAGAGAGUAAGGAUAGUAGGAAAGUGAUUUUCUGCAGCAAACCACUCUCUACUUGACCUCUUUAUAUAGGAAGAUUGUUUGGGAAACAAAAGAUCUCAUUAAACACUUGUAUGAACAGAUUCAAAGUAUUGUGUACACAUUCAUGCACUUUAAUUCAUGCAUCUCAUGAUCAUUAGAUCAAAACAUGAAUCUAUCCUUUCAUUCAAUAAUUCCCAUAUACAUGAAUACAUUCAUAAAUGAAUGUACAUUUUAGGAACAUUCACAAUACUAUACAUAUACCAAAAAUCAAUAAAUAUACAUUAAUUUCAUGUAUGUACAUCAUACAAAUUUUGAAAAGUUUCCAACAAUCCCCCGCCAUUUUCAAAAUUUAGAAAAUGGAUUUCUAAAAUGAAUGUAUUCAUGUAUAUGGGAAUUAUUGAAUGAAAGGAUAGAUUCAUGUUUUGAUCUAAUGAUCAUGAGAUGCAUGAAUUAAAGUGCAUGAAUGUGUACACAAUACUUUGAAUCUAUUCAUACACAAUACUUUGAAUCUGUUCAUACAAGUGUUUAAUGAAAUCCUUUGUUUCCCAAACAAUCAUCCUAUAUAAAGAGGUCAAGUAGAGAGUGGUUUGCUGCAGAAAAUCACUUUCCUACUAUCAUUACUCUCUCAAAAGCACUCCUUAGUUCACAAAGGGUUUGUCUUGCUUUGUGCAAGAGUUUAAGACAAACAAAACUUCAUCUUAUCCUAAAGGAUAUUUGUCCAAGGUUAUUGCACUUUAUAUCGGACAAAUAAAGCUUAAAAGAAAGUGAUUUCUAUCACGAUUUGAAGCCAAUUCUUGUCACAAUAUUUGCCAAUUCUUUGUUUUUUACCCAACAAUCUUUAGGCUUUAUUUAUACUCUACAAUGGCCGGUACCUUGAAAGAUUUGGCAUCCAAUAUUGUCAAGCUCGAGAGGUUUGAUGGAGGGAAUUUCAUUCGUUGGCAAAAACGUGUUCGUUUCCUUCUCACUGCACUCAAAGUGGUCUAUGUUUUGACCACACCAAAACCAUUGAUCAAUCCCGAUGAAGAAACUCUUGAAGACAUCCGAAACCGUCAGAAAUGGGAGAACGACGAUGAAAUAUGCCGUGGUCACAUCCUCAAUACCAUGAGUGACAACCUGUUCGAUGUCUACCAUUCAAUUGCUACCGCCAAGGAACUUUGGGAUCGAUUGGAGUCCAAGUACAUGCAAGAAGAUGCUACAAGUAAGAAGUUUCUUGUCUCGUCUUUUAAUAAUUAUAAAAUGGUAGAUAAUAAGUCUGUUAUGGAGCAAUUUAGUGAGAUUGAAAGGCUUCUUAAUCACUUCACACAACACAAUCUACACAUGGAUGAAGCCAUUAUUGUUUGCUCUAUAAUAGAUAAGUUACCACCUUCUUGGAAAGAUUUCAAAAGAGACCUCAAACAUAAGAAAGAGGAUAUCUCUCUUGAGAUUCUUGCUAAAUCUCUUCGAGUAGAAGAGGAAAUUCGCAUGCAAGAAAAGAAGGAUAGUCAAAUCCUUGAAGAGAACAAAGAUUCUACUUCAAAAGUGCAUGUGAUUGAAGAGAGGCAAACUGAAAAGUCUCAAGGAAGCAAGAAGGGCCAACAACCCAAGAAUCAAUCCAAGAAAAGAAAGAAGGGACAAUGCUUCUAUUGCAAGAAAGAGGGACACUACAAGUCCGAGUGCAAGAUUCUUCAAAACAAGAAGAAGAAGCAAGAGUCUUCCCAAAACACAAGCAAAAAUCUUGUAGCAAUGAUAUCUGAAAUCAAUAUGAUUGAAGAUGAUUUUGCUUGGUGGGUUGAUUCUGGAGCUACGCGACACGUGUGCAACAAUAGAACGUUCUUCAAGUCCAUGAAACCGGUGGAUGAAAGCACCGUUGUUUACAUGGGAAAUUCUGCUACAAUUCCGGUUCAAGGCAUUGGAGAAGUAGAAUUAAAAUUUACUUCCGGAAAUGUUGUAACCUUGACAAAUGUGUUUUAUGUACCGGAAGUUAGGAAGAACUUGGUGUCGGCUGGGCUGUUAAAUAAAUUUGGCUUUAGACUUGUGUUUGAGUCUGACAAAUUUAUUUUGUCUAAAGGUGGUAUGUUUGUAGGCAAGGGUUAUCUUUGCAAUGGGAUGUUUAAGUUGAAUGUACUUGCUAUUAGAAAUAAUAAGAGUGAUAUUAUUUCUGCGUAUUUGGUUGAGUCUUCUUUUGAAUUGUGGCAUAAUAGGAUUGGUCAUGUUAAUUACAAAAGAAUGCAUGAAAUGAUGAGACUUGAUUUGCUGCCAUAUUGUGAUAAGAUUGAAGGAAAAUGCAAUACAUGCAUGCUAACGAAAAUCACAAGAAAUUCGUUUCCUAAAGUUGAAAGAUCAUCUAAAAUCUUGGAUCUUAUUCAUAGUGAUGUAUGUGAUUUGCAUGGUACUCCUACUUUGGGUGGUAAAAAGUACUUUGUGACUUUUAUUGAUGAUUAUAGUAGAUACUGUCAUGUUUUCUUGUUACACUCAAAAGGUGAAGCUUUGCAAAAAUUUAAGGCAUACAAAUCAGAAGUUGAACUUCAUUGUGAAUCCUUUAUCAAAUGUCUAAGGACAGAUAGAGGUGGGGAAUAUUAUGAUAUUACCUAUUUUGAGUCUGUUGGGAUAAAACAUGAGGUGACUGCUCCUUACACACCACAACAAAAUGGUGUAGCCGAAAGGAAAAAUCGUGUAUUGACAGAAAUGGUUAAUGCACUUUUGUCAAAAUCUGGUUUAAGUCAAGGAUUUUGGGGUGAAGCCUUGUUAACGGCUUGUCAUAUCCUAAAUAGAGUUCCUAAUAAAAGGAGUUCUAUAACCCCUUAUGAAUUUUGGAAUAAAAGGAAGCCCAACCUAAACUAUUUGAAAGUUUGGGGUUGUAGAGCUGUUGUAAAACUCCCAGAACCUCAAAAAAGGAAAUUGGGAGAAAGAGGUGUGGAGUGUAUAUUCUUAGGAUAUGCACAAAAUAGCAAAGCAUAUAGGUUCAUGGUAAUUGAACCUAAUGAUUCAAUUUCGGUUAAUACCAUAAUUGAGUCUAGAGAUGCUAUUUUUGAAGAGAAUAGGUUCACCUCUAUAAAAGAUGUUAUUCCAAAAUCAAGUGAAUUGACAAAAGAUGGUGAAAAUGAAACCAUUGAAUUGAGAAGGAGCAAAAGAGCUAGAAAGUCAAAAGACUUCGGUUCGGACUUUUAUAUGUAUCUAGUUGAAGGAACUAGAGAUACAGUGAGCAACCAAAUCUCAUAUUGCUUCAAUAUUGAGGCUGAUCCCAAGACCUAUGAAGAAGCAAUGAACUCACAAGAUGCUCCCUUUUGGAAGGAAGCUAUUAAUGAUGAGAUGGACUCAAUCAUGGGUAAUAAAACCUGGAAAUUAGUAGACUUACCACCUGGUUCAAAACCAAUUGGUUGUAAGUGGAUCUUCAAGAAGAAAAUGAAGAUCGACGGAACUAUUGAUAAGUUCAAGGCCAGGUUGGUUGCCAAAGGGUUCACACAAAAGUAUGGUGUGGACUAUUUUGACACAUAUUCACCAGUAGCUAGAAUUGCUACAAUUAGAGUGCUACUUGCUAUAGCUUCUAUCCAAAAUCUAGUCAUUCACCAAAUGGAUGUUAAAACAGCAUUCUUGAAUGGUGAUUUGGAUGAAGAAGUAUAUAUGGAGCAACCCGAAGGGUUUGUGAUACCUGGUCAAGAGCAUAAGGUGUGUAAACUUGUAAAGUCUUUAUAUGGACUAAAACAAGCACCGAAGCAAUGGCAUCAGAAAUUUGACCAAGUUAUUCUUGCUAGUGGGUUCAAAAUAAAUGAAUCUGAUAAAUGUAUUUAUAGCAAGUUUGAUGAUGGCAAAGGUGUCAUAAUUUGUUUAUAUGUUGAUGACAUGUUGAUUUUUGGGACUGACUUGGAACAAGUUGAAGUCACAAAAACUUUGCUUUCAAGCAAAUUUGACAUGAAAGACAUGGGUGAGGCAGAUGUCAUUCUUGGUAUGAGAAUCUUCAAACAUGAUAACAAUAUAAUGUUGUCUCAAACACAUUAUAUUGAAAAGAUUCUUAACAAAUUCAAUCAAAGUGAUUGUAUUCCAGCCUCAACACCAUUGGAUCCCAAAAUAAAUUUUGUGAAAAAUGAGGGGGAUCCAAAAUCUCAAAUGGAAUAUGCCAAGGUUAUAGGGUGUUUAAUGUAUGCAAUGACUUGUACUAGACCUGAUAUUGCAUAUGCAGUUGGUAUAUUGAGCAGAUAUACAAGCAAUCCUAGUAGGUUACAUUGGCAAGGUGUAACCAGAAUUUUAAAGUAUUUAAAGGCCACUAAGGACUAUGGUAUAUGUUAUACCGGUUAUCCUUCAGUUUUAGAAGGAUUUUCAGAUGCUAGUUGGAUCACCAAUAAAGAUGAUCACUCGUCGACAAGUGGUUGGAUCUUUAUGCUUGGUGGAGGUGCAAUUUCUUGGGGUUCUAAGAAACAGACUUGUAUCACCGAUUCAACAAUGGCAGCAGAGUUUGUAGCACUUGCUUCGGCCUGUAAAGAAGCUGAAUGGCUACGUAAUUUACUUUGUGAUAUACCAUUGUGGCCAACACCUUUGUCGCCUAUCUCAAUCCAUUGUGAUAGUGCAGCUACACUUGCUAAAGCAUAUAGUCAAGUGUAUAAUGGUAAAUCAAGACAUAUCGGUUUGAGACAUAGUUAUGUCAAAGAUUUGAUUACAAAUGGAGUCAUAUCAAUUGACUUUGUGAGAUCAAAUGAAAAUUUAAGUGAUCCUUUGACAAAAGGAUUAUCAAGAAAUUUGGUGUCAAAGACAUCAAGGGGGAUGGGUUUAAAGUCCAAAAUUCUUGAUCACUAAUGGUGGAACCUCAAUUCAACGCUAGAUACAACGUCUGGUCCUGAAUUCAAUGAGUGAAAGUACAUCAUUCUAGUGGUUGGUGCACUAUGUGAAGUUUAGUCAUCCCAAUGUUGAAUAGUGCAUGUUAUUCUCGCCAGUGCAAAUGUAAGGAUGAGUCAUUGGACUCUUAACGAAUCUUAAAAGUGCUAUCUAUGGCGGGGGCACUAAGAUGUCGCCUAUAUGAAUGUUGGUUUUCGGCAAACCACAAAGUUAAGGACUUUACUUUGUAAACAUUCAUGAAAGGAUAGUGAUACAAGGCCGUAAAAUGUAUCGUUGAAGAACUUAUGGUUGUGCAUUGCUCAGUGUGUGAUGUGUUUAUGAGGUUGGUCCAAUGUCCAAGUGGUUCAAAGCUUGUCUACCAUCUUGAAGGAUUGAUUUCAAAGAACCUUCACUAAGAUAGUGGUUCAAUCGAAAGACACCAUUAUUUAUGCAUAUGAGUGUCAGAUUACUUGGUGACCUUUUAGAAAUCCAUUUUCUAAAUUUUGAAAAUGGCGGGGGAUUGUUGGAAACUUUUCAAAAUUUGUAUGAUGUACAUACAUGAAAUUAAUGUAUAUUCAUUGAUUUUUGGUAUAUGUAUAGUAUUGUGAAUGUUCCUAAAAUGUACAUUCAUUUAUGAAUGUAUUCAUGUAUAUGGGAAUUAUUGAAUGAAAGGAUAGAUUCAUGUUUUGAUCUAAUGAUCAUGAGAUGCAUGAAUUAAAGUGCAUGAAUGUGUACACAAUACUUUGAAUCUGUUCAUACAAGUGUUUAAUGAGAUCUUUUGUUUCCCAAACAAUCAUCCUAUAUAAAGAGGUCAAGUAGAGAGUGGUUUGCUGCAGAAAAUCACUUUCCUACUAUCAUUACUCUCUCAAAAGCACUCCUUAGUUCACAAAGGGUUUGUCUUGCUUUGUGCAAGAGUUUAAGACAAACAAAACUUCAUCUUAUCCUAAAGGAUAUUUGUCCAAGGUUAUUGCACUUUAUAUCGGACAAAUAAAGCUUAAAAGAAAGUGAUUUCUAUCACGAUUUGAAGCCAAUUCUUGUCACAAUAUUUGCCAAUGUGUACACAAUACUUUGAAUCUGUUCAUACAAGUGUUUAAUGAGAUCUUUUGUUUCCCAAACAAUCUUCCUAUAUAAAGAGGUCAAGUAGAGAGUGGUUUGCUGCAGAAAAUCACUUUCCUACUAUCCAUUACUCUCUCAAAAGCACUCCUUAGUUCACAAAGGGUUUGUCUUGCUUUGUGCAAGAGUUUAAGACAAACAAAACUUUAUCUUAUCCUGAAGGAUAUUUGUCCAAGGUAUUGCACUUUAUAUCGGACAAAUAAAGCCUAAAGGAAAGUAUAUGGGAAUUAUUGAAUGAAAGGAUAGAUUCAUGUUUUGAUCUAAUGAUCAUGAGAUGCAUGAAUUAAAGUGCAUGAAUGUGUACACAAUAAUUUGAAUAUGUUCAUACAAGUGUUUAAUGAGAUCUUUUGUUUCCCAAACAAUCUUCCUAUAUAAAGAGGUCAAGUAGAGAGUGGUUUGCUGUAGAAAAUCACUUUCCUACUAUCCUUACUCUCUCAAAAGCACUCCUUAGUUCACAAAGGGUUUGUCUUGCUUUGUGCAAGAGUAUAAGACAAACAAAACUUCAUCUUAUCCUGAAGGAUAUUUGUCCAAGGUAUUGCACUUUAUAUCGGACAAAUAAAGCCUAAAGGAAAGUAUAUGGGAAUUAUUGAAUGAAAGGAAGCAAAGAAUUGGCAAAUAUUGUGACAAGAAUUGGCUUCAAAUCGUGAUAGAAAUCACUUUCCUUUAGGCUUUAUUUGUCCGAUAUAAAGUGCAAUAACCUUGGACAAAUAUCCUUUAGGAUAAGAUGAAGUUUUGUUUGUCUUAAACUCUUGCACAAAGCAAGACAAACCCUUUGUGAACUAAGGAGUGCUUUUGAGAGAGUAAUGAUAGUAGGAAAGUGAUUUUCUGCAGCAAACCACUCUCUACUUGACCUCUUUAUAUAGGAAGAUUGUUUGGGAAACAAAGGAUCUCAUUAAACACUUGUAUGAACAGAUUCAAAGUAUUGUGUAUGAAUAGAUUCAAAGUAUUGUGUACACAUUCAUGCACUUUAAUUCAUGCAUCUCAUGAUCAUUAGAUCAAAACAUGAAUCUAUCCUUUCAUUCAAUAAUUCCCAUAUACAUGAAUACAUUCAUAUUUUGAAGCAGAGCAUCUUGAUAGGAGGGAUUACUAUGAAGCAUAUAACGGGUGAUAAGCAUGGUUCAAAGUCAUGGUCGCGGCUCGGACCGUUCCACAUCAGUCUCGGCAUAUCGGUCACGGUCACGGUCUCGGUGAGAUGCAAAUUUUGAAGUAUUUAAUAUUCUAAAAAUUAUAAACAAUAUUCAAAAAUAUGCUAAACAAAAAUAAUUAAAAAAUUAGUAAAAUAAAAUCUGUAAAAUAUAAAUUUGCAAGCUGACUCGGGCAGAUCCGGCCGAGACUAUCCGUAUCAGAGACUUCUCAAUCGAGUUCUCGACGAGUCAAAUAUCUCGGAAUCAUCUCGUCUUGGUAUCAUAUCGGAGGGGUCGUUUCACUAACGACUCGGCCGAGUCGUCUCGGUCUCAGCUGAGACUUUGAACCAUGCUUGUGGGUGAUAAGUGGUAUAGAUGGGUUGCCUGUGCUGAUGAUUAUCAUUCAUCGGAAUUAAUUGGAGAAUAUCUUCAAGAGAAGGCAGAUUUGAAGACUAUUGCUGAUAUUAAAGCAGAAGUGAAGCAAAUAACUUCACGGCUUAUUGACAAUCUUACCAAGGAAAUACAAGAUAACAGCAGGUCCCUCAGGGUUUGUGAGCGUAAAUACAAUGAAAGUAUUAUACUGUCAUUCGAUUUGAUGACUUGAAAGGAUGAGAUGGAUCGAUUCCAUAAUGAAGGUGUGUACUCAUUCCUCACAUCCAGAGAAUGAUAUCUUUAGUUGUUAAAUGAUUUGAUGCAGUGUUUUUUGCUUUCACUCUUUUCACAAGUGACAAUAUCUGCAUUGAUUUUCCCUCACUUCUUCCAUUUCACAUGAAUCAGAGAUAGAAAGAUGCUGGAUAGCAUGCCAAUCAGUUGAAAAGGUAUCUUCAGAGGAUGCAGCUAGAGGCAUGGAAACAAAAGCUGAUUGAGCGUAAGAAAGAAUUGGAGAAAUGGGAGGCUCAGAAUGAAAUAGAGAGGCAAAAACUUGAACUACAGAACAAAGUGGUACAUAUCUGAACAUACCAUUGAACGUAUGCAAUACUAGAAUAUGGAACUGCAAGCAGAAAAAGAGAGCAACAAUCAACAGAGGAAUAGCAUUCCAGCAGUUGAAAUAUAAACCACUCAAAUCAAAAGCUAAAAGAUUUCGCAACCUAAUGAAAUUGUUAGCCUUGUUUUGUUGUUUGAUAGAUGAAACUUGAUACUCCUGUACCCUUCAUCUUUUGAGUUAUUCAACAAGGAUAUAUGUUAUGUUCCAGUUGCUGAACAGUUUCUGUAGUUAAGCGGUUCCCAUAUCUAUGAACUUCUGUCAAAACUGGUAAUCAAUUUAGAAAACAGAUAUUUGUCUGCUGUGUCAUGAUAUGCGACUAAACUAGCUGGAAAAUGUGAAGAGAGCUGCACGUUUGUUCAAUAACUACUUGUAAAACUGAAAGAGUCUCCUAUAUGUUUUAGGUCAUUUGUAAUUCACACAAGCUGAAGUCCUUUGAGACGUGAUUGGACCAUUGUCUCCUCGAUUCUUGAUUUACUGACUAGCAAAUCAUUGGUAAAGCUGCUGCAGCAAGUCUAUAAUCUUAAAUUACCUGAGACAACUUCAUUUUAACACUUACACUUUUUAGUUGAAGUCUUCGUAGUAGAUGUUGUCAAAGAAUAAACAAGAUUUGUUCAUUCAGACUGAUUGACGAAUUUAAUCCUUUAAUAUGCCCCAAGCUUGCAUCAAAACUAUGUUAGACAAGUUUGCCUUAAUACAGUCGUAAAUUUCUCCUCUGAUGGAAUGCUGAUCUCAUAUUAAACUAAAGCACAUUAUAUGGUUGAUCAAAUACAACUCAAGUCUUGACAUUUAACUCAUUAUAAUCUCGCCUUGGAAUAGAUUAAGAAGAUAUUAAAUGCCUUUCACUUCCUUGUACCGGAUCAAAUCCUCAAUAUUCCACCUUCACUCCAAAAAGCCAACAGGAUCAAGUUCUUGGUGAGGGAUCAAUUGUGAUGUGACAACAGUCUUAAAAACAGAACCAGGUGGUGGAAGUUUACAUUGUUAGUUUGCAGAUGACGGAAAUGCUAUAAUCUGCUGGUCCUUGAAAGACUUCCCAUGUCUUUGGCUUUCUGGCGGAGAACAAAUUUUUGUAUUUUUCCUGUUGAAGUUUUUGGCAAUUCCCCAAAAACAACAGUUCGUGGAGCCAUAUAAUGUGGCAAAUGAUCACGGCAAUACUUGAUAAUUUCAUCUGCAUUUGCAUUACAAUCAUCCUUCAAUUUGACAAAUGCACAAGGUGUUUCACCCCAAUAAUCAUCUGGUCUUCCAACAACUGCAGCUUCCAGAACUGCGGGAUGGCUAUAAAUCACUGAUUCCACCUCAAUCGAGCUAAUAUUCUCCCCUCCUGAGAUGAUAAUGUCUUUGGAUCGAUCUUUUAAUUCUAUGUAUCCAUCAGGGUGUCUCACCCCCACGUCCCCACUUCGAAACCAUCCACCUUUAAAAGCAUCAGCUGUUGCUUUACUAUCCUUAAAGUAUCCAUUCAUGAUGGUGUUGCCUCUGAACAUCACCUCACCCCUUGUUUUUGUGUCCGGUGGUACGCUUUGCAUUGUUUCUGGAUCUUUGAUAUCGAGUUCUUCCAUGCCAAGGUGGUGCAACCCUUGACGAGCCUUGACCUUGGCCUUUGCAUCAGGUGGUAGUGAAUUCCACUCAGGUUUCCAAGUGCAAACUGUUCCAGGAUCCUAUGUUUCGGUCAAGCCAUAGGAAUGAGUAACAUUGAAUCCCAGCUCCUCCAUCUUAAAAAGUACAUGAGGAGGAGGGGGGCAGCGCCUGUCAUCACUAUCACUUUUCCUAGAAGCAGUCUCCGAUCAACAGACGGUGCAUUAAUUAUCAUAUUUAAUACUGUAGGUGCACCACCCAUGUGGCUCACUUGGUGCUUAGCUAUGCACUCAAAAAUCCCUUUUGCAGUUACAUUUCUUAGACAAACAUUUGUGCCGCCCUGUGCUGCAACAGCCCAAGUAAGGCACCAGCCAUUGCUAUGGAACAUCGGAACAGUCCACAAAUAAACAGGCAUGGAUGGCAUUUCGUUUAAAAGAGCAGCAGCCAGAGAAUUGAGGUAGGCUCCUCUGUGACUGUAGACAACACCUUUGGGGCUUGAUGUUGUACCUGAAGUGUAAUUCAAAGCAAUAGGAUCCCACUCAUCAUGUGGCCUUAUAACCUCAAAGUCUGGUCUUCCUGAUGCCAAGAAAGAUUCGUACUCUAAAUUGUCAUUAUUGAAAUACAUGUCACUAACCCUGGAAGAUGAGCUAGCUUGGUCGGGAAUCACAACUAAUUUAGGCGUCUUGCUGCUUGUCUUUAGUAGAAUUCCUAAUGCCCCUUUUGCAAUAUGAAGUAACUGAUAAUCAACAAAAAUGACUUUUGCACCUGAGUGUUUUAGCAAUGUCGACACCAUUGCUGAAUCAUGACGUAUAUUGAGAGUACAGAGAACUGCUCCUGCCAUUGGAACUCCAAAGUGCAGCUCGUAGAUUGCAGGAAUAUUUGGGGCGAGGACAGCGACCUACACAUGUAAUCAAAAGCUUAAAUACAAGGUAUCAGAAGAGACACAUCACAUCAGGUGGUUUAGACAAGAGAACACAGUCUUCUGUUGCAUAUGCACGCAAACUGUUUGACUUGUAAUCCAUGAAAUACAGGGAAAUCUAUGAAAGGAAAGAAAAGUUUUAAGGUUCUGAGGUAGUUCAUGUUUUCAGCUAUACUUGACGAGUUCUAGUGUGCUCUGUGUAUAACUUGACAAUAUUUUAGGGAGAAAUGUGGAGGAGUCCAUUCAAUAGGCCAUGGACAAGUUGGAUUCAAAGUUUCAAACUUUUCAUAAAGCUCAAGCCCUCAGGUCUAGCUAAUUCAGUGUACCUAUAUCUUAGGAAACUCAACCUUACUUUCAAAUUUAAGCAUGUGACAAGACUUGAUUUAGAAGAUCUUCUAGGCACUCAAUGUUCUAUAUCAAAACGUUUACUUUUAGCCUCAUCACAAACCAGCAGAAAUAUUUUCAGCCAGCAGAAGUAUUACUUCCAGCUCAUCAAGUCCUCUAUCAGAAGUAUCAUUAACCAGCAGAUGGAAUUUCUGGUAUACUUAUCAAGAAAGGAACCUCAUCAUUGUACCAUAACUGAACAGCAAGACAUAGCUAGACUGCAGGAUUCAAAGAACUUUGCCAAAACAUUCCAAUGGUUAAAGCACACAGAUAUUAGCACCAGAGAUGCUUUGAUAGGGUACAAUUUGUUAGUAAUUUUAUUAUUAAUUUUCCCUUUUAUCCCUGAUAAAUAUUGUGUUAAUUGCUGAUAUUUACUCAUAUUUGGUAUCUGGACUUAAUUUCAGGAAUGAAGCAGAAAACUACCAAAAAGGAGGGAUUUUAUGAAAAAUAUGGAGACUUCUAAGGGCUUCAAUUCUUGGGCCCUUGAAUUGGUGGGGACCACAAGCUAAUGAAAGGCAUUGAGUCAUUUGGGCUCUUCAAAGAAAGUUACGUAGAAAGACUUGGAACAAGAAGUACUUUGGAGGCUUUGUCCACAUGUGUGGGGACCACCUAGAUAGCCCUUAGUCAUCUUUCUUUUGUUGGUUAAAUAGGGAUAACGUAGAGAGCAGAUCCUCUGUCCAAUAUUUUGUGUCCAAUUUCCUGUCCAAUGUGAAACUACGUAGUUUCACUUAUUAUAUCUGCUGAUGUGACAACUAAAAAUAGGUGGCUGUUUGGCUGCCUUAUACUUUUUUUUCUUUUUUCUUUUUUGGGUUUCUUUUGUUUACACAACAAAUUCCCAUCUUUUUUAAAUAUUCUUUUGUAUUUGAAAUCUUUAAUACUUUGUUUUAAAAAAAUGAGAAUUGCAACAAAGUUAUGUAAACAAAGGAAACCCAAAAAAGAAGAAAGAAAAGAAGUAGAAGGCAGUCAAACAGCCACCUAUUUUUAGUUGUCACAUCAGCAGAUAUAAUAAGUGAAACUACGUAGUUUUACAUUGGACAGGAAAUUGGACACAAAAUAUUGGACAGAGGAUCUGCUCUAACGUAGGGGAGGAAAGGGACAUCUCUAGUUUUUAGUCUUUUAGGGUAGCUUUAGUUUUUCUUUCUUCUGACUGGCUUCUGACACACGCCAGGUGUUCGACAAAAUUCCCCAACGGGAAAAACAUCUUUUAUUCCUUGCUUUCUAGUAAAAAAACGCUAUGCCUUUGCAAUCCAUUAAUUCGUGUGAUGAUUUAAUUAUGCGGCGUGGCUAAGUCUUCCAUCUAGUCAAGGGUCAACUCGACGGCGCAGUCCCGAAAAUCUGUGAAAUCUAAUUAGUUUUCACGCGUUCCUUAAUUUAUUAAUAUUUGCACGUUGUCUGCUUGAAUUUUCAUGGGAUUAUUUUAUUAAUUGGAUGUCAAGGGCCCGAUGUUCAAUGUGAUUUAUUAAUCUCGUGCCAAUUUAGUCAAUUAAAUCCGUAAUUGUUUGAUUGAUUAAUAUUAGUGGCAACUGGUGUAUUUACACAUUAGGGGAACGUGCGAUCUAAUUUAAAUAACCCUCGUAGCGUGUUAUUGAUUAGGGCUAGGUUUUUCUGGUUAUUAAUGCAAUUGGAAAAUUAAUUCCUACGGUCGUAUCUAGGAGUACUUCUCUGGUUAGGGGUGAUCAAUGGUCGUACCUUGGUCAUCUAUAAAUUAAGGAAAAAUUGGUCAUUAGAGUUCAUCGAUGGCUAUAACUAGCCUAUUUAUAAAUUAAGUGAACCUCUCUUGCAUCAAUGAUCGGAUAAAUGGACUGUGCCUGAGUAGUUGUAUCCUUGGCUAGAAUUUAUUUAUUCUUGAUUUAAUUCCUGCUUUACUUGUGCUAGUUAUUUAUUUAUUCUUAGUUGAAUUGUUUAAUUGUUUUUUUAGUUUUACUCCAGUGAAAUCCCCCCUUACCAAUUGAAAUUUAAAAGAGACGAAUAUCUCCAGUCCCUGAGGAGACGACCCUACUUGCCACUGUCUACUAUUUAGUAAUCUUUGUCAACUAAUUGAUUCUGGUAUAUCGGAUUAAGCAAACUCUUCGGGAACAUGGUGAAUCAAGUAACCCAUUGCAUACCUAGAGUCCCUGCUCCAGUACCUAGGAUUAAUUAUUGGCUGCUUUUAGUGGUAGUUAGGUUCUAUAUUUAUUAUUGCACAGGUUCGGCACCUGUCAAUUUUUGGCGCCGUUGCCGGGGACUGGCGUUAUUAUUUGUUUCUUUUUAAAUUCAUUUUUUGUCCUAAUUUUCUGGUUUUCUUCUAGUGUAUGUCUCGAUCUUCUCGUACAAGUGAUUUGAUUUUUGACCCUGAGAUAGAGAAGACCGCGCGUAGAACGAGAAAGGAAACCAGACAGCUCAGAGAAGAGCACUCCAGUGCUACAUCUCAGAGACCCGAGUCAGAAGUUGAACCAACAGAUUCGUUUGGUAACACUUCGAGUGACUCUGACCAGGAGGAAGGCACCAUGGCUAAUGCACGAACAUUAAGGGAGUUGGCUGCUCCUGAUUUAACUCAACAGCCUUUAUGCAUUACUUUCCCGAGUUUGAGUGAUAACACUUCAUUUGAAUUGAAAUCAGGUCUAAUUCAUCUUUUACCUUCUUUUCAUGGCUUACCAGGUGAGGAGCCGUAUAAGCAUCUGCAGGAGUUUGAUGUCGUGUGCAAUAGUAUGAAACCCCCGGGAAUCACAGAAGAGCAGAUAAAAAUGAGGGCGUUCCCCUUCUCCUUGAAAGAUUCUGCGAAGGACUGGCUGUACUACCUGUCACCAGGUAGCAUCACCACGUGGGACCAAUUGAAGAAAAAAAUUUUGGAUAAAUAUUUUCCUGCGUCCAAGGCUGCAAGUCUAAGGAAAGAAAUUUGUGGGAUCAAGCAGCAUCCAGGGGAGUCAAUCUAUGAGUAUUGGGAACGGUUCAAGAACUUGUUGCACAGGUGCCCCCAACACCAAAUAAGUGAGCAGUUGAUCAUACAGUAUUUUUAUGAGGGGCUCCUUUUCAGAGACAGGAGCAUAAUUGAUGCUGCAAGUGGAGGGGCGCUGGUGAACAAAACCCCUCAGGAAGCACGGGAGCUAAUAGAGGGGAUGGCAGAAAAUUCACAACAAUUUGGUACGAGAAAGGAUAUUCCAAUACGCAGGGUGAAUGAGGUAGAGACACCCUCUAUGCAGCAGCAGCAAACUGAGUUGACCGCGUUUGUUAGGCAACUGGCUAUGAGAAAUGCAUCACAAGCCAGGGUAUGCGGGAUUUGCACUGGUAUAGGUCACUCUGCAGACAUGUGCCCAAUGAUUCAGGAAGAAACUGUGGAGCAAGUGAACAUGGCUGGUUACGCGCCCGCGCCAAGGAAUCAAUAUGACCCAUAUUCGAACACCUACAAUCCUGGUUGGAGGGACCACCCCAACCUCAGUUAUGGAGGGAACAGGCAGUCCAAUUUCGUACCAAAUAAACAACCAGGGUACCAGCAGCAAUACCAACCCCGACCACCUCCGCCCCCAAGCUCUGGUCCAUCUUUGGAGGAGAUGAUGAAACAGAUGAUGGCAACCAUUACACAAAAUCAGCAAAGGACGGAAGCAACCAUUACGCAAAAUCAGCAAAGGACGGACUCCGAAAUGCAGGCAAUAAGAAAUCAAAUAAGUCAAAUGGCCACAAAAAUCAACCGUUUGGAGUCCCAAGUAAAUGGAAGAUUGCCAUCCCAACCUGAACUGAACCUGAAGAACGUAAGUGCAAUGACUUUAAGGAGCGGGAAGGAAAUUCAGGGGCCUGAACCUAUGAUCCCUAAGGAUAAGGAUGAGGAAAAGAUUGAAAAUGAACUUGAGAGGGAGGACAGCAAUGGUGCAGAUCUAAAGGUACUUCCAGACCCAAUAAUUACAGUUAAAACUAAUCCCCCUCCAUUUCCUUGCAGGUUGGAAAAAUCGAAGAAGCAGGACAAGGAGAAAGAGAUCCUGGAGGUGUUUCGCAAGGUAGAGAUCAAUAUCCCCCUACUAGACGCCAUCAAGCAAGUGCCGAAGUAUACAAAAUUUCUGAGGGACCUAUGUGUCAAUCGAAGGAGGCUGAGGGGAGAUGAAAGAGUCAUUGUUGGGGAGAAUGUGUCAGCAGUUCUCCAAAAAAAGCUACCACCAAAGUGUGGGGAUCCAGGUAGGUUUACUGUCCCAUGCAAGAUAGGUAAUACUCUGAUUAGAAAUACCUUGCUGGACUUAGGAGCAUCGAUCAACGUAAUGCCAAAAUCUAUGUAUGCUUCUCUGAAUCUCGGUCCAUUAAAAGAAACCGAGAUAAUAAUUCAAUUUGUUGACAGAACAAAUGCAUACCCUGAUGGGUUGGUCGAGGAUGUGCUGGUUAAAGUUAAUGAAUUGAUAUUCCCGGCUGACUUUUAUGUACUUGACAUGGAUGAUGAUAAUUCCCCUGACCCCUCACCUUUGCUACUAGGUAGACCCUUUUUGAGCACAGCACAGACAAAAAUUGACGUUAAUAAGGGUACAUUGUCCAUGGAAUUUGAUGGAGAACUAGUCCACUUUAAUAUUUUCGAUACAAUAGAACAUCCUGUUAACUCUCACCCUGUGUUUGCUAUUCAUGCUAUUAAUCCCUCUGUGCAAGAAUUUUCUGAGUUUGCUUGUAGGGAUAAAUUCAAACUUAUUGAGAACAAGUAUAAGGGGAUGAAAGCACUGUAUGAGGUGAAAAGGAGUAGAAAACUCAGAAAGGAGGUUGCCCUUAAAGGCUAUUUGGAUCCUGGAGGAGGGCUACCCAUUUCCAGGAAAAUUGAGUUACACCCAGAUUGAAGAGUGGUGUUCAAUGUCUAGCCAAAGACGUUAAAGAAAGGCGCUUUUGGGAGGCAACCCAAAUAUUGAUUUUAUUGUUUUUAGUGUUUCAUUUCUUUCACUUUGUCGUUUCCUCGUUGGGUAGUAUCAGUAUUAAUAUUGCCUUCACUGCAAUCAGGAAGUGAGAUCUUGGCGUGCCCACGCGGUGUUGGUGUCUCCUGAGAUCAGAGGACGAAGGCCAAUCUUGGCGUGCCCACGCGGUGUUUGUGCCUCCUGAGAUCAGAGGACGAAGACCAAUCUUGGCGUGCCCACGCGGUGUUUGUGUCUCCUGAGCUCCGUCUGCAGCCCGCAAGUGGCCAGCUCGUGGCCAAGGCCCGCGCGCCGCCUGCCGCUACCACCAGCGCGCCGCGCCUGCACCAGCUCGCUCCACCUCAGCCACCACCUCACGAGCUCGCCAAGCUCCGCGCGCAGCCCAGUCGCCCUCGCGCGCGGCCCUCUCAAUCAGCUUCACCUGCGCACGCAUCUCCUCCACUGCCGCUGCUGUCCAGCGCCACCACUGCCCUCACGCGCCUCUCUCCCUCUCUCUCCAGAGGACUACGCCCUCGCUGCCCCCUCUUCGCUGCGACGCCAGGCCGCGCGCCAUCUCCUCCUCCUCGCAGACAGCCGCGCGUCACCACCUGUCCCAAUUGACAGGUGGAGGUAUUGUACACCCUUCUCCUAUUAGUAUCAAUUACUGGAAUUUGUGGUUGGAUAGAAGGGGGUGUUGAUUUGGGUAAUUUCUAUGGUAAUUUUAGACAGAUUUGGGCUUCAUUGACUACUAGGGAAUUUUGUGGCGCUAUAUAUAUAUUUUUUAGUCGAUUACUUCUGUUGCUGGAUUUGCUAGCUCUUUGGGUUAAUUGCUGAUUUUAGUAACCUUUUUGGGGUAAUAGACUGUCCAUUUAGGGACAGUGACGCCGGUUUUAGGUCCACGUGUGUUUGAUUCAUAUAUUUGGUGUCCAAUUGUGGGUGAAUUGCUGCGAUUGCUGGUUAAAUUUGGGGGCGCCCGUGACGCUUAUAUCUGCUUAUUGGGGGCGCCCGUGACGCUUAUAUUUGCUUAUUGGGGGCGCCCGUGACGCUUAUAUUUGCUACUCGGUUGGUUUGAUUUGUCUGUUGGUCACCAUGGUGAAGCCUCGAUCUUCUUCUAAGUCUAGGACCCCUAGGACCCCUCAACCCCCUCCACCCCAGCAUUCCAUUCCCGCCUCUGACCCCUCGCACGAUCCUUCCUCCUCUGGGAGGCGGGCUCGUCUUGGGCGACAAAGAGGCGUCCAUAUCUCUGACCCUGCACAUUUUGGGGGUCAUUUGGACUUCACCAGGGCAGCCGACAAGCGGCGCUAUGAAGCGGCUUGUGAACGACGGAUUAUUCCUUAUUGUUAUCGGGACGCCGCCACCUUGGGCCUUCUAAAUAUUAGCGUCCCCUUCCACGAUUUGAUUGAGGCCAUAGGGUGGCUCCCCUAUUCUCGUAUUACUGACCUCCCAGCCUUUGUUGAGUUAGUUAGGGAAUUCUAUGCCACAUUUGAAUUCAACCUUCCCACUGGUUACACAGUUUCCACCCCUGAUGUCAUCCGUUUCCGUUUAAUGGGUCAGGAGUUCCACCUUUCCAUAACUGACUUCAACCUUGCCCUUGGUUUCAUUGAUCAUGCCUAUGCUGAGUCUAGGGAGUAUGCCGAGAGUGCCUGUGACUAUGUCCAGCCGUUUUUCUCCCGCUAUCGCUUUAUUUGGGAUGAGAUGUCCGUAGACAGGGAUAACUAUGACCCUCGUCUAUCUAAGGGUUCUUAUCUGAAGGACCCGGCCUCUCGCUAUAUCCACCAUUUUUUGGCUUACAGUUUCUCGAGUAGGCGAGAUAGUUCGGGCAUUCUGUCUAAGCCUGAAUUUUUCUUUAUAUGGUGCAUGCAUAACAAUAUUAAGGUUAACAUUGGGUGUUGGCUCGCUUCUCAGUUCAAGUCCAUUUUGCCUAAAAAGAAGCGCCCCUUGAUUCUUGGGUCUUACAUUAUUCACUUGGCUAUUAAUUUGCAUGUACUUGAUAUUUCUAACCAUAACUUGCAUAUAGCCUGUCAAAUGGAGCCUUUGGAUAUCCCGUGCUUAGAGAAAAUGGGCUUAGUUCGGGAGGGCGCCAAUGGUUGGGAGGUAGUUCCCCCGGGUCCGCUACGCCCUCCCCCUCGGUCAUCUUUUGCCCGAGCUUCCACUGAGGGCGGCAAGCCUGGCCCAUCGUCCUCCGCUCCACCCCCUCCCGGCCCAAUGACCGAAGAAUGGCACCAUCUCCGAAACACGGUUGAGCGGCUUGAGAUGCGGUAGAAACACAUGGACGUUAACGUGCACAAUAUGGCGCAGAAUCUAGCGGCUUUUAUGCAGCAAGUCGGGUUCCCUCCUCAGUUUCCGCCUAACCCUCCCUUGUCUUGACGACUUCAGAGAAGUACCGUUGCCCCGCCCCUUUUUCUGCUAUUGUAUUUUCACAUUGAGGGCAAUGUGUGACUUAAGUGUGGGGGGGUCAGUUUGGGUGCUAGUUAUUCCCAGUUCUCGUUUCUUUAUUAUUUUUCCUCUUGUUUUCUGUUUAGGUGUUGUUCCUUUAUCCCUUUUGGGUGUCUUUCCCUUGCUUCUAUCUUGGUGAAUAUUUUUGGCAGCUCACUUUUUCUUGUUAGUUGUGGUUUGUACUAUGAGUUGAGUUACAGUGGCAAGUAAGAGCAUGUUGUCUUGGUGAAUAUUUUGAGUUUAACGACUUGGUGCAAUUUAUGGCUGACUUGUUUAGGCAAUAUAAAUAUUUUGCUGGCAUUGUUGUGUAGAUUGGUCUCCUGUUUACCUUAGUUCUCCAUAUUUGGGACAUGACGCAGGCUAUGAUCAGUAAUUACUUGAUAUUUUGGUGUUUAUUGGUGAAUAACGUAUGGCUAUACUCCGCUAGUGUCGCCACCCAGUAACCGGGAGUUUUCACCACAAGUGUCGGCUCUCGCGUCAAAAAGUGGCGAUAUCUAUGAGUAAGUGGUCCUGGAGCUGUGAAAAGUUGAGUAACUGGGCUCUUUCAUCUAAAAAUGUCAGAGUUCAUGUCAAAAGACUUGAAUAGCUUGGGACUUAGCCUUAUUCGUGCAAUAAAAAAAAAUAGAAGAAAACGGAAAAGAAAAAAAAAAGAAAGAAAGACAAAAUCAGAUGUGGACAAUGUGUGAGUUUAUGAUCAUAUUGGCCUGCCGAUCCUUGGUUCGUAAUGUUGAGAUUUCGGUUGCCAGUUGACUUAAUUACUGACUGUUGCUAGUUAAUAUUUGGAUUCCCUAAGCGAAUUAGCUAUGAAUUGGACAGGUCUAUGAACUUAGGAGUUAACCGGGAGAGAUAUGUCUUGACACUUAGUCACUAGAUCUUGAUUUUGGGUAUAAGCACAGCUGGCUAUGAUAAUGUGAAAGCUAGCCAUUGUUGAGUUGAAUUUUCCCCAUGCUUGAGGGCAAGCAUGAUUCAGGUGUGAGGGGAAUUGAUAGGGUACAAUUUGUUAAUAAUUUUAUUAUUAAUUUUCCCUUUUAUCCCUGAUAAAUAUUGUGUUAAUUACUGAUAUUUACUCAUAUUUGGUAUCUGGACUUAAUUUCAGGAAUGAAGCAAAAAAUUACCAAAAAGGAGGGACUUUAUGGAAAAUAUGGAGACUUCUAAGGGGUUCAAUUCUUGGGCCCUUGAAUUGGUGGGGACCACAAGCUAGUGAAAGGCAUUGAGUCAUUUGGGCUCUUCAAAGAAAGUUACGUAAAAAGACUUGGAACAAGAAGUACUUUGGAGGCUUUGUCCACAUGUGUGGGGACCACCUAGAUAGCCCUUAGUCAUCUUUCUUUUGUUGGUUAAAUAGGGAUAACGUAGGGGAGGAAAGGGACAUCUCUAGUUUUUAGUCUUUUAGGGUAGCUUUAGUUUUUCCUUCUUCUGACUGGCCUCUGACACACGCCAGGUGUUCGACAAAAUUUCCCAACGAGAAAAACAUCUUUUAUUCCUUGCUUUCUAGUAAAAAACGCUAUGCCUUUGCAAUCCAUUAAUUCGUGUGAUGAUUUAAUUAUGCGGCGUGGCUAAGUCUUCCAUCUAGUCAAGGGUCAACUCGACGGCGCAGUCCCGAAAAUCUGUGAGAUCUAAUUAGUUUUCACGCGUUUCUUAAUUUAUUAAUAUUUGCACGUUGUCUGCUUGAAUUUUCAUGGGAUUAUUUUAUUAAUUGGAUGUCAAGGGCCCGAUGUUCAAUGUAAUUUAUUAAUCUCGUGCCAAUUUAGUCAAUUAAAUCCGUAAUUGUUUGAUUGAUUAAUAUUAGUGGCAACUGGUGUGUUUACACAUUAGGGGAACGUGCGAUCUAAUUUAAAUAACCCUCGUAGCGUGUUAUUGAUUAGGGCUAGGUUUUUCUGGUUAUUAAUGCAAUUGGAAAAUUAAUUCCUACGGUCGUAUCUAGGAGUACUUCUCUGGUUAGGGGUGAUCAAUGGUCGUACCUUGGUCAUCUAUAAAUUAAGGAAAAAUUGGUCAUUAGAGUUCAUCGAUGGCUAUAACUAGCCUAUUUAUAAAUUAAGUGAACCUCUCUUGCAUCAAUGAUCGGAUAAAUGGACUGUGCCUGAGUAGUUGUAUCCUUGGCUAGAAUUUAUUUAUUCUUGAUUUAAUUCCUGCUUUACUUGUGCUAGUUAUUUAUUUAUUCUUAGUUGAAUUGUUUAAUUGUUUUUUUAGUUUUACUCCAGUGAAAUCCCCCCUUACCAAUUGAAAUUUAAAAGAGACGAAUAUCUCCAGUCCCUGAGGAGACGACCCUACUUGCCACUGUCUACUAUUUAGUAAUCUUUGUCAACUAAUUGAUUCUGGUAUAUCGGAUUAAGCAAACUCUUCGGGAACAUGGUGAAUCAAGUAACCCAUUGCAUACCUAGAGUCCCUGCUCCAGUACCUAGGAUUAAUUAUUGGCUGCUUUUAGUGGUAGUUAGGUUCUAUAUUUAUUAUUGCACAGGUUCGGCACCUGUCAUGCUUGAAGCUACAUUCAAACUUGAAAAAGCACCUGAAAUUCAGAUAUCAAGAUUAGACCUAUUCAAAUACAAAAGGUCAACAUUUUUGUAGCGUACUUGCUAGGAAAGUAGUGUUCGACAAACUCUGUCGUAAAUGGCUGCUGAGAAACCAAAAUUGACCCUCAAAUGCACAAUUCCAUAAGUUAGCAAUUUCAUAGUGAUAUCUUUACUAUAAUGCUCCAGACACUCAAAAGCUUCUUGAUAGGUUAGCAUGUCUUUUACAGGUUUCAAGUAAUCUGGUUCCAUUAGGUGCCAAAUUCCCCUUCCCCCACCAUAUCCAUGCGACCUUUCUUUUUUUUUUUUUAACAAAAUAAAAAAGAAAAAGGUUGAAAGAAUUUAGAGUUGGGUAACAGCAAUAAAUUGCAUAAUUAAACCUCCGACUACUACAAAGUCACUGAAUUGAGGCAUGAAAAUGACCCACCAAAAAAAUAUAUAUAAGGGGCAGUUGGUCCCUUGUCGGCUCAUUGAAAUGGAAUCAAUCUAUAGUAAUGAUGUCAAUGCAUGUCUAUUCAACAACCCGUGCAAUGAUUGAUAGAGACAAAAAAUACCCAGAUGAUAUCAUUCCAAACAAAGGCAGAAAUCAUUUUUAACAUUCCAACUAGCUCCCAACAACCAAGUAAUCAGAAGAAAAUUACAAUCCCAAAAAAAAAAAAAGAUUCAAUCGUGAUAAUUAACCAACAACAGAACAAAUUGAAGGACUUUUAAUUACAGAACAAAUUGAAGCAUAGAAAUUAAAGAAAACAAAACGAACUGGACAAGAAGAAAAUGCAGGUAAAUUGUGAAUAACAAAGAAAGCCCAGAAAAUUCAAGGAUUAAAUGGGAACUUACAACAUCAUGACGGGAGAUUCCGAGGGAGUGAAGAGCAGAAGCGAGUCUGGCGCAUCUGUCACGAGUUUCUGCCCAAGUGAACUUUAAAUCGCCAUGCACUACUGAAAUCCUGUCUCUGUAUACAAUUGCCGAACGCUCCAAGAAAUUUAUGGGCGUCAGAGGUACAUAAUUUGCUGAGCAUUUGACAGUACCCUCCAUUGAUGAUUCUAUCCUUUUAUCUGAAAAUCCAAAAGAGCGCUUCUACUAUCAACGGGAAAGUAGAUAAGAGAGGUUGUUUUCCGGUUGAAACUUGGGCGAUGGAUUGUGCAGUAUCGUUGAAGUCUGCUACAAAUAAAUGGACCUUUCCUUGCGUGGGGUGUGAAUUUACCGAAUGAGGCCUUUGUUGACUCAGCUUCAUUGUUUGUCAGCAGAUUUAUUUGCUUUUUCACAUGAUUAAUUUCUAGUUUUAUCUGUGUUUUUGCCUUUUUGGCCUAUUGGUGAGACUGCGUGCGGGUCUCUGCCUAUCUUUGUAUAACCUACUCUAUCCUAAUCUAGGGGAAGGGGAGCCUAAGGAAGCAGUUGUAGAGGCUAGUGGAUAUACAGACCCAACUAGACCAAGGGAGUACUAUGGCACAACCUUUAGAUUUUUUUCGCUGUUGAUGAGGUUUGAACCCUCACCAACAGCCCAAAGAGGGACUGAAGUCCCUCCCUGGUGGCCACUGAGCCAUUGGCCCAGUGGUUGUGCGGGUCUCUUUUUUUUUUUUCAGAAACGAUAGAUUAAUUUAUUUCUACGAAUAGAGAAAAUACAAUAUAUGAGCAAGGGCUCAAGUUCUGGUUUACAAAGGUGUACUGAGACACCGAGGAUGAACGAACUCCUCAUCAAAAUAGAUGUGCGUUGCUUGCUUACUCAGUUCAUAACUGAGUGUAUUAGUACUAACAUUACUAGGCAGGCAAACAAAUGAGCAUGUCCUAAACAUUAAGCUGAGAUAAGUGAUGCACUCGAGAUGGCCUGCUAUAAGAAAGUUGCUUGGACUUUGGCAGCGUAUCAUCUUUAAAAUGUGGUUGCAUGAAAUAUGAACCUGUAUGUUUUGCAAGUCCCGUUCCUUUAGCUUACACAGAGCCAGUUGUAUCGCCACCAAGUUGUCCAGCACAGACGAUCCAGUACUUCUUUCUCUGAGCAUCCACCCUACCCCAAGCUGGUUGUGCGGGUCUCUGCCUAUCGAUCAUUUGGAUUUUGCUCCCGCAGAUUGGCAGCAAUAGUGAUGGUGCACUGACAAUGACCAAACCAUCAGAAGAGCCGUGUUUGAACAGUGUAUCACUUAAACUCGAGCUAAUUUAAAAUGUUUGAGUUUGAACUCGUCAAUCAAGCUUUUAAAACUUGAACUCAAAGCUCAAAUUUUGACAAAUUGAGUUCAAUUGGAUUUAAGUAAUAUGAAGUGAUACUUUAUACACUUUUAAAUAAAAAAAAAAAAAAAAGAUAGAUGCUUUACAUAGCAGUAAAUAUAAGAAUACAAGUUAAGAUGUAUUGUUAUACUUGAACAAGUAUUGAGUUCGAUUAUUCUUAAUGAACUUUUGAAUCUCACAUAUAGAGUUUGAACUUCUCAAACUAUUCGAUCUGCUUGAAAUCGAGCUUAAAUUUUGACCAAAAACUCGCGAAUAGUUAGAUUAAACUUGGCUACGUAGGUGCAUUUGUGCUGGCGAUUUGGUUUAUUGUGACAAUAAUUGAGACCCAAGAAGGAGGAGAUAAAGUGAUUUGACUUGAACGAUCAUCUUAGAGUAUUUCCUACACUACCUUGACACGCUUUUGUUUAGGGUGCAAAACCUAUUGACAUUCUGUCAUUAAAAACUGGUACGUUGUUUAUUGAUACGUAGAAGGAAGUGGAUGAUAAAGCCUGAAGCAUUCCCUUUGCGCAAAACUAUACGGUCAACAAAUUUGUAUACUAAAGCUGAGAUGUAAUUGUAUUUUGUGUGUGAUUUUAUUCCCUACACGGGAACAACUGCACUUGCAUAAUACUAACUGAUAGUUUUAACAAUAAAUGCCCAUCGAAAAAAAUCGUGUGCAAACCAAAUCCUCUUAGGUGAUUUGGCCACAAAGCAAUAAACAAAUAUGUAAUUCUGACAAUAGGUUAAGAAUUCAAACCCUUUUAAAAUGGUAGUGGGACUCUUUAAUUUAGAAGUUAGUUUCUGUCCCUACCUCCUAUAGUCCACUUGAGUAUUCUCUUAAUAUAAAAUAGCUUAACGAUAAGAGUAGGAAUAGAGUUAGAUAUUAGCGAUUGAAAUGAAAAAAAGGUGUAACACGACUACCCAAUUAAUUGAUAUCCCUCACAAGAAGAAAAUUCAGCUUCCACAGGCCUUGUAGGACAAUUCAUAGGUAAAUAUUAUUUGAACCAUAGAUUAUUAAUGAAAUUUAGUAGAGUGCUCGUAUGAAUUCAAGAACAUUAUUCUUCAAGCAUUAGACUUCCGGUGUGCAAAGAUUACAAAAUAAGUGAAUAUAAGGCGAUAUAAGGCAAGGAACAAUAUUCCUUAAUUUGAAUAUAACAUUAGAUAGUAUACAUGUUCUUCCUCUUUCAUAUUUUAGAAAGGGAAACAACCAAAUUGUUGAUGGACGAGUCCUUGAUCUUUCCAUGAUAUUGUGAGAUUUUGGCGGAGAAUUUGCUGAACAAAUUGUUGAUAAUAGCAUCCCCAAAAUGAGCUUGAAUAAGGGGUUCAUAAAUAGCUCUCAAGUUCCUAGAAGACCUUCUAGGCACUGAAAAUGUUCUAUAUCAAAACGCUUGCUUCCCGAGAUGCUUCCAAGAUACUAUGAAACUUGAAAAAACACCUGGAAUUCAGAUAUCAAGAUUCAAGAUUAGACCUAUUUGUAGCGUAAGUUUUCACAAACUCUGGCGUAAAUGGUCACCGAGAAACCAAAAUUGACCACAAAUGCACAAUUCCAUAGGGUUAGCAAUUUCGGGAAUGGGGCAGCUACAAUUAGCAAUAGGUGCGGCUGUUUUACUUUUUUAAUGAUUUAGUGUACACUUACAUAAUUUUGAUGUAUUUCAUGAUUUGAUGUACAUUUAUGUAACUUUUUAUUGUGCUAGUAAUAGUUCACGUACUUUGCAUGUAAUUAUAUUAACCUAAAUAUAAACAUAACAUCUCUUAUAUAUAAACUUUUUUUUUGUGAAAUUUGAUUGUUUACAUGAUAAUAGAAUAUUUUCUAUUUUCUAUUUCUUUAAUCAAUUAUUGUUACAAAGACUAUGUAAAUACGAACUCUUUGAUCCAUUGAUUUUUGAAUUUAUUUUGAGCUUUUUGGUAAUUUAUGGAUUCAACAAUUCUUAAUAUGGUUAUGUUGUGUACUCACAAUAUUUUUACCAUUAAAUCAUAAUAAUAUUUUUUAAUUUUGUACAAAAGAUGUUGUUAAACCGGAAAUGCAUGUAUACAUGUCAAGCGUGAGCCUAGUAAAUAAAAUUUGUAAUUAUUAGCAAAGUAAGGACUAAAAUUGUAAAAUCAAUUUCUGGAAGUGUAUCAGAGUAAAUAAAUUGGCUUGUUAGAUUUUGUCAUUCUAAUUAUUUUCACCAAACUCAUCCCUUCUUUUACCCUUGGAAAGUUCAUUUACCAGCCAGAAUCUAGAUCCGCCUUUUUUUCACUUAAAAAUAAAACCCAUAGUUAAGUUUCUAAUGAAAUCAACAAAUUUAAAAAAUGAAAAAAAUUUGUAUCAAUAUUUUGAAUGCUAUUUGCCAUAACAUUUUGAAUGUUAUUUUUCCUUGGUAAGACAAACAAAAUGGAAUUGUACAAUUAGAAUGAAUUAAUUAUUUAAGAAUAAAAUAUAUGAGCUAUGCUUAUGCCCAACCUCGCAUGAACAUUUAAUUACUCUGCUUUAUAUCUUUUAGCUCAACUUUUCAAUUUUUUCUUUUGUGAAUUUGAAUUGAAUAAUGUGAGGUGCAUUAUUGAAUUUGGAUUGUUUACAUUUUUUUUCUAAGUAUUAUUGAGUUUAGUAAAGAAUGUAAAUGAUUUAUACUGCUUAAUUAUCUUAGACUGUGUAAUUUAAUUGCCAAUGGACAUUCAAUUGAUAGAAAUAAUUGGAUCCUUUUACGUGUUCUUUCUUUCAAUAUUUCUUCACACUAAUAAAAAGCCCAUAAUUAUACAUCUGUCUUGUGAUAUUCAUAGCAAGAUUCUCCAAAUGAGUAUGGACUCUUUUCUUCUUAUAUAUUUCUCUUUUGCUUCAAGAGCAUCUAUUUUUUUGAUACAAAUAUUUUUUACAAUCUUAAAUUAUAGCUAAUGCAAUCGGUCACACUAUUUCGAAUAAGAAAUUAUUUUGGCUAAGAAACUUUAACACACAUAAGGAUUGGAGAUGAAGUGUAAGGGUCACUAAAUAGUUUUAAUAUGGAGUUUUUCAUUUUAAUUACCCUUUUUAUUGAGAUUUAGUUAUUUGGAAUGUUUCAUAUUUUUAAUUACUACUACAAUUAUAAUGCAAUAAUUCUAAUUGAAAGAUAGAGAUAAUAUGGGCACAACAAAACUAAGAUCAAAAAGUGCAUGCAACUUACAAUGCCAAGACUUUUUAAUAUAGUAAAAAAUAGAUGAUAUAAAAUACAUCAAAGUUGUGUGAAUGUACAUCAAAUCAUUAAAAAAAAAAAAAAGUAAAACAACCGCACUAACCGCACCUAUUGCUAACCAUAGCUACCCCAAACCCUGCAAUUUCAUAGUGACAUCUUAAAUUGAAGCGGAUCACUAAGCAAUACAGACUGGAAGAUAUGCACCUAAUGCAACGCAUAUCAACUAUUAGCAAUGUAACAAGGAGAAAAUUGGAUUCUUUGCUUAUUAUAGAUGCUAUAAUGCUCCAAACACUCAAAAGCUUCGUGAUAGAUAGGUCAGUGUGUUUUUUACAGGUUUCAAGUAAUGUGGUUGCAUUAGGUGCCAAAUCCCUCUUCCCCCACUAUAUCUAUGUGACCUUUUGUUUCACAAAAUAAAAGAGUUAUACGAAUUUAGAGUUGAGUAGCAGCAAUAAAUUGCAUAAUUAUACCUCCAACUGCUAGAAGUUACUGAAUUGGUCCCUUGUGGGCUCAUUGAAAUGUCAAUCCAUGGCUAUUCAACAACUUUGUGGAAUGACCCAUUGAGACAAAAAUGCCCAGACGACAUCGUUCCAAACGAAGGUAGAAAUCAUUUUUAACAUUCCAACUAGUUUCGCAAUACUUACCAAAAAAAAAAAAUCAGCAAAUUAAAAAGGAUAAUUUCAGAAACCUGACAAUUUCACUCAGUGCCCUCAAACUUUAAAAAAUCUCAUUUGGCUCUCUUGUUUUAAGCGUUUUGUAACAUUUGAAAUCCAUUUCAAAAUAUAAUAUUAAAAAACUCAUUUUGAGAGAGAGAGAGAGAGUACAAUUUCAUUCCAAAUUUGUCCUUUCUUGCGAUUUUUUAAUUGUCAUAACACACCAAAUUUGUUGCUUAUCUUUUGUAAAUUGAUUGAUGUAGUUCUUUAAUGAAAAUCUAAGAGUUGGUAACAAGAUCAAAAAAACUCUUUAAUAAUUUUUGUAUCAUUUGUUCGGACAAAAAAUGUUAAAUUACUUAAAAUUAUGAGUCAUUUACACUACUCUUAAAAAUAACUUGCAAUAAUUCAUAACCAGGAGAAUACCUUUUGCACUAACUUAAAAAUAAUACAAACAAUUAUAUAUAUAAAUUUUAGCAUGUUGUAUCUUUUUAGUUGUCAAACCAUCGAUUUGGACGUCUAAAUUAAAAAAAUAAAAAAAAUGUGUAAAUGAUUUAUAUAUUAGCUCAAAACACAUAUAUUUGAAGUAGAGAAAACGUCAUUUGCAUUUGGAUUGCGAUUUUCUUAAAAAAAUUUCGUUACUUGUUUCUCUUUGUCCAUGAUACUAAUUGAUAAAUGCUUCACAUUUUUCCAGUCUCAGCUCUGUUAGCUUGGAGUUCUGCUUUCAACUAUAAAGUACUACUCUUUGGAAUUGUCAGAGCACUACUCUUUCUAUUUUUUUUUCAGCAAUAUUAUAAGUAACUAGUUUUGUACCCGUUCGUUGAACGGGAAUCAUUGAAAAAUAAUAAACUUUAGUCAAUUUAUAAAAAUAUCGAUAUAAAAUACAUAUUUAAUGUAUAAUCUAUUAUAACUUGUCUUAAAUAUAAUACUAUGUGCGCAUUGUAAUGUAAAGUAUUCUUAUAAUAUAAAUUUGAAUAUCUAAUUCAGUGAAUAAUAAUUUAAAAAUAGAAAAAAUAACAUUCAACAAUACCAUAACAUUCAAAAACUUGAAAAUAAAUAAAAAGUGCAGUAAAUAGUAUCAAAUAAUAUUCUAAUAUUCAGAAACUUGUUUUUGUUUUUUUUCUGUUUGAACAUUCUCCUCGAUUUGUCCGUGCAAAUCAGCAUUUAUUGAUUUUCUAUUAUUAAUGCAUGAUAGCAAAGUAGGAUAACUAAGUAUAAAAAAAAUAAAUGAUUUAUCGCAUUCAAGUUUGUGUAUAACAAUACGUAAAGAUUAUAUUUAAGUAAAUGGCCAGAGUCUUUUAAUUAAAUAAUGAAUUUGCAGAUAUAUCUAAUAGAGAUAUUUAUAUCGCAUUACUUUCUAGUACCUUUUGUUUUUUGUUGUUUUUUCUGAAGGCAAAUUAACAAACAUCGUAGUAUAUGAUCACCAAAAUCAAUUAACAAACAUGUUAGAAAAAAUCCUACAAAAAUAACGAUGAAAGCACUUGUUUAAAUUCUAUGUAUUCAUACAAAACAAAUAGAAAAUAAAACAAAAAAAAUAAAAUUCAAGAUAUGUUACUAAGCUCUUACAAUUGAAGAUCAACAUGCCUUUUUAAUAUAUAUAUAUAUAUAUAUAUAUAUAUAUAUAUAUAUAUAUAUAUAUAUAUAUAUAUAUAUAUUGAAAGAAGAUGUACCUGAUAAUCAAGAGAAGUGGAAACCCAAAAUCGAUACUUUAAUAUGCCAACCGUUUGCACUGGAAAUACCUAACCAUGAAUUUGAUGCUUGAAAUCAAUAUAUUAUAGGCUAUAUGUAGUGUAGGCAUAGGAAAUAAAAAUUGAUAAGAAUACAAAGAGAUAUUGAUAAGAACAUUAAAAGUAUGUUUAUCUUAAUUUAAGUUGCUUAAAGUACGUAACUUUGGGUAGGAAAUAAGAAUCGUAUAAUAUUAAGAAUUCUUAUAGGAAAUAAAACCAUAAUCAUCCAAAUAACUUUGGGUAGGAAAUAAGACCUUAUGUGACCCGUACUAUGCACGUAUAUAAACCUGUAUGUAAUAAAUUUACAAAUGCAUUAUCAAGAUAGGUUUUACCGACUUUAAAAGACCACCUCCACUAUAUCGAGUCCUUUAAGUGCAUGAACUCCUAUGAUGUGGGUCCACACACGAAAUACUUCCCACCAUCUAGGCAGAGAUGCAUUGUGAUUAAGGAAUUAUUAGCAAAAAUAUAUUAAAAAAAAGGACGGACGGAGGACACUAUAGACGGAGGCCUUUCUCUUGGAUUGGAGGACACUACGGACGGAGGGUCGGGUAGGGGCCUUCGGGGUGCAAAAACUUCAACAAAUAUCUAAUGUUUUAUCUCAUCUUUCUUUAGCUAUGAUAAUGAGAUUUUAUUUCUUUGGUUGAUGACGCUCCAUUUUUUUUUAUGGACUUUUCCAGAAUUUUUCAAUCAGAUAAAGUGCCAUUUCUCUUUGUACAUCAAUUAUACAUGGGGACUGUUAGUCUUGUAAAAAUUUUCUUGGGCUAACUUUCUUUAAUUUUCAUGUCUAGAUUGUUUGUAUGUUGUUCUAUAUAUAGGUAUAUUAUCUUAAAAUAAAAAGGAUCUAUGAUGAAGCUGUUAAAAAAAAAAAGAAUAGGAUACUAUAAAAAAAUAUAUUAUCAUUUAUUCCUAUAUAUCUAAUAGAGGAGAUUUAUGUCUCUUUUAUUUAUAUCGCAUUACUUUCCAGUUCCUUUUUUGGGUAGGAAAUAAGAAUCAUAUAAUAUUAAGAAUUUUUAUAGGAAAUAAGAAUUGAUAUAUAUCCAAUCAAAAAAGGAGCAAGCCACGUAGGAAACUACUUGCCGUCUCGUUAAGCCACGUAGAAAAGAGAAAAUAUGAAGGGAUAAGUAUGAGGAUACGACUUUAUUAUAUAUAUAUAUAUAUAUAUGAUUGGUCCGCGCAGCGGACUGAAGUGGUCGAUGUGUGAAUGCAAGGCCUUGCUUGGAUUGCUUGUUUCAGUCGGAAAAUAUUGUCGUUUUCCGUGAUCACAUUUCUCUAUCACCUUUUUCCUUCAUAUAUAUCAAAUCGCUAUAGUAAUUUUUCCAUGAAAAAUGAUAGAAAAUGCAAUCCAAACAUAACCUAAGAUUAUGCUGAUCUUUACGGGUCCCACAUGUUGUAUGUUUUAUAUUGUACUAGUAGUAUUCCAAAUGGGUUUUAGAACGUUCUCAAAAUAAAUCGAUCAAUUUGAUUGGGAUCAAAACGUGUGGGGUAAGGUUUUUUAUUUUUACAUAAUUAUUCAGAUAAAACCAACCCAGGCAGACCCAAUUAUCUUUGUAACUUACAAAAAACUUUGAUCAACUUUCAAAUAUAUUAUACACUCUUGACAUUUAAAAAAAGGGAUAAUUUCGCAAGCCUUCCCUGAGGUUUUUAAAAAUUACAGAGAGCUCUCUCUAGGUUUUAAAAAUUACAUAUACCUCCCCUAUUUUUAUUUUUUAGUAAUGAUAUAGGUUCAACAAUAUGGAUUUUCUCACAAAAUUUCUAAAUUGCCCUUUAAACUAAGAAAAAUAUAGUAUACUCAAUUAUUUUCUUCAACACUUUGUACAAAUCAAUAAACCUAGUUUUUAGCAAUCAUUCAAGUAUAAGUUUUAAAACUAAAUAGCAGUCCAAAAGAUCCCAAAUUACAUGUAUAGUAUCAAUACUUGCUACCUAAAAAAAACACACACAUAUACCCCAUUGACAACCAAUUUUAUAUCCCAGAAUUAAAUAUCAAUGCUCAAAUACCUUUUCAAUACAAAUUAAUCUCACUUAGAACUGCUAUUACAACCCUUCUAUGGCCUUAAAAAUAUUAAUAUCUCAAAUAUAUAAAAUAAAUUCUACGUCCACAAUAAAAUCAUAACAAAAAAUUUCUAAUCAAAUGAAAGAAAUCCUUAUGUAAUUAUUGACAUUUUAUAAAAAAAAUUUUAACAAUAAACAAAAUAUGAUAAAUUCAACAUCUUUAAUUCUUUUUCCUAAUUUCAAUCAUCAAUUUCAUUAUUUAUUUUUCUAUCACUACAACUCUCUUCAUUUCCUUCUAAUUUGACAUAUAAUCUACUCCUUCUGUUGAUUUUAAAAUUUCAAUUUGCUAAUAUCCACAAAAUUGAAGAUAAUAAAAAGAAGUUAUAUUAACUAAAAAAGAGAUGAGUGAAAAUAGACAAGAGACAGAAAAAUAAUUUUUUUUUGAGUUUUGUAAAUUUAUUGCCUUAAAUUUAAAAUUUUCAACCAAGUAGAGGGCAUUAUAGGUAUUUUACUAUACCAAGGGAGGUAAGUGUAAUUUUUUAAACCUGAGAGGAACCGAGUGAAAUUGUGACAGGUGCCGAACCUGUGCAAUAAUAAUAAAUAAAUCCUAACUACCACCUGAAACAGUCAGUAAUCAAUUCCAGUACUGGAGCAGGGACUCUAGGUGUGCAAUGGGUUACUUGAUUCACCCUGUUCCCGAAGAGUUUGCUUAAUCCGAUAUACCUGAAUUAAUUAUUUAACUGAAUUUCCUAACUAGUAGACAGUGGUAAGCAGGGUCGUCUCCUCAGGGACUGGAGAGAUAUUUGUUUCUUUUCAAAUCAAGAUUAAUGGGGGGUUUUGGUAUCAAAAACCAACUGAACAAAUUAAAUGCAGAAAAUAAUUAAUUAAAAGAAAUAACUAAGAGAAACUCUAGUCAAGGGUAUACUUCAGAAAUGGUUCAUGCACUGAUCAUUGAUGCAAAAAUAAUCCCAACAUUUAUUAAUAGAUUGGUUAUAGUUGUCAUGCACGCGAUAAACAACCAACCCUUCCUUAAUUUAUCGAUAGCUAAGGUACGACCGUUAGCUAUUUCCCUAACCCAAAAACAAUCCUAGGUACGACCGUAGAAUUUAAUUUCUGGUUUGCAUGAAACCUUAGAAAGACCCAAUCCUAACUAACAAACACGCUACGAGGGUUUGUUUAAGUUAGAUCAUAUAUUCCCCUGAUAUAAACCCAAUUACACCAGUCGCUACUGAGAUAGAGAUAACGAACAAUUACGGAUUCAAUUACCCCUAUUUAGCAAAAUAGCCUAUAUGAAUAAUUAAUUAUUACGCACUAACCAAUCAUACACAAGGCUAUGACAAUUAAAAGCAGGAAACAUAUGAAUACCAAUAAAUGGAGGAAACAAUUAAAAUAAAUUCGAUUUCACAGUAAUUGUUGAACCAAGUCUUCAGUUGUCCCCUUGACUAGAAUUGAGAGGUUAGUCCUCCAUUAAUGGAGAACAACCAUGCGAAAAAGCCAAGAAAAGCAAACUAAAACUAUGCUAAAAACCUAAACUAAAACUAUUGAUUGAUAAACCUCUCGUACGUUUCUCCCUUUUUGAAGCCAAAAGGAAGUCUAAUGCUAUCUCUAGUGGUCCCCACACCAAAUUCAAAGUCUUGUACGUUUCUUUUCCUAGAGUCCAAAUGACUCAUGCUUCUUAUCCGUGGUCCCCGCACAUGUGGACAAAACCUCCAAAGUACUUGUUGUUCCAAGUCUCUCUACGUUGCUUUCUUUGAAAAGCCCAAAUGACUAAAUGCUUUGCACUAGCUUGUGGUCCCCACCAAUUCAAGGACCCAAAGGUUGAAGUCCUUAGAAGUCUGCAUUUUUCCAUACAAGUCCCUCCUUUUUGGUAAUUUUCUGCUUCAAUCCCUGAAAUUGGGUCCAAUACCAAAUAUAAGUAAAUAUUAAUAAUUAAAACAAUAUUUGGCAAGAAUAAAAGGGGAAAUUAACAAUAAAAUACCCAACAAUUUACACCCUAUCAAUUCCCCCCACACCUGAAUCAUGCUUGCCCUCAAGCAUGGGAACAGCAAUUGAACACCAAAAUUUGACAAUGGCUACUGCUCCAACUACCGUAUUGCCAAGAUGCCCAAGAAAAAUAAAUAUCAAGUAUCACAGGUCAAUAUCCAAGAAAAAUCAACCCGGUUAGCCUCUGAACCACCAACUUCUCCAAUUUAAAGCAAACUAAUCUAAGAAAAAGGAAUGGUUGCUCACAUUUAUCAGCAAAUGGUCCAACUAUUAACCAAAAUCUCGACAUUAAGAUCACAAACCGGCAAGCUGAUUUAUUCACAUACUAACACAAUCUUACUUCACUUCUUUUUUUUUUUUUGUUUUUUGUUUUUUGAAUAGCAAAGACUUAGUCUAUAGCCCUUAGAGUUUUUUGACGCGAACUCCAAUAUUUGACAGAUGGAGGAGCCCGGUUACUCAGCUCUAAUUGCUACGGGACCACGCACUCAUAGCAACUACUACCUUUUGACGCGAAAAUCAACACUUUAGGUGAAGAUUCCCGGUUAUUCAGUAGUAAUCACUAGCGGAGUACAGUCAACUCUUAUUUAUAACCAUAUAGCACAAUAACUAAAAAUAACACAAAAAUAACAACAGCCAGCCUCAAAUUUCCAAACAUGGAGAACUAAAAUUAAUAAUUGGACCAAUUCACAAGAAAAAUGCCAACAAUCAUUCCCUAUGCCUAGAAAAGUUAACUAAAAAUUAGAAAAGUCAAGCAAUUAUUGAUAUUCACCAAAAAGAUGUUCCUGAAUUCAACCACAUCAACUCGAUACCUUUUAUUAAUAAACUUGGCAACAUCAGAAUCAGAGACAACAAUCCAACAUCAAAACUUGGUAUUCAUAUGAAGACUGACCAUUAGAAAAAAGAAAAGAAAAGAAAAUAAACGAAAGAUGGACAAAAACAAACAAAAAAAAAUAAAGAUAAACAAAAAACUCUAGAAACUAAAAACAAAAUUACUAGCACCACAAUGAUUCCCCCCCACACCUAAUUCACACAUUGCCCUCAAUGUGAUAAUGUAAAAGUAGAAGGAAGGAGAGGGGCAACGGUACUUCCCUGAAGUCAUCAAAACAGGGGCAGUUCAGGUGGAAAUUGUGGAUCAAGACUUGCAUGGUGACGUCAAUAUGGGUCAUCCGAGUCUCUAGUCUCUCAACUCGCGUCUGGAGCUGGUGCCAUUCGUGGCUUUACCAUGAACUCUAAAUAUCACUCUAAACAACAAGAGACUACCAUUGCCAACAAAUAAUGGAAGCCAAAAAUUCAAAGCAAUAACAAUUUUUAAAGCCAUCCCAAUGAACAAAAUGCACAAUUCAAUCUCCCAUAGAUUAAACCAGACCCCAACACUUAUAGCAAAUGCAAUCAAUAAGUACUCAUGGACCCCAUGUAGUCAAAUUCAGAAUUAAGGCCGUCCAAAGUGCAACAACUGCUCCAAAUACCCCAAGCAAGUCAAUUAAAGGCAACCGACUUCAAUAAGCAAAUGCAAACGGCACAUUCAUAUCCCAAUUCAACGAAUAAAUGCAGGAAAGUAGCCACAAUACUAGAGCACAGCUCCCAAUAAUGCAACAGAACAGCAACUCGAACAAACUAGGAACUGUGCUAGUGUCGUACUAAAUCAACAACUUUCAGCAAUUAGACACAAUCGGACACAAUAUCGCGACAACUAUCGCCAAUUGGACAGAUGAUUGCACACUCAAUCCAACCAAAAGUUCUAGCAACAGCCGUUCAGAAUUGAAGCAACAAAUUAAUCCCAAGAACUCGAAUUUUCAAACAAGCAAGCAUCUCCAAAUAUAAGCAACAACUAUAGUGAGAAGACCCCACCAGUACCACUGGUGGGCACACAAGGAAGAAUUAAAUCAAAUAUGAUCGAUCGAUAGCAGGAGCACCCAAAUUCAAUCAACAACAAGUAAUUCAGACAAACAAAAGCAAAAGAGAAACACAAAAAGGGGCCAGAUAUCGAUCAAACAAAAGCCAUUGCCCACCAUGAAUAAAGAAUACACUAAAAAGCAACAGAUACUGGUAAACCACAGAGGGAAAAAGGGACCGGACACCGUUGUUGGCAGCGAGACCGAGCGCUUGGGGCAGCACGGCAGCGUUUAGGGCAGGCCGUGGGAGGAAGGAAAAGUCACGCGAUGGAGCAAGAGGCUGCUGCAGAGGUGGGAGCGAGCUGGGAGGUCGCGGCGCGCAGCUGGUCAGCGGUGUGCAGCUGUGCGAGGCGCGGGAGCUAGCAGUGACGUGCGCUGGUCAGCUAAGGAGGAGAUGGGCGGCGCUCGACUGUCGCGUGGCUGCGACUUCUGGCUGGAGCUACUGGCGGCGCGCGAGCUUUGUGGAUGGACGCGAGAGGAUCUGGGGUGGUCGAGCGCAGGUGGAGUGAGGUGGAGCUCGAGUGGGUAGCCGCUGUUGGAUGGCGGCUAGUCAGCAGCUGCCGCGGGCUGGAGAUGGCGAUAGAAGCUGCUGGAGUGGGGGCGAGCUGGCGGUGCGCUGGUCUCGGUCGCGCGAUGCUGCCGCGCGGGAGGAAGAGGAGUGCGGCAGCGAUGGCGACUGGGCAGUGGCGCUCUGGGCCGCGGCUUGGGCCAGGCGAGCUUGUGGCGGCGAGGAAGUUGGAGCUGAUGUGGUGGUGGAGAUCGAUGAUUUGGGUGGGAUGGCCGGCGGCCGAAAGAAGAAAAGAAGGAAAAGGGAAAUAGGGAAGAAGAAAGAAAGAAAAGAAGAAGAAAGAAUUUUCUUCUUUUUUUUUUUUUUUGGAAUAAUUUUUUGUUCUAAAUUGAAUUGAGAUUGGAAAAUUCGAUUUUUGAAUACCAAAACUGAAAAUGAAAAAGGAAAUUACUUUUAUAAAAUUUUUUUUUUUUUUCAAAGAACCUCUAGCUUAGGCGUGGGCACGUCUAACUGCUAUAGAGUCCGCAGAUCCUGAACGAAAAUUUCUUUCCCUCAGGCGUGACCACCUGGCGUGGGCACGUCUAACUGCUAUAGAGUUCGCAGAACCUGAACGAAAAUUUCUUCCCCUCAAGCGUGACCACCUGACGAGGGCACGUCUAACUAUUAGCUUCCUGCCACAAAAGCAACAAAUCACUAAAUGCAACUAACACUUAACAAAAAUUCCAAAAAGCAUAAGAAAACUAAAAUAAAGAGUCUUGGGUUGCCUCCCAAGCAGCGCCUUUCUUUAAUGUCUUUGGCUAGACAUUGCCAUAUUUAUUCACGGAGGAUAAAAUCUUGUGGCUCGUUUCAGUGCUUCAUCCUCUAUAUAAUCCUGAUAGCCCUCGUAAAUAGAGUAAUUCUUGAGCACACGAGCUACGGGCUUCCAUGGACUAGUAAAUGGCGCCAAACAAGUCAACGAUAAUUUGCAUUCUCCACUCUCUCCUCCAUCACACGCCUUUAUCGGUUCAAGAUAUUUGACCAUCGUAACUCUUAACUUAUUCCUGUCAUGAAACUCAAAAUCGUCUGGUAUGAUAAAAUCAAUCUCACUAACAGGAAUUAAAGAAUAUGAGUCAGGAAAAUAUUGAUCAAGAAAUGGAGGAGAUGUCACCGCAUUUGGAGAUUGUUCACUGGAUUCAUUCACUUGAACCAUUUGAUGUUGGGGUCUCAUGUCUUGCACUUCAACUUCCUUUUCAACUGCAUUUUUAGAUCCUUCUUCUUGAGAUUCUCGCAGCACCAUGUCAUUCGUCAGGAUAAUUGCACUCUCAUCUUCCUCAUGGUCGAUAAUAGUUUGUGAGGGCAAUUCUUCACUUUGAGAAACCAAUCGAUUUAUUCUGGAUGUCAAAAGACAUAGUUGAUCUGCCAGAUAAUUCAUUGCAUCCUUCAUCAUCUCAUUCCUCAUUUGUGUCUCCUGUUGGAAUUGGUAUGUAUUAGUAGUUAUUGGUUCAACUAUCUCUUCAAGAGACAUACCUGACAUAGAUGACGAUUCUUGAGACUCAUACUGCUGAAAAUUCAUUGGCCCCGUUGUAUAAUUAUAAUUGGAGUUAUCCCACCCUCCUUGAUCAUACCCGUAUGGAUUAGGGUUAUACCACGUUUGAGACCAGGGUGAAAAAUCUCCAUAAUUAUUGAGUGGGACACUCAGAUUAUCUUGAUAUUCGGGGCACAUACUGGUUGAAUGAUCCCUGGCAUAACAAAUUUUACAGGUUGCAGCAGCCAUUCUUUUUCUAAUAGAGUUUACUGCCUCUGCACGUGCAAACUUAGAAAAAAAACUAGUCUCAUCGCCUUCCCCGGAAACAAAAUUUCACCAAAAUACGGAGUGUUAGAAGCCAUAAACUAUAUAAAAAAAAAUAAGAGAAAAAUAAAUAAUAAAAAAAAUGAACUCAAAAAGAAACAAAUUAAUCUGGCACCAGUCCCCGGCAACGGCGCCAAAAAUUGACAGGUGCCGAACCUGUGCAAUAAUAAUAAAUAAAUCCUAACUACCACCUGAAACAGUCAGUAAUCAAUUCCAGUACUGGAGCAGGGACUCUAGGUGUGCAAUGGGUUACUUGAUUCACCCUGUUCCCGAAGAGUUUGCUUAAUCCGAUAUACCUGAAUUAAUUAUUUAACUGAAUUUCCUAACUAGUAGACAGUGGUAAGCAGGGUCGUCUCCUCAGGGACUGGAGAGAUAUUUGUUUCUUUUCAAAUCAAGAUUAAUGGGGGGUUUUGGUAUCAAAAACCAACUGAACAAAUUAAAUGCAGAAAAUAAUUAAUUAAAAGAAAUAACUAAGAGAAACUCUAGUCAAGGGUAUACUUCAGAAAUGGUUCAUGCACUGAUCAUUGAUGCAAAAAUAAUCCCAACAUUUAUUAAUAGAUUGGUUAUAGUUGUCAUGCACGCGAUAAACAACCAACCCUUCCUUAAUUUAUCGAUAGCUAAGGUACGACCGUUAGCUAUUUCCCUAACCCAAAAACAAUCCUAGGUACGACCGUAGAAUUUAAUUUCUGGUUUGCAUGAAACCUUAGAAAGACCCAAUCCUAACUAACAAACACGCUACGAGGGUUUGUUUAAGUUAGAUCAUAUAUUCCCCUGAUAUAAACCCAAUUACACCAGUCGCUACUGAGAUAGAGAUAACGAACAAUUACGGAUUCAAUUACCCCUAUUUAGCAAAAUAGCCUAUAUGAAUAAUUAAUUAUUACGCACUAACCAAUCAUACACAAGGCUAUGACAAUUAAAAGCAGGAAACAUAUGAAUACCAAUAAAUGGAGGAAACAAUUAAAAUAAAUUCGAUUUCACAGUAAUUGUUGAACCAAGUCUUCAGUUGUCCCCUUGACUAGAAUUGAGAGGUUAGUCCUCCAUUAAUGGAGAACAACCAUGCGAAAAAGCCAAGAAAAGCAAACUAAAACUAUGCUAAAAACCUAAACUAAAACUAUUGAUUGAUAAACCUCUCGUACGUUUCUCCCUUUUUGAAGCCAAAAGGAAGUCUAAUGCUAUCUCUAGUGGUCCCCACACCAAAUUCAAAGUCUUGUACGUUUCUUUUCCUAGAGUCCAAAUGACUCAUGCUUCUUAUCCGUGGUCCCCGCACAUGUGGACAAAACCUCCAAAGUACUUGUUGUUCCAAGUCUCCCUACGUUGCUUUCUUUGAAAAGCCCAAAUGACUAAAUGCUUUGCACUAGCUUGUGGUCCCCACCAAUUCAAGGACCCAAAGGUUGAAGUCCUUAGAAGUCUGCAUUUUUUCAUACAAGUCCCUCCUUUUUGGUAAUUUUCUGCUUCAAUCCCUGAAAUUGGGUCCAAUACCAAAUAUAAGUAAAUAUUAAUAAUUAAAACAAUAUUUGGCAAGGAUAAAAGGGGAAAUUAACAAUAAAAUACCCAACAAUUUACACCCUAUCAAAUUGUCAAAAACCUCAAGGGAGGUUUCUGAAAUUAUCCAUAAAAACAUAACAUGAGCAAUGGAAAGAGGGAGUAGAAGUUUUAAUAAUUCAAUGAUUAUUAUCUAUUUCAAAAAAUAAAAGUUCAAUUAAUUUGAGAUCACGAGCUUGAUUAUUGAGACGCUAAGGAGACUAUAACUGUGCGUCUCUAUUUUGAACCAAGAUGCGAAAUAGCUAACCUUAAAAGAAGAGGUGUGUUUCUGUUUAGUGAUGAUAAAAUAAAUUCAAGUGGGCAAAGUGCACCUUAUCCCUAAUUACAUUGGAGAUUAGUGCUAACUGACCCUUUGCUUUAUUUCAAUUUGAUUGCGAGGAGACAAAAGCAAUUUCUUAUCACUCUUGGAUGGAUAUUAUGAACGUGUUUAGAUGGUAGAUUAUUUGAAAUAAUUUUUUAAAAAAGAGUACGAUGGUAUUCUUUUAAAUAUAUAUAACAUAAAAAAUAAUAUAUUAUUUGUAACGUGUGUGAGAUCUAUUAGUGCCCGCGCAAACAUUCAAUCAGAGAAUCAGAGAAUCAGAGAACAUGAAGGCCCCAGCAACAAAGGCAUUUCAAGUGAAAAUGCCAACAAGCCACAGCCCUCAAAAGUGGUUUGGAGAAAUUUCAAGCUUUUGGGUCCCACAUAUUUUGUCACAAUCUUGUGAUUAUCAUUCAAAAACGCAUGGCCACCUGAAAAACGAAGGGAGUAUUUUAAUUGAGUCAAGUCCAUAUUACUUGCCAUUUGUUAAUUGGUGUGUAUUUAUAUCAUUAGCUGUUAGUAAUUGUUCUUUUGUACAAAAUUUUCCCUCUAGUGAUUAAUCCUUUUUGUUCAUUAUAAAAAUUCAAUAGGACUAUUUUGCACUAUUGAGUUUGUGGGGGGAAAUAAUCAGUGAUGAUUUUGCAGUAAUCUAUUAUGAAAGUAAAAAAACCUUUCAAAAGUUUUUAAUGUUGAAAAGAACUACGUGUUUUAAUUUUAAAAUAACAAAAUGCAAUACAAGGUACCAAAAUUCUAUGGAGAAAUCAUCAUUAUAUUUAAGUAUACAUGCAAAACUGGUGGAAAUUAAAAUAAUACUCCCUCGGCUUCAAAUUAUUUGUCUCAUUUCAGGAUUCAAAUUUUUUAAAGAAUAGUAAGUAAUUUGACGGUGAUUUUAGUGGAUUUGUUUUCAAAAUUAUCCUCGAAAAUUCAAAAUUUUAAACUUGGAUUUAGUGCCAAAUAUUGAUUAAUGUGAAAAUAACAUUGAAAAAAGAAAGAGAUUAAAAGUAAAUUUGAGUUUAAUAAAAUAAUAAAUAUUUUAAGACAUUUUAAAAUAAAAAAGUAAAUCGGGAAGGAGUGAAAAAAAUAAAACGAAUAAGAGAGAAACUACAAGACGAUGAGUUAGACGUUAAGCCAAUUUGCUCUCUUACUGCAUUGUGAUAAGGAGGAAUCAGAGAGCCAAUAAGAAAUGUGACCGAAGAGUCAAGUUGCAGGCUGGCUCACACAUGCAAUUGUCGGCAACUUCCUUUGAUAACAGGACAGCUUUUAUGUGUCUUUAGAGUGGCGCUGUGGUCCAUUGUGUCUUUAGAGUCUAAAGCUGUGUCUUUAGAGUGUGCAGUGGAGCCCGGCAUAUUGCAAAGGCGGACAAUUUUCAAAGUCGACUUGCAAAUUUCAUUCCCUAUGAUAGCUGCUGAAGUUGAACCUUUCAUUCCACUUCAAAUUAUUUGUUUCAUUUCAAGAUUAAAUUUUUUUUAAAAUAUUAAAUAACUUGACGGUGAUGUUAGUGAAUUUGUUUCUAAAAUUAUCUUCAAAAAUUCAAAAUUUUAAACUUAAAUUUAGUGCCAAAUAUUGAUUAAUGUGGAAAUAGCAUUGAAAAAAGGUGAUUAAAAGUAAAUUUGAGUUUAAUAAAAUAAUAAAUAUUUUAAGACAUUUUAAAAUAAAAAAGUAAAUCGGGAAGGAGUAAAAAAAAAAUAAAACGAAUAAAAGAGAAACUACAAGAUGAUGAGUUAGACGAUAAUUAAGCCAGUAAGAAGCAGAUGACGAGUUAGACCUGCUUUAUUCCACCCACUGUUUUAGCUGCAAGUUGCAGGUUGGCCAUAUGCUGCAGAUGCGACAAUUUGUCGGCAAGAAGGUGUGGCUACGAAUUGUCGGCAACUUUCAGGAAGUCAGGGUAAAGCGGUAAAAGAAAAGUUCGUUGGUGACGUCUUUGGAGUGUAGCUUUGCAGAGUGAAGCCGGGGGGCAAAUUGCAAAAAGUGGAAAAUUUUGGAAGUGCAAAAAGUUGUGUGGAAAAAUUUUCAUUCCCGCAAGUUUUAGCCUCCACAGAUUUUGCUGCCCUUAGUUGCCAAAGUUGAACCAUAUCCUUCCUUGUCUCAUCGCAGAAAGCAUCCCCCCGUCACCAUUGCAGAACACUUUCAUCCUAAUUCCAAUCCCAAGCGAGAAAAAAUGGCUGAUGCUGCUGUUAGUGCUACCAUUCAGGUUGCGUUGCAGGCGGUUGUUUCCCUUGCCGCUGAUCAUGUUAAUCUGGCUCGUGAAUUCCCAGAGGAGCUGAAGAAACUCAACGAUUCUGCUGAAAUGAUCGGAGGCUUCUUGGCUGGUGCCGACGAGCAAAUGCAUAGCCCAGUGGUGCAAAUUUGGCUCGAGCAGCUGGAAGAAGAGGUUUUCAAAGCCGACAAUGUGCUGGACGAGCUCAACUAUGAAAAUCUUCGUCGGAAGGUGAAGUAUCAAAAUCAACUCACGAAAAAGAAGGUAUUCUUCUGCUUUUCAUUCUUUAAUAAAAUUGGUUUUCGUUGGAGGUUGGGUUCAAUGAUCAGGGAGAUCAACAUGAACCUUCAAAGGAUCCAUCGGGAUGCAGAAGGUUUGGGACUGGCCUACAAGCACCAAGUUGAAGAAGCAUUCCCUACUAUAGCACCUGGAGCCACAACAAGCCGACAGACCGACUCUACCAUUGAUCGAAGAGAUGUCCUUGGAAGAGAUAAGGAUGAAUCAGAAAUAGUUAAGAAGUUGUUGGCCGAAUCUGAAAGUGAUCGUAUUUCAGUUAUUUCCAUAACUGGCCCGCCAGGAUUAGGCAAAACAACUCUAGCUAAAGCCGUUUUCAACACUCCACAAUUUGACAAUCAUUUUAACAAAAAAAUUUGGGUUUGUGUGGCUGAAGAAGUAGAUAAAAUCGAGAAGGUCUUCAAAAUGAUUCUAGAAUCGUCAACAGGAAAAAAGGCUGAAGUGGAUAAUAGGCAAGUAAUAGUUCAAGGAAUUGAAAAUGAACUUAAGGAAAAAAGAUAUUUGCUUGUUCUCGACGAUUUGUGGAAUGAUCAAGAAGGAUUGUUGGAUGACUUUUUCACCACAUUGAAGGCACUCAAACCGAAGAAAGGGAGCUGGUGUCUGGUUACCACUCGUCUGCAAGAAGUGGCAAUUGUUCUGUCUAGACAUCCGCAGAUCAAUUUUACUCGCCAUGAGCUGGGAAAGCUAUGCGAUAAUGAUUGCUGGUCCAUCAUUAAUAAAUGGGUAAAUGUAGGGGAAGAAGUACCAAAAGACAAAAAGGAGCGAGUUUUAAGAAGAUGUGAUGGUCUACCUCUGGCAGCAAAGUUAAUUGGAGGAUUGUUAUCUAAAAAGAGAAAAGAGGAGUGGCUAUCUAUUUUGGAGGAGAGCCUCUUGAAUCAAGGUCAGGGUGGGAUCGAGCAAAUAGUUAAGGUGAGUUUUGAUCAUCUGUCACCUGCACCGGUUAAGAAAUGCUUCGCAUAUUGCUCAAUUUUUGAUCAAGAUACUGAAUUGGAACAAGAUCGACUAGUUGAGCUUUGGAUGGCUGAAGGCUUUCUUCAACCGGAUUCCCAAAAUCAAACGAUGGAGGGAAUGGGAUAUGAGUAUUUCAGAAUUUUGCUGCAAACUUCCUUAUUGGAAGAAGUAAGAGAUUGGAGGAGAACAAGGUAUAAAAUGCAUGAUCUUGUGCAUGAUUUUGCAAAAUCAAUUUUGAAUCGUAACAGCAGCAAUCAGGACCGUUACCUUGCGGCAUCUGAAAGAAUGGUAGAAAACAUGAACGAAAAAAAAUCAGCAUCACUUCGCACAUUAUUUCUGGAGGGUGGCAUAGCUGAUGAAAUGUUAUCAAAGUUCAAAUACUUGCACGUCCUAAAAUUGUUUGGAGCAGAUGCCAAAAAGCUGCCGAAAUCCGUUGGCAAACUAAUACAUUUACACUUACUUGACAUUUCACGUUCUUGUAUUACAACUUUGCCAGAAUCUCUUUGCAAACUUUACUGUUUGCAAACACUGAGAAUUGGCAAGCUUGAAGAAGGUUUUCCAAAGGAGAUGAGCAAUUUGAUUAGCAUGAGACAUCUUCACUAUUUUCAUGAUGAUACAAGACGCAAAAUCCAAAUGCCAUCCGGGAUUGGACGAUGGACUUGUCUUCAAACAUUAGAGUUCUUUAAUAUAGGUCGUCAAGAGGAAGGUCGUGGUAUCCAAGAGCUUGGAACCUUGGAAGAUCUUAAAGGCUCCUUGGAGAUCAGAAAUCUUGAAUUAGUAAAUGGCAAAGAUGAUGCUGAACUGGCAAACCUAUCUAAAAAGCCAAAUCUGCAUCGGUUGGUAUUUGAGUGGGGCAAUAGGGAUCGGGAAAGUAAUAAAUGCGAUGAAAAUGUGUUGGAAGGCCUCCAACCUCACCCAAAUUUAAAAGAGUUAC
RNAcentral lists this long non-coding RNA (190788 nucleotides) under Coffea arabica (coffee). RNAcentral's name for it is "long non-coding RNA (CARA_LNC000011)". Lineage: Eukaryota; Viridiplantae; Streptophyta; Magnoliopsida; Gentianales; Rubiaceae. The record is from RNAcentral.